AUAUGGGAAGGUUGAGCUGCUGUUUAUUUAUUCCUAGAGAUGCUAGAAUUCUGGAGAAUUUUAUCUUUGAAAAAUCUUUAAAAUAACACAUGAUGAGUUCUUAUAUGAUGAGAGUUUAAAUUCCUACCACAGCCAUAUAUACAUGCUUGCUAGACUUUGAGCCAUAUAUUUACUUUUUACUGCUUAUGAGCAUUGAGUGUGGUCAAGCUGUGUAGACCCUAAGGAGCUUGUCAUGUGGUUAAAAUCAAGAUUCACUUGCACGUUCACUCAUACAUGCUACUUCCACUCCGGAAGUAUGCAUCCACAUACAUCCACUCAUUUUCAUCUCCACAUACACCUAAAACUAUUCUACUCCUAAUCCGGGAGAGAAUAGCCAAAAAUAUUUUCCUAUCCCUGUUAUUCCCUGUGAAAUAAAUGCUCCAGUUAUUUUGGUUACUACCACUUGCUACAUUCUUUCAGGAGAUGAGUGCUCUAAAAAAAGAAAAAAAAAGAAAAAUAAUAAUAAUACGAGGAAAUAAAAAGGGGCAAGUGCCUGGAACCUCGAAGAAAAAGAAAAAAGUGAGACGUGAGGUAAAAAUGGACAAGUGUCCGACAGUAGAAUUAGGGGUACAAGAUACCCACCUGAGAGGAAAGAAAAAGGAAAUAUAGAGCAUCUCAUUCUCCCCAAAAAGCUUCAAAGUGCAAGAAAGGUAUGUAUCCCCUCAAAAGAGCAAAAGUAGAAUUAGACUUUCACCAUCAUCACCAUACACCAUUCAUUCGCCACACAUGCACAUCUUGAUUUGACUUAUUGACUUGUUUCUCUGGAUCCAUGGUUUGACUAUGCAAUAAAUAUCUUGUAAGUAUGUAUUAGCUGUCUCCCACCUAUGAGCUCCAGAUAUCAAAACCUUAUUAGAAUAGGGUGAGAGAGAAGGCAAUAUCACUAUGCCUCAUACCACAAAUACUACAUACUUUGAGAGAAGGCACAUACCAUUACUGCCUUGGUAAGGAUCCGGAAAUACCACAAAAGAGAGAUCUGAGAGAGUCAUAUAAGGAAUCUCUGAGUUUUAUUUGAAAAUCUGCAAAAACUCCAGAGCUAUAGCUGAUCAAGAAUAAGAGACAUGGCGCUUGACUUGACCGUUCUAUCUUUUAACUGCUCAAGACACAAGUGACGGUUACAAGCCCCAUGGUGAAAGGUAAAAUGAGUAAGUUUUAAGUCUUAACAGUUUAUUCUAACUCAGAGAUGAGAUCUUGCUUGAAUCUGUGUGUACUUUUAAGAAAUGAAACCACUGCAGAAACUCUCGAGUUCAUCCUUGCUCAGGGACGAGCAAGAGGUAAGCUUGGGGGAGUUUGUUGACGGUCCAUAAGUAUCAAAUUUAAUUAUCAAAUAAACAAAAAAAAGGAUCCAAAUGAAAUCAACAUCUAGACUUGAGGUUUUAUCUGACAGAAUUCCACUAGUUUUGGUGUUUGUCUAUUUCUACAGGGGGUUAUCAGGAAAUAAGGAAGAAAGGCCCACAUGUCGGGAUUACAUAGAGAUAUGAAUGUGCCGCACAAUUUUGUAUCAUCUAGAAGACUCCAGAAGCCACGGGAACGAACGAGAAGGCAAACGGGCCCGGGGGCAGGGCGCCCGCCCACCCCCCUUGGGCGCCCGCCCAGGUGUUUCCACCAAUCACAGAAUGGAGUAUACCAUUGCAAAGAUCUCGUCGAGCUGAUCGAAAUGCAUAUAUUACUUGCUAUAUUUGGAGUUCAGAAUCAAGAGAUAUUAAUAAAAGAAGGACUCCGUAUAAAAGAGCUGCGGGAUUAAUUGGGCCCAAAUCAGAUUUUGGUCCAUUAAGGCCUAUGUGCAUUUUAAUGAGAUAUGGUGGAAAGUUUAGUACCACAUCGCCUGCUGAACCAAAAACGCAUAGAGGAGGAGGACUAUAUAAGGAGACCCCCUGGCCUCUGUAGAAGAGAAGAAAUUAUAAUAGAGAUUGAGGGGUGCCCUCGAAGGAAAACCUCUUCUCUAAAUAAUAUUUCUUUUUAGGCUUAGCAACAAAUGUAAAGUAGAAAUGGAUCUUCUAGUUUCUACUAGAUUGAAGAGAUAGAGUGGAGGUGUGGAUCGGAGGAAGGCCGGCCUGUCGGUGUCUACUCCGAGUGGUACCUACGGGAUCAAGUCUCCUAACCCGAGGCUUGCUUCUAAGAUUCUUCAGUAAUUCGACUUCUAAUACUAGUAAGUUCUUGUUUUAUUGUUCUUUGGAUUAUGAGUUUACUUUAAUCCUCUUCCGGUUGAGUAUUAGAAUAAUCACUUGUUAGCGUAAACGUGGUGUUUAGGCUAGGGUACUCAUAGAUAUCCCCUGACUGGCUGGACCGCGGUAGUAGCGAGGAACGUGACAUUUCCGAGUUACCUUUGCAGAUCACAUCUCGUUAGCAGGACGGGUAGGUUUAUAGGUGCGGGUCGAACAUCCUUUGUGUUGUCUAGAUUCCGUGAGCCUCCCCAAUAGAAUAGUAGAUCAUCCUUAUUAAGGUUAGAACGAGACUACGGUUGCAGUCUUCUCUAUACAUCACUCACAUCGAGAGACAUUCUUUGUAGCCUAAAGGGAUAGUAGCAAUAAAUUUGGUUAGUCAGAUGCACCCUUUCUCCCAGUGGUAAAAAUAUAAAUACGAUACUCUGGAAAACCUCCGUGCGCUUGCGGAUCAUUUUCUAAUUGCGUUACCAAAUAUCAACAAAGAGAAAAAGCAUAGUAGAAAUUAUUAAGCUCAAGGAUGGGAUGGAUAGCUGAAUUAAGGGAUUGAAAUGUUUGGAAAUCGGCUAUUGAAACUUCCUUUCCUCGUCUGGGAGAUGAUUCCUUAUCUAUCUCUAAGAUUAUUCUAUGAAGACUAGUACAAGAAGGAUGUCCACGAAUGAAGACAUACCUUCCUUUACUAAUAGAUAAAGAAAGAAAGACUCUACCAAAGGGUAUAUGAUUAAGACCAAUGUGAAAAUAUCGAGAAAAACAUGGUCUUGUACGGCUAGGUUUAAACCAGAAUUUAUAGAAAAAUUAACAGAUUCCCUAGGUGUAGCUAAAAGUGCAUUAUCUUUUUUAUUAAAAGAUAGGACCUCGACUAUAGAAAAGGGUUGGUUUUGACCUAUUGCAAUCAACUCCGGACACAGAUCAUAAUUAGGGGAAGGACGUGUUGACUCCCAUGGUCUAUGGCUGGUCUCCGAAGGUGCAAAGAAUUUAAUAAUAGGUAUGGAAUUUGAGUUAUCCAUAAAGAUAAAAAAGAUAAAAGAAUAAAAGUAUAAAAGUAUAAUACAAGAUAAUAGCAAGAUUCAAAGUUAUCUCAGCAAACCGUCUUUCUCCCCGGCAACGGCGCCAGAAAUGCUUGUUGAUAUUUGGUAACGCAAUAAGGAAAUGAUCCGCAAGCGCACGGAUAUCGGUGAGCAUUUCACCCGAGAGGUUAUCCAGAGUUAUCGUAUUUAUAUUUUUACCACUAGGAGAAAGGGUGCAUCUGACUAACCAAAUCUAUUGCUACUAUCCCUUUAGGCUACAAAGAAUGUCUCUCGAUGUGAGUGAUAAAUAGAGAAGACUGCAACCGUAGUCUCCUUCUAUCCUUGGUAAGGAUGAUCUACUGUUCUAAUGGGGAGGCUAACGGAAUCUAGACACCACAAAGGAUGUUCAACCCGCACCUAUAAACCCUAACCUUCCUGCUAACGAGAUGUGAUCUACAAAGGUAACUUGAAAUUGUCACGUUCCUCACUACUACCACGGUCCAGCUAGUCAGCGAAUAUCUAUGAGUACCCCAGCCUAAACACCACGUUUACGCCAGCAAUGAUUACUCUAAACUCUACGCGAAGAGAUUAAAGUAAACUCAUAAACCAUAAGAACAAUAAAACAAGAACUUACUAGAAUUUAGAAGUCGAAUUACUGAAGAAUCCUAGGAGCAAGCUUCGGGUUAGGAGAACUUGAUCCCGCAGGUACAAGCUUGGAGUAAACACCGACAGGCCGGGCUUCCUCCAAUCUACACCUCCACUCUAUCUCUCUCAAUCUAGUAGAAACUAGAGGAUCUAUUUCUACCUUACAUUGGUUGCUAAGCCUAAAAAGAAAUAUUAAUUAGAGAAAAGGUUUUCCUUCGAGGGCACCCCUCAGUCUCUAUGAUAAUUUCUUCAUGUCUUCUCCAGGGGCCAGGGGGUCUCCUUAUAUAGUCCUCCCCUUCUUUGCGUUUUUGGGUUGAUAGGCGAGGUGGUACUAUGUUUUCCUUGAUCCAAUAGGUCGGUGGAACAUCCCGUGCGAAGAGAGUCCUGACUGGCAUCCAACAGGGGGCGGGCGCCCAGGUCACCAGGGCGGGCGCCCUGGGCCUGGCCCCUUUCGGCCUCCGCUUCCUUCCCGUGGCUUCUGGAGUCUUCUAUAUGGUAUAAAAUUACGCGGUGCGUUGAUAUCUCUAUGUAAUCCCGACAUGUGGGCCUUUCUUCCGUAUUUCCUAAUAACCCCCUGCAGAAAUAGACAAACACCAAAACUCGUGGAAUUCUGUCAGAUAAAACCCUAAGUCUAGAUGUUGAUUUCAUUUAGAUCCUUUUCUUUGUUUAUUUGAUAAAUAAAUUUAACACUUAAGGACCGUCAACAACCAACAUCUUGAGAAUGUUCAAAAGAAAGAAGCAAGUAUGUUGCCGAUGAAUGGUUCACAUGUUCAGCAGCGUUUGGAUCGCUGAUAUAGCACGCAGACGGAUCUGGUUCGCUUCUUCUAUCACUUUUGUAUCAUCAUUGGCAGAGCCUUUCACUGGCUUCAGCUUCUUAUUCAUCUGCAAAGCCGUGCGGGCUUGGAUGUUUCGCUCUUGCUCAAGAAGCUUGAUUGUGUCUGGCAGUUGGCUUUCUUCUUGUCGGGCUUGGGACAAGGCGUCUUCUACUUGCUUGAGUUCUGCCAACAGGGCUUCUCUUUUGGCCGAUAGAUCGGAGAUCUUGUGCUUCAAAGCAUCUCCUGAGGAUAUUAAAAUGCCGAUGUUCUUGUGCUUCUCAUCGGCAAGGAGCUUCACCUUCAUCAUUUCCUCGGAAAGCUGGGCAUGAACGGCUCUAUCGGCAAGACGUUGGGCAGCCCUCUGGUAUUGCAGCUGACGGCUCUCCAGAUGUGCAGCUUGGAAGAGGAUUUCUUCAGCAUCGGCAGGAAUUUGGCCUCUGAGGGCUUUGAACAAAGCCUUGGCUGGGUUGGAGUCGUCAACUAGUUGGGCUGUGUCUUGGUGAAGGAGGGCCGAUAAUUUGUCAAAGAACCGACCAAAUUAUAAGAGUUCAAGUGUAGAAACGAUCGACAAGCAAUCAAGUUUCCAAACUUGAGCCCAUAUAAUCCCGGUAGUCAAUUGAAAUCACGAAGGACUUCAAACCAACUUGCACAAACCAAGAUCGUAAUAAUUCAGCACAACACAGCGAAUGUUACAUACUCAUUCAUUGCCGUCGAAGCGGCACCACAUCGGAGUAUUAAGUUAUUACAACACUUGUUUGAAGUAGCGGAAGCAAAAUAGUUACACACACACUUUCCAAAGUUCAGUUCAUAAGUUCGAGUUACUGCCAGAGUCUACAUCAUCGUUUCAAAAGCAACAGGUAGGAGGUUGUUAGAGAACCGUGCCCAAUGGUUAGUCCUCAUCCCAGCGGGAUGGAGACAGGUCUUGCAGAAGCCGUCAUAAAAGAUGUCAUCUGCAACAGGUGGGAAAUAAACCCUGAGUACGAGAAUGUACUCAGCUAUACUUACCCGUCUAGUAAAACAUAAAGGCAUCAAGGAUCAUGCAAGGCUAAAAUCAAGUGGAGCUGGUUAGCUCAUCGUUUCCCAAAAGCUUACAUUGAAACUAAAUUAUUUUGAGAGCAUCAUAUUUAUUCGUCAUCAGCCUACCACUAGAUUAGCACCUGUACUACAACACAUCACUUGAUUAUUACAAACAAUAAUAACCAUAUCAAAUUCAUCAUAUGUUCUUCUUUGCUAUCAUCAUUAUCAUGAACCAAGUUCAUUAGUGAAUGCUACGUUUGCCGCUGCUCUGUCAAGUUCUCACUAACCGGGAGAGACGGCGAUUCGAAUCGAAUUCCUAUCCAGCGGGAGGGUUAUUCCUAGCACUCACCCAAGCAUCCCCCGUCGGAUAGCCAACGGGUCACCUUUGGUACAACUCAGGAAUCGUGGCUCCGAUCAGCGCCGCACUCCCAGGGCUACCACUCUGCCAGGGAGGUCAGGAAUUUUAACUCACCUGCCUUUGGGCUUACGCCAAUGGUCCCCCGCACACCGCACUUCCUCUGGUAGUGCGCACUUUAUACUUGCCGGUGUUCCGGCCUGAGUCAUACUACUCGGCUUCGCGGUCAGAACGAGUUAUCCGGUCAACUAAGUGUUAGGCAUGCGUUCAACAUGACAAGAGGACGUACAACGGUCGGUCCUUAGCUGCCACAGACGAAGUUACUACAACCUUGCAAAACUCCGCCCGGCUUAAGUCAAAUUAAUCAGGGUCCAUCCACGAUAGCACAUAUAGACCAUUGUGAUCCGACACAACCCUAUAUCGCGCAGGUGACAGGAAAUCACCCGACUUCUACCGCUUAAAGCAUGGCUAAGCUGCUACUCGAUCCUAACUCUAUAACCAGGGUGUGGUGAGUUAUCUGGACAAGGAUGGAGUAAAAUGCAGCAAGGGUGUCAUCACAACUCCUAUACUUAAUGCAUCAACAGAUAUAACAUAUUUAAGUAAACUUUCGAAAAUAAAGGGAGACUUAGAAUGCUCCGGGGCUUGCCUUUCACGAAUGAGGCAGGCUCGUGACUCGGGCACUCAACUUCUUCUUCGGGCUCCUCGAGUCCGACUUGCUGGACCUCCACCUCCGGGUUGCCCUCCUGGCCUUCGGGGUUCACUUGCAGAUCGAAGGAGGCUGCCACGUCCGAUGCACCUAUUGCAUGCUCGGUGAAUGAGAAGGUGUGCAUACAAAAGAAUGAAUGCUUAAACUCACUGGGCACUCAUUUAUGGAGCAAUAGCUAUAACAAGUUCACACAAGUUAACAAGUUAACUUAGCCCAAAACCUAUCAUGAUAGCCUAUAACAGCAAGCAUCAAACAGCAGGUUUAGCUCAGUAAACAGAUCAUAACUAUUGCCACAAAGAUCCAACAAAUUUAAGUGAGGACAUUCUGGAAAGGUUAUGAAAUUGUCUACAAAUCAUCUUUAAACAUUACAGCAAGAUUCAUAAGUUAAAGAAGCCAUUUAAACAAAGUUCCAGGUUCUGUCCUAGAAAAACAGAGAACACCUAUUUCUGGAACCUAACUUGGAAAGAUCAUAACUUCAAAACUACUGGACCAAAUGAUUCCAAAUUUAUACCACAGCUAGUUCAAUACGUUUACAACAACUUUGAUUUAGACAAGUUUCCCAGAAAACCAAGUUAUCAUUAAGCAAAAGUUAAAUUACUGCCUUGCUGUCCAGAACAGCUUUUAACCCUUUAAUUAAUUAUUUGAUGACAUAAUCAAAACAUAAACCAUGCCAGCCACAUGGCUUAUGAGCACAAGCAUAUCAUAAGACAACCAGAACAUCAGAUGAUAACCCUCAAACAUUUACUUAAUAAGGCAUUUAUUAAUUAAUUCUAGAAAGGAGCAUAAUUACAAGAUACUAGUCAAAGUGCUAAGAAAAUCUACAAAAAUUACAGAAGCACAAGUAUAACAUCAAAGCAUCACCAUAAAAAUUUCAGGGCAAUUGCACAUACCAAAUUAAAGAUAUGCAUUUAACAUAUGACAAGGUGUUUAUUUCAUAAAUUCAGAAACAUGACUUAUAUGAUGUCAAACAACAGAUUUCAGAUUAUUUACACAUUAUGAAUGUCAUAAACAAGUUUACCACCAAAGUAGAACACCAGAAUAAGCACCAAUUAUUUUAUAUGAUUUAAUCAAGGAAACAAGCCAAAUUUCAAUCAUAAAUUACAUAUCAAAGCUGCAGUACUCCAAAAAUCAUGAAAUAUUUAUCAAAGCACUCUAGUACCACACAGAGACUACCAUAAAAUUUUCAUGGCAAACUAAAUAGUAUAACCAGAGAUAUGAAUUUAUUUAUGAAUAACAAGAUUAAAUUCUUAAUAAAUAUUUUCCCAGGAAACAUGGUUCAUUUUAUAUUUUUACUAAAAAUUAGCCAUCUCAGGGAAUACCACAAAAUUGGUUUCACCAUUUUUGGAUCUCACAAACCCGAGAUCUGAUUUUUACCAGAAAGUUAAAAUCUGGAUUUGAAUAAAAGGAAGGAGGUGACCGUUGAGUCACUGGCAGACUGGACCCGCGCGUCAGUGACACCGAGAACAGAGGACUCCUUCGCCGGCAAAUGCUCGCCGACGGUGAGCUUCUCCGGCGGAUCCAAGGGCACCAACGUGCUCCUGGAGGGAUUCCGCAUCGAUGGAGGUAGGUGGUGCUAGGGUUUCGGCUACGGAGAGGGGUCGCCAUCGGCCAUGGCGGCACGGCGGAGCUACCCCGGCUUACGCCGGCCAUCUCCAACCGGUAGAGCAUCGGGAAAGGGUGGCUACAGCAUCAGUGAGUCAGCGCAGAGCUUUCGAGGUAGGAACGCCUAACCCUAACGGCUCCGGUGAGCCUGCUCACAUGCGAGGUGCUCGUCGGCGGUGAGCACGGCGGUGCGGCGGCCGUGUUCCCGCGUGACGGUGAGGUUUUAGCUGGAAUGGCGUGGUGUGGACCGACGCCAAAACCUAAGCAGAACCUAACGCUACCCAAAGAGAAGAAAGGAAGCAAGGGUGGAGCAGCGGCGAGGUUCGCCGGAAUCGGUGUCGCGACGGCCGCGAACCCGACGACGGAGAACUUGCGAAAUGCCGCUCACCUCGGGGAGAUCUCGUCCAACUGAUGGGUGGAGAAGAUGGAGGAGCUCGAGGCAGACUUGGAGGCGCUCGGAGGCGAAGCGAGACACAGAGGCGAGGGCGCGAAGAGCUUGCAAAGCUCUCGGCGGCAAUGGCGACGCCGUUUCCGCCAGAGCGAGCGCGAGAGAGAGGAAGGAGAAGAAUGGACGGGCGCUGAGUGAGUGCGGGGCGCCGUGGCGUCCGUUCCAAUGCCGUCGACCUGACGAGCGGGGCCAUCGCCGGCGUACGGGCGCCAUCUGGCGGACAGAUGUCGCGCUGGGCGUUCCCGACGGCGAGCUCCUUUCUGUAUCAGACCUCACGAUCACCGACUGAUAGAGCAACUUCGUCGAUGAUUAACUUCCAAACCAGUGCGAAUUAGGAGAUGAUGCAUUUGACAAAGUUGGAGUUCCAAUCGAGCUCUACAACAUUGUCAACUAGAGCAAGAGCCAUAUCGGUCUGCAUUGAGAGAUAUAGAGUUUUCAAAACCGAUCAAGCAAACUGGUUUCGUUCCAGGACUUAGAAAAUUUCCUAAGUGUUGGAUACAGCCCCAAAUCUGCCUUGUGGGUCAAUUUUGAGCUAGAUGUGAUCAUUUUCAUGAGAUGGCCAUAAAACAACUUUUGUUCUUAUAAAAUUUGCUACAACUUUGCUGUAGAAAGUUUUGACAUGCAAACAUUUUAUGAAACACUUUUUAAAAGCCUAAGCAAAAGAGGUUUCUAGGGCCUAUUUGCAUAAGUAUGUCUUAAGUGAUUAUUUUGGAGAAGUGAUCAACAUGAACAUUGUUCCCAAGGUUAAGUUAAGCAUAGAUAAACUAAUUACCAAGGCAUAGAGCACAAACACAAGCAUGGUUCACUCAAACAUAAGCAUAGGAAGCCUAUUUAAGCAAUUUAGAUCACCUUUUUGCAUAGAAUGACAUGGCUCAAGAUAGAUGAUGAUCAUGAUAUGCUUUGAGUAGAUGAUGAUGCUCAUGCUAUGCACAUGAUUAAUGCAACCAUAACACUAGGGUGUUACAGCCCUCCCCCCUUACAAAAAUCUCGUCCCGAGAUUUGAAAGCUUACUGAUUUUCGAAGAAUGUUUUGUAAACUUCUUUUAAAUAAUCCUCCAUCUCCCAAGUGGCAUCUUCCUCCCCGUGGUUACUCCACAACACCUUGUAGAGCUUAACCACACGAUUACGAGUCUCCCAUUCCUUGCGAUCGAGAACCGCUAUGGGUUUUUCUUCAUACACCAAGUCUGACUUCAACUUGAUAUCUCGAACUUCCACUUGUUCCUCCGGUACACGAAGGCACUUCUUUAACUGUGAUACGUGGAAAACAGGGAAAAUAGCUCGAAGCGCAACUGGGAGUUGAACUUUGUAGGCCACAUUCCCUUUCUUUUCGAGAAUCUGAUAAGGUCCCACAUAACGAGGUGCAAGCUUUCGCUUGACUCCGAACCUUUGUACACCCUUCAUCGGAGACACCUUGAUAUACACAUGGUCACCAACUAAAAACUCAAUCGGCUUCCUUCUUUUGUCGGCAUAACUUUUCUGACGAGCUUGAGCAGCUUCCAGAUGUUGCUGGAUGGUACGGACUUGUUGCUCUGCUUCGUUCACGAAAUCGAUGCCAUAAUACCUUCGCUCUCCGGCUUCUACCCAAUUCAAUGGGGUUCGACACUUUCGACCGUACAGGGCUUCAAAUGGAGCCAUCUUGAUACUCUCCUGAUAACUAUUGUUGUAGGAGAACUCAGCUAAUGGCAACCACUUAACCCAAGAACCUUUUGAAGAGAGAGCACAUGCCCUCAACAUGUCUUCUAGGAUUUGGUUAACCCGUUCAGUUUGACCAGCCGUUUGGGGAUGAUAAGCAGAGCUACAGACUAAAUGAGUACCAAUCUGCUCAUGUAGACAUUCCCAAAAACAAGUAGUGAACUGUGGUCCACGAUCUGAUACAAUAGUUCGAGGCACACCAUACUGACGAACAAUGUGCUCGAAGUACAAUUCUGCAUAUUGAUGUGGACGAUAGUCAGUUCGAACUGGAAUAAAUCGAGCAACCUUGGUCAAACGAUCUACAAUCACCCAGAUGGAGUCGUAACCCUUAACAGAAAUUGGGAGUCCAACGAUGAAAUCCAUGCUGACUUCUUCCCAUUUCCAACCAGGAAUUGACAAGGGUUGAAGUAAACCAGCUUUCAUGUGAACAGCCUUCACACGACAACAAUUAUCACAACGAGCGACAAAAGCAGCGAUCUCCUAUUUCAUCUUUGUCCACCAAAACAAAGGUUUCAGAUCCUGACACAUCUUGCUACUACUAGGAUGGAUAGACAAUUUGGAUGAAUGAGCUUCAGACAAGAUCUGAUUUCGUAGUUCACGGUCUUUUGGAACCACUAGCCGAUCUUUGAACCAAAGAAUUCCGUUCUCAUCGAGCCGGAAAUGCUUGGUUUCUUCUUCCUUCAUUUUCCUCUUUAUAUGGUGGAUGCCUACAUCUGUUUGCUGCAAUUCGAUGACUCGAUUGCGAAGAGUACUCUCCAGAGAAAUCUGGUUGAGCACAAGUGGAUGCAUAAGAUGUGACAACAACGGAUCUUCCACUUGGAUUGAGUGACAGUGCGCUUUCCGACUCAAGGCAUCCGCCACCACGUUCGCCUUGCCCGGAUGAUAGUGCACUUGUAGAUUAUAAUCAUUAAUCAACUCAAGCCACCUUCGCUGCCGCAUGUUCAGUUCCGGUUGAGUGAAGAUAUACUUGAGGCUCUUAUGAUCGGUGUAGAUAUUACACAGAUUACCCAGCAAAUAAUGCCUCCAGAUUUUCAAAGCAUGAACAACUGCUGCCAAUUCUAAGUCAUGAGUAGGGUAAUUGACCUCAUGCUUUCGAAGUUGGCGCGAGGCAUACGCGAUAACGCGACCUUCCUGCAUCAACACGCAGCCUAGACCGAUGCCUGACGCGUCACAAAAGACAUCGAAGGGCCUUUCGAUAUCAGGUUGAGCUAGGACAGGAGCUGAUGUCAGCAAUGUCCUCAACUUGUGGAAUGCCUCUUCACAUUCAGGCGUCCACACAAACCUCUCAUCUUUCUGAAGUAGCCGAGUCAUAGGCUUGGAUAUUUUUGAGAAUUCGGGAAUGAAUCGACGAUAAUAUCCAGCCAGACCAAGAAAACUCCGAACCUCGUGUACCGAAGUUGGAACUUUCCAAUCCAGCACUUCUUGCACCUUGGCUGGGUCCACCGAUAUGCCUUCUUCAGAUAAGACAUGGCCCAAGAAAGGUACUUUCUUCAGCCAAAACUCGCAUUUGCUAAACUUGGCAUAAAGCUGAUGUUCGCGCAAACGCGACAACACGAUACGCAGAUGCUCUGCAUGCUCCUCUUCAUUGCAGGAAUAUACCAAGAUAUCAUCAAUGAAGACCACCACAAACUUGUCCAAUUCAGGCAUGAACACCGAAUUCAUGAGAUACAUGAAGUGAGCAGGUGCAUUUGUAAGACCGAAGGACAUGACGAGAUACUCAUAUAACCCGUACCUUGUCGAGAAAGCUGUCUUAGGCACAUCUUCAGGACGGAUCUUGAUCUAAUGAUACCCAGAUCGCAAAUCAAUCUUGGAGAAUACCUUAGCUUUAGACAACUGAUCAAACAAGAUAUCAAUGCGAGGAAGAGGGUAUUUGUUCUUGAUGGUUACCGCAUUUAAGGGACGAUAGUCCACACACAUGCGCAAGGAUUGAUCCUUCUUCUUCACAAAGAUAGCCAGACAACCCCACGGAGACGAACUAGGACGGAUAAGACCCUUCUUCAACAACUCAUUCAACUGGGUCUUAAGCUCAGCUAGCUCACUGGGUGGCAUUCUAUAAGGUCUUCUAGAGAUAGGAGCGGUACCUGGAAUCAACUCAAUUUUGAACUCCACAUCCUGAUCCGGAGGAAGCCCGGGUAAAUCAUCAGAAAAUACAUUCGGGAACUCACACACCACCGGAAUGUCCUGAAUAGCCUUAGAUGUAACUGCAUUCACAGUGCUACGGAUUUGAAUAUCACGAGGGAGUUGCACUAGAAAUGCCUCCUUGGUAUUUGGGUCUUUCAACAUCACUACACGAGUGGUGGUGUCGAUAAGAACUCCAUUGCCACUCAUUCACUUCAUCCCCAGAAUUACAUCUAUGCCCACACCUGGUAGUACAACCAAAUCAGCAAGAAACUGACGGCCUCCUAUUUCCAGAGUUGCCCCCAAAACCACUUGAUUGGUGGAAAUAUCAUUUCCCGCAGCACUAAUACAAUAACUACUCUUAUCAAGUGUAAUUGUCUUGAUAUUAUGCUUAGACACAAAUUCGGAACUCACAAAAGAAUGCGAUGCUCCUGAAUCAAAAAGCACAAGUGCGUCACAUUGAUUGACCAGAAACUUACCUGCCGUGACUACCUCACCAGCAGGGAUGGCCUCCACGGUUGUGUAGUGAACACGCCCCUGACGGAUGUUCCCUUGGUUGCCCUUCUUUGGCGGGUAAGGACAGUUGCUCUGCCAAUACCCGGUCUGAUUGCAGGUCCAGCACGGACGGUUGGCAGGUGGAGUCUUGGCAUAGCUGGGACCCGUGUUGCCCCUAGGAAGAGCAAUAGAGUACCCCUUGUGGAAACCCGUCUUCGCCUGAUUCUUCUUCACCGGAGGGCGGUACCGCUGGUUAGGCGUUGGAGCACGGAACGGUGGCUUAGCUGCCACUGGAGCCUUGGACUGAGAUGACCCUGCUCUGGCCUCAAAAGCCCUCUUGUGAGUCUUGGUCGCAGUGUACACAGUGUUAUAGUUCUCUUGAGUGAGGGCAUCACUGACAAACUCAUUGAAAGUUGCACACUUAGUGCGGCCCAUAGUCUUCAGCAACUUGGGGCCCAAACCCCUCUUGAAACUAGCAAUCUUUUUCGCCUCAGUGUUCACAAACUCAGGAGCAUACCUAGACAAAUGAUUGAAAGCAUGCAAACACUCCUUCAAAGUUUUGUUGCCCUGAGUUAACUGCAUAAACUCCGUAUGCUUCAUCUCCAUGACACCGUGUCGGCACACCAUGCCCUGAGGAAUGAAAUGCCCUUUAAAAGCAUCACGGAAAAGAUUCCAGUCAAGCACAGUGUCGGCUGGAAGAGCUUCCCGAUACUAAUUCCACCAGAUGCCUGCCGGUCCUUGCAGUUGAUGAGCUGCAUACUCUGCCUUCAAACCUUCAGUCAACCGAAGCAAGCGGAACUUUUGUUCCGCCAUGUUUAGCCAUUCUUCAGCUUGAAGGGGUUCUUCAACUUCUCUGAAAGGUGGGGGCUUUGUAUCCAUGAAGUCCUUGAAGCUACUGUAUUGGUUAGGAGCUGGCCCUUCGUGUGCAUUACGACCACCCUGAUUCGCCAUCCGAUUGAUGGUCUCAGUGAGCAUCCUCUGAUUUUCCACCAUCAGUUGCAUUAACUCAGCAGGAUUUGGUGGUGGAGGAGGAGGGGGUGGAUUCAUGUUUGCACGCUGUUCUGCACCUCGGGUGCCAUGAGACAUCUGUAAAGACACAGUCAGUGAGCAUUGAUGAUGACAAGAUUUGUCGCAGAAGAACUUAUAUUUAUGCCUGAAAGUAUUCGAGAGAAUAGCUUUAUAGAAAAGGCACAAUAAUUCAAUUUCACAUAACAACAUCACCAAUCCAACACAUGACAGAGAUAUCCGCAAUAUGCACCACAACGGAAAACAUCGUCAUACAUAACGAACGUGUCAAGAUUACACAUUGGGUCCACAAAGUUAUUACACCAUCCCAGUACAUGCCAUGAGUCAAGGUCAAAGUUCCGGAUUACAACAUGGGUACAACAGCACCACGGCUGACUGGCAUACUCCAAAAGAUCCUCACAUAACACUACCCACUACUCCCUACACUCCAGGCUCGUCGUCCGAGUCAGCAUCGAAGAUCGCCUCUCCAUCCUCGUCGCUAACCGGCUCAAGCUCCUCGUCCUCCAUGUCCUCGUGCAAAGGUGGUGCAGCCGCUGCUGGUCCAUCGACCUCCAUACCAUCAUCAUCGGCCACAACCACCUGAGGUCCCACCUCUGGAUACAUGGGUAUAGGGCGAGGAAUAGGGUGUAGCAAGUUGUUGAGACGGUGAAUCUCCACAAGACCAGGCUCAAUCUGAUCCUGCAGAUAGUUCUCCCGCUCAAGCGACUGAACUCGGUGCAUCUCCCAUGCUCGGCGCCUGUUCUCCGACACGCGGAGUGCAGUGUCCCUCUCACGAGUGAUCUGCACCAAGCGCUCCUGUAAGGUCUCCCUCUCUCUAGCUAACUGACUCAUCUGAUCCUGCUUAUGAUCACUCUCUAAUGGCCUUCACCCACUGCUGCCUACGGUACUCCGCAAUGUCUUCCCAGUCAUUGCGGUCCUUCUGAGCUUGCUCCAGGAGUCUAGCUUGCUUGCCAAACUUGCGAGCACGCUUUUCAGCCUUCCGUUGCAUCUCCUAAGCCUGGCGAACAGCCACCACCACCUGUGCACAGGUGUCCUCUCGCUGACUGAUCAGCUUGAGCACAGCCAUCACAGCACUCAUAGCAGGACUAGAACUCUCAGCUCUCUCUCCCCAGCCUCGUACCAAGGCACAACCAUCAGCCUGUUUCCACUCCGCUGCUGCUGGGUCAGCACGGGGAAUGGAGGCCGUUGGUCCUCCUGUCAGCUCAUCGCCACACCUCUAACAGAUAUCGAGCAGGAUAGUUUGGGCUGCAACCUGACCUGCCUCCCAAGGAGUCUGCCCAACGGAGCUACAAGUCCAGCCUGUCCAUGCAGGCUUGUCCCCAUGUGGAGGGACAACUCCCUGCACAGCAAACCACUGUAUCCCUCCUGUGCUCUCCAACUCCCACCAAGAAUACUGAGGUGGCUCAGUAUACCCGACAGUCUGUAACACUCUCCAGAGCAGGGUAGGAGUGCCAAACUCGCUCAAGAAAGUGUCACUGGGACGGGGUGAAGCGGGUGCAUCCAUCUGUGGAAAGGAAUAGGAAUACCAUGGGUAAAAGAGGAUUAGUUUAAGCAACAUUUAUUUAAGUAAAAGGGAUGAAAUUGUAAGGGAAGGAGUAUACAGAAUGUAUGUAUGAAUGCGACAUGAUGCAUGCACAAACCGUACGUCCUCACAAACUUAGAAAAUUAAUAUUCUAACGGAUAUACGGUGGCAUACAUUCGUCUCUCGAUACGAUAACUAUCGAUUUACACGUACGCUGUUAAAGUACCUGCAGAAAACUUCAUUUCAGCCCAACAGUUCCCAAUAUAUCACUCAAGAAAGCAGUAAACUAAGUUCACAUUGCUUGGACAUGCCCAACAUGCACAAACAAUGACACCACAGCUACCCGAGAAAUUAAAUGCUCCCCAAUUAAGUUUCUUUCGUGGUUCCAUGGUUUUGACAUGUAACCACUCCAGAAAACCACCACGAACACUCCUCUAGACCGCCGUUUGGACGACCAUGCUCUCACAGCUCACACUUACCAGAUCGUAGGUGCGACGUUGCAAAAUUUAAAUCUAGCGACAUAUGUGGCUAAUUCACAUAUGAAGGCUACCUCCACCAUUAGACCACAGGGUAGCAUAGUGCGGUCAUCACACAUCCAUACCUGAGUACUGCCGGAGUUGCAUAAAUAAAACCCCCCAAGUCAGUACUUAAAUAGCCACCUAUAGUCCUUAUGUGGGCAAGGAGGAUUCGACCACUGGCAUAACUUAAAUAUUGAUUUGCACCAUUUUAUUUAAAAACUCUUUUGUUUUUAAAUACACAAAUGCUGCAUUUAUAAUGCUGAACUUGCUCCGAUGCUAGCUGUCACAGAACCGACCAAAUUAUAAUAGUUUAAGUGUAGAAACGAUCGACAAGCAAUCAAGUUUCCAAACUUGAGCCCAUAUAAUCCCGGUAGUCAAUUGAAAUCACGAAGGACUUGAAACCAACUUGCACAAACUAAGAUCGUAAUAAUUCAGCACAACACAACGAAUGUUACAUAGUCAUUCAUUGCCGUCGAAGCGGCACCACAUCGGAGUAUUAAGUUAUUACAACACUUGUUCGAAGUAGCGGAAGCAAAAUAGUUACACACACUUUCCAAAGUUCAGUUCAUAAGUUUGAGUUACUGCCAGAGUCUACAUCAUCCUUUCAAAAGCAACAGGUACGAGGUUGUUAGAGAACCGUGCCCAACGGUUAGUCCUCAUCCCCAGCGGGAUGGAGACAGGUCUUGCAGAAGCCAUCAUAAAAGAUGUCAUCUGCAACAGGUGGGAAAUAAACCCUGAGUACGAGAAUGUACUCAGCUAGACUUACCCGUCUAGUAAAACAUAAAAGACACCAAGGAUCAUGCAAGGCUAAAAUCAAGUGGAGCUGGUUAACUCAUCAUUUGCCAAAAGCUUACAUUGAAACUAAAUUAUUUUGAGAGCAUCAUAUUUAUUCGUCAUCAGCCUACCACUAUAUUAGCACCUGUACUACAACACAUCACUUGAUUAUUACAAACAAUAAUAACCAUAUCAAAUUCAUCAUAUGUUCUUCUUUGCUAUCAUCAUUAUCAUGAACCAAGUUCAUUAGUGAAUGCUACGUUUGCCGCUGCUCUGUCAAGUUCUCACUAACCAGGAGAGACGGCGAUUCGAAUCGAAUUCCUAUCCAGCUGGAGGGUUAUUCGUAGCACUCACCCAAGCAUCCCCCGUCGGAGAGCCAACGGGUCACCUUUGGUACGACUUAGGAAUCGCGGCUCCGAUCAGCGCCGCACUCCUAGGGCUACCACUCUGCCAGGGAGGUCAGGAAUUUUAACUCACCUGCCUUUGGACUUACGCCAAUGGUCCCCCACACACCGCACUUCCUCCGGUAGUGCACACUUUAUACUUGCCGGUCUUCCGGUCUGAGUCAUACUACUCGGCUUCGCGGUCGGAACGAGUUAUCCGGCCAACUAAGUGUUAGGCAUGCGUUCAACAUGAUAAGAGGACGUACAAUGGUCGGUCCUUAGCUGCCACAGACGGAGUUACUACAACCUUGCAAAACUCCGCCCGGCUUAAGUCAAAUUAAUCAGGGUCCAUCCACGAUAGCACAUAUAGACCAUCGUGAUCCGACACAACCCUAUAUCGUGCAGGUGACAGGAAAUCACCCAACUUCUACCGCUUAAAGCAUGGCUAAGCUGCUACUCGAUCCUAACUCUAUAACCAGGGUGUGGUGAGUUAUCUGGACAAGGAUGGAGUAAAAUGCAGCAAGGGUGUCAUCACAACACCUAUACUUAAUGCAUCAAUAGAUAUAACAUAUUUAAGUAAACUUUCGAAAAUAAAGGGAGACUUAGAAUGCUCCGGGGCUUGCCUUUCACGAACGAGGCUGGCUCGUGACUCGGGCACUCAACUUCUUCUUCGGGCUCCUCGAGUCCGACUUGCUGGACCUCCACCUCCGGGUUGCCCUCCUGGACUUCGGGGUUCACUUGCAGAUCGAAGGAGGCUGCCACGUCCGAUGCACCUAUUGCAUGCUCGGUGAAUGAGAAGGUGUGCAUACAAAAGAAUGAAUGCUUAAGUUCACUGGGCACUCAUUUACGAAGCAAUAGCUAUAACAAGUUCACACAAGUUAACAAGUUAACUUAGCCCAAUACUAUCAUGAUAGCCUAUAACAGCAAGCAUCAAACAGCAGGAUUAGCUCAGUAAACAGAUCAUAACUAUUGCCACAAAGAUCCAACAAAUUUAACUGAGGAGAUUCUGGAAAGCUUAUGAAAUUGUCUACAAAUCAUCUUUAAACAUUACAGCAAGAUUCAUAAGUUAAAAAAGCCAUUUAAACAAAGUUCCAGGUUUUGUCCCACAAAAACAGAGAACACCUAUUUCUGGAACCUAACUUGGAAAGAUCAUAACUUCAAAACUACUAGACCAAAUGAUUCCAAAUUUAAACCACAGCUAGUUCAAUAAGUUUACAACAACUUUGAUUUAGACAAGUUUCCCAGAAAACCAAGUUAUCAUUAAGAAAAAGUUAAAUUACUCCCUUGCUGUCCAGAACAGCUUUUAACCCUUUAAUUAAUUAUUUGAUGACAUAAUCAAAACAUAAACCAUGCCAGCCACAUGGCUUAUGAGCACAAGCAUAUCAUAAGACAACCAGAACAUCAGAUGAUAACCCUCAAACAUUUACUUAAUAAGGCAUUUAUUAACUAAUUCUAGAAAGGAGCAUAAUUACAAGAUACCAGUCAAAGUGCUCAGAAAAAUCUACAAAAAUGACAGAAGCAUAAGUAUAACAUCAAAGCAUCACCAUAAAAAUUUCAGGGCAAUUGCACAUACCAAAUUAACGAUAUGCAUUUAACAUAUGACAAGGUGUUUAUUUCAUAAAUUCAGAAACAUGACUUAUAUGAUGUCAAACAACAGAUUUCAGAUUAUUAACACAUUAUGAAUGUCAUAAACAAGUUUACCACCAAAGUAGAACACCAGCAUAAGCACCAAUUAUUUUAUAUGAUUUAAUCAAGGAAACAAGCCAAAUUUCAAUCAUAAAUUACAUAUCAAAGCUGUAGUACUCCAAAAAUCAUGAAAUAUUUAUCAAAGCACUCUAGUACCACACAGAGACUACCAUAAAAUUGUCAUGGCAAACUAAACAGUAUAACCAGAGAUAUGAAUUUAUUCAUGAAUAACAAGAUUAAACUCUUAAUAAAUAUUUUCCCAGACAACAUGGUUCAUUUUAUAUUUUUAUUAAAAACUAGCCAUCUCAGGGAAUACCACAAAAUUGGUUUCACAAUUUUUGGAUCUCAGAAACCGGAGAUAUGAUUUUUACAAGAAAGCCAAAAAUCUGGAUUUGAAUAAAAGGAAGGAGGUGACCGUUGAGUCACUGGCAGACGGGACCCGCGCGUCAGUGACACUGAGAACAGAGGACUCCUUCGACGGCAAAUGCUCGCCGACGGUGAGCUUCUCCGGCGGAUCCAAGGGCACCAACAUGCUCGUGGAGGGAUUCCCCAUCGAUGGUGGUAGGUGGUCCUAGGGUUUCGGCUACGGAGAGGGGUCGCCGUCGGCCAUGGCGGCACGGCGGAGCUUCCCCGGCUUACGUCGGCCACCUCCGGCCGGUAGAGCGUCGGGGAAGGGUGGCUACAGCAUCAGUGAGUCAGCGCGGAGCUUUCGAGGUAGGAACGCCUAACCCUAGCAGCUCCGGUGAGCCUGCUCACGUGCGAGGUGCUCGUCGGCGGUGAGCACAGCGGUGCGCCAACCAUGUUCCCACGCGACGGUGAGUUUUUAGCCAGAAUGGCAUGGUGUGGACCGACGCCAAGACCUAAGCAGAACCUAACGCUACCCAAAGAGAAGAAAGGAAGCAAGGGUGGAGCAGCGGCGAGGUUCGCCGGAAUCGGUGUCGCGACGGCUGCGAACCCGACGACGGAGAACUUGCGAAAUGCCGCUCACCUCGGGGAGAUCUCGUCCAACUGAUGGGUGGAGAAGAUAGAGGAGCUCGAGGCGGACUUGGAGGCGCUCGAAGGUGAAGUGAGACGCAGAGGAGAGGGCGCGAAGAGCUUGCGAAGCUCUCGGCGUCAAUGGCGACGCCGUUUCCGCCAGAGCGAGCGCGAGAGAGAGGAAGGAGGAGAAUGGACGGGUGCUGAGUGAGUGUGGGGCGCCGUGGCGUCCAUGCCAACGCCGUCGACCUGACGAGUGGGGCCAUCGCUGGCGUACGGGCGCCAUCUGGCGGACAGAUGUCGCGCUGGGCGUUCCCGACGGCGAGCUCCUUUCUGAAUCAGACCUCGCGAUCACUGACGGACAGAGCAACUUCGUCGAUGAUUAACUUCCAAACCAGAGCGAAUUAGGAGAUGAUGCAGUUGACAAAGUUGGAGUUCCAAUCGAGCUCUACAACAUUGUCAACUAGAGCAAGAGCCAGAUCGGUCUGGAUUGAGAGAUAUAGAGUUUUCAAAACCGAUCAAGCAAACUGGUUUCGUUCCAGGACUUAGAAAAUUUCCUAAGUGUUGGAAACAGCCCCAAAUCUGCCUUGUGGAUCAAGUUUGAGCUAGAUGUGGUUAUUGUAAUGAGAUGGCCAUAAAACAACUUUUGUUCCUUAUAAAAUUUUCUACAACUUUGCUGUAGAAAGUUUUGACAUACAAACAUUUUAUGAAACACUUUUUAAAAGCCUAAGCAAAAGAGGUUUCUAGGGCCUAUUUGCAUAAGUAUGUCUUAAGUGAUUAUUUUGGAGAAGUGAUCAACUUGAACAUUGUUCCCAAGGUUAAGUUAAGCAUAGAUAAACUAAUUACCAAGGCAUAGAGCACAAACACAAGCAUGGUUCACUCAAACAUAAGCAUAGGAAGCCUAUUUAAGCAAUUUAGAUCACCUUUUUGCAUAGAAUGACAUGGCUCAAGAUAGAUGAUGAUCAUGAUAUGCUUUGAGUAGAUGAUGAUGCUCAUGCUAUGCACAUGAUUAAUGAAACCAUAACACUGGGGUGUUACAUAAUUCUUCCAAUUUUGCCCUGAUUUCUGCCGAUGUGAUCCCGACUGCCCGAGAACAGCUUGCUUCCUCACCUUCAUCUUCGGAGAUGUCGAUGGCGAAAGAGAACAAACUGUCGGGAGAGUCCUGCUCCUCAAAAGAGAUAAAACGAGUUAUUCUAUGGUCAGGUAUUGAUAAAUGAUACAGACAGGGAUUGGAUGACUUACUUGUUUCAGGGCAAUCUCUCGCCUCUGACUGAAGAUGCCGAUGGAACCAUAGGUUGAUCGGCUGGGGUUGCCAAUGGAACUAUGUCGGCUGAAAGAAUAACAGAGAUAAUUGUAAGCCAGAGGAAAUGGUUCAUCGGCAAUGAUUUCAUAGAAAGUGUGUUACCUCGAGGGGAAGCAAUACUUGUCUGGAUGGAAGAAACUACCGAUGCUAUAAUUGAGCCCGCUGGAUCGGCAGUUUGCUCAUGCACCUCAGCCGAUGUGUCUUCUGGCUAAGGAACUUCUGGUUGGGGUUCUUCUGGUUGGAGUUCUUCCACUUGGGGUGCUUCUUGCAAGUGAAGAGGAGAUGGUACUUGUUGCGGAUGGACGUCUGGAGAGGAAGGAGAAGACUCCACUGGGAUUGGAGACACUGGGGGAGGAGAAGGUGUUGCUGUCUUUUGGCACUUUGCUUGUGCUCUAGUACUCUUGGCACCUUUUCACUUCGACUGACUAGACUGGGGGGCAUCGGCACUUUUGCUUCUGGUCCUUGCCGAUGCGCCGGUGUGCUGAUACAGAGAGGGAAAUUUGUGAGUACAAGUGUAACCGAUGUAAGAAUGAGAUCGGUAUGAAAGAGUUUGAAGAUAUACCUUGAAAGCCUGUGCCAAAGUAGAGGCAGCUACCGAUGGAGAUGUCUUAGUCCUCUUGGUAGUGACUUUCUUGAGGCAUACGCCUUGAUGCAUGAUGGCAGCCAAAGUGGGAGCGUUGUUGCCGAUUGAAGAGAUUGGACCUGAAGGAAAUAGAUCAAUCGGCUUACCACUCCUGCUGACCGAUGGGGGGACAUUGUCGACCUGUGAUACAAUAUGGAAAGUAAGCUACCGAUAGAAGUAAAAGUGAAAGAAUUGAGACAUCGGUUUGGAAGUACUUACAGUAUUAUCGGGGACUUUGUACUGGGGGUCAAUCAUGCCGCGGUACGUAAGAGCCGAUUUGCAGAACAAAUGCUCCUUCCAUUCUUCCCACCAUUGUUUGUACGCCUGAGUGAUGAAGAGGGCUGGGAUCCACUCUGAUAAAUCUGCAUCUGUAUCGGCACUCGGCGGCAGUUGAGCUACUCGGGUCCACUCAAGAAGGCUAGUGAUGGUCUCCCUGGGUUUUAUCACAUCGACACAACAAAGAGCAAUCGGUAGCUGACCAAAAGCUAGUUGAUGGGCUAGUGCCGAUGGGUUGUAGAACUCAUAAGUCUGGUUGGAAGCUUUCCCACAGCCAAAGAAAUUUACUGGUAUAACUCUGGGAGUGAUCAGUGCCAUCAUCACAUCAUGAUCCUUGUUGAGAGCGUCAUUGAAUGGAUGGAAAACCAAAGGAAACAUGGUAUGUGGAUCUUCAUAAGGCAUCCACGCUCGCUGCUCUCUGGUCAGGCCUUCAUACAAGGUUUGGAAGAAUCGGCUGACCUGAUCUGCGUUGCCGCCAGUGCCAGGCCGAACUAUGACAGCCUCGCCAAAGUUCAGAGGAGGGCGAGUUGACGAUUCUUCUUCAUCUAAUUUAUAAUCCUCGGCUAUGUCCCUGGGGAAGCGUUGUGAGAAGAGGUUGAACUCAAGACGCUUGUUUAUAUGGAGACUGAGCCACAUAUUGAUAAACCACCAGGGGCCCGCUAGGUUGCCGAUGGAUUGACCAAGUAGGAGUUUUCUGGCUACUUGGUGGAGGAGGUGGUAAACUGAGCCAAGCAGGUAUCGGCCGAGGGGAAAUCGGCCACCAUUAGCUAACCUCUCUGCUGCCCAUAGGUAGACAGAGGUUGGUCCUGCCGAUCGACCGCAGAACACGAAUUUGUCCAGCAACAUAUUCAGGAAGGUGGUUUGCUCUUUUAUGUUAACAGGCCCCGUUCUACGAUACUUCUGAAUGUAUCGAGACCAGCCGCCGAUAGCACAGGUUUCCACUUUGGCGCUAGGCGUGGUGUCGAACAAGUGACUGCUAUCAGCAGUGGAUACAUCUAAGCCGGUGAGCAUAAGCACAUCGGCAAGAGUAGGAGAAGCAGGGCCGUGACCAAAGACAAAGGCAUUGAGUUUGUCUGACCAGAAAUAUGAUGCAGCUAUCAGCAGUGACUCAUUCCUAUGCACAUCGGCAAUGGACAAUCUGAUGCAUUGGUCUAAUUUUCUCUCACCCCACUGGACUUCGUUUGUGUGGCUAACUCUCAAAAACCAAUCCUUCCAUCCCACGGUAGGACUGGGCCAGGAACGGGAAGUAUCCUUCCACAGAUCUAGAGAAAAAUUCUUGGCUCUAAAGGGGAUUCUGUUUGUUUCUGCGUUAAUAAGAUCGGUGGGAUCUGGAUCCCCUAACGGACCAAGACAUUGGAGAUGUGGCUGAUCGGUAGGGAUGACAAUUUUAUUGGACAGAUCCUAAUGGUUUUGAGGGUAAAAAGAAGAACAAAAAAAAGAAGAAUGUUCAGUAAAAUAAAUUGCGGAUGAACAGAGAUAUGGCAAAAAGUACAAGGAGUAGGGUGAUGAACUGACCUCGGAAACAGCGAAGUUGAUGGCCAUCUCCUUGCAAACAAGGGGAUCGAAGACUUUGAGGUUGGUCAAGAAAGGGCUUCGUUGGAGUUCCUGAAGCUCCCAAAAGGCGUCGCCGCUAGAAGAAUGGAGUUGGGGCUGUAGAAUGAUGUGAUAGGGAAGGAGUACCCGAGAAGGAACUAUUUAUAGGACAAAGUGGGCAAGGGUAAAUCUGACUUAUCACUUCGCCGUAUCCAUGAAAUCCGAGGAUACUUAGGAAAAUGGUAACUGUUCGCACGGUAAUCAAGGGAUUGAGAAGGUGAUUUGACAGGAAGUGGUCGUGAUCUAGAGAUAUUUUACUGUGCGAGAUUUCCUGGUCGGUCCAUCGGCAGCGUUUUGUAACAGUAAUAUUGCCGAUGGGUGACUAAAGUGGAGAUGUUCGUUUGGGAGGUUGAGGAUUUCGAGGAAUCUGCGGAGGAAUCGGAUCAGGGUUGUUCAGUGUAAGGCUAUCGGUUACCAAAUUGGGAGAAUUAAUUGCGGAAAGGCAUCAUUACUGCAGAGAAUUUCGCAGCAUUAAUGAUUUCAUACUCCAAAAUUGGGGGGGCAUGUGUUGACACCGUUUUUGGGCACGUAUCCAUGAUCGGUAGAGUGUAGGUUGGCAAGAUAAGGCGGUAAUACUUGGUCUGCAGGAUAAGUUGCCGAUGAGGAUGGGUGCCGAUGAAGAGACAGCUGAAUGUGACCAAGUCCAUAAGUGGUGAUGUGUUUGUGCUGAUGCUCCGGGUUAAUCUGUGCCGAUGGCUACAAUGAGGAAGUCUGCCGAUGAUACGGAGGAAGAGCCUGAAGGUUGCCGAUUGACCUGUGGAGGUGUCCCAGUUUGUCACGGGAGGAUAGUUUUGUGUUUUCCUUAGUUAUUUAGAUCGUUUUGUAUACGGAUUCUGUUUAAUUUGGAAUUCGAGUUCUAGUCGUGUCUGGUUCUAGCUCUUCGAGCCGGGUAUAAAUGUAGACCCUGGGGUUUUGUAAUGGAUCUAUCAAUCAAUUAAUCAAGCACAAGCUUUUACUCAUAUUCCAGUAUUUACUUUUUCGAUGACUUCAUCAUAUUUUCCUUUUUCAUUACGAGUUCUUAGGAGUUCGUCGACUUAAGCUCGGCGUAUUCUCAAGUUCCGCGUGAAUACCUCUUGGCCGUGGCAUCCGGGCGCAUCACUGUUGUCGGGACCAAAGUAUUCGAGUUAUCACCUUUGCCGAUAGUGAGGUCAAAUCGGCUGGCACGCCUUAACGUUUGAAUCGGGUAUUAGCCCUUUGUGUUUGCAGAUCAUCUUUUGCAUCAACAACAUCCAAAAUUUGCUCUCAAGCCAAAAAUCUGUGUUGUUUCUACACUUAGCCGAAUUUGGCUAAGUCUAGGAAUUGGCAGUUUCGACAUAGGGUGAUUGGGAGCCUUGUAGAUUGAAAUCCAGACCGAGUUAGGCUUUGAUCUUGUAAGCAAACAUGUAGAACUCGUGUAGCACUGUCCAAAGGAUCAAGUUUGAGCCAAAACCACUGAGUGAGCUGAGAGUAAAUCGCCGGUGAACUUUCAGUUUCAGACACGGUCGACGACGACUGAAUCGCGCGAUUCAGUUUCGUCAGUCGCCGGCCGGCCGACGCGUGAACGACCCGUGGCGGCCGUACGUCGACGGCGACCCCGCCUGUCAGCCCCGACGCCUUCACCUGGACGCCAUGACGCCACCCCGUGCCUCAGACGCGACACCCACUCCACCAGAGCCUCCCAUUUCGCUCCGCCAUCGCCUCGGUGAGCUCCGCCGCGUUCCGGCGAGCUUCUCCGGCCGUUCCACCGCGCCUCCGGCCAAGCCAGCCCGCCCAGAGCUCUGCCUCGACGUUCUCUACCUCGGCGUCACCUUCUUGGCCUCUGUCGAGCACAGGUGAGACGGCAUUGCCGAGCUCCGAGCUGUUCUCCCUCGCCGGAGUUCCGCCCGAGCUCACCGGCAACGUGGCCAGGCCUCUCGGCUCCACCAUUUUCCUUCAAUCUUGUUCCUAUCGCUGCCCCUUGGCUCACUGAUGCUCGGCGUGAAGCUCUACCACGUCGCCAUUGCCUAGAUCCGCUGGCGUAACGUCGCGCAGCGCCGCCGCUCCACCAUUCCCGACGGCGAGCACCCUAGAGUCCAGUAGAGCGCGGGUAAAGUAGGUCAACAGAGUCGCCUUGAUGAGAGGAACACGUAGAUGCCCUUGGAUCCGGCCAAGACCUCGUCGUCGCUGAGCUUCGCCGGCGACGAGCAUCUCCCCUGUCUCUGUCUCUCUGACGCACGGGUCCCGGGUGUCAGCCUCUCCCUCUCACACCCCUGGUUUACUGUUUUGCAGAUCCAGUGUUGAUUUUGAAAAAUUUAUAUCUCGAGUUUUAUAGAUCCAAAUGACAUGGUUCCAGUUUUGCUGAGCUCUGGUAGUCAUCUAGUUUUUAAUAAAAAUACAAAACAUGCCAUGUUUUGUGGAAAUAAUUAGAUACAAAUUAAUCUUGGAUUUUUACGGGGUAAUUAUAUCUGAAGAUCUGUUGAUCUGUUGGCCAUGCAAAUUUAGGGUGUUGUUACUAAUGAUAUGAAUAGGCUCUGAUAAAUUUAUCAUGAUUUUUGGAUGAAUGAUUGUGAAGUUAUAAAUAUUUCUUGUUCAAAUAGGAGUUUCUUGUGGUAUUUUUAAUAAAUAAAUUAUGACUCCUUUGGUGGUGAAAUUUGCUAAGUGUUGUACUCAUGUGUAGAUAAAGCUAGGAAAAAUCUGAAAUCUGUUGUUUGGCACUUUUUGAUAAGGUUUCACAUUUAUGCCUUGCAUGCCUUUGUUAGCUUGUUAUUUUUGUAUCUCACAAACUGUAUGUUCAAGUGCCCUGAAAAUGUUACAGUAAACUUGUGUUAGCAUAGGUAGCUUGCUGUAAUUUUCUUAGGAAUUUUGGAGCACUUGGAAUGCAUGUUCAUUAAAUCACAUUAAUAAUUAAAUAAAUGAAAAAGGUGAUGAUAGAAAUGAGUUUAGACCUUGCCAUGAUGUUUUCUAGUGGUUCCUAGACAUGUUCUACCCAUUGGUGCAUUUGGAUUGACCCUUUGAUACAUUCUUGUUAUGUGCAAAAUAUUAUUUUUGCUAUUUAUGCCUUUCCUAGAGCAAUUCUGUGUAGCUGAUAGCAAAUGCUUAAGAACUAAUUAAAGAUCAUAUUUUCUGGGAAACUUGUCUACAACAAACUUGUAGCUAACUUGCUUAUCCACUUCGUGUCCAAAUUUCAUGACAUUUGGUUGAGUAGUUUACAAGUUAUGAAUAUUACAUGUAGCUGCUGCAAAGUGCUUCCUCUCUGGAUUUUCCAGAACAGCCAGCCAACUUUGUAUGUUUUAGCAUAUUUCGGUUGGGAAUCUUUCUGGGAUGUCUAAACGUGAAUUGUAGACAAUUUUAUAAGAUUUCCAGAGAGUAUCUACUUGCUUAGUUUAGCUAACUGAUGCUUAAGUUAUGGCUGAAACUUGUGACAGGUUGGUUUGUCUACUAAACCAGUGACUGAGUAGGAGUAGCUAGGAUUGUUUGACUUGUCUAGUUAGCCUCUCUACCAGAGAAGAAGUAUGCACUUACUUGUUAUUACAUGAUUCACUUAAUCUUAAGAGUUAUGUUCAUGAUUAUACCAUGUUUAUGCUCCUUAGGCUCUUCAUAAUGACAUCAUGCAUCAUAUAUGCAUUCCCUAUAGUUAUGUCCUUGUCAUGCAUACAUAGGUGUACCCAAGGGCGUGACCGUGUUGGAGUUCGAGCUGCCGGAGUCGGAAGGACAGCAAGGGGAGCUACCUCAAGGAGCUGAGGAGGAGGAGGACUUGCCGGAGUGCCCUGAUCACCGUCCCUCUACUUACGUCGAAGGCAAGCCCCGGAGCAUUAUAAGCCUCCUACUAUUUUGUUAUCAUGAUCAGCUAUCAAUUGACUAUGGUUAUGUAUUGUUGCAUUAAGUGUUAGGCAUUGAUAUGACACCCUUGCUGCAUAAUGACUACCUUGUCCACCUCAUACCUUACCUGAGUAGGUCCAGGAUCGAAAUGAUGCUUAGCCACGCUUAGCUCGGUACAAGCCGGGUGAUUUCCUGUCACCUGCGAGAGAUAGGUGGAUGCUGAUCACGGUUGGCUAUAUUUGCUAUCGUGGAAAUAACCAUGUGCUAUCAAUGAACUUGAGACCGGGCGGGAUGACGAUAGUGCAGCAACAAGGCAUGGAGGUCUUGGGUGUGAAUCUAUCCCCGUCUGUGUCGUUUAAGGACCGUAUCGCUGUACGUCCCCGUGUCAUGUUGAACGCAUGCCUAUCACUUAGCUGGCCGGAUAAGUCGUUCCGACCGCGAAGCCUACGAGUGCAACUCAGGCCGGAUACCCCGUUCUGUAUGAGUACGCACCCCGGUUGGUAGUAAGUAUGUGCGGGGAGUCAAUGGCGUAAGUCCGAGGUGUCAGGUUAGAGUCCUGACCUUGGCAGAUUGGCGGUCCCUGGGGGUGCGGCGCUGGAUGGACGUGCGAAUUGGUCCGGAGUUGUGCUAAAGGUGAUCCGAGCUGCCCUCAUGAAGUAUGCUUGGGCGAGUGUUAGGAAUACUCCUCCAGCUAGAUAGGAAUCGAUUCGAAUCGCCGUCUCUCCCGGAUAGUGAGAACUUGACUUGGGCAACGGCAACGUAGAAUUCACUAAAUAAACGUAAUGGUUAUGAUGAGAAUGAUGAUAGCUAUGUGAAAAUCUAGAUAUGGUUAUUAUUGUGAUGCUUAAAUACUCAAGUGUAUGCUUAGAUUAGGUGCUAAUCUAGUGGAUAGUUGUUAAGUAAUGAACCUGCUGCUGAAAUAUGAUAAAUGGGUUACUUACAACAAAGGCUUCUUAUGCAAAAAGGUGAGUCAAACCAGUCCACAAAGAUCAGCCUUGCAUACACCUUGGUGUCACUUUAUUUUGGUUUAAGACGGGUAAGUCUAGCUGAGUACCUUCUCGUACUCAGGGUUUUAUUUACCCCUGUUGCAGAUGAUGUCGUGUAUCACGGCUACUACGCUAACUGCCAUCAUCCGGCUGCGGACGAUGAAUAGAUCAUGGGCAUGAUCACCUUCUCUAUCUUCAGUUGCGCUUUUGUUGGGACUUGACCACGGAACUGACAUGUAAUAUAAACUGAGUUUGUGUUGUUUUGAAACUACUUUGUUUCCGCUACUACUAUGGUUUGUAAUAACCACUUUUAAACUCUGAUGUGAUGUAAAACUAUAUUCUGUGAUGAAUGUGUGUAAUCUAUGAUGGUGAUGCUUGAUCAUGUACGAUCUUGGUUGUAUGUUGGUUAAAUCGAGGUCUUUUGAGAUUUCGUCGGACUACCGGGUUUAUAUGGGUUCAAGUCCAUUGGCUUGACUGCCUCCGUGGUCGCUAAUUCACUUGAAUUCUUAUAAAUUGGACGGUUCUGUUACAACAUGUGUAUGCAGGACACUAGGGUUUUGUUGACGGUCCUUAAUGCUCACAUUUAACCAUCAACUAAUCAUGGAAAAGGAUCCAAAUGCAACCAACACCUAGACUUAGGGUUUUAUCUGACAGAAUUCCAUGAGUUUUGGUGUUUGUCUAUUUCUGCACGGGGUUAUCAGGAAAUACGGAAGAAAGGCCCACACGUCAGGUUUACAUAGAGAUAUUAACGUGCCGCGUAAUUUUCUACCAUCUAGAAGAAUCCAGAAGCCGCAGGAACGAACGGGAAGGCGAUCGGGCACGGAGGCAGGCCGCCCGCCCUACUCUCCUGGGCGCCCGCCCUGCUACAGUGCCCAAUCAGGGUCAACUUCGCGGAUCGUGCUCCACCGACUUUAAGGAUUGAGGAAAAUCACACGAUUAAGGUCGGUUUGAUCGGAUGGUGGAGAAUAACGUGGAAAUUCCUUGGGAGCUACUCUUCCUAGAUUUCUUGGGGGCUACUCUUCUUGGACUAUAUAAGCAGACCCCCACCAGCCCCUGGAGGCAUACCUCUUCUAUAGAAUCAAAGUUAGGGUUUCAAUUCUUCAUUCAAGUAGAGAGGAUCCCUCUAGUUCUUCUAGUUCUACCUCUAGUUCAUCUAGAUCUAGUUCUAGUUCAUCUAGUUCUAGUUCUAGUUCCUCUAGUUCUAGUUCUAGUUAGUUCUAGUUGUAAUCUAGAAAAUAGGGAGAGAGAAGAGGAGAGUGGAGGAGGAGCCGGAUCUGUCGGAUCUUCCUCAACAUUGUACUUUUGCAGCAACUGGUUCGUUCUUCAUCGUUCUCCAGGUUCUUCAACUCAUAAUUCCUGAGUUCUUUAAUUACUUUUAUUUACAUUCAAGUUAUUUAUUGGAUUCCCGCUUGCAUCAAGUGCUCUAAUCUUUGAAACAUUAGAGUAGUAAUUAAUAGAUUAGACGUGGUGUUUAGUCUUGCAAUUACCUGGAAUUGCACCCAAUCCUGCGGAUUGUUGUGGUAGCCUUAGGGUAGUGACAGCCCUAACGGUCGACGUAUUCCACCUCGUUCGGAUCGGUGUUUGUAGGACCGUAGUCGGAGCUUCCUAGCCCCCUUCUCAUCUCUUUCUGUGGUUAGUGUUCUGAUGUCCUGAAAUAGAUAAUCUUGAAGUAAUUCUUGAUUCUUAGAUCAACUAGAGAACUCUCAGGAAACUUCCUCUCUUCCCACCAAAAACAAUUAUAUAGUUAUCCUUGGGCGUUCUUGAUUCUUAAUUAGUACACUCAUGUUCUCUGUGGAAAAUUGAUACUCUGGAAUACUCCCGGGUGAAGGCUACAUCGGUAUCCGCGCGCUUGCGGAUUUUUCUGUUUGCGUUUAAAAUACCCAACAAGCUUUCUGGCGCCGUUGCCGGAGAACGGUAGCUGUGCUAGUAUCGAACCAAGUCGUCCGUGUAUCCUUUUUCUUUUCCUUUUCACCACACCACAUGGAUUUCACUCUAAGCAUUAAUGAGCAUGGAAUUUAUUUCAUAGCCACUUCAUUUACUCCAUGCUCAUAUGCAACAUCUUCACAAUCCAUUGGUCUCUCCAACAUCACCACAUUCGAGAUCUCCAACCCCCUCUUCCUUUCUAUUUAUAAAAAACUUUAAAAGGGCGGUUGUCGAUGCAUAUGUUUAUAAUAAAUUUUGCAGAUCUCGUUGAGUUGAUCUUGAUAUAGGUCAGCGUUGGAGGGGAAACCACUUCACUGACAUAAAUUGAUGGUUUCCCAAGGACAAGCUUAGUGUCCUAAAAUAAAGCACUGAUUAGAUUGUAACAUGAGCUUUUAAUUAUUUGCAACAUUGCCUUGUGUAUUGAGCAUAUAAAGAUAAUUGUAGAAAAAUUCCUUUGGGUAUUCUUGUCACUAACCUUUCCAGGAUUGGAGCAAGAAGAUCGGAUGAAUGACAAGCACAAGGUAUGUCCAACCAAUCAUCAUACAACAUUGAAUUAAAUUCAUCCAAACUUGAAUUUUGCAAAAUUCAAGCUUGGGGAAGUACUUUACAUAAAAACAUCCUUUGCCAUAUUGCUAUGUUGGUUGUCCCUACCUUUGAGACAUGCUCAAAUUGUUAAAUACUAAUCACACUACUUUAUCUCCACUUGAGUAGAUCUUUAUAAAUGCUCUCAUGCUACCUUUAUUUGCUUUAGUAUAUGUCUAUGUUUGGAGUAGUUUCAUUUAUCUCUUAAUUAAGCAUGGUGCUUAGUUUAGGGCUGAUGAUCUUACUUCCAAGGGUUUUUAAAUUAAGCAUGGUGCUUAGGUUAAAAUGCCCUCCUAAAUCAAAUUAGACAUGGUGUCUAGGUUGAUUUUUGAGCCGAUAGUAUGCUAUAGUAGAUAUGGGAUAUUUUGUUGGACUAACUCCUACAGGAAAACUUUCAAUAUCAACCUGGGAAGUCCUGAGGUAAACUCACAUUGGGGACAAAGAUAGAGACACAUGAAGUUUAACAAUUUGCACGAGGAAGGCAUAGCUCACAACAGAUGAUCCAUGGAGGGUGCCACAAACACGAUGCACAACCGCUAAGAGAGGAAAGCUUCCACAAGGUGAUACUAUACCAUCACUCUUCAAGUAAGGUAAUACCUUAAGGUACUUGACUAUCACUUUUAUAAGUUUCUCCUUGGUUCUAGCGUUCACAUGAAUAAAAAGACAAACAUGUAUGAUUUACAACUCUAGAUUAACCAACCCAAUAGAUUCAACAUGUUUAGUCCUUCCACCUUUGUGAUCCCACACUCCUAAUCUUAUGAACUAAAAUGUUGCACACUCAAUCUUUGGAAGAUAUAUUUUGUAAAAAAACAACAUAAAUAUAGAUAGAUUAUCUUUCCAUUAGGUUGAGCGAUCUGAACUGACAAAUGUUUUUAAUGUUACACUCAUGAUCUUAUUAUCCAUCAACUUUAUCUUGCUCACUAUGCUUAAGGUUAGAGAGAAUAAAUACACUUUUGGUUCUGUUGGUGUUUUCCACCAACAGAGCCCAUGCACUUGAUCUCUGCCUUGUCUCUAUGAGCAGGUACACUUCAAGCAAACUAUGAAGGACUUUUACAACUCGCAGACUCCACCAAGAGAAGAACCUGGAUCUACGAGCACAAACACAUUGGAGAUACUGGACACUCAGGCAAUCACUGCCCUGAGAUGCUCGAGGACGUAACUUCUAGAGUAACCCUGUUGUGGAAGUAAUUACUGACCUUCUGCCGAUCAAGAGAGGCGAUCCAGGAUGUCCCGUCAUCCCGAUCUCCAUCGGCAUGGUGGACUUCCCAGAAGCACUCUGCGACUUUGGCUUCAGCGUCAACAUUAUGCCCAGGGUACUCUAUGAAAAAUUCUUUACACAUCCUUUAUUAGAAACAACCAUGUGUUUGCAGCUUGCAGAUCGUACGCUAAGUUUCCCAAAGAGAAUAAUGAAUAUCCUCUGCAUCCAAGAUGGUACCUUGUACGCCCCAGCAGACUUCGCGGUGAUAGAGACUGGUACUGAUGAGAGGGCACCCAUCAUCCUAGGGAGGCCAUUUCUGAACACCUCGGGAGCUGUCAUCUACGCUAGUGCUGCCAAGAUCAGUUUCUACAUCAAGGGGAAGAAGGAGACGUUUUCAUUCAAGAACAAGAUUACACAAAUCUCAGAGCAAUCAAGACAUGAACCAAUGAAGAGGACCAACAGGAGGAACAGAAACAAGUAAAUGUGGACCGAGUCAGCUAAGAUGGUCACUCCAGUUCAAGGAGGUUAAGAUCGUCAACUCAAGUCGCCUUUCUUGAUCAAGAAGGACGACCCUGGUGUUUCAAGCAUCGAGUGCACAAUCAACGAAUAUUCCUUUCAGAAGACACUCUACGACACCGGAUCUGACUUCAACAUAAUGGCCGCAGUCACCUAUCAGCUCCUGUUCGGAACCAUGCCCCUAAAACCGACAUACAUUCAGCUCCAGAUAGCAUAUCAGACAUUCCAAAAGGUUGAAGGUUAUUGACAUGGGAGAAGACGAGUACGAUUCACCCAUCAUCCUUGCGAGACCAUUCCUCAGCACCGUUAAAGCAAUCAUCUACAUUGGAACCGGAGAAGUCCACAUGCAUUUGCCCUCUGAGAAGGUACACCACUAUUCCACUGAUCCUAACUAUAUCAUUGAAGACUCUAAGAAGGUCAGGACAAGAAGAAGACGCCGCAACCGCAACCAGAAGAGGCAAAUCAUCAAGGAUGGAUGGGCAGACUAUGAAGGAGAAGUAGUAAGGUCUGAAGACUUACAGCUUGAACAGAACUGUCCUGAGGAGACCGUAGCACCGAGUCAGGUGUGGAGAGAGAAGAUAGUUAUACAUGAAGAGCAGGCGUCGCCGGAAUCAUAGACUACGCCACUCAACGAAUCCCAGGACAACAGAAAAAACGGAGAGUCUCGUUCGGAGGACUUAAAAACACCGAACGCCUUGCCAAGAGCUUUGUUGUCUUUUUGAGCUCCACAGAAUUCAAGGAUCAAAGAAGACUAGCAGACGGAGGACAUCCUAAUCGCUGUCAGGGUGCUGCCAACAUUCAAAUACACCUCCGCCACCUGCUAGCUACAUCAGAAGGAAUUACGUCAAAACCCAGCUUGGGGGAGGGCAACCCCAUUUACCCAGCUAAGUGCUCUACUCAUGUUUAUACUUUACUCAAAUAAUAAAAAGAUGCAUAAUCAUAAAACCCCAAAUAAAGAUUUUGUGCUUAUAUAUAUAUAUAUAUAUCUUUGCUUAGUUUGCUAAAUAAAUAAAUAAAUAAAGUUUGCUAUGAACCCUCAUGAUAAGCUCUCACAUGGAAAUGAUGAAUAGUUGCUCAGCCACGACUAAUUCUCAAAAUUGAAAUCUCUCUCAAGUUUAGGCAUGACUGUUAUUAAUUAAGAUUUGCUCUAAACCUGAAUUUGUGGGAAGAGUACUUGAUCUAUAGUCUAAGUCGUUAACGGAUAUGAUAUGGGAAGGUUGAGCUGUUGUUUAUCUGUUCCUAGAGAUGCUAGAAUUCUAGAGAAUUUUAUCUUUGAAAAUCUUUAAAAUGUUGCAUGAUGAGUUCCUGUAUGAUGAGAGUUUAAAUUCCUACCACAGCCAUAUAUACAUGCUUGCUCGACUUUGAGCCACACAUUUACUUUUUACUGCUUAUGAGCACUCAGUGUGGUCAAGCUGUGUAGACCCUUAGGAGCUUGUCAUGUGGUUAAAAUCAAGAUUCACUUGCACGUUCACUCAUACAUGCUGCUUCUACUCAGGAAGUACCAUCCACAUAUAUCCAUUUCCAUCUCCAGAACCACCCAAAAAUAUUCUACUCCUAAUCCGAGAGAGAAUAGCCAAAAAUAUUUCUAUUUUUCCCCUGUGAAAUAAAUGCUCAAGUUAUCUUGUUACUACUACUUGCUAUAUUAUCUCAUGAGAUGAGUGCUCUAAAAAAAGAGAGAAAAAAAGUAUACGAGGAAAUAAAAAGGGGCAAGUGCCCGGAACCUCGAAAGAAAAGAAAAAGUGAGACGAGAGGUAAAAAUGGACAAGUGUCCGACAGUAGAAUUAGGGGUACAAGAUACCUACCUGAGAGGAAAGAAAAAAAUAUAGAGCAUCUCAUUCUCCUCAAAAAGUUUCAAAAGAGCAAGAAAGGAAUGUAUCCCCUCAAAAGAGCAUAAGUAGAAUUAGACUUUCACCAUUGUUAUCACCAUCAUCACCAUUAUCACCAUUCAUUCGCCACACAUGCACAUCUUGAUUUGACUUAUUGACUUGUUCUUCUGGAUCCAUGGUUUGACUAUGCAAUAAAUGUCUUGUAAGUAUAUAUACUUUAUCUCCCAUCUAUGAGCUCCAGAUAUCAUAACCUUAUUAGAGUAGGGUGAGAGAGAAGGCAAUGCCACUAUGCCUUAUACCACAAAUACCACAAACUUUGAGAGAAGGUAUACACCAUUACUGCCUUGGUAAGGAUCCAGAAAUACUACAAAAGAGAGACUAGAGAGAGUCAUACAUGGAAUCUCUGAGUUUUAAUUGAAAAUCUGCAAAAACUCCAGAGCUAUAGUUAAUCAAAGAACAAGAGACAUAGCGCUUGAUUAGACCGUUCUAUCUUUUAACUACUCAAGACAGAAGUGACGGUUACAAACCCCAUGGUGAAGUAAGUUUUAAGUCUUAAUAGUUUACUCUAACCCAGAGAUGAUAUCUUGUUUGAAUGCAUGUGUACCUUUAAGGCAUGAAACCACUGCAAAAACUCUUGAGUCCAUCUUUGCUCAGGGACGAGCAAAGGUUAAGCUUGGGGGAGCUUGUUGACGGUCCUUAAUGCUCACAUUUAACCAUCAACUAAUCAUGGAAAAGGAUCCAAAUGCAACCAACACCUAGACUUAGGGUUUUAUCUGACAGAAUUCCACGAGUUUUGGUGUUUGUCUAUUUCUGCAGGGGGUUAUCAGGAAAUACAGAAGAAAGGCCCACACGUCGGGUUUACAUAGAGAUAUUAACAUGCCGCUUAAUUUUCUACCAUCUAGAAGAAUCCAGAAGCCACGGGAACGAACGGGAAGGCGAUCGGGCUCGGAGGCAGGGCGCCCGCCCUACUCUCCUGGGCGCCCGCCCUGCUACAGUGCCCAAUCAGGGUCAACUUCGUGGAUCAUGCUCCACCGACUCUAAGGAUCGAGGAAAAUCACACGAUUAAGGUCGGUUUGAUCGGAUGGUGGAGAAUAACGUGGAAAUUCCUUAGGAGCUACUCUUCCUAGAUUUCUUGGGGGCUACUCUUCUUGGACUAUAUAAGCAGACCCCCACCAGCCCCUGGAGGCAUACCUCUUCUACAGAAUCAAUGUUAGGGUUUCAAUUCUUCAUCCAAGUAGAGAGGAUCCCUCUAGUUCUUCUAGUUCUACAUCUAGUUCAUCUAGAUCUAGUUCUAGUUCAUCUAGUUCUAGUUCUAGUUCCUCUAGUUCUAGUUCUAGUUAGUUCUAGUUGUAAUCUAGAAAAUAGGGAGAGAGAAGAGUAGAGCGGAGGAGGGGCCGGAUCUGUCAGAUCUUCCUCAACAUUGUACUUUUGCAGCAACUGGUUCAUUCUUCAUCGUUCUCCAGGUUCUUCAACUCAUAAUUCCUGAGUUCUUUAAUUACUUUUAUUUACAUUCAAGUUAUUUAUUGGAUUUCCGCUUGCAUCAAGUGCUCUAAUCUUUGAAACAUUAGAGUAGUAAUUAAUAGAUUAGACAUGGUGUUUAGUCUUGCAAUUACCUAGAAUUGCACCCAAUCAUGCGGAUUGUUGCGGUAGCCUUAGGGUAGUGACAGCCCUAACGGUCGACCUAUUCCACCUCGUUCGGAUCGGUGUUUGUAGGACCGUAGUCGGAGCUUCCUAGCCCCCUUCUCAUCUCUUUCUGUGGUUAGUGUUCUGAUGUCCCAAAAUAGAUAAUCUUGAAGUAAUUCUUGAUUCUUAGAUCAACUAGAGAACUCUCAGGAAACUUCCUCUCUUCCCACCAAAAACAAUUAUAUAGUUAUCGUUGGGCGAUCUUGAUUCUUAAUUAGUACACUCACGUUCCCUGUAGAAAAUCGAUACUCUGGAAUACUCCCAGGUGAAGGCUACAUCGGUAUCCGUGCGCUUGCGGAUUUUUCCGUUUGCGUUUAAAAUACCCAACAGGUUUGAGCCGCCAAAAUCAAAGAAUUGAAGGCACAUUUAAUUCAAAUACAGAAGUGCAUCAAAAUGCAAUUGGAUUCAAACUCAGAAGGCCGAGGAGCAUCGUCUGGGCUUUGGGCCUGGGCCAACGGAGCCAGCCAGGGGGCGGGCGCCCCCUAGGGUCGGCCGACCCUGGCCUGGCCCUGCUCCCCACCGCCUUUUGCAGAGGCGGUGCAUGCGAAGCACUAGCGCGGUUCCCGGCUGCAUUUUGCAGUUUACCCCCUCCCAAACCGACCUUCCACACCUAUAUAAGGAGGGGGAGAGGGCCUCUCAUUCAUGAUCAUUCAAUCCAUUCAAGCUUCAAGUCCACAAGAAUAAAGAGAGAUACAAGAGUAGUAGUAGAGAGGCGGAGCUUCCACUCAUAUCCUUAGUCUCUAGUUAGGAAUAGAAUAGGAGAGUGAGUUAGAGUGUAGAGUAAGAGAAGUAGCAAGCACCCGGUCCAUUCCCCUAGUUGCACUGGGCGGAAGGGCCGAAGUGCUGCCCGCUUCCCGAGCUGUCCUCUACAACCUGGAAUACCAUAUUGGGGUAAGAAAAGGUUGUAUUCUUCUUUUGUUCUAAGAAGUUAUUGAGUAAUCGUUAUCGUGUUCUUAUAAUCUUGCGGGUUCGUUGUCUAUCUCUCGGUAGAUACUCUAGUAGAGGGACUCUUGCUGGCUGGCGGGAGGACCUGCGCAACACUAAAGUAGUAGCUAAUAACGUAGACGUGGUGUCUAGGUUAGAGGUUACCCUCGUUUGCCUCGUAUCCCAUGGUUGAGGGGUCGGCAGCAGGUGAUGACAGCCCUGUUUGUCCAUAGUUUCCCCCACGUCUAGAUAUGGCGUAGAGCUACACGCCGGUAUUACCUGGCAGACCAGGUACGCUCCGGUGCCCGAAGUAAGAUUAGAAAAGCACGUUGCCUUGCACAAAACUUCUACCAUUAGGCUGUCUCCAAUAGGAGACCCAAACCCAAAAUGGGUCUCCAACACAAUACCUAUAGCCUCCAACAGAGUACCCAUACAGAAAACCCAUUUUAGGUAUCAGGAGAGGCAUAACCCAAAUUUGGGUAUUCUCUCUCCUCGAGACCCAUUUGCAGAGAGUGUUUUCUUUUAGGUCUCGUUGCUGGAGAAGACUAAAAAUAGGUAUGGAACCUUGUACCUGUAGCGCUACCCAAAGGAUAAAUGAGUCUUUAUUUUGGGUGAUGAUUGUUGGAGAUAGUCUUAGGAGAACCUCACUACCUAAGUCAUCCCUCUCACUUUACUCUAGGGUACACUUAGUUUAUGUCUCAAAACACCUCCGUUCCCUGUGAAAUCUCGAUACCCUGAAUACCACUGGGUGAAGUGCUACAACGGUACUUCCGUGCGCUUACGGAUAAUUGGCUGCAUCACUAAGAAAUACCAACAACUAGUCCCCAAACUCUUAUGCAUUCGCUCCCAGAAAUGAGCGAUGAACUGCGGUCCUCUAUCUGAUAUGAUGGUCUUGGGAAUACCAUGCAGCUUGACAAUCCCGGCUAGAUAUAGAUCAGCGUACUCGGGAGGUCUGUAACGAGUCUUAACAGGAAUGAAAUGAGCCGACUUGGUCAAUCGAUCUAUGAUUACCCAAAUCGAGUCAUUCCCCUUUCGUGUUGUCAGUAAACCUGUGAUAAAGUCCAUACUGACCUCUUCCCAUUUCCACUCUGGAACUGACAACGGUUGCAACAGACCCGCAGGUUUCAUAUGUAUAGCCUUGACUCUGCAACACGUGCCACAACGGGCCACAUGUGCUGCUAUCUCCUUCUUCAUUUUGGUCCACCAAAAGUGAGACCUUAGAUCUUGAUACAUCUUACUCCUGCCAGGAUGAAUAGAAAGCUUGGAAAGAUGUGCUUCAUCCAUGAUGCGAUUCUUCAAUUCUCGAUUCUUCGGAACUACCAGCCGGUGCUGAAACCACAAUCCCCCUUUUUCAUCAACUCGGAACUGAGUCUUUGGGUCGUCUUUGAUCUUUUCUUAGAUGUGGAAAAUACCCUUGUCCGUUUUCUGACCUUCGAUGACUUGACUUUCAAGUGAACAACUGAGCUGUAUGUGACAUAAGACUUCAGGAUGCAUGAGAUUGAAACCAUCUUCAAACAACAGUUGAACCACUUGAUAGUGCGGUUUGUGACUCGAAGCGUCUGCUACCACAUUAGCCUUGCCCGGAUGAUAAUGGACUUCCAGAUCGUAAUCCUUGAUCAGCUCUAACCAUCUUCGUUGCCUCAUAUUCAGCUCGGACUGAGUGAAGAUGUAUUUCAGACAUUUAUUGUCUGUGUAGAUAUGACACUUGUUUCCCAGCAAAUAGUGCCUCCAGAUCUUCAAAGCGUGCAACACUGCUGCUAACUCGAGGUCGUGAGUUGGGUAGUUAACUUCAUGCUUUCUCAACUGUCGUGAAGCAUAAGCUAUAACUCUGCCGUCUUGCAUCAGCACACAUCCUAAACCACUUUUCGAUGCGUCGCAAAACACAUCAAAAGGCUUCUCGAUAUUGGGUUACGCUAAAACGGGAGCGGUGGUUAGCAACAUUCGCAAGGUGCGGAAGGCUAGUUCACACCCUUCUGUCCAGACAAACUUAUGAUCCUUUUGUAGCAAACUGUUCAUUGGCUUAGCAAUCUUGGAAAAGUCGGGUAUGAAACGACGGUAAUACCUGGCUAGGCCAAGAAAGCUUCGAACUUCCGAGAUAGAAGUUGGUGCCUUCCAGUCCAUGACUUCCUAUACCUUUGACGGAUCCACAGCAAUCCCUUCUUCAGACAGAAUAUGCCCUAGGAAAGGAACUUUCUUCAGCCAGAACUCACACUUGCUGAACUUUGCAUACAACUGAUGCUCUCGCAGUCGUGUUAGCACAACUCUUAGAUGCUCGGCGUGAUCUUACUGAUUCUCUGAAUAAACCAAAAUGUCAUCGAUGAACACCACCACAAACUUGUCUAACUCUGGCAUAAAGAUGGAGUUCAUCAGAUACAUAAAGUAUGCAGGAGCAUUUGUCAACCCAAAGGACAUGACAAGAUACUCAUACAACCCAUAUCUGGUGGAAAAAGCAGUCUUCGGGAUAUCUUGCGGGCGAAUCUUUAUUUGGUGAUACCCGGACCUCAAAUCUAUCUUGGAAAACACUUUGGCCUUGGACAACUGAUCAAACAAUAUAUCAAUCCUUGGCAAUGGAUACUUAUUUUUGAUUGUCACCGCAUUGAGUGGACGAUAGUCCACGCACAUACGUAACGAUUGAUCCUUCUUUUUCACAAACAACGCCGGACAACCCCAUUCCGACGAACUUGGCCGGAUAAACCCUUUAUCCAGCAACUCCUUUAGUUGAUUCUUCAAUUCAGCAAGCUCAUUAGGCGGCAUCCUGUACGGCCUCCUAGAUAUCGGUGCGGUACCUGGUAUUAACUCUAUUGCAAACUCUACUUCCCUGUCUGGGGAAGUCCUGGCAAUUCCUCACGGAAAACAUCAGGAAACUCACAGACCACUGGGAUCUAUGGCAGAGGAACCACGUCCGUAGCACAAGAGAUGCUAGCAAAGGCAAAGCGAUGGGGCAGAGGUACUUGAAAAGAUACACUGCCCUGGGGUUCUCUGAGAGAUAACACCCUCUUCCCAGUAUCAAUAACAGCAUCCCACUCUUUCAUCUAGUUCAUGCCCAUGAUAAGAUCCAAAACUAACCCAGGCAUGACUACCAGAUUAACAAGAAACACCCUGUUACUUAUAUCUAGGGUUGCCCCUCGAACCACUCUAUUUGUCAACACAUCUGCCCCUACUGAGCUGAUGCGAUAGCCAUAACCCAGAUCUGUAACUGCUUGGUCAUGCUUUUGUGCAGAUACUUGGCUCAUGAAUGAAUGCGAUGAUCCAGAAUCAAACAAAACAACUGCAAGAUGUUGGUUGACAGAAAACAUACGAGCUGUUACCGGUUCUCCUUCCGAGAUCUCCUCAAUCGAGGUAUGGUGCACUUGAGCUGGGUAGGUCGUCUGCUGCCUCUUGGGGUAGGGACAUUCCUUGGCAAAGUGCCCCAUCUUGUGGCAAUUAUAGCACGGUCCCUUGGUCAUGUUGUUGGUGGCAGGUGCUGCAGCUUGAAUUGCCUUUGGCUUGGCGGGAGCUAUUGCUACUUUGUACGGCUUCUGCUGCGUUGGCUGCCCUGUGUUCCUUCUCUACGGCGGUCGGAACCUAGCACCUGGGGCAGGAGGACUUUACUGCUGUCGCCCUGCCACCGGUGCCCUGGACUAGGACGAUCCAGCUUCAAAAGCCCUCUUGCGAGACUUGGAUGCACUAUAGUUGUUGUUAUUGUUCUCCUGGGUCAAACAGUCACUGAUGUAUGCAUUGAAGGUAGUCUGGGUUCCUGUACCCAUGGUCUUCAGCAUUUUUGGGCUCAAACCUCUCUGGAAAUUAGCGAUCUUCUUGGCCUCUGUGUUCACAUACUCGGGGGCGUAACGAGCAAGAUUGUUAAAAGCGUGUAGAUACUCCUUCACAGACUUUGUUCUCUAGGACAGCCUCAUGAAUUCCCCAACCUUCAUUUCCACCACACCCGGAGGAAUGUAAUUUCCCCGGAAAGAGGUGGUGAAGCGGUUCCAGGUGAUAGGGGUCCCCUCUGGGUAGGUGGUACGGUGAUGGGACCACCAAAUCCUAGCAGGUCCCUGCAAUUGAUGCGCUGCAUAUUCGGCCUUGAGUUCUUCGGUCAUCCUAAGAAGACGGAACUUUUGCUCCAUAGUGUUGAUCCACUCAUCUGCCUCGAGCCGUUCUAAGGCCUCCUAGAAGACUGGUGGUUUGGUAUCCAUGAAGUCCUUGAAAGAGCUGUACUGAUUGGCUUCACGGCCGCCCUGGUUAUCCCCACGGUGGGUAUUGUCAGUGAUAUUGCGCAGGGCUUCUUACAUGUUGUGCUGCAUCUGCUCCAUGUUGCGUUGGCUCCCCAGAAACUACGCGAAAAACAUGUCAACAGUGUACGGAGGUGGUGGUGGUGGUGGCGGUGAUGGUGCUCUUUCCUCAUUCCGUUGAGCCCCACCUCCGAAAGUACCUGCUCCAAGACCGGGGUUGCUGUUACCCUCGCCACAUGUUUGCACCAUCUACAUGCGUCAAUGAUAAGCAGUCGUUAGGAGUUGCCAUCAACGGUAGACAUAUGUAGAAUUAUGUCGUACUGAAUUUACUGAGGAAAAUAAGUUCGCACAAUAAAUAGAGACACAACAAUUCACCACCCACACACAACAUUGUUGGGUAUUCUUAACAUCAUUACCAAAAGUAGACAGUUUUCUAAUUCUAGUAACGGUGCCAAAAAUGCCAAACCUAUCCCUCAUACCACUUAAGCCAAGUUGUCAUCCCCAGCAUGAUAUAAGAGACGCGGUAUUGAAAUAUGCAAUUGCUCUUCUAUAUAAAUAAUGAAUGGGAUCUGCAAGCACACAGAUUAAUACCGAUGUAACAUUUUAACCGGGAAGUAUUCGAGGUAUCGUUAUUUAUAUUUUUACCACUGGAAAGGGAUUAGCAAUCAUCAAUAUUGAUUACAGAAUAGAAUAUGAUAUUGAGUAUCUAUCAUUGCAUGUAUAAUUGAGAACAUUUAUCUAUCUUUUUCAUAUAGGGGUAAGUGUCACAUAAAAGAUAUAUGAAGUAAUGAAUAGUGACAAAGAUAAUUAAUCUGAUCAGCAUAACUUAGCCACAUAAUAAAUAUGAUAAGCACCUCAAUUAGAUACUCUAGAAAGUCAUUAGCAUGGAAUUAGAACGAACUACAAGAAUAUUUCCUAAGUUAUUCUCAACUAUAUAGUCUAGCAUUAUCAUAGUUAGUGCAAGCAUACUUAGCAAUCAUUGCGAGACAAGACUACGCCCAUGCAUAGUGAUAUUAGCAAGGUAAAUGAGAAACAUAGCAAUCGCUCCCCUGUAAUAAUGUUGCUCUGCCAGCCCAAUACACGAGAGGGGGACUAUAUAAGAAUCAAUGAAGCUGUCACUAUCACAAACUACCCCACGAUCUGGCAUAUUGGGUAGAAUUGUAGAUAAAUACGGUAUAAGCACCACGCCUACACAAUAUCAAUCAUUUACCCAUGGAUCCGAUGGAUAAACGCUAUACGAUCCUAAAUAUGUAUAUAAAUCCAAUCUAACUAAGCCAAGUAUAUAACUAUGAUAAACUCAGAACAAUAUAAUCUUGAAUAUAAACAAGUAGAGCAAAGUCAUAAGCAAUAUAUUGAAGUAGAACUAAGUCAUAUUCAUAAUAUUGAAGAACAAAGAUAAUUAGAAUAACAAUUAGAAGCACAAUUAGAGAAUUACCAAGAAUCCUCUUGACAGAUCCGGAAACCAAUCGAAGAUUGACUCCUUCUAGUUCUAAUCCUAUGUAGCUAUGCUAAUCUAGAUGUCUAAUUGAUGUGGUGGCUCUAAUUUUGAUCAGAGGCUUCUUCUUCUCCCUUGAGGAAUAAUGAAUUAGGGUUGAGAGGAUCCCUCCUCCAGGGGCCAGGGGGUCUGGUUUUAUAGUCCCUUCAAGUGAAUAUGGGUCGUUGGAUCAAACCGACAUUGAUUGAACGAUUAUCCUUGAUCCUUUAGGUCGGUGGAGAUCUUUCCCGAAAGAGUGUCCUGAUUGGAGUCCAACAGGGGGCGGGCGCCCAGGUCAAUUGGGCGGGCGCCUAGUGCCUGGCCCCGUUCAGCCUCUGCUUCCUUCCCGUGGCUUCUGGAGUCUUCUAGAUGUAAGAUAAUUGCACUGCACGUUGAUAUCUCUAUGUAAUCCCAACAUGUGGGCCUUUCUUCCAUAUUCCCUGAUAACCCACUGCAGAAAUAGACAAACACCAAAACUCGUGGAAUUCUGUCAGAUAAAACCCUAAGUCUAGAUGUUGGUUUCAUUUGGAUCCUUUUCUUUGUUUAUUUGAUAAUUAAAUUUGAUACUUAAGGACCGAAAACAAACUCCCCCAAGCUUACCUCUUGCUCGUCCCUGAGCAAGGAUAGACUCAGCGAUGGAUCAGAAGUUGUUGCAAUAUCUUUAAAAAUUGACGGUACACAUGCUUUCAAAUGAGUUCUCAUCUCUGAGUUAGAGUAAACUAUCAAGACUUAAAACUUACUUAUUUUACCUUUCACCAUGGGACUUGUAACUGUCACCUCUGUCUUGAGUGGUUAAAAGAUAGAAUAGUCUAGUCAAGUGCCAUGUCUCUUAUUCUUGAUCAGCUAUAGCUCUCGAGUUUUUGCAGAUUUUCAAAUAAAACUCAGAGAUUCCUUGUAUGACUCUCUCAGAUCACUCUUUUGUGGUAUUUCUGGAUCCUUACCAAGGUAGUGAUGGUAUAUGCCUUCUCUCAAAAUAUGUGGUAUUUAUGGUUUAAGGCAUAGUGACAUUGCCCUCUCUCUCACCCUACUCUAAUAAGGCUUUUAAUAUCUGGAGCUCACAGGUGGGAGAUAAAAUAUACAUACUCAUAAGACAUGUAUUAUAUAGUCAAACCAUAGAUCCAAAGAAACAAAUCAAUAAGUCAAAUCAAGAUGUGCAUGUGUGGCGAAUGAAUGGUGUAUGGUGAUAAUGGUGAUAACAAUGGUGAAAGUCUAAUUCUACUUUUGCUCUUUUGAGGAGAUACAUACCUUCCUUGCUUUCUUGAAACUUUUUGAGGAGAAUGAGAUGCUCUUCUUUUUCUUUUCUCUCAGGUGGGUAUCUUGUACCCCUAAUUUGUAACACCCUAGGUGUUAAGCAUGCACUUAGUCUUCUCAAAACAUUCAUAAACAUUCUCAUCAAGCAUAGCAUCACAUGAGCAUGUCAUCCAUCCAAAGUGUGAUUUUAUGUGCUUUAUUCUAUGUGAUUUAAAUGUGUUAAAAAUAUGAUGCUUGCUACUAAAAUUGUGAAAUAUUCAAAUUAGGUUGAAUUGUGUGUAAAAAGAUUUAAGAGUAUUUUUGUGCAAUUUUUGGAGCCAUAGAAUUUGAGAAGUGGAAUUUAUACAAAAAUCCCCAAAAUGAAUUUAUUUGAAAACCUAGAACUAGUUUUAAUCUGUAAUUCAAAUUCCAUUUGGAAUUUGGUCUUGCUUAUUAAAACAAAGUUGUAGGGUUUUUGUUUUGGAACAACUUUGAUUUUGGGAGAAAAGGGUGAAAGUGAUUUUUAAAUGGUCCAAAUGAAUUUAGAAAGAAUUUGAGAAAAGAAUUUCAAAAAAAAGAAAAGGGGACAGGCGCUGCUGGGCCGACCCGCCUCCCUUUCGGCCCAGCCAGCAGCCCGGCCUGCCUCCCCCUCCCCUCUCUCUCCCGCGCGCGGCGCCCGCCUUGCCCCAUCCCGCGGCGGCCACGUGGCGGCCGUACGCCGGCGUUGGGCGCGCCGCGGCCGACCACCCCCUCCCCCUGGUCGAGACGCCGCCCCGCGCCCCCAGACCGCUCCCUCCAUUCUGUCGCCCGCGCCUUCUCCCUCCUUCCUCCGUGCGCGUGCGCAGCCGCAGCAGCAGCAGCUCCGCCCGCGCCAUUUCCGGAGAAAGCCCCGCCGCUCGCCGCCGGUCGCACCAGAGCUCCACCUCGACGUCAAGGACACCAGCGCACUCGCCGUCGCCGCGGUAAGCCCCUGCGUACGCUCUACCGAGGGGAGAAGCAGUCGUGCGCCGUGAAUCGCUCGUCGGAGUUGCUCCGACCUCGCCGUAGAGCUCCGCCGCGACGGAUCUUGCUGUAUCCUGCCUCUUUUCGCUCGUUCUUUGGUGCGCUAGGUCGGUAGUGAGGUGAGGAAGCUCGGAGGGUUGUUUGCGCGCGCUCUACCGCACCAGAGCGGCCUAGCCACGGCGAGCAGCGCCACCGUGCCGCCAUGCACGCUCGUCGGAGGUGUUCCGGUCAUCCUCCGGCCGAUCCAAGGGCACCGCUGGGUGCGCCUCGCUGCGGGGAGCACGCUGGUGCUCACCCCGUGGCCGGAGACCUCGCAGUCGGCGAGAGCCGGCCGGCCGAAGAUCGGCCGGUGUGUUGCGUGGCUGACCCGUGGGGUCACGGCCCUGGAUCCCACCUGUCAGUGCCUCUGCGGGUGUGGAUCUGGGUGAGUUUAGUGUUUUUCAGCGGUUUUCUUAAAUAAAUAUUUUCUAGAAAUCGGUUUAAAUCUUGUAAAAUCUAUAUCUUGAGUUGUAUGGUUCCAAAAUUGGUGAAACAAAUUUUGGUUUGCUCUCUGUUCUCAGAUCUACAGUUUGAUGUAAUUGCAUGUCAUGUUUGAACACUUUUUCUGGACAAAAAUAAUUAAUCUAUGUUCUUGCUGAAAUUGGAAAAUGCAUAGUAAUUAAAAUAUGACUCAGAAAAAUAUGAAAUUUGUUUUGCUGUCUCUGCAUGUAUGUUUAGUCACUGGGAAAAUAUUGCUACACAUUAUUUGGUGUAUGAAUGAAUUUUUUGUGAUUUAAAUGCUUGCAUGGCAGUGGUUUAUGAUUUUUAAUAAAUAAUUGGAUCAUGCAAUUAAUCUGUAAAUUUUUGUAGAUGUUUCUCAUGAUACUAAGGGUGUGUUUGGUUGGGCUGUGACUUUUAGAAAAGCUACUGUGAGCUUUGAGCUUUUGAAAAGCUGCUGUGGGAUGUGGGCUUUGAGAAACCCAAAAGUCAUUUGGUUGGUCACUCAUGGCUUUUGGAAAAAAACUGAACGAAUCCCAAAAGUCAGUGAAAGCAGGGGGUGAGGUGCUUUUGGAUUUGUACUACGAGAAAAGCUGCUUUUGGGCAAAAGCACUUGUGGCUUUUGGGCCCUUUGGUUGGCUUUUGGCUUUUACAAAAGCAAAAGCAGGUUCAAAAGCCCAACCAAAGGGACCCUAAGCAAAUUAUAAAAAUAUGAAAUCUGGUGUUUGAAACUUAUACCACAGUAGAGUAUUUUUAUUUGCCCUUAGGAAUUAAUCUUGUGAUUUUUGUAGCUCAAAAUAAGUAUCCAAAAAUUAUGGAAAAUUUAUUGUGGACUUUAUGUUUGACUGGUAGUCUCCUGUAAUUUUUGUGGAAUUUAUUGAUAAACAGAAAUGCAUGCUAUUUUGAUGGGUCUAAAAAUGAAUAAAGAGAAUAUGAAUUGUUAUAUAUGGUUUAAAUAGAAUAAAAGGGGUUUGGUGUAUCUUUGAAGCAUCUUGUGAGUUUGCUGGUUACACUUGAGGAUAAUUUGUAGAAAAGAAGGAAUUAGAUGUUUACAUGCUCUUGUAUGACGUUGACUACCGUGUAGAUGACCAUCUAAACCAUCUAUGCAUCAUGUCAUAGUCAUGUGGUUUUCUCUCACAUGAGCAUUGCACCCCGGGCAUCUCGCACUCCACUCAUGAGCACACAUGCAUCAUACAGGCUCGCAGGAGAACGAGGUGGGACCCGAGGAGCAGGAAGAAGCACAGGAGUAGGAACAUCUGGGAGUGUCGGAACCCGGAGAGGAGCAACAGGAGUGCCCGGAUCAUAAGCUGAGCACGUUCGAGAAAGGCAAGCCCCGGAGCAUUCUAAGCCUCCAUAUUCUCGCUAACUUAAAUAAUACAUUAUGCUCGUUCUACUAUGUUGCAUUUAAGUGGUAGGAAUCGCUUGACACCAUUAGUGCAUAUGCACUCCUUGCUAUCACUACUCAUUGAUCUACCUUGUCCUAUGUAGAUAGGCACGGAGUCUAUGCUUAGCCUGCUUAGUACGGUAGAAGUCGGGUGAUUUCCUGUCACCUGCGAGAUAUAGGUGGAUACCUACUUGAUUAAGCAGUGAUUGUUUUGGUAGAGAAUAACCAAGUGUGGAAUGGAAUUGGAGACCGGGCAGGGUCUUAUGGUGGGUUGACUAUAGUGCCCCUGCCUGUGUCGAUUAAGGACCGAUCGUUGACGGCCCUCUUGUCAUGUUGAACGCAUGCCCCACACUUAGCUGGAAGGAUAAGUCGUUCCGACCGCGAAGCCUGAUCACUAUCCGGGCCGGGAAUUGGCCCAAUGUACGCGCUGUAUUGGUGAUGGUUGAGGAGAACGACGAGGGCGCGGCGCGCAACCUUGGUAUACCUUGGAUACCUCGGUCGCCGGAACAGUCCUCGGGUACGGGCGGUGCCUGUCGAACCCGCGAAUUGGUCCUGGAUAGUGCAACACGGUGAUCUGUAGCUCACUUGAUCAGUGAGUGUGGUUUGUGUGGGGAAUAACUCGCCAGCUGGUUAGAAAUCGAUUUGAAUCGCCAUCGCUCCUGGAUAGUGAGCACUUGACAUGAGCCCUGUCCUUGUAGUAAGGACUAUGGAACACUUGGGUUAUAUGACAAAUAAUUGCAUGGAUGCUAUGAUGAGGCACAAUCAUAUUAUUAUAUUUGUUUGUCUUAGUGCAGGUGCAAACCUAGAUAAUAGGUAAUGAUACUUUCAACUUGAGCUCGUGCUUUUAUGCAAAAGGUCGUCGGCUACCCCCACUAUAUAGCCUUCAUGAUUUUUGAAGAGUCUUUAUUUUUGAGUUUAUGACGAGUAAGUUUAGUUGAGUACAUUCUCGUACUCAGGGUUCUAUUCCCAUGUUGUUUUGGAGAUGGUCAAAUAUACUAUGGUUAUCGCAUCCUCUGCCUGUACCCUGCUAUGGGUGAUGACUAGACCAAGGGCGAUGGUCAUUCCAUCUUCUCUUUUGCUUUUGUGGGAAUGACCAAAACUAUGGCACUGUAUCAAACUAAGUGUGUGUGUUAUUUUCAACUAUGAAGCUUCCGCUACUUGUGAACUUGGUUUGUAAUAACUUUAAGCACUCCGAUGUUUUUGAUGGAUAUUUUCGAACUGGAUGUAACUGUGGAUGGUGACCGCUGAACUUAUUACGAUCUUGGCUGUGUGUACGAUAUGUGGUUUGAAAUCCUUCGAGAUUUCACGGAAUACUGGGAUUAUAUGGGCUUAAGCUGGAUGGUUUGACUAUGCAAAUGGACGCUAUUAGGCUUAAUCUCUUAUAAUUUGGGCGGUUCUGUUACAUAAUUCUACUGUCGGACACUUGUCCAUUUUUACCUCUCGUCUCACUUUUUCUUUUCUUUCAAGGUUCCAGGCACAUGCCCCUUUUUAUUUCCUCGUAUCUUUUUUUUCUUUUUUUUAUUAGAGCACUCAUCUCUUGAGAUAAUAUCGCAAGUGGUAGUAACAAGAUAACUUGAGCAUUUAUUUCAUAGGGAAAAACAGAAAUAUUUUUUGGCUAUUCUCUCCCGGAUUAGGAGUAGAAUAUUUUUGGGUGGUUCUGGAGAUGGAAAUGGAUGGAUAUAUGUGGAUGGUACUUCUAGAGUAGAAGUAGCAUGUGUGAGUGAACGUGCAAGUGAAAUUUGAUUUAACCACAUAACAAGCUCCUAAGGGUCUACACAGCUUGACCACACUCAAUGCUCAUAAGCAGUAAAUAGUAAAUGUGUGGCUCAAAGUCUAACAAGCUUGUAUAUAUGGCUAUGGUAGGAAUUUGUUGACACCGUUUUUGGACACGUACCUAGGUUUGGUAGAGUGUAGAUCAGCAAGAUAGGGCAACAGUAACUGGUCUAUGUUGGGUAUUCUUAACACCACUACCAAAAGUAGACUUAGUUUUCUAAUUCUGAUAACGGUGCCAAAAUUGCCAAACCUAUCCCUCACACCACUUAAGCCAAGUUGUCAUCCCCAGCAUGACAUGAGAGACGCGGUAUUGAAAUAUGCAAUUGCUCUUCUAAAUAAAUAAUGAAUGGGAUCUGCAAGCGCACAGAUUAAUACCGAUGUAGCAUUUUAACCGGGAAGUAUUCCAGGUAUCGUUAUUUAUAUUUUUACCACUGGGAAGGGAUUAGCAAUCAUCAAUAUUGAUUACAGAAUAAAAUAUGAGAUUGAGUAUCUAUCAUGGCAUGUAUAAUUGAGAACAUUGUAUCUAAUUCUUUCAUACAGGGAUAAGUGUCACAUAAAGUAUAUAUAAAGUAAUGAAUAGUGACAAAGAUAAUUAAUCUGAUCAUAAUUAGCCACAUAAUAAAUAUGAUAAGCACCUCAAUUAGAUACUCUAGAAAGUCAUUAGCAUGUAUUAGAACGAACUACAAGAAUAUUUCCUAAGUUAUUCUCAACUAUAUAGUCUAGCAUUAUCAUAAUUAGUGCAAGCAUACUUAGCAAUCAUUGCGAGACAAGACUACGCCCAUGCAUAGUGAUAUUAGCAAGGUAAAUGAGAAACAUAACAAUCACUCCCCUGUAAUAAUAUUGCUCUGCCAGCCCAAUACACAAGAGGGGGACUAUAUAAGAAUCAAUGAAGCUGUCACUAUCACGAACUACCCCACGAUCUGGCAUAUUGGGUACAAUCGCAGAUAAAUACGGUAUAAGCACCACGCCUACACAAUAUCUAUCAUUUACCCAUGGAUCCGAUGGAUAAACGCUAUACGAUCCUAAGCAUGUAUAUAGAUCCAAUCUAACUAAGCCAAGUACAUAACUAUGAUAAACUAAGAACAAUAUAAUCUUGAAUAUAAACAAGUAGAGCAAAGUCAUAAGCAAUAUAUUGAAGUAGAACAAAGUCAUAUUCAUAAUAUUGAAGAACAAAGAUGAUUAGAAAGCAAUUAGAAGCACAAUUAGAGAAUUACCAAGAAUCCUCUUGACAGAUCCGGAAACCAAUCGAAGAUUGACUCCUAGUUCUAAUCCUAUGUAGCUAUGCUAAUCUAGAUGUCUAAUUGAUGUGGUGGCUCUAAUCUUGAUCACAAGCUUCUUCUCCCUUGAGGAACAAUGAAUUAGGGUUGAGAGGCUCUCUCCUCCACGGGCCAGGGGGUCUGGUUUUAUAGUCCCUUCAAGUGAAUAUGGGUCGUUGGAUCAAACCGACAUUGAUUGAACGGUUAUCCUUGAUCCUUUAGGUCGGUGGAGCGUCGUGUGCGAAAAGAGUCCCGAUUGGGCUCGGUAGGAGGGCGGGUGCCUAGGGCAACUAGGCGGGCGCCCAGUCCCUUGCCUCGUUCGGCCUCCGCUUCCUUCCCGUGGCUUCUGGAGUCUUCUAGAUGUAAGAUAAUUGCACGACACGUUAAUAUCUCUAUGUAAUCCUGACGUGUGGGCCUUUCUUCCAUAUUUCCUGAUAACCCCCUGCAGAAAUAGACAAACACCAAAACUCGUGGAAUUCUGUCACAUAAAACCCUAAGUCUAUAUGUUGAUUUCAUUUGGAUCCUUUUCUUUGUUUAUUUGAUAAUUAAAUUUGAUACUUAAGGACCGUCAACAAACUCCCCCAAGCUUACCUCUCGCUCGUCCCUGAGCAAAGAUAGAUUAGAAGUUGCUGCAAUACUUUAAAAAUUGACGGUACACAAGCUUUUAAAUAAAGAUCUCAUCUCUGAGUUAGAGUAAACUGUCAAGACUCAAAACUUACUUACUUUACCUUUCACCAUGGGACUUGUAACCGUCACUUCUUUCUUGAGUGGUUAAAAGAUAGAACAGUCUAGUUAAGUGCCAUGUCUCUUAUUCUUGAUCAGCUAUAGCUCUGGAGUUUUUGCAGAUUUUCAAAUAAAACUUAGAGAUUCCUUUUAUGAUUCUCUCAUAUCUCUCUUUUGUGGUAUUUCUGGAUCCUUACCAAGGCAGUGAUGGUAUAUGCCUUCUCUUAAUAUAUGUGGUAUUUGUGGUAUGAAGCAUAAUGACAUUGCUUUCUCUCUCACCCUACUCUAAUAAGGCUUUAAUAUCUGGAGCUCAUAGGUGGGAGAUAAAGUAUACAUACUUACAAGACAUUUAUUGUAUAGUCAAACCAUGGAUCCAAAGAAACAAAUCAAUAAGUCAAAUCAAGAUGUGCAUGUGUGGCGAAUGAAUGGUGUAUGGUGAUGAUGGUGGUAACAAUGGUGAAAGUCUAAUUCUACUUUUGCUCUUUUGAGAGGAUACAUACCUUUCUUGCUUUUUGAAACUUUAUGAGGAGAAUGAGAUGCUCUAUCUUUUUCUUUUCUCUCAGGUGGAUAUCUUGUACCCCUAAUUCUACCAUCGGACACAUGUCCAUUUUUACCUCUCAUCUCACUUUUUCUUUUCUUUCGAGGUUCCGGGCACUUGCCCCUUCAUAUUUCCUCGUAUCUCUUUUUUUUCUUUUUUUUCUAGGCACUCAUCUCUUGAGAUAAUAUAGCAAGUGGUAGUAACAAGAUAACUUGAGCAUUUAUUUCACAGGGAAAAAUCAGAAAUAUUUUUGGCUAUUCUCUCCCGGAUUAGGAGUAGAAUAUUUUUAGGUGAUUCUGGAGAUGGAAAUGAGUGGAUAUAUGUGGAUGGUACUUCCAGAGUAGAAGUAGCAUGUGUGGGUGAACGUGCAAGUGAAUCUUGAUUUAACCACAUGACAAGCUCCUAAGGGUCUACACAGCUUGACCACACUCAAUGCUCAUAAGCAGUAUAUAGUAAAUGUGUGGCUCAAAGUCUAGCAAGCAUGUAUAUAUGGCUGUGGUAGGAAUUUAAAACUUUCAUCAUACAGGAACUCAUCAUGCAAUAUUUUAAAGAUUUUCAAAGAUAAAAUUCUCCAGAAUUCUAGCAUCUCUAGGAACAGAUAAAUAGCAGCUCUACCUUCCCGUAUCGUAUCCGUUAACAACUUAGACUUUAGAUCAAGUUUUCAUCCCACAAGUUUAGGUCUAGAGCAAGAUUUAAAUUAUAACAGUUAUAUCUAAAUGUGAGAGAGAACUUAAAAUGUGCAAAUUAGGAAGAGCAACUGUUGACACUUGCUAACACCACUUGAAUACUAGGUUGUCAUCCCCAGCAUGGCACUAGAGUGUACUAUGGUAUUUAUCGGCACACAGAUAAUCCGCAAGCGCACGGAUACCGUUGAAGCUUUUACCCGGUUAAAGGUUUUAUCGUAUCCACAGGGAAACAGGAGAACUGAUCUAUGCUCUAACUUAACCAAGAUAAGUAAAUAAGUGUAAAUAGGAAAGAUGGUAGAAUCGAAUAAGAACAAUAUUAAAGGUAAGAUAACAGUGAGUGAUAAUAUGGGAAUAGAGAAUAGAGCAAUUAUAGUAUAUGGGCGAUGGUAGCAGAAUAGAGAGGAUAACUAUGGUUUCUCUACUUCAAAGGGGUAUGUCUAUGUCUGGGACGAACCACGUGAUAAGAAGUACACCACAAAGGAUGCUUAUCCUUAGGCCGAUAAACCAUACCCGUCCUGCUAACGAGAGGUGGACUACAGAGGACCAACGUAACUGUCACCUACGCGGCCUACCACACGAUCCAGCUAGACAGGGGAUAUCCACAAGUAAUCUAGAUCUAAGCACCUCGCUUACACCUAUACUACAACUCUCACCUAUAGCGUCCUAUAGAUUAAAGUACUCAAAAGAGUUGUGAACCAGAAUAUACAUAAUUAGAAAUUGCAUAAUGAAUUAGAAGUAGAUUACCAGAGUCAUCCCAUGAGCAAGCUUGAUUAGAGCUUGAUCAUGACGAAGUACAACCGGAGGAAGAACUGACAGGCCGGCCUCUCCUCUAAUCCUCCUUCGCUCUCCAUCUUGCUACUAUCUAGAUCUACUCUAGUUUAGAGAAGAGAGGAGAGCUCUCAUCUCUAAACCCUAGCUUUUGCUCUGUCUAUGAAUAAUGAAUAAUGAUCAAGGGGUGCCUCCUCCAGGGGCUAGGGGGUCUAGUUUUAUAGUCCCUUCAAGUGAACCUGGGCCGUCAGAUCAAACCGACAUAGAUUGAACGGUUAUCCUUGAUCCUUUAGGUCGGUGGAGAUCUCCCGAGAAACAGAGUCCUAAUUGGCCUCCAGAGGUGGGCGGGCGCCCUGCCUCUAGCCCUGUUCGGCCUCCGCUUCCUUCCCGUGGCUUCUGGAGUCUUCUAGAUGUAAGAUAAUUGCGCGACACCUUAAUAUCUCUAUGUAAUCCUGACGUGUAGGCCUUUCUUCCAUAUUUCCUGAUAACCCCUUGCAGAAAUAGACAAACACCAAAACUCGUGGAAUUCUGUCACAUAAAACCCUAAGUCUAGAUGUUGAUUUCAUUUGGAUCCUUUUAUUUGUUUAUUUGAUAAUUAAAUUUGAUACUUAAGGACCGUCAACAAACUCCCCCAAGCUUACCUCUUGCUCGUCCCUGAGCAAGGAUAGACUCAGCAAUGGAUCAGAAGUUGUUGCAAUAUCUUAAAAAUUUGUCGGUACACAUGCUUUUAAAAAAGAUCUCAUCUCUGAGUUAGAGUAAACUGUCAAGAACUAAAACUUACUUACUUUACCUUUCACCAUGGGACUUGUAACCGUCACUUCUGUCUUGAGUAGUUAAAAGAUAGAACAGUCUAGCCAAGUGCCAUGUCUCUUAUUCUUGAUCAGCUAUAGCUCUGAAGUUUUUGCAGAUUUUCAAAUAAAACUCAGAGAUUCCUUGUAUGACUCUCUAAAUCUCUCUUUUGUGGUAUUUCUGGAUCCUUACCAAGGCAGUGAUGGUAUAUGCCUUCUCUCAAGAUAUGUGGUAUUUGUGGUAUAAGACAUAGUGACAUUGCCUUCUCUCUCACCCUACUCUAAUAAGGCUUUAAUAUCUGGAGCUCAUAGGUGGGAGACAGCUAAUACAUACUUACAAGAUAUUUAUUGCAUAGUCAAACCAUGGAUCCAGAGAAACAAGUCAAUAAGUCAAAUCAAGAUGUGCAUGUGUGGUGAAUGAAUGGUGUAUGGUGAUGAUGGUGAUAACAAUGGUGAAAGUCUAAUUCUACUUUUGCUCUUUUGAGGGGUUACAUACCUUCCUUGCUUUUUGAAACUUUAUGAGGAUAAUGAGAUGCUCUAUCUUUCAUUUUUUUCUUUCCUCUCAGGUGGGUAUCCUGUACCCCUAAUUCUACUGUCGGACACUUGUCCAUUUUUACCUCUCGUCUCACUCUUUUUCUUUUCUUUCGAGGUUCCGGGCACUUGCCCCUUUUUAUUUCCUUGUAUAUAUUUUUUUCUCCUCUUUUUUUUUAGAGCACUCAUCUCAUGAGAUAAUAUAGCAAGUGGUAGUAACAAGAUAACUCGAGCAUUUAUUUCACACGAAAAAACAGGAAUGGGAUAAUGUUUUUGGCUAUUCUCUCCCGGAUAGGAGUAGAAUAAUUUUAGGUGAAUCUGGAGAUGGAAAUGGGUGGAUAUAUGUGGAUGGUACUUCCGAAGUAGAAGUAGCAUAUAUGAGUGAAUGUGCAAGUGAAAUCUUGAUUUAACCACAUGACAAGCUCCUAAGGGUCUACACAGCUUGACCACACUCAAUGCUCAUAAGCAGUAAAUAAUAAAUGUGUGGCUCAAAGUCUAGCAAGCAUGUAUACAUGGCUGUGGUAGGAAUUUAAACUUUCAUCAUACAGGAACUCAUCAUGCAAUAUUUUAAAGAUUUUUCAAAGAUAAAAUUCUCCAGAAUUCUAGCAUCUCUAGGAACAGAUAACCAGCAGCUCAACCUUCCCAUAUCAUAUCCGUUAACAACUUAGAUUUCAGAUCAAGUUUUUAUCCCACAAGUUUAGAUCUAGAGCAAGCUUUAAAUUAUAACAGUUAUGUCUAAACUUGAGAGAGAACUUCAAAUUUGCAAAUUAGGCAGAGCAACUAUUCAUCAUAUCCAUGCUAGAGUUUUAUUAUUAAGAUUCAGAUUAGCAUAGCCACUUUAUUUAUUUAUUAAACACACUAAGCAAAAGAUAUAUAUAUAAGCACAAAAUCUUUAUUUGGUUUUUCAUAGUUUAUGUAUUUUAAUAUUCUAAUAUAAUAUAAGUAUAAAGAUAGGUAGAAAUACUUAGCGAGAUAAAUGGGGGUGCUCUCCCCCAAGCUGAAUUUUGACGUAAUUUCUCUUGAUGUAGCUAGCAGGUGGCAGAGGUGUAUUUGAAAGUCAACAGCAUUCUGACAGCGAUUAGAAUGUCCUCCGUCUGCUAGUCAUCUUGAUUCUUAAAUUCUGUGGAGCUCAAAUAGACAACAAAGCUUGUGGAACUAAUUAAGUGUUAGCAUAAAUAUCUAGCCUUCAUCAUGUUGAGCUUCCUCAAUAAAUAUUACUCCCUGUUUUUAUAUUUUUAUUUUAUAAAGCAGAAAAGAAAUAUUUAUUUUAUUUUUAUGCCACCACAGUGAAGGUACUUAUGGGUUUUAUGCCACUCGUAUACAUGGGGCUUAGUAUUUUUUAACAUUUUUAUUUUCUUUUCAAGAUAGCAUGAUUAACUAAUAAUCUAUUUAAGGAAAGUAAAUAAUUAAAGGGAAAAAGCAAUGCAGAAAGGAUAAAUAUGGAUAACUACUGAUCUUACCUUUCGGCGAGGGUUCAAUGUUUUAAGUCUUCUUAACAAGACUUCUCACCGUGUUCAUUCUUCAGGUGCGUCAUUUGAUUCAGGUGCGGACCUUGACGUCUGCACCUCUUGAUACGGUGUCACCCAUGUUCUUCGUUUGGCCAGCAGUUCGAAGUGCGGUGUUGGUAGUAACCUGCUCAGUGUGUUUGUGCUCGUAGAUCCAGGUCCUUCACUUGGUAGAGUCUGAGAGUUAUAAAACUCCUCCGUAUUUUGCUCAAAGUGUACCUGCUCAUAGAGACAAGGCAGAGAUCAAGUGCAUCGGUCCUGUUGGUGGAAAACACCAACAGAACCUAAAGUGUAUUUGUUCUUCUCUAACCCUAAGCAUAGUGAGCAAAACAAAGUUGAUGGAUGAAAAGUUCAUGAGUGUAGCACUUAUAACAUUUGUCAGAUCAGAUCGCUCAACCUUAUGGAAAGAUAAUCUAUCUAUGUAUAUGUCUUUUUCUUUAUAUCUCUCAAUGACUGAAUGUGUUACAUUUUAGCUCAUGUGGGAUCAUGUAGGUAGUACUAAGAACAAGGAUUAAAGGACUAAACAUGUUGAAUCAGUUGGGUUGGUUAAUCUAGAGUUGUAAAUCAUACAUGUUUGUCUCUUUUAUUUAUAUGAACGCUAGAACCAAGGAGAAGCUUAUAAAAGGGAUAGUCAAGUACCUUAAGAUGUUACCUUGCUUGAAGAGUGAUGGUACAGUAUCACCUUGUGGAAGCUUUCCUUUCUUAGCGGUUGUGCAUCGUGUUUGUGGCACCCUCCAUGGAUCAUCUCUCCAUGAUGAAUGAGCUAUGUCCUUCUUGUGCAAAUUGUUAAACUUCAUGUGUCACUCUCUUCGUCUCUGAUGUGAGUUUAUCUCAGGACUUCCCAAAUCGAUAGUGAAAUUUUUUUCUGCAGGGGUUAGUCUGACAAAAAUAUACCAAUGUCUACAAAAGCAGUUUUUAGUUCAAUAACCAAACUACACUCCAUGUCUAAUCAGAUUAAGGAAGGCUGUUUAACCUAAGCACCAUGCUUAAUUUAAAAGCCAAUAGAAGUAUGUGCAGUACUUCCAAACUAACACUUACUAGUAAAUAGACAAAGGUGACAUGACAGCAUUUAUAGAGAUCUACUCAAGUAGAGAUGAAGUAGUGUGAUUAGUACUUAACAAAUUGAGCAUGUCUCAAAGGUAGGGACAACCAACAUAGUAACAUGGCAAAGGAUGGUUUUAUGUAAAGUACUCCCCCAAGCUUGAAUUUUGCAAAAUUCAAGUUUGGAUUUAAUUCAAUGUUGUAUGAUGAUUGGUUGGACAUACCAUGUGCUUGUUAUUCAUCCGAUCUUCUUGCUCCAAUCCUGAAAAAGGUUAGUGACAAGAAUACCCGAAGGAAUAUUUUUACAAUUAUCCUUAUAUGCUCAAUACACAAGGUAAUGUUAAAAGCUCAUGUUACAAUUUGAUCAGUGCUUAUUUUAGGACACUAAGCUUGUCCUUGGGAAACCAUCAAUUUAUGUCGGUGAAGUGGUUUCCCUUCCAACGCUGACCUAUAUCAAGAUCAACUCAACGAGAUCUGCAAUAUUUAUUAUAGACAUAUGCAUCGACAACUGCCCUUUUAAAGUUUUUAUAAAUAGAAAGGAAGAGGGGGUUGGAUAUCUCAAGUGUGGUGAUGUCGGAGAGACCAAUAGAUUGGGAAGAUGUUGCAUAUGAGCAUGGAGUAAACGAAGUGGCUAUGAAAUAAAUUCCAUGCUCAUUAAUGUUAUCUUCGUCUCCAAUCUGAAUGUUCGGAGUUUCUCUUGGAUUGGUCUCACUUAUGUCCUCUUCUAUAGUUGGAUGAAUCCCAUCUUCAAAGGGAGUCAAGAACUCACCAUUUGAAAUUGAACCAAAGUCAGAAUUCAUUAAGGCUUCUUCCUUAUCUAUCCAUUCUACACAUUCUAUCCAUUUAGAACUUGUGAUCGGGAAAGGGGAGGUGUUAGAAUUUUCAAUAUGGCUUAGCUCUCCUUCACUUGAUAUGUCAUCCUCGACUUCUUCAUAACAGGAACCAGGACAUUCUCUAAGAGAACCAUUAUUGCGAGGAUUUGAAUUAUCCCUGCUUAAAGGUCUCUUAUGGAACCAGAAGUCUAAACCAUCAGUAUCUGAAAGAUUUAAGGUCGGAAUUCCUUCCUCCCUUGGAGAAUUUUGGGGUAUUGAUGCUUUAGGAUCGAUAGCUAAAGUUUGGAAUUGAAGUGGUUGUGAUCUGGCUAUCGAAACUUCUUCUUCUUGUCUAGGAACUGGUUCUUUCUCUUUCUCAGGGAUAUAAAAGCUAGGAGACUUUCCGCUCAUUAAAUCAAUCAAAUUCCAAGCUUCACUAGCGGAUAGGUGGUGGAAAGAUCCUCCAGAGGCCGCAUGAAGGGUUUGCUUAUUUUUCCCACUAAGGCCCUCAAAAAAGUGGAUUAGAAGAACAUCUUUUGGAAUAGAAAGCUUUGGGCCAGUGAGGGUAAGGUUAAUGAAGCGGUCCCAUGAUUUGCCAAGAGAUUCUUCUUCCAGUUGUCUAAAAGAAAGAAUCUCACGCCGAAGUUCCGCCACUUUGGAGAUUGGAAAAUAUUUAGAAAGAAAACUACUAUAUAACUCCUUCCAAUCUCCAUGAACACUCCCUAUUUUGAGUUUGUACCAAUGUCUAGCAUUUCCCGUUAAAGAGAACGGAAAGAGCUUCCAUUUGAGGGUCUCAUCAGACAUUCCUUCUAUGCGAAGGAGGUCCUUCCAAUCUCCAUGAACACUCCCUACUUUGAGUUUAUACCAAUGUCUAGCUUUUCCUGUUAAAGAGAAUGAAAAGAGCUUCCAUUUAAGGGUCUCAUCGGGCAUGCCUUCUAUGCGAAGGGGGUCACAGACUCGAUAGAACUCUCUUAGGUGUGUGUAUGGGUUUUCCUCACCUUCUCCUGAGAAAGGUUGUUUUUGAACAAAUUCUAUGUAUUCGGGGUCUAUCUCAAAACUAGAUGCUAUGAUAGGCUUUGAAGAUUUUGGUGGUUCGAGAUGUGUGCCCAUAGGUCUAUGAAAUUCAUAGAUAGACAUGUUUGAAUUCAUGAUAGACCAGAGAUCAAGGAUUAGAUAAGAAGAAAGAAUAGUAGAGAUAAGGCAAAGGAUAAAAAGAAAAUAUAUUUUUUUAUUAUUUUUUUAGAAAAUGAUUAAGCUAGUUCGUAGUCAACUCAGCAACCGUUUCCCCGGCAACGGCACCAAAAAAUGCUUGUUGACACUUGCUAACACCACUUGAAUACUAGGUUGUCAUCCCCAGCAUGGCACUAGAGUGUACUAUGGUAUUUAUACGCACACAGAUAAUCCGCAAGCGCACGGAUACCGUUGAAGCUUUUACCUGGUUAAAGGUUUUAUCAUAUCCACAGGGAAACAGGAGAACUGAUCUACGCUCUAACUUAACCAAGAUAAGUAAAUAAGUGUAAAUAGGAAAGAUGGUAGAAUCGAAUAAGAACAAUAUUAAAGGUAAGAUAAUAGUGAGUGAUAAUAUGGGAAUAGAGAAUAGAGCAAUUAUAGUAUAUGGGCGAUGGUAGCAGAAUAGAGAGGAUAACUAUGGUUUCUCUACUUCAAAGGGGUAUGUCUAUGUCUGGGACGAACCACGUGAUAAGAGUACACCACAAAUGAUGCUUAUCCUUAGGCCGAUAAACCCUACCCGUCCUGCUAACGAGAGGUGGACUCCAGAGGACCAACGUAACUGUCACCUACGCGGCCUACCACACGAUCCAGCUAGACAGGGGAUAUCCAAAAGUAAUCUAGAUCUAAGCACCUCGCUUACACCUAUACUACAACUCUCACCUAUAGCGUCCUAUAGAUUAAAGUACUCAAAAGAGUUGUGAACCAGAACAUACAUGAUUAGUAAUUGCAUAAUGAAUUAGAAGUAGAUUACCAGAGUCAUCCCAUGAGCAAGCUUGAUUAGAGCUUGAUCAUGACGAAGUACAACCGGAGGAAGAACCGACAGGCUGGCCUCUCCUCUAAUCCUCCUUCGCUCUCCAUCUUGCUACUAUCUAGAUCUACUCUAGUUUAGAGAAGAGAGGAGAGCUCUCAUCUCUAAACCCUAGCUUUUGCUCUGUCUAUGAAUAAUGAAUAAUGAUCAAGGGGUGCCUCCUCCAGGGGCCAGGGGUCUGAUUUUAUAGUCCCUUCAAGUGAACCUGGGCCGUCAGAUCAAACCAACAUAGAUUGAACGGUUAUCCUUGAUCCUUUAGGUCGGUGGAGAUCUCCCAAGAAAUAGAGUCCUGAUUGGCCUCCAGAGGUGGGCGGGCGCCCAGGGCAGGAGGGCGGGCGCCCUGCCUAUGGCCCCGUUCGGCCUCCGCUUCCUUCCUGUGGCUUCUGGAGUCUUCUAGAUGUAAGAUAAUUGCGCGGCACGUUAAUAUCUCUAUUUAAUCCCGACGUGUAGGCCUUUCUUCUGUAUUUCCUGAUAACCCCCUGCAGAAAUAGACAAACACCAAAACUCGUGGAAUUCUGUCAGAUAAAACCCUAAGUCUAGAUGUUGAUUUCAUUUGGAUCCUUUUCUUUGUUUAUUUGAUAAUUAAAUUUGAUACUUAAGGACCGUCAACAGCAACUAUUCAUCAUAUCCAUGCUAGAGUUUUAUUUAGAUACAGAUUAGCAUAGCCACUUUAUUUAUUUAUUAAACACACUAAGCAAAAGAUAUAUAUAUAAGCACAAAAUCUUUAUUUGGUUUUUCCUGGCUUAUGUAUAUUUAUAUUCUAAUAUAAGUGUAAAGAUAGAUAGAAAUACUUAUCGGGAUAAAUGGGGGUGCUCUCCCCCAAGCUGAAUUUUGACGUAAUUUCCCUUGAUAUAGCUAGCAGGUGGCAGAGGUGUAUUUGAAAGUCAGCAGCAUUCUGACAGCGAUUAGAAUAUCCUCUGUCUGCUAGUCUUCUUGAUUCUUAAAUUCUGUGGAGCUCAAAUAGACAACAAAGCUUGUGGAACUGGUUAAGUGUUAGCAUAAAUAUCUAGCCUUUAUCAUGUUGAGACUCCUCAAUAAAUAUUACUUCCUAUUUUUAUAUUUUUGUUUUAUAACAUAGAAAAAUAUUUAUUUUAUUUUUAUACCACCAUAGUGAAUGUACUUAUGGGUUUCAUGCCACUCGUAUACUCACAUGGGGCUUACUAGUUUUUAACAUUUUUAUUUUCUUUUUAAGAUAGUAUGAACUUAAUUAACUAAGUAGACUAUUUGAAAUAAUUGAAAGGGAAAGGAUAACUACCAAGUUUACCCCUUGGCAAGGCGUUCGGUGUUUUUAAGUCCUCCGAACGGGACUCUCUGUUUUCUCAAUUGUCCUGGGAUUCGUUGGGUGGCGUAGUCGGUACUUCUGGCUGUGCCUCCUCUUCAUGUAUAGUUAUCUUCUCUUUCCAUACCUGGCUCGGUGCUACGGUCUCUUCUUGAUAAUUCUGUUUAAACUGUACGUCUUCUGACCUUACCACUUCUCCUUCAUAGUCUGCCCAUCCAUCCUUGAUGAUUUCCCUCCUCUGGUUGCGGUUGCGUUGUUUUCUUACCUGCUUAGAUUCUUCGACGAUGUAGUUAGGGUCAGUAAAAUAUCAGCGUACCUUCUCUGAGGGGAAGUGCAUAUGGACUUCUCCGGUUCCAAUGUAGAUAAUUGCUUAAACGGUUCUGAGGAACGGUCUUCCAAGGAUGAUGGGUGGAUCGUACUUGUCUUCUCCCAUGUCAACAACCUGAAAGUCUGUGUAGACAAAAUGAUCGUCUAUUUUGACUGGGACAUCAGUUACUGUUCCUUUAACUUCUCGAAACAUCUGAUCUGCCAUCUGGAGCUGAAUGUAUGUUGGUUUCAGGGGCAUGGUUCCGAACAAGAGCCGAUAGGUGACUGUGGCCAUUAUGUUGACGCUCGAUCCAGUGUCGCACGUCGUCUUGUAGAAGUUAUAUCCAUUUAUUGAGCAAUAGAUGCUUGGCAUUCCUGGGUCAUCCUUCUUGGUCAAAAACGGUGACUUAAGUUGGUGAUCUUGGCCUCCAUGUACUGCAGUGACCAUCUUAGCUGACUCGGUCCACACUUACUUGUUCCUGUUCGUCCUGUUGGUCCUCUUCCUUGAUUCACGUCUGGAUUGAUCUGGGAUUUGUGUAGUCGUGUUCUUGAAGAAAAAUGUCUCCUUCCUCCCUUUGAUGUAGAAACUGAUCUUGGCAGCACUGACGUAGAUGAUAGCACCCGAGGUGUUUAAGAAUGGCCUCCCUAAGAUGAUGGGUGCUCUCUCAUCAUUACCGGUCUCUAUCACCACGAAGUCUGCUAGGGCAUAUAAGGUACCAACUCGGACGCAAAGAUUCUUCAAUAUUCCUUUUGGAAAACUUAUCGUCUGAUCUACAAACUGCAAACACAUGGUUGUUUCUAAUAAAGGAUAUGUAAAAAAUUUUUCAUAGAGUACCCUGGGUAUAAUGUUGACGCUGGAGCCAAAGUCGCAGAGUGCUUCUGGGACGUCCACCAUGCCGAUGGAGGUCGGAAUGACGGGGCGUCCUGGAUCGCCUCUCUUGACCGGCAGAAGGUCAGUAGUGAAUUCAGUGACGGGGUUACUCCAAUUAUUACCUGCAUCAAACAUGUCUACAAGAUUUGUAGAUUCUAAUCCUUCCAGUUGUGAUGGUAUACCGGGGUUAGUAGCAGGAACAGCAGCAGCUAUUUGAUUUAAUUGAGAUUCAAUCAUUUUAUUAAAGCUAAUUUGAUUCUUGAUGGCACUAGAGAAAUUAUCCAUUCUAUUAUUUAUAUUUUCUAGCAUUUUAUCAUUAGAUGCCAAUUUCUUAGAUAGGUUAUCCAUUAGCUUCCCUUGAUUAGACACUAACUCUCUCAGAGGUAUAAAAUUAUUAUUAUUGUUGUAAGCAUUGUUACCUUGAUAAUUACCUGAGUAGUUAGGCCUCUGUUGAUUCCAACCUUGAUUUUGUUGAGGACGGUUGUAGUACUUGUUGUUGUUGUUGUUGUUGUUGAUGAUGUAGUUCACAUCCUCAACCAUCUCAGGGCAGUGAUUGCCUGAGUGUCCAGUAUCUCCACACUCCUCACAAGUCAUGUGAGAGUCAUAGAUGUGCAUAACUUCUUUCUUAUCUCCAGCUCUAUCGUCGAGCUUCUUCAUGAGCAGGUCUAGCUUUGCAGACAACAUGUCUACCUCCUUGAGCUGAUGCAUACCUCCACCUCUCUUGCGUGUCUGGGUCCUCUCAUCAUUCCAGCCUUGGUUGGACGCCAUCUUCUCCACAAGAGCUGUGGCUUGUGGUAUAGUAAGUGAUAAGAAUGCUCCUCCAGCUGCAGCAUCCAUGGUUUCUCGGGCACUGUUGCCGAGUCCAUGAUAAAACGUCUGCAUCAGUAGCCAACUCUCCAUUCCAUGAUGGGGACAUUCUAGGAUGUAGUCUUGAAAGCGCUCCCAUGCUUCUGGAACAGAUUCAUCAUUUUGUUGCUGAAAACUUGUAAUCUUCCCACGGAGAGCAUUGGUCUUGCCCAUGGGAUGGAAUUUAGCUAGGAAGUUUGUGGAGCAGAGUGCCCACGUAGUAUUCUUCUCCUUUGUAGCGUAGAACCACUGCUUCGCUCUUCCUAACAGUGAGAAUGGGAAGUGGCGAAGUAGUAUAGCAUCUCUGGAGACUCCUGAUAUGGUAAAUGUGCUGCAUAUCUCCAGGAAGUGUUGGAGAUGAGCACUAGCAUCUUCGUGUGCCUUCACACAGAACUGGUUGGAUUGCACCAUGUUGAUAAGUCCAGGCUUGAGCUCAAAGUUGCCAUCGAUCUCUGCAGCAGGUCCAGUGCGGAUGUUGUCCGUAGUGGGAGCUGAGAACUCGUGGAUCGAUUUGUUCGCCAUGGCUUCGAACUCUGAAGACAAGUUCCGAUGAUCUUCUUGAUUGGAUGAAGCUUCUUGCUGAAGUGUUGAUGAUCUCUUCUUGAGCUUGGCUCUUGUUUUCCUGAAUAAUGCUUCGGGAUUGUCAACAAAAUUUCCUGGAAGAUGUCUUCUACUCAUACAUUCCCCUGCAUAAGAUAAAAUGGAAAAAUAUCGGGGUAAAACUAUAUGAGAGAAUAGAUAAGCUCAAUCAUAUUAGUGAUGCAAAUGAUAACUCGAAAAUCCUUUAUUCAUUCUUGGUUAGUAGUCAACCUUCCCCGCCAACGGCGCCAAAAAUGCUUAUUGGGUAUUCUUAACAUCACUACCAAACGUAGACUUAGUUUUCUAAUUCUGAUAACGGUGCCAAAAAUGCCAAACCUAACCCUCACACCACUUAAGCCAAGUUUUCAUCCCCAACAUGACAUGAGAGACGUGGUAUUGAAAUAUGCAAUUGCUCUUCUAAAUAAAUAAUGAAUGGGAUCUGCAAGCGCACGGAUUAAUAACGAUGUAGCAUUUUAACCGGGAAGUAUUCCAGGUAUCGUUAUUUAUAUUUUUACAGCUGGGAAGGGAUUAGCAAUCAUCAAUAUUGAUUACAGAAUAGAAUAUGAGAUUGAGUAUCUAUCAUUGCAUGUAUAAUUGAGAACAUUGUAUCUAAUUCUUUCAUAUAGGGAUAAGUGUCACAUAAAGGAUAUAUAAAGUAAUGAAUAGUGACAAAGUUAAUUAAUCUGAUCAUAACUAGCCACAUAAUAAAUAUGAUAAGCACCUUAAUUAGAUACUCUAGAAAGUCAUUAGCAUGGUAUUAGAACGAACUACAAGAAUAUUUCCUAAGUUAUUCUCAACUACAUAGUCUAGCAUUAUCAUAAUUAGUGCAAGCAUACUUAGCAAUCAUUGUGAGACAAGACUACGCCCAUGCAUAGUGAUAUUAGCAAGCUAAAUGAGAAACAUAGCAAUCACUCCCCUGUAAUAAUAUUGCUCUGCUAGCCCAAUACACGAGAGGGGGACUAUAUAAGAAUCAAUGAAGCUGUCACUAUCAUGAACUACCCAACGAUCUGGCAUAUUGGGUACAAUCGCAGAUAAAUACGGUAUAAGCACCACGCCUACACAAUAUCUAUCAUUUACCCAUGGAUCCGAUGGAUAAACGCUAUACGAUCCUAAGCAUGUAUAUAGAUCCAAUCUAACUAAGCCAAGUACAUAACUAUGAUAAACUAAGAACAAUAUAAUUUUGAAUAUAAACAAGUAGAGCAAAGUCAUAAGCAAUAUAUUGAAGUAGAACAAAGUCAUAUUCAUAAUAUUGAAGAAAAAAGAUGAUUAGAAAGCAAUUAGAAGCACAAUGAGAGAAUUACCAAGAAUCCUCUUGACAGAUCCGGAAACCAAUCGAAGAUUGGCUCCUUCUAGUUCUAAUCCUAUGUAGCUAUGCUAAUCUAGAUGUCUAAUUGAUGUGGUGGCUCUAAUCUUGAUCAGAGGCUUCUUCUCUCUUGAGGAACAAUGAAUUAGGGUUGAGAGGCUCUCUUCUCCAGGGGCCAGGGGGUCUGGUUUUAUAGUCCCUUCAAGUGAAUAUGGGCCGUUGGAUCAAACGGACAUUGAUGGAACGGUUAUCCUUGAUCCUUUAGGUCGGUGGAGCGUCGUGUGCGAAAAGAGUCCCGAUUGGGCUCGGCAGGAGGGCGGGCGCCCAGGGCAACUGUGCGGGCGCCCAGUCCCUGGCCCUGUUCGGCCUCCGCUUCCUUCCUAUGGCUUCUGGAGUCUUCCAGAUGUAAGAUAAUUGCGCGGCACGUUAAUAUCUCUAUGUAAUCCUGACGUGUGGGCCUUUCUUCCGUAUUUCCUGAUAACCACCUGCAGAAAUAGACAAACACCAAAACUCGUGGAAUUCUGUCAGAUAAAACCCUAAGUCUAGAUGUUGAUUUCAUUUGGAUCCUUUUAUUUGUUUAUUUGAUAAUUAAAUUUGAUACUUAAGGACCGUCAACAGUCUGCAGGAGAGUUGCCGAUGAGGGUGGUUGCCGAUGAAGGGGCAGCUGAAUGUGACUAAGUCCAUGGGUGGUGACGUGUUCAUGCCGAUGGUCAGCGUUAACCUUUGCCGAUUGCUACGAUGAGGAGUCUGCCGAUGAUUCGGAAGGAGAACCUGAAGGUUACCGAUUGGUCUAUGGUGGUGUCCCAGUUUGUCACGGGAGGAUAGUUUUGUGUUUUCCUUAGUUAAUUAAAUUGUUUUGUAUACGAAUUUUGUUUAAUUUGGAAUUCAAGUCCUAGUCGUGUCUGAUUGUAGCUCUUUGAGCAGGGUAUAAAUGUGGACCCUGGGGCCUUGCAAGAAUCAAUCUAUCAAUCAAUCAAACACAAGUUUUUACUCAUAUUCCAGCAUCUACUUUUUCGAUGACUUCGUCAUAUUUUCCUUUUCAUUACGAGUUCUUAGGAGUUCGUCGACUUAAGCUUGGCGUUUUCUCCAGUUCCGCGUGAAUACCCCUUGGCCGUGGCAUCCGGGCGCAUCGCUGUUGUCGGGACCAAAGUAUUCGAGUUAUCACCUUUGCCGAUAGUAAGGUCAAAUCGGCUAGCACGCCUUAACGUUUAAAUCGGGUAUUAGCCCUUUGUGUUUGCAGAUCCACUUUUUGCAUCAACACAUCUUUUGGCACGCCCAGUGGGACCAGAUUCAAGACCAAGAUCGACAUGGCGACUAGCGAUUUCGACUUGGAGAAUGUCUGUUGACGGUCCUUACUUAUUAAAUUUAUUUAUCAAAUAAACAAAGAAAAGGAUCUAAAUGAAAUCAACAUCUAGACUUAGGGUUUUAUCUCACAGAAUUCCACGAGUUUUGGUGUUUGUCUAUUUCUGCAGGGGGUUAUCAGGAAAUACGGAAGAAAGGCCCACAUGUCGGGAUUACAUAGAGAUAUCAACGCACCGCGUAAUUUUCGACCAUCUAGAAGACUCCAGAAGCCACGGGAAGGAAGCGGAGGCCGAAAGGGGCCAGGCCCAGGGUGCCCGCCCCCUGUUGGAUGCCAGUCAGGACUCUCUUCGCACGGGAUGUUCCACCAACCUAUUGGAUCAAGGAAAACAUAGUACCACCUAGCCUAUCGACCCAAAAACGCAUAGAAGGGGAGGACUAUAUAAGGAGACCCCCUGGCCCCUAGAGAAGACAUGAAGAAAUUAUCAUAGAGACUGAGGGGUGCCCUCGAAGGAAAACCUCUUCUCUAAUUAAUAUUUCUUUUUAGGCUUAGCAACCAAUGUAAGGUAGAAAUAGAUCUUCUAGUUUCUACUAGAUUGAGAGAGAUAGAGUGGAGGUGUAGAUUGGAGGAAGCCCGGCCUGUCGGUGUCUACUCCAAGCUUGUACCUACGGGAUCAAGUUCUCCUAACCCGAAGCUUGCUUCUAGGAUUCUUCAGUAAUUCGACUUCGAAAUUCUAGUAAGUUCUUGUUUUAUUGUUCUUAUGGUUUAUGAGUUUACUUUAAUCUCUUCGCGUAGAGUUUAGAGUAAUCAUUGCUGGCGUAAACGUGGUGUUUAGGCUGGGGUACUCAUAGAUAUUCCCUGACUAGCUGGACCGUGGUAGUAGUGAGGAACGUGACAAUUCCGAGUUACCUUUGUAGAUCACAUCUCGUUAGCAGGAAGGAUAGGGGUUAUAGGUGCGGGUCGAACAUCCUUUUUGGUGUCUAGAUUCCGUUAGCCUCCCCAUUAGCACAGUAGAUCAUCCUUACCAAGGUUAGAAGGAGACUACGGUUGCAGUCUUCUCUAUUUAUCACUCACAUCGAAAGACAUUCUUUGUGCCUAAAGGUUAGUAGUAAUAGACCGGUUAGUCAGAUGCACUCUUUCUCCUAGUGGUAAAAAAUAAAUACGAUACUCUGGAUAAUUUCCCGGGUGAAGUGCUCACCGAUAUCCGUGCGCUUGCGGAUCAAUUCCUUAUUGCGUUCCCAAAUAUCAACAAGCAUUUCUGGCGCCGUUGCGGGGGAGAAAGACGAUUGCUGAGAUAACCUGAGUCUUACUAUUAGCUUGUAUCUAUACUUUUAUCUUUUCUUAUCUUUUAUACUCUUUAUUUAUUUUCUUUACUCUUACCUUAUGGAAAACUAAAAUUCUAAAUCGAUCCAUGAGUCUGCAAUCCCUUUAACAACUGACCUUUUACCUUGGGAAUCAUCACAGCCUAUCCAAACAUCCCAGUAUAUGUUAAGUUCUAGGUUGAUUGCCAUGAUUCAAAACCUAUCUUUUUCGGGAAAGGAAGACGAAAACCCUUACCUUCAUAUUAGAGAUUUUGAGCAAACAUGUGGUUGUCUUCGCAUUGAAGGCAUUUCUGAUAAAUUCUAGAUUCCGUUAGCCAAGGUAAGGGUUAGCCUCCCCAUUAGAACAGUAGAUCAUCCUUACCAAGGUUAGAAGGAGAAUACGGUUGCAGUCUUCUCUAUUUCUCACUCACAUCGAGAGACAUUCUUUGUAGCCUAAAGGGAUAGUAGCAAUAGAUUUGGUUAGUCAGAUGCACCCUUUCUCCCAGUGGUAAAAAUAUAAAUACGAUAACUCUCGAUAACCUCCCGGGUGAAAUGCUCAUCGAUAUCCGUGCACUUGCGGAUCAUUUCCUUAUUGCGUUACCAAAUAUCAACAAGCAUUUCUGGCGCCGUUGCCGGGGAGAAAGACGGUUUGCUGAGAUAACUUUGAAUCUUGCUAUUAUCUUGUAUUAUACUUUUAUACUUUUAUUCUUUUAUCUUUUUAUCUUUAUGGAUAACUCAAAUUCCAUACCUAUUAUUAAAUUCUUUGCACCUUCGGAGACCAGCCAUAGACCAUGGGAGUCAACACGUCCUGCCCCUAAUUAUGAUCUGUGUCCAGAGUUGAUUGCAAUAGGUCAAAACCAACCCUUUUCUAUAGCCGAGGUCCUAUCUUUUAAUCAAAAAGAUAAUGCACUUUUAGCUACACCUAGGGAAUCUGUUAAUUUUUCUAUAAAUUCUGGUUUAAACCUAGCCGUACAAGACCAUGUUUUUUCUCGAUAUUUUCACAUUGGUCUUAAUCAUAUACCCUUUGGUAGAGUCUUUCUUUCUUUAUCUAUUAGUAAAGGAAGGUAUGUCUUCAUUCGUGGACAUCCUUCUUGUACUAGUCUUCAUAGAAUAAUCUUAGAGAUAGAGAAGGAAUCAUCUCCCAGACGAGGAAAGGAAGUUUCAAUAGCCGAUUUCCAAACAUUUCAAUCCCUUAAUUCGGCUAUCCAUCCCAUCCUUGAGCUUAAUAAUUUCUACAAUGCUUUUUCUCUUGAACCUCCCGAUAAUCCUAUGAAUCUCUCUAGACAUCCCAUGCAUAAGAAGGAGUAUCGAGAAGAGCAGCAUCAAUGGCUAGAGGGCAUUAAAAAUCCAUGGGCUAUCACCAUUGAAUGGAUAGAUAAAACAAACUUGAGAGACAAUCCUAGAGGAAUUUUAAGCAUUCAUGAAGAAUCAUCCUUGGAGUUUAAGAAUGAGAGAAACAACAGUGAGCAUGGAAGUUAUUUCAUAAAUACCUCACCCAGUCCUUGCUCAUAUAAAACAUCUCUCCAAUCAAUUUGUCUCUCCAUCCUUACCACAUUUGAGAUCUCCAACCCCCUCUUCCUCUUCAUUUAUAAAAACUUUAAAAGGGCGGUUGUCGAUGUAUAUGUCUAUAAUAAAUAUUGCAGAUCUUGUUGAGUUGAUCUUGAUAUAGGUAGGUGUUGGAAGGGAAACCACUUCACCAACAUAACUUGAUGGUUUCCCAAGGACAAGCUUAGUAUCCUAAAACAAGCACUUAUCAGAUCAUAACAUGAACUUCUAAUUAUUUGCAACAUUGCCUUGUGUAUUGAGCAUAUAAAGAUAAUUGUAGAAAUAUUCCUUCGGGUAUUCUUGUCACUAACCUUUCCAGAAUUGGAGCAACAAGAUCGGAUGAAUGGCAAGCACAGGGUAUGUCCAACCAACCAUCACACAACAUUGAAUUAAAUUCAUCCAAACUUGAAUUUUGUAAAAUUCAAGCUUGGGGGAGUACUUUACAUAAAAACAUCUUUUGCCAUGUUGCUACGUUGGUGGUCCUUACCUUUGAGACAUGCUCAAUUUGUUAAAUACUAAUUACACUACUUCAUCUCCACUUAAGUAGAUCUCUAUAAAUGCUCUCAUGCUACCUUUAUUUGCUUUAGUAUAUGUCUAGGUUUGGAAUAGUUUCAUUUAUCUCUUAAUUAAGCAUGGUGCUUAGUUUAGGAAUGAUGAUCUUACUUCCAAGGGAUUUUAAAUUAAGCAUGGUGCUUAGGUUAAAAUGCCCUUCUAAAUCAAAUUAGACAUGGUGUCUAGGUUGAUUUUUAAGCCGAUAGUAUGCUAUAGUAGAUAUGGGAUAUUUUGUUGGACUAACCCCUACAGGGAAACUUUCAAUAUCAACCUGGGAAGUCCUGAGAUAAACUCGCAUUGGAGAUGAAGAAAGUGAUACAUGAAGUUUAACAAUUUGCACAAGAAAGACGUGGCUCAUAAGAGAUGAUUCAUGGAGGGUGCCACAAACACGAUGCACAAACCGCUAAGAAAGGAAAGCUUCCACAAGGUGAUACUGUACCGUCACUCUUCAAGUAAGGUAACACCUUAAGGUACUUGACUAUCGCUUUUUUAAGCUUCUCCUUGGUUCUAGCAUUCACAUAAAUAAAGAGACAAACAUGUAUGAUUUAUAACUCUAGAUUAACCAACUCAAUUAAUUCAACAUGUUUAGUCCUUUAAUCUUUGUUCUUAGUACUACCUUCGUGAUCCCACGCUCCUAAACAUAUAAGCUAAUAUGUUGCACAUUCAAUAUUUGGAAGAUAUAAACAAAAUAUAAAUAUAGAUAGAUUAUCUUUCUAUUAGGUUGAGCCAUCUGAUCUGACAAAUGUUUCAAAUACUACACUCAUGAUCUUAUUAUCCAUCAACUUUGUCUUGCUCACUAUGCUUAAGGUUAGAGAAAAACAAAUACACUUUUGGUUCUGUUGGUGUUCUCCACCAACAGAGCCCAUGCACUUGAUCUCUACCUUGUCUCUAUGAACAAGUACACUUCAAGCAAAACAUGGAGGAGUUUUACAACUCCCAGACUCCACCAAGUAAAGGACCUGGAUCUAUGAGCACAAACACACUGAGCAGGAUAUUGCCAACACCAUACUUCAAGCUGCUGGGCAAAGAAGAACAUGGGUGACACCGUAUCAAGAGGUGCAGACGUCAAGGUCCACACCUAAUCAAAUGAUGCACCUAAAGGAUGAAGAUGGUGGAAAGUCUUGUUCAGAAGACUUAAAACAUUGGAUCCUUGUCGGAAGAGGUCAACACCGUCGACUCAAGUCACCUUUCUUGAUCAAGAAGGACGACCCUAGUGUUCCAAGCAUCGAGUGCGCAAUCAAUGGAUACUCUUUUCAGAAGACACUCUACGACACCGGAUCUGACGACAACAUAAUGGCCGCAGUCACUUAUCAGCUCCUGCAUGGAACCAUGCCCCUACAACCAAUAUAUUCAGCUCUAGAUGAUUUUCAGGUCAUUCACAUGGGAGAAGACGAAUAUGAUCCACCCACCAUCCUUGGAAGACCGUUCCUCAACACUAUCAAAGCAAUCAUCUACAUUGGAACCGGAGAAGUCCACAUAUACUUCCACUCUGAGAAGGUACGCAACUAUUUUACUGACCAUAACUAUAUAGUUGAAGACUCUAAGCAAGUCAGGACAAGAAGACGACGCAACCGCAACCAGAGGAGGCAAAUCAUCGAGAACGGAUGGGUAGACUACGAAGGAAAAGUGAUAAGGACUGAAGUCAUACAGCUUGAACAGAACUGUCCUGAGGAGACCGUAGCACCGAGUCAGGUGUGGAGGGAGAAGAUAGUUAUACACGAAGAGAGGCGCCGCCGGAAUCACCGACUACGCCACCUAGCGAAUCCCAGGACGACUGAGAAAACAGAGAGUCCCGUUCGGAGGACAUAAAAAUACCGAACGCCUUGCCAAGAGGUAAUCUUGGUAGUUACCAUUUCCAUUCAAUUAUUCAAUUAUAAUUUGCUUAGUUAAUCAGGUUCAUGCUAUCUUGAAAAGAGAAUAAAAAUAUUAAAAAAUAGUAAGCCCCAUGUGAGUAUGCUCAUGGCAUAAAACCCAUAAGUACAUUCACUGUGGUGGCAUAAAAAUAAAAUAAAUAAGUUUUCAUCUUACAAUAAAAAUAUAUAUAUAUAUAAUAAGUAUAUGAUCCUGCUAAAUAAAUAACAUUUAUUAAGGAAGCUCAACAUGAUGAAGGCUAGAUAUUUAUGCUAACACUUAAUUAGUUCCACAAGCUUUGUUGUCUAUUUGAGCUCCACAAAAUUUAAGAAUCAAGAAGACUAGUAGACGGAGGACAUUCUAAUCGCUGUCAGAAUGCUGCUGACUUUCAAAUACACCUCUGCCACCUGCUAGCUACAUCAAGGGAAAUUACGUCAAAAUUCAGCUUGGGGGAAAGCACCCCCAUUAUUCUCGCUAAGUAUUUCUACCUAUCUUUAUACUUAUAUUAUGUUAGAAUAUUAAAAUACAUAAACUAUGAAAAACCAAAUAAAGAUUUUGUGCUUAUAUAUAUUUUGCUUAGUAUGUUUAAUAAAUAAAUAAAGUGGCUAUGCUAAUCUGAAUCUUAAUAAUAAAACUCUAGCAUGGAUAUGAUGAAUAGUUGCUCUGCCUAAUUUGCAAUUUUGAAGUUCCCUGUCAAGUUUAGACAUAACUGUUAUAAUUUAAAGCUUGCUCUAGAUCUAAACUUGUGGGAUGAAAACUUGAUCUAAAAUCUAAGUUGUUAACGGAUAUGAUAUGGGAAGGUUGAGUUGCUGUUUAUCUGUUCCUAGAGAUGCUAGAAUUUUUGAAAAUUUUAUCUUGAAAAAUCUUUAAAAUAUUGCAUGAUGAGUUCCUGUAUGAUGAGAGUUUAAAUUCCUACCACAGCCAUAUAUACAUGCUUGCUAGACUUUGAGCCACACAUUUACUAUUUACUGCUUAUGAGCGUUGAGUGUGGUCAAGCUGUGUAGACCCUUAGGAGCUUGUCAUGUGGUUAAAUCAAGAUUCACUUGCACGUUCACUCAUAUAUGCUACUUCUACUACGGAAGUACCAUCCACAUAUAUCCAUCCAUUUCCAUCUCCAGAAUCACCCAAAAAUAUUCUACUCCUAAUCCGGGAGAGAAUAGUCAAAAACAUUUUCCUAUCCCUGUUAUUCCCUGUGAAAUAAAUGCUCCAAAUAUUUUGGUUACUACCACUUGCUAUAUUAUCUCAAGAGAUGAGUGUUCUGAAAAAAAGAAAGAAAAGAGAAAAUAUAUAUAUAUAUAUAUAAACGAGGAAAUAAAAAGGGGCAAGUGCCCGGAACCUCGAAAGAAAGAAAAAGUGAGACGAGAGGUAAAAAUGGACAAGUGUCCGACAGUAGAAUUAGGGGUACAAGAUACCCACCUGAGAGGAAACAAAAAGAAGAGCAUCUCAUUCUCUUCAUAAAGUUUCAAAAAGCAAGGAAGCUAUGUAACCCCUCAAAAGAGCAAAAGUAAAAUUAGACUUUCACCAUUGUUAUUACCAUCAUCACCAUACACCAUUCAUUCGCCACACAUGCACAUCUUGAUUUGGCUUAUUGAUUUGUUUCUCUGGAUCCAUGGCUUGACUAUGCAAUAAAUGUCUUGUAAGUAUGUAUUAACGGUCUCCCACCUAUGAGCUCCAGAUAUCAAGCCUUAUUAGAGUAGGGUGAGAGAGAAGGCAAUAUCACUAUGCCCUAUACCAUAAAAUACCACAUAUCUUGAGAGAAGGCAUAUACCAUCAAUGCCUUGGUAAGGAUCUAGAAAUACCACAAAAUAGAGAUAUGAGAGAGUCAUACAAGGAGUCUCUGAGUUUUAUUUGAAAAUCUGCAAAAAAAAACCCCAGAGCUAUAGCUGAUCAAGAAUAAGAGACAUGGCACUUGGCUAGACUGUUCUAUCUUUUAACCUCUCAAGACAGAAGUGACGGUUACAAGUCCCAUGGUGAAGGUAAAGUAAGUUUUAAGUCUUGACAGUUUACUCUAACUCAGAGAUGAGAUCUUAUUUAAAAAGCAUGUGUACCGUCAAUUUUUAAAGAUAUUGCAACAAAUUCUAAUCCAUUGCUGAGUCUAUCCUUGCUCAGGGACGAGCAAGAGGUAAGCUUGGGGGAGUUUGUUGACGGUCCUUAAGUAUUAAAUUUAUUUAUCAAAUAAACAAAGAAAAGGAUCUAAAUGAAAUCAACAUCUAGACUUAGGGUUUUAUCUGACAGAAUUCCACGAGUUUUGGUGUUUGUCUAUUUCUGCAGGGGGUUAUCAGGAAAUACGGAAGAAAGGCCCACAUGUCGGGAUUACAUAGAGAUAUCAACGCACCGCGCAAUUUUCUACCAUCUAGAAGACUCCAGAAGCCACGGGAAGGAAGCGGAGGCCGAAAGGGGCCAGGCCCAGGGCGCCGCCGCCCUGGUGACCUGGGCGCCCGCCCCCUGUUGGAUGCCAGUCAGGACUCUCUUCGCACGGGAUGUUCCACCGACCUAUUGGAUCCAGGAAAACAUAGUACCACCUCGCCUAUCGACCCAAAAACGCAUAGAAGGGUAGGACUAUAUAAGGAGACCCCCUGGCCCCUGGAGAAGACAUGAAGAAAUUAUCAUAGAGACUGAGGGGUGCCCUCGAAGGAAAACCUCUUCUCUAAUUAAUAUUUCUUUUUAGGCUUAGCAACCAAUGUAAGGUAGAAAUAGAUAUUCUAGUUUCUACUAGAUUGAGAGAGAUAGAGUGGAGGUGUAGAUUGGAGGAAGCCCGGCCUGUCGGUGUCUACUCCAAGCUUGUACCUGCGGGAUCAAGUUCUCCUAACCCGAAGCUUGCUCCUAGGAUUCUUCAGUAAUGCGACUUCUAAAUUCUAGUAAGUUCUUGUUUUAUUGUUCUUAUGGUUUAUGAGUUUACUUUAAUCUCUUCGCGUAGAGUUUAGAGUAAUCAUUGCUGGCGUAAACGUGGUGUUUAGGCUGGGGUAAUCAUAGAUAUUCCCUGACUAGCUGGACCGUGGUAGUAGUGAGGAACGUGACAAUUCUGAGUUACCUUUGUAGAUCACAUCUCGUUAGCAGGAAGGAUAGGGUUUAUAGGUGUGGGUUGAACAUCCUUUGUGGUGUCUAGAUUCCGUUAGCCUCCCCAUUAGAACAGUAGAUCAUCCUUACCAAGGUUAGAAGGAGACUACGGUUGCAGUCUUCUCUAUUUAUCACUCACAUCGAGAGACAUUCUUUGUAGCCUAAAGGGAUAGUAGCAAUAGAUUUGGUUAGUCAGAUGCACCCUUUCUCCCAGUGGUAAAAAUAUAAAUACGAUAACUCUGGAUAACCUCCCGGGUGAAAUGCUCACCGAUAUCCGUGCGCUUGCGGAUCAUUUCCUUAUUGCGUUACCAAAUAUCAACAAUGUCAUCCCCGUGACAGAAGCCAAUCUCAGAGAUGAGCAGAAGCAAGCUCUUGCAAAGGCUAUGGAGGAUUACAAGCAACAAUGUUUGAAGUCCUUCAGCGUAAACAGGAGUGGCGAGGUGAUCCAGAAAGAAGCACUGCCGAUGCCUCGGUAGGUUACUUUUGAAGCCAAUCCUGGUAAACUUCAAGACAUGGUUGAUAGUGCUAUUAACCGUGCCCUAAUCAAUCAAGCUAGUGUGCUGUCCACUACGAUUUUUAAUGCCGUGGCUAGGACUUUCAAGGAAGGGCAAUUACCACCAAAUUAUGUUGGUCCUUCUCAUCAUUGUUGACACUAGCUAACACCAAUUAGAUACUAGGUUGUCAUCCCUAGCAUGGCGCCAGAGUGUACAAAGGUAUUUAUAAAUGUGAAGGCUCUUUAGAAAAUAAUCUAUUCUAUCCGCAAGCGCACAGAUAAAACACCUCAUUGUAGCAUUUCACCAGGAUAAGUAUUCUAGGUAUCGUUAUUUAUAAUUUUGCUCUAGGGAUCUAAAGAAGAUGGAAUUAAAUCAAGGGACAAAAUCUAUCAAGGCAUAGACUAGAGAUAAACUUGCAAGAACAUGAUUACUAAUGAGAAACUCGUCACACAGUCACUUACUUUAGCAGGGGGUAAACCAUAAAGAUAAUGAUAAUAAAGUAUAAGUUCAUGGGAUAAAGAGCACAGCGAUUAGAAAAUAGACUACUCCUCAUAUAUGUAGGUGAUGUCGGAUUAGCUAGAGAAUGGAUUCUAAGUUAUCUACUAACUACUAAGUCAUAAUCUACUCUAGUUAUCUACAAGAUCAUAUAUAGCAUAAAAGACUCUUCAUUCAUGUAUAAGGAACAUUGAUAAAGUAAAUCAGAACAUCGCAUGACUUACUCCACAAUACCGGUUCUGCCUGUCCUAUCAACGGAGGGUGGACUAUAUAAGAAUCAACGAAGCUGUCAUUAUCGCGAACUACCACACGACUCGGCCAAUAGGAUACAUUUGUAGAUAAAUAACAUCUAAGCACCACGCUCACAUGUGAUCUAUCACCUAACUCCCUCGCGACAAGAGCUAAGCGCUUUGCAAACUUAUACAUAAACUCAUUAUCAAUUAGAACUAUAUCAAAUAUAGAACUAGAGCAAACUAAGAACAUAAUAAUUAGAGACAUAAUGCAAUUAGAACAAUAGAAUUAGAGAAAGAUAUGAAUAAUACCAAUCUUUAUUACCGAAGAUCCGAAUCCAGAGCGUAGUGCUCUACUUCUCUAAUUGCUAUCUAAUCAACCUCUAAACUUGAAGGAUUAGGGAGUAGCUAAUUCUAAUUCUCUGUGGAAGAGAGAUCUAAACCCUAACUUUGAUGGCUACCUCUGAAUAAUGGUUUCUCCUCCUCUCCUCCAGGGGCCAGGGGGUCUGGUUUUAUAGUCCCCUCAAGUGAACGUGAGCCAUUGGAUCAAACCGACAUAGAUUGUAUGGUUUAGAUUGAUCCUUUAGGUCGGUGGAGAGUUGUCCCGAGAGAGAGUCCUGAUCCAACUCCUGGCCAGGGCGGGCGCCCAAGGGGGGUGGGCGGCCGCCCAGCUCCCGAGCCCGAAUCGCGUCCCUUUCGUUCCCGUGGCUUCUGGAUCCUUCUAGAUCAAGGAAAAUUGCGCGGCAUGUAAUUAUCUCAUUAUAAACAUGACAUGUGGGCCUUCUCUCCCUAUUUUCUGAUAAACCCCUGCAGAAAUAGAUAAACACCAAAGCUCGUGGAAUUCUGUCAGAUAAAACCCUAAUUCUAGAUGAUUGUUUCAUAUUGAUCCUUUUUCAUGUUUAUUUGAUUAUUAAUUUUAGUACUUAAGGACCGUCAACAAACUCCCCCAAGCUUACCCUUUGCUCGUCCCUGAGCAAACAGCUAAACUCAGACGGAUCAGGAGUUGCAUCGAUGUUUUCUUUCCUGACAGGCACACAUGCUUUUACAUAAAAAAUUCUUCCAGAUUAUAGUGAAGUGUUAUGGAGUUUAGUACCUGCACUUAAAUCUUAAGUAAUCAAAAGACAAAAUAGUUAAGUCAAGCACUACCCCUCCUGUUUAUACUUCACCUUUGUUCUAGAGUUUUUCAUAAGUUUUCAAAAUAAAACUCAGAGUUCCCAGCAAUGAUUCUCUCAAGUCUCUGUAUAUGUGGUAUUUGUGGAUCCUUACCAUAAUGUCACUUUCCUAUAGCUAAUGGAAUAUUUAAGUGGAGCUCAUAGGAGUGGAAAACAGCUCAUACAUAUGUUGUCUAAUCGAGCCAUGGAUCCAAAGGAACUCAGCAUAUAAUUAAAUCAAGAUGUGCAUGUGUGAUGGAGUAAAUGAUAGUGAUGGUGAAAAUGCAUAAGUGAUAAUAAAACUUAGUUCUCAUUGCUCCUCAUAUUGCUAUCUCUCCUCUUCUUUUUGAUCUUUGCUUUGGGAGAACAUGGGCUAUCUUUUUUUUCUUUUUUCUCUUUUUUUUUCAGGUGGGUAAUAGAUACCCCUAAUUCUACUGUCGGACACUUGUCCAUUUUUUCGGCUCAAGUGGGCAUCUUUGUACCCCUAAUUCUACUUCGGACACUUGUCCAUUUUUACCUCUCGUCUCACUCUUUUUCUUUCUUUCUCUGAGGUUCCGGGCACUUGCCCCUUCUUAUUUCCUCGUAUAUUUUUGCAUAACCCAUACCUCUUCUGCAUUGAAUCUUUUUAGAGAGAGAGAAUAACAAUACUCGGGACAGUGAGUGAUAAUAUUUUUAGCAAUUUUAAUGAUUGAUGAUGAAUGCUGUGGUAGAUGUGUGCAAGUGAAUAUCUUAAUUUAACCACAUGAAAAGCUCCUAAGGGUCUACACAGCUCGAUCAAACUCAAUGUGAAUAUAGUAAAAGAUGUUAAAGCAAGUAUGGCUGUGGUAGGUAGUUUGUUAUGCUAGGAACUCAUCAUGUGAUUUGUAAGUUUUCAAAAAUAAAUCUCUAGAACUUGGUGUAGUAGGAACAAGAUAAACAGCAGCUCAACUUUAUAUCAUGCCUUUCUCUUACCUAGACUUUAGUUUUUACGCUUCCCAAAGAUAGUAAUUUCAGUUUUAGUAAUUCCUGGAAGAACUCUAAUAUAAAAGCUAGGUACUUGUAAGUAAGCAAACAGAGCAACUAUUCAUCAUUUCCAUCAUGUAUAUUUUUGGUCUUUUUGUUUUUUCUAGAGAUUAAACUUAGCAGGAAAAUAAAGCACACUUAUCUACACACUCUUUUUAUUUUGUUUUCAUGUUUAUAAAGUGCAGUGAAUUAAAGCAAGAAAAUAUUUAUUUGGUUUUCUAAGUUUUUCUUUUAAGGUAAAUUAAAUAAUAAAUAAGAAGAGCAAAUAUAAACUUACUUGAUAAAUUGGGGAGGAACUCCCCCAAGCUGGAUGUUGACGUGGGUCUUACCCGAUGUUCCAGAACCGCAUCAUGGUUGUGAUGUUGUCGUUCAUUGUUGUUGUAUCUUGUCUCAGCUCUUCUACUGCAGCGGCAUGGUCCUGGUUCCAUUUUUGUUGUUCUUCCAGGAGUCUUCCAUGUUCUGCUUGCGUGUUCUGGAUGUCGAGGAGGGUGUUGUCGGUACGAGUGAAGAAAGCACCGGCCUCUUGAUAGUAGUCAUUCGUGAAGGCGUAGGAGGCGUCGGAGUAUCGUCCUGUAUCAAAUUGGGGUGGAGGUCUGGAUCCUGAAGCUCCAUAUGGAUCAGUGGAGUACCUGCCCGUAUGAAAAGGCGGGUUUGUCCACUGGUGAUCUUGGCUCUCCGGCCAUGUCUCCUCUGUUGGCUCUUGUGGUUGCGCAUGUCGAGCCCAUGGGUCUCGAAGGACUCGUGGAUUGUAAUCGCAAUAAUGCAGGUGCGCUGCUUCUUCUGGUCCAGGGUUAGCUCCAUACCAAGUGCGUUCUCGGUGAGUGGUUAUCCUUUCAGAUGCCACUCGCUGUGGAGUUCUCUGAUUCACUGGUGUUGCUGCAAUCUCAAUCGAAAAGUUUUGCACAGAGUAGAGGCCAAGGUUCGGGUUAGGUAACCGAAUCUUGCCUUUAUCAUCAUAUAGCAUAUACAUUAUAUUCCCCUCUUUCUUUAACAUCCGAGCUUGUCUAAAUGUGUCAUAGCCAUGAUAAAUUCUUAAUUCUUCUAUGAAGUCCAACGAUGAGUUUUCUAGUAAGUGAAGAUUAGUGGCUAGACGAGUGAUAAGUGAAGUACAUCCUACUGGUCCCUGAAGACUAGGUAUACUAAGCCAAUGUGAAACUAAUAGUGUAACAGGUGAAGUAGGUACUUUACUAAUAGCAGCAUAUAAAAGUUAUAAAUCUCCUACUCUUACUUUCCUAAUAUCGUCGCGAUAGAAAAGAUUGUACCCAAGCCAUUUGUGGAACAUCCUAAGAGUGGGGUGUUCCAUGUCACUGGUUCGGGCUUGACUGUAAAAAUUAUCUCAAGAUAUUUCUCUCCAAAACUGGUGUCUCUCAACAUUGGGUAAAUCGGAGUCAAUGUUCAGGAUGCAUCUUGAAGAAAAACCAAGAUGGUCGCUUAGCUCUCUCCAAGACAACAUAAUUUUCUGUUUGAACAUCCGAAAAACAAUUCCCCCCUCAUAGUAUUGUAAGGUGCAAAGAAAUUCGAGGAUGAGAAGACGAGAACCCAGCUCAGUUAUAUUCCAAAAAUUUGUCCAACCCAUCAUUUGAAAAAUUAAGUCAAAUUCAGUGUCCAUACCUGUUUCUCGUAGUAGGAUUGGAUCGAUAGUAGGGGUGUGAAUGAAAUCCUUGUUCUUCAGUUGCUGAUAGACUUCCUUCUCUCUUCGGGUCUUCAGUCCUAGGUCUCCUAUCUUGAGAAGGACCUUAACUUGCUGACCUGAUGAAGAUGAUGGACCUUGUGUGGGUGUCGGGUCGACGUUCAUCUCUGAUGGCUGUGAGGAGUGUCGGGAUGAACUCCUUGUACCAAGGUUCUUGAUAGCCUUCCCUGCAUUCUUCACCUUCUUAAACAUCCUGCAAAAGUUGGCAAAAACACAACUGGUGGAAAAUGUGAGAUAAAAUGUUAGUGGUUAGCUGUCCGGAGUGUCAGUAGUCCAGGGGUUAAUCGUUCAAGACAAGUUUCUAUUUUGGUAUAGCCUCCCCCUAAACAACUUUUACUUCCGCUUAGACAGCGGGAUCACUACUUGCUAGGUGACAAUCACUCUCUCAAAAGAACUCCAACCUUCCCUUCCACUCUCCUCUUUCUCUCUACUCUCUAUUCUCUUUACUACAAAAGUUCCUCCUCGGGAAACUGAGAUUUGUGUGCUUUUCUGAAGUGUUUGUGUGAAGAGAAGGGAAACUGGAGGUGGCCUUUUAUAGGCUGAGCAGGGGACAGGGCGGGCGCCCACCCCUGGUGUCCAUCCUGGGUGUGCCUCCUCCACUUGCUUCCUUGCUUUGAUCUCACGCAAAAUAAUGUUGUGUUGGUAGUGGUUGGACGGUGGAAAGAUGUCAGGUGAGUGGAAACAUAUUGGUGGAUGAAAUUAUGUGAUGGGAUGUAUGUGAGAUGAAGUGUAUGACAAGUGGGACCCAAAGAGUGUGGGUCAUGCUUCUAGAAGAUCAAUAUAAAUAAAUAUAAUGCAGGAAAAUCUAUGAGAAUUGAAACUUAAUGAUAAUGGAAAAUAUUUUUGUGCCUCCACAAUAAUUAAUAAAUAUGGGUUGUUACACACCACGAAUAUUAUUUAUAUGGGGCUUUUUAAUUAUUAUAAUAAUGCCAUGACUAAUUAAUUAUGCAAGAAUUUAAUAUGAGAAAAUUAAUAAUGCGGGUAAAUACCGAUUUACCUCCCGGUGAGGGUUUGGGAUUUUUAGGUCCCCCAAGCUGGACCUCCAAAUCUUUUAAUCUUCUGAGUUUCCUUCCUCCGGAGAUGGUGUCUCCAGUGGUUCUUCAUGUACUUCCUUCACUGUAGAGUCUCUCUCUGGUCUGGGUUUGAAUGUGAAGUGUUCUUCUUGACCGUUUAUGUUGAACUUGAUUUCUCCUUUUCCGACAUCAAUGUGGGCAUUGGCAGUGCUCAGAAAUGGCCUUCCAAGGAUGAUGGACACUUUCGAGUCAGGACUCAUGUCCAGUACUACGAAGUCUACUAGCACCAGGAAAUCUCUGAUCUUGACUGGAAUGUUCUCGGCGAUGCCCAGCGGGUGUCGAACCGAUUGAUCCGCUAGUUGUAGGCACAUUGAUGUUGGUUCUAAGGUUGCAUGCUCAAGCUUUUUGUAGACUGAUGCUGGCAUCACACUGUCACUUGCUCCGAGAUCACAAAGUGCAUUGUUGAAGUGUUGGUUUCCGAUCGAGCAGUCAAUAGUGGGACAUCCGGGGUCUUCCUUCUUUUUUGGUGGUUUGUUGAGGAUGGCCGCACUACAUUCUUCUGUAUGGCAUCGAGCAGAGGUAUGUUGACAUAUAAUUUCUGAAUGACCUCUACAAACUUACCAAACUGCUCAUCCGACUGCAGUCCUCUGUUUCUUCUGGGAAAUGGUAAAUAGUUGGUGUCGUAAAAAUCUUUCUUCAUUUCUCCAGUUCUUGGUGGUUGUAGCAGAUCUUCUGCUUCAACUGGGCUUUCUUCUUCUAUCACUGCUGGUUGCACUGGUGCUGAUGUUCUUUGUUUCUCUUUUGGGUAUGGUGGAUCUCUGGUGGCUUUGCCUUCUCUAGUAGUUAUAUUCUUUACCUGCUCAAGGUUAGUAGCAACAGGCAGUGCAGCAGCUAUCUUUAUUAAUUUAAGCUCUACCCUUUUAUUAAGAGUGUUUUGCUCAUCAAAGGCAGUUAGUAGAAAAUCCAUUUUAUUGUAUAUAUCUUUUAGAGAUGAUUCAUUUGUAUUUAGCCUUUGUUUAACUUCAUCAUUAAUUUUAGUUUGUUGAGCAAUUAUCUCUUUUAGUGAAAGUUGCUUGAAAGUAUUACCUGAAUUCAUACCUUUGCUAUUGGGUUGACUCGAAGUUGGUUGAUAUUUGUAUGCUAUCUCAAUGGCCCUUUGAUCUUCUUUGAACUUGGCCCUCUGGUCAAUCCAAUGGAGCAAAAUUUCCAUCUUAGUUGAUAAUGCUUUUACUUCUUCUGGUAUUUCUUCAGUUUGAUGACAUUGUUGAGCUUUAUCUUGGAACCAGCUUUGGUUUUCUGCUAUCUUAUCCAAAAGUAUCUCUGCUUUUCUAGUUGUAAGCUCCAAGAAUGAUCCUUUAGCAGAUGCAUCUAGGCACUCACGAGCCUUCUGGGUUAAUCCAUGGUAGAAGGUCUGCAUAAGUAACCAUGUGGCCAUUCCAUGUUGAGGACAAUCUGAUACGUAUCCUUGAAAACGCUCCCAUGCUUCUGAAAUGGCUUCUGUCUUCUGCUGUUGGAAACUGACAAUAUUUCCUCUUAAGGCAGUUGUUUUGCCUAUAGGGAAAAACUUUGAUAGAAAGGCAUCUGACAAGUUCGUCCAGUUGUUGAUAUUAUCUUGAUGAGUGUAGAACCACUUCCUCGCUUUCCCUUCUAGUGAGAAUGGAAAAAGGCGAAGCAGUAUGACGUCUUUGUCAACUCCGUUGAUGUGGAUUGUGCUUCCAAUCUCUAAGAAAUUCUGCAAGUGUGCACUGGCAUCUUCAUGUGCCUUUCCACUGAAUUGUGUAGCUUGCACCAAAUUGAUGAGGCUUGACUUGAGCUCAAACUCGGGCAUUCCUUCUUCUACUACAAAUCUUGGACCGGUUGGAAUGUUGUCAAGACUUGGAGCAGAGAAUUCUUGCAAGGUCUUUUGUGCCAUAGCUUCAGCAAUUGGUAUCUAGCUUCUUCUUCUCUAGAUUGCUUUGGUUCUGAUGAUGAAGAGUUGAAUGUACCCAAAGUCAAUCCUGUUAUACCCUGUAUAAAAAUAUAAACAUAGAAAAACAACAGGGUGAACCUGCCAAAGCAGCGGUGCCUUGUUAUGAUUUCUCAUUUAGUAGCUGUUGUAUGCAAUUAUUUCUCUAUAGUCUAGUCUAAAAUUUUAUAUGAAUAACCUUGAUUGAUUUUCUGGCUUUCCUUAAUAAUACCCUUUUGUUCCCUUUUAUGACUUAUUCCUGAGGCUCAUAUAAUUCCUAUAAUGUUCUAUAAUUCCCCGGCAACGGCGCCAGAAAUGCUUGUUGACACUAGCUAACACCACUUAGAUACUAGGUUGUCAUCCCUAGUAUGGCGCCAGAGUGUACAAAGGUAUUUAUAAACGUGAAGGCUCUUUAGAAAAUAAUCUAUUCUAUCCGCAAGCGCACAGAUAAAACACCUCAUUAUAGCAUUUCACCAGGAUAAGUAUUCCAGGUAUCGUUAUUUAUAAUUUUGCUCUAGGGAUCUAAAGAAGAUGGAAUUAAAUCAAGGGACAAAAUCUAUCAAGGCAUAGACUAGAGAUAAACUUGCAAGAACAUGAUUACUAAUGAGAAACUCAUCACACAGUCACUUACUUUAGCAGGGGGUAAACCAUAAAGAUAAUGAUAAUAAAGUAUAAGUUCAUGGUAUAAAGAGCACAGCGAUUAGAAAAUAGACUACUCCUCAUAUAUGUAGGUGAUGUCGGAUUAGCUAGAGAAUGGAUUCUAAGUUAUCUACUAACUACUAUGUCAUAAUCUACUAUAGUUAUCUACAAGAUCAUAUAUAGCAUAAAAGACUCUUCAUUCAUGUAUAAGGAACAUUGAUAAAGUAAAUCAGAACAUCGCAUGACUUACUCCACAAUACCGGUUCUGCCUGUCCUAUCAACGGAGGGCGGACUAUAUAAGAAUCAACGAAGCUGUCACUAUCGCGAACUACCACACAACUCGGCCAAUAGGAUACAUUUGCAGAUAAAUAACAUCUAAGCACCACGCUCACAUGUGAUCUAUCACCUAACUCCCUCGCGACAAGAGCUAAGCGCUUUGCAAACUUAUACAUAAACUCAUUAUCAAUUAGAACUAUAUCAAAUAUAGAACUAGAGCAAACUAAGAACAUAAUAAUUAGAGACAUAAUGCAAUUAGAACAAUAGAAUUAGAGAAAGAUAUGAAUAAUACCAAUCUUUAUUACCGAAGAUCCGAAUCCAGAGUGUAGUGCUCUACUUCUCUAAUUGCUAUCUAAUCAACCUCUAAACUUGAAGGAUUAGGGAGUAGCUAAUUCUAAUUCUCUGUGGGAGAGAGAUCUAAACCCUAACUUUGAUGGCUACCUCUCAAUAAUGAUUUCUCCUCCUCUCCUCCAGGGGCCAGGGGGUCUGGUUUUAUAGUCCCCUCAAGUGAACGUGAGCCAUUGGAUCAAACCGACAUAGAUUGUAUGGUUUAGAUUCAUCCUUUAGGUCGGUGGAGAGUUGUCCCGAGAGAGAGUCCUGAUCCAACUCCUGGCCAGGGCGGGCGCCCAAGGGGGGUGGGCGGCCGCCCAGCUCCCGAGCCCGAAUCGCGUCCCGUUCGUUCCCGUGGCUUCUGGAUCCUUCUAGAUCAAGGAAAAUUGCACGGCACGUAAUUAUCUCAUUGUAAACAUGACAUGUGGGCCUUCUCUCCCUAUUUUCUGAUAAACCCCUGCAGAAAUAGAUAAACACCAAAGCUCAUGGAAUUCUGUCAGAUAAAACCCUAAUUCUAGAUGUUUGUUUCAUAUUGAUCCUUUUUCAUGUUUAUUUGAUUAUUAAUUUUUGUACUUAAGGGCUGUCAACAAUCAUCAGCCAGGAUCACUAGUUGUCACAGCUCCAUGGGCUGCAACAGCCGCUGCAGGCGCCGAAACAGUUGUUCCUCCAAGUACGUUAGGAGUCACUAACGCGCAAUCCACGCCAACGCCGGCCAAUCCAUCAACAUCAGAUGAGUCAAUCAAGCUCACUACAGACCUAUUGGCAUCGGCAAUGUCGGGAUCUGUACCUCCUAACUGGUGGGGUUUUGGUAUGCCCCCAGAGUUCAUGUUGAAGACACCUAGUACAUCUCAGAUGGCUGACAUGAGAGGCAAGGCUCCUAUGGUAUCGGCACCUCCAAAUGUGCCGAUGAAUCAGAGUCCUCAGUAUACUACAACUACUACUGCCAGACCUUACACUGGGAUUUCUCAAGCUCCAACGUUCCAGAUGCCUAAUGCAUCGGCAGAUCCAAUGCCGACGCAACAGAGAUUUAUGACUCAGCCAGGGUAUGUCAAUUCAAUGAUGAUGCCCAAUUACCAAUCAUCGACAGGACCUAUGCCGAUGAAUGCUAAUGGUGGAUGGCUUGGGCAGCAAGUCUUUCCACAAAUACCCCAACAGAAUCAUCAGGCUACAGGGUUUCAACAAGGCUAGAUCCAACCUGGGUUCCAUAAUCAAGGGAUGGUCCACCAGCCGAUGAAUCUUGGUCAACAAAUUGGUGGCCAACAAAUUGGUGGUCAGCAGAUUGGUGGUCAACAAAUUGGUGGUCAGCAGAAUGGUGGUCAACAAAUCGGUGGUCAGCAGAUUGGUGGUCAAAUGAUUAAUCCAAUGUUCCAUGCAGAACGUGCACCGCAUAGACACGUAGAAGUGUAUCAACAGGUGCCAGAUCCGCAACCACCUCAUCAGCAAGAUGCUGAUGCUUAUUGGGCCGAUAAGAUUGCUGAAGUAAUGAGAGACCAAUUUGGGAUAAAACCCAAAGUCAACACUUACUCAUCGGACACCAUAUCCUCCUGCAUACAAUUUGAUUCCACUUCUAAAUCGGUACAAGGUGCCGGAUUUCACUAAAUUUUCUGGACAGGAUGAUACGUCAACCAUGGAGCAUGUCAACAGGUUUAUCAUCCAAUGUGGAGAAGCUGCUAACAGGGAUGAAUUGAGGGUUCGACUGUUUUCAUCAUCAUUAUUUGGAUUGGCUUUCACUUGGUUUAUAUCAUUGCCUCCUAAUUCAGUGAUUACUUGGGCUGAUCUGGAGAAGCAGUUUCACAAAUACUUCUUUUCUGGAGUUCAUGAGAAGAAGAUUACCGAUUUGGUCAGAUUGAAACAGCGUAAUGAUGAAUCGGUUGAAAGUUUUGUGCAGAGGUUGCGGGAAGUCAAGAACAAGUGCUAUAGUCUGGUUCUAGAUGAUCGGCAGCUAGCCGAUUUGGCUUUCCAGGGUUUGUUGCCACAUAUCAGGGAUAAAUAUGCCUCUCAAGAAUUUGAGAGCCUGAGUCACUUGGUCCAGAGGAUUUCCGACCAAGAUAUUGAGCCCUUUGAACCUAAGAGGGCUUGGAACAAAAAGGUGUCAUUUGUUGAUGAGGCAGCAAGCUCAGAUUCUGAUGAGGAACCAGUCAUCGGCUUAGCAGAGUGGGUAAAGAAUAAGAAGCCGAUGUCUUGCCCUUUCGGGCAUAAGGAACCAGAGAAGUUUGCAUUUGAUAUAACCAAGGCCGAUAGGAUAUUUGACUUUCUACUUCAGGAAGGCCAGGUCAAGUUGUCGCCCAACCAUGUGAUUCCAUCGGUUGAAGAGUUAAUGAAGAUGAAAUACUGCAAGUGGCAUAAUGCAACCUCUCACAGCACCAAUGAGUGCAAAGUUUUUAGACAACAGUUGCAAUCGGCUAUAGAAUCUGGGAGGAUCAAAUUUGACAGCUCCAAAACUCAGAAGUCGAUGAAGAUUGAGCAACACCCUUUCCCAACAAAUAUGUUGGAUGCUAAGGGAAAGGCCAAGGUCUUAACGUCGGAAGCAGCUGAAAGAAGUGCAUCGGUGGAUCCUCAGCAUCAAAUCACUACUGCCGAUGCAAAAGGAAAAGGCUUGAUCCAGGAGGGAGCUAACUCAGGAAGGCCUCCCUGAUCCGGUAUUGUGAUAAAUCAUAGAAGGCCUCGGGAAACUUGGCAGCAACGUGAGGAUCGAUAUCGGCGCUAGUAGGAAGACUAUCAUCGGGAAGAAGAAAGAUGCCGACGGGAAUGGAAUCUGCAUAAGGAUCACUGGAACUGCCUGUUCUUUAUCCAUUGCUGGGAGCAGAACAUUAAGUUACCUACUGUUAGAGAUUGCCCUGAAUGCAAUGGUUAUGAUCGGUAUGACAGGUCCGAGCGGCGCUAUCACGAUGAUGAUCGGCGGCUUAAUGGGCCAAUCAGGAGGAGAGCGUCAGUUCAAGAUCGACUGGGGGGCAGGCUCAGUUUACAUGAUAGGCUUGGUGAUUGUGUUGAAUAUUUUCCCAGGAACUAGGAAGAGCUUGAAGAGAUGGCUAAUGCUCGAGUUCCCGAUGAGUUCAUAUUUUGCAGGGAUGCUAAUACUCAUCGGAUGGAGUCAAGGGAAUAUCGUCGUCCAUUGGCAAGGCAGUCCCCACUUCCCCCAUGGUGUCCUGAGGGGUUGACUAAAACACAAAAAAAUAAGACUGCAACGCGAAAGAUGAGAAGAGCUAAGCAAGGGCGAGAACUCUGACCAAUCUGGGGAUCAGCAACGAUCAGAUCCUAAGGGGAAAGGGCCAUCGACAAAUGUCAACAUGGUAUUUAUGUUGCUGAUGAAAUUCCUUGCGCCAUCCAGUGAUGAUGAGGAGUUGGAGUUUUCCGACCAAAUAGCCCAGUUGGCUCUGGAUCCGAUGAUGGCUAUCUUUGAAAAGCCUGCCGACAAUGAAAGGCAACAUCUUAAAGCUUUGGAAGGGUUGAUAAUCAGCCAAUGACCAAAAUAUUAAUUGAUGGUGGAGCUGCCAUCAACAUCAUGCCGUAUGUAGUAUAUCGGAAGCUUGGAAAAGGGGAUGAAGAUUUGACCAAGACCGAUAUGAUGUUGAAGGACUUCGAGGGGAACGUGUCUCCGGUUAAGGGGGCAAUAUGCGUCGAGUUGACCAUCGGCAGCAAAACCUUGCCGACAACUUUCUUUGUGAUCAGUGGAAAAGGUGCUUAUAAUUUGCUGCUGGGGAGAGACUGGAAUCAUGCCAAUUGUUGCAUCUCGUCUACAAUGCACCAGUGCGUGGUCCAAUGGGUGGGUGACAAGAUUGAAAUUGUCACGGGGGAUUCUUCUUACGUCAUUGCAUCGACAGAAGCAGAUACCUAUGAGAGGACUAGGUGUAUCUCGGGAGAAAUUUGGGAGAAGGAUUUUCUCAAAGUUGCUGAUUAUGAGAUUCCACCGAUCCGAGCAGUCGGUUCUGAUGAAGGUUUUUAAUGGAUAGGUUCGCCGAGAAUGGAAAAUUGGGCUAGGGAUUCACAUCGGCCGAUGAUUUAGUAGAAGUAGAUAUAGGUAGUGGUGAUAAGCCUAAACCUACUUUUAUCAGUGCUAAGUUAAAUUCUGAGUGUAAGUGGCAAUUAACUGAUUUGUUGAAAAAAUAUAAAGAUUGCUUUGCUUGGGAUUAUACUGAGAUGCCUGGUUUGGACCGAUCGAUUGUUGAACAUCAGUUGCCUAUCAAGUCUGGAUUUCGGCCACAUCAACAGCCAGCUCGCCGAUGUAAUCCUAAUAUUCUUCCUGAUAUUAAGGCCGAAAUAACCAAACUUAUUAAAGCUAAAUUUAUUCGGCAGUGUCGGUAUGCCGAGUGGAUUUCCAAUGUUGUUCCGGUUUACAAGAAAAAUGAGAAGCUUCGGGUCUGCAUUGAUUUCAGAAAUGUUAAUAAAGCUACGCCGAUGGAUGGUUACCCAAUGCCAGUUGCCGAUCUACUAGUUGAUGCUGCGGCUGGACAUCGGAUCAUCAGCUUUAUGGAUGGCAAUGCAGGAUAUAAUCAGAUAUUCAUGGCUGAAGAAGAUAUUCCAAAGACUGAAUUUAGAUGUCCUGGUCAUGUUGGGCUGUUUGAAUGGAUAGUCAUGACCUUUGGCUUGAAAAAUGCUGGUGCUACUUAUCAGAGGGCUAUGAAUUUUAUAUUUCAUGAGUUCAUCGGCAAGCUGGUGGAAAUUUAUAUUGACGAUGUGGUGGUUAAGUCUUGAGACUUCACAAAGCAUCUUGCCGAUUUGCGAAAGGUGUUAGAAUGCACAAGGAAGCAUGGUUUAAAGAUGAAUCCCAAUAAGUGUGCAUUUGGUGUAUCGGCAGGACAAUUUCUUGGUUUCAUGGUGCAUCAAAGGGGGAUUGAAAUUAGUCGGAGAUCCAUUGAUGCCAUCAACAAAAUAGUUGCUCCCACCAACAAAACUGAGCUUCAAUCCUUGAUCGGCAAAGUAAAUUUUAUGAGGAGGUCUAUAUCUAAUUUGUCUCGUAAAAUUCAUGCUUUCAGUCCUUUACUUAAGUUGAAAGCAGAUCAAGAGUUCGUCUGGGGAAAGAGCAACAGUUGGCCCUAGAUGAAAUCAAGAAUUAUUUGGUAAAUCCUCCAGUUUUGAUUCCACCUCAACAAGGAAAGCCCUUUAGGUUAUAUUUGUCUACCAAUGGGAUGGUCAUCGGUUCGGCUUUAAUUCAAGAAUUUGAAGGAAAGGAACGUGUGAUUUACUAUUUAAGCAGGGGAUUGGUUGACGCUGAGACCAGGUAUUCGGCCAUUGAAAAGUUAUAUUUGUGUCUUUAUUUCUCAUGUAUUAAGUUGAGACACUAUUUGUUAUCGGCUGAAUGCACUGUCAUAUGCAAAGAUGACGUGGUCUGAUAUAUGCUGUCUAUGCCGAUCAUGAGUGGAAGGAUCGGUAAAAGGAUUUUGGCACUGUCGGAUUUCGAUUAGCGUUACGAAUCGGCUAAAGCAGUUAAGGGACAGAUUAUGGCCGAUUUUGUGACUCAACAUUGUGGCGCAGUGGAGACUUUGGAAAUCGUACCUUGGACGCUCUUCUUUGAUGGAUCCACGUGUGACCGGGGGGCAGGAAUUGGCAUAGUACUAAUUUCCCCUCGGAGAAGGAAAUAUGAAUUCUCCUUGCCGAUUGUUUCCACAUCAACAAAUAAUCAAGCCGAAUAUCAAGCUUUGAUAAAAGGGUUGGAAUUAUUAAGGGAAGUUCAUGCUGAUGCUGUUGAAAUCUUCGGGGAUUCUAUGCUGGUUAUAAAUCAAUUGGUUGGAAGCUAUGAAUGCCGAAGCGAAGUCCUGAUAACUUAUCAUGAAAGGAGUAUGCAAUUAUUAAAGGAAUUCAAAGAUUUCUGGUUAGAACAUGUUCCUCGAUUGCAUAAUGAAGAGGCCAAUCGAUUGGCUCAGCAUGCCUCGGGAUAUCAGCCCAUGUUAAACGCAAUAUCGGCAAUCGGUGCUGAUGAUUGGAGAAAAGAAAUCGUUGAUUAUUUAAAAGAUCCAUCCAAGAAAGUUGAAAGAUGUGUUCGGUUUCAACCUACCAAGUAUGUGCUCCUCGAUGAUGAAUUAUAUUAUCGAACAAUUGAUGGAAUUCUUCUCAAAUGCUUAGGUGAUGAUGAGGCUAGGAGUUUAAUGGGGGAAAUCCAUGAAGGAGCGUGUGGAGCACACCAGUCGGCAUUUAAGAUGAAGUGGAUGAUCAGGAGAAAUGGGUAUUAUUGGCCGACUAUACUUGAGGAUUGUUUUAAGUAUUUGAAAGGGUGUCAAGGAUGUCAGAAGUUUGGCAAUGUUCAGAGGGCACACGCAUUGGCCAUGAAUCCCAUUAUUAAACCUUGGCCGUUCCGGGGAUGGGCUAUUGAUCUAAUCGGCCAAAUUUACCUGCCAUCAAGCAAAAGACAUAAAUUCAUCUUGGUUGCCACUGAUUAUUUCACUAAGUGGGUUGAAGCUAUUCCUUUGAAGAAAGUUACAUCGGCCAAUAUGAUUGAUUUCGUGAAAGAGUAUAUUAUUUACCGAUUUGGAAUUCCUCAAACAAUUACUACCGAUCAGGGUACUAUGUUCACGUCAGGGGAGUUUGAUGAGUUUGCAGUCGAUAUGGGAAUUAAAGUAUUAAACUCUUCUCCUUAUUAUGCUCAAGCUAAUGGGCAGGCCGAGGCAUCUAACAAAGGAAUUAUCAAGCUCAUUAAGUGGAAGAUUGAAGAAAAUCCUAGGAGGUGACACACGUUAUUAAAUGAAGCUUUAUGGUCGUAUCGGAUGGCUUGUCAUGGAUCGACCAAGGUUUCACCUUAUUAGUUGGUGUAUGGGCAUGAUGCAGUGUUACCUUGGGAAAUUAAGACUGGGUCUAGGCGACUAUCUUUUCAAGAUCAAUUGGCUACCGAUGAUUAUGCUACUUUGAUGACAGACGAGUUGGACGAUCUAGCAGGGCAUCAGCUAAGGGCUUUGAUGAGUAUAGAAGAGAAUAAGAAGAGAGUUGCCAGAUGGUAUGAUAAGAAGGUGAAGGCCAAAGAGUUUGCCAAUGGAGAUUUAGUGUGGAAGUUAAUCUUACCGAUUGGGACUAAAAGUUCAAAAUUUGGGAAGUGGUAACCCAAUUGGGAGUGUCCCUAUCGGAUAAAUCGAUCUGCUCCUGGCAAUGCCUAUAUCUUAGAAACUCUCGAAGGAGUUGAAUUUCCUAGGGCGUUAAAUGGCAAAUAUCUAAAGAAAUAUUACUCCAGCUUAUGGGUCGAUGCAUAAAAGUUUAAGUGUCGAUAACAUUCCUAUCGGCUGGAUUAAACUGUGUCUAGGGCCGAACUUGAUGUUUUAAAAGGUGCCGAUAACAGUCCUAUCGGCUAGACCAAAACAUUAGGAGUGUUCGAGAGAAGAGAACAAAUAUGCCGCUGAUGAAGAAUUCAGAUGUUUGACAAAGCCUGGAUCGUCGAUAUGGCGCGUAGAUGGAUCUGAUUGGCUUCUUCUAUCUCCUUUAUGUCGUCAUCGGCAGAGCCCUCCACCGGCUUCAGCUUCUUCUUCAUCUGCAGGGCCUUGCGGGCUUGGACAUUUCACUCUUGUUCAAGAACCUUGAUCGUCUCAGGCAGCUGACUUUCUUCUUGUUGAGCUUGGGACAAUGCUUCUUCUACCUGCUUGAGUUCUGUCAGCAGAGCCUCUCUCGUUGCCGAUAAGUCGGAAAUCUUGUGCUUCAAUACGUCUCCCGAGGACUUUAAGAUGCCGAUGUUCUUGUGUUUCUCAUUGACAAGGAGCUUCACUUUUGUCAUCUCUUCUGAGAGCUGGGCAUGAGUGGCCCUAUCGGCAAGGCGUUGAGCGGCCUUUUGAUAUUGAAGCUGCCAACUUUCUAAGUAAGCAGCCUUGAAAAGGAUCUCCUCAGCAUCAGCAGGAAUAUGGCCUCUGAGAGUCUUGAACAGGGCUUUGGCCGGAUCGGAAUCGUCGACCAAUUGGGCCGUGUCUUGAUGAAGGAGGGCCGAUAAUUCUUCUAACUUUGCCCUGAUUUCUGCCGAUGUGAUUCCAACUGCUCGAGAGGAACUUGCCUCCUCGCCCUCAUCUUUAGAGAUGUCGAUGGCAAAGGAGAACAAACUGUCAGGGGAGUCUUGUUCCUGAAAAAGAAAAUAAAAUAAGUUAUUCUAUGAUCAAGCAUUGGUAAACAAUACAGGUAGAGAUCAGGUAACUUACUUGUUUCAGAGCUAUCUCUCGUCUCUGACUGGAUGGUGCCGAUGGAACCACGGGUUGAUCGGCUGAGAUUGCCGAUGAGAUUAUGUCAGCUGAAAGAGUAAUAGAGAUAAUUAUAAGACGGAAAAGUAGGUUCAUCGGCAAUGAUUUCAUAGAGAGUAUGUUACCUUGAGGGGGAGCAGUACUUGUUUGGAUUGAGGAAACUACCGAUGCUAUGAUUGAACUUGCUGGAUCGGCAGAUUGCUCGUGCACGUCAGCCGAUGUAUCUUCUAGCUGAGGUUCCUCUGGCUGGGUUCUUCUGUGUGAGGUUCUUCUUAUGGCUAAGGAGGAGUUGGUGUUUAUUGUAUCUGGACUUCUGGAGAGGAAGGAGAAGAUUCCACUAGGAUUGGAGACACUGGGGGAGGAGAAGGUGUUGCUGUUCUCUGGCGCUUCGCCUGGGUUCUGGUACUCUUGGGGCUUUUCCCCUUUGGUUGGCUGGACUGGGGGGCAUCAGCAGUCACACCUCUGGUCUUUACCGAUGUGCCGGUUUGCUGAUACAACGAUGAAAAUUCGUGAGUGCAAGUGUAACAGUGUAAAAACAAAAUCGGUAUGGGUGAAAGAAUUCAAAAAUUUACCUUGAAGGCUUGUGCUAGGGUAGAAGCAGCUACCGAUGGAGAUACCUUUGUCUGCUUGGUGGUGACUUUCUUGAGACGUACACCCCGAUGCAUUAUAGCGGCCAAGGAUGGAGAGUUGUUGCCGGUCGAAGAAAUCGGACCUGAUGGGAAGAGCUCAAUCGGCUUGCCACUCCUGCUGACCGAUGGGGGUGUGUUGUCGACCUACAAUAUAACCCAGAAAGUGAGUUACCAAUGAAAGUACAAAUGAAAGGAUUGAAACAUCGAUUUAAAAUACUUACAGUGUUGCCAGGAACUUUGUAUUGAGAGUCGAUCUUGCCACGGUAUGUAAGAGCCGAUUUGCAGAACAGGUGCUCUUUCCAUUCUUCCCACCAUUGCUUGUAUGCCUGAGUAAUGAAAAGGGCCGGGAUCCAAUCUGAUAGAUUGGCGUCUGUGUCAGCAUUUGGUAGCAGUUGAGCUAGUCUGGUCCACUCAAGAAGAAUAGUGAUGGUUUCCCUGGGUUUUAUUACAUCGGCAUAACAGAGUGCAAUCGGCAGCUGACCGAAAGCUAGUUGACGGGCUAGUGCCGAUGGGUUGUAAAAUUCAUAGGUUUGGUUGGAAGCUUUCCCACUGCCGAAGAAGUUUACUGGUAUGGCUCUUGGAGUGAUGAGUGCCAUCAUCACAUCAUGAUCUUUAUUAAGAGCAUCAUCGAAGGGAUGAAAGGUCAGAGGGAAUCUUGUGUCUGGAUCUUCAUAGGGCAUCCAUGCUCGCUGUUCUUUGGUCAAACCCUCAUAAAGAGUCUGAAAGAAUCGGCUAACUUGAUCUCUAUUACCUCCAGUACCAGGCAAAACUAUGACAGCUUCACCAUAGUUUAAGGGAGGAUGGGUUGCCGAUUCUUCUUCAUCUAACUCGUGAUCCUCUGCUAUGUCCUUGGGGAAACGCUGUGCAAAGAGGUCGAAUUCCAGUCGCUUAUGCAUAUGGAGGCUAAGCCACAUGUUGAUGAACCACCAAGGACCCCCUAAGUUGCCGAUGGGUUUGCCGAGCAGAAGUUUCUUGGUUACUUGGUGGAGCAGAUGAUAGAGCCAAGCAGGUAUCGGCCGAGGGGAAAUCGGCCACCAUUAGCUAAUCUCUCUGCUGCCGAUAGGUAGACAGAGGUUGGUCCUGCCGAUCGACCACAGAAUACAAAUUUGUCCAGCCACAUGUUUAGGAAGGUGGUUUGUUCUUUUAUGUUGACAGGCCCUGUUCUACGGUACUUCUGAAUGUACCCAGACCAACCGCCGAUAGAGUGGGUUUCCACUUUAGCACUAGGUGUGGUGUCAAAUAUGUGGCUACUAUCGGCAGUGGACACAUCUAAGCCGGUGAGCAUGAGUACAUCGACAAGAGUGGGAGAAGCAGGGCCAUGGCCGAAAACAAAAGCAUUAAGUGUGUCUGACCAGAAGUAUGAUGCAGCAAUCAGCAGUGAUUCAUUCCUAUGCAUAUCGGCAAGUGACAAUCUUAUGCACUGGUCCAGUUUUCGCUCACCCCAUUGAACAUCAUUUGAGUGGCUGACUCUCAAAAAUCAAUCCUUCCAUCCCUUGGUAGGACUGGGCCAAGAGCAGAAGGCAUCUUUCCACAGAUCUAGAGAAAAAUUCUCGGCUCUAAAGGGGAUUUUGUUUGUCUCUGCAUUGAUCAGAUCGGUAGGAUCUGGGUUCCCUAGCGGACCGAGACAUUGGAGGUGUGGUUGAUCGUUAGGGAUGACGAUUCUAUUGGACAGAUCCUAGAUGUUUUUGGGGGUAAAAAGAAGAGCAAAAGAGAAAAAAGAAAGAAAAAAUAUUCAGUAAGAUGAACUACGGAAGAACAGGGGUGCGAUAAAAGACAGGAGAGAAGUAGGACUGACCUCAGGCACGACGAAGUUGAUGGCCAUUUCCUCGCAGGAGAGAAGAUCGAAGACUUGGGAGUUGUUGGAGUUCUUGGGGCUCUCGAACAGUGCCGCUGCCAGAAAAGUAGAGUUGAGGCUGUAGAAUGAUGCGGUGGGGAAGGAGUGCCCGAGAAGGAACUAUUUAUAGGACAAAACGGGCAAGGGCAAAUCUGACUUAUCUCUUCACCGUAUCCGUGAUAUCCGAGGAUACUUAGGUCGAUAUGGUAACUGUUCGCACGGUAAUCAAUGGAUUGCGUAGGUGAUUUGACAGGAAGCGGUCAUAAUCUGGAGAUAUUUCACUGUGCGGGAUUUUCUAGUCGGUCCAUCGGCAACUCCCUCUAACGGUAAUAUUGCCGAUGGGCGAGUAAAGUGGAGACGUCUAGUUUGGGAGGUUGAGGAAUUCGAGGAAUCUGCGGAAGAAUCGGGCCGGAGUUGUCCGAUUUUAAUAGUCGGUUACCAAAUUGGGAGAAUUAAUUGCGGAAAGGCAUCAUUACUGCAGAGAAUUUCGGAGCCUUAAUGAUUUCAUACUCCAAAAUUGGGGGGCAUGUGUUGACACCGUUUUUGGACACGUACCCAGGUUCGGUAGAGUGUAGAUCGGCAAGAUAGGGCAAUAGUAACUGGUCUGCAGGAGAGUUGCCGAUGAGGGUGGUUGCUGUUGAAGGGACAGCUGAAUGUGACUAAGUCCAUGGGCGGUGAUGUGUUCAUGCCGAUGGUCAGCGUUAACCUUUGCCGAUUGCUACGAUGAGGAGUCUGCCGAUGAUUCGGAAGGAGGAACUUGAAUGUUACCGAUUGGUCUAUGGUGGUGUCCCAGUUUGUCACGGAAGGAUAGUUUUUUGUUUUCCUUAGUUAUUUAAAUUGUUUUGUAUACGAAUUCUGUUUAAUUUGGAAUUCGAGUCCUAGUCGUGUCUGAUUGUAGCUCUUUGAGCAGGGUAUAAAUGUAGACCCUGGGGCCUUGCAAGAAUCAAUCUAUCAAUCAAUCAAACACAAGUUUUUACUCAUAUUCCAGCAUCUACUUUUUCGACGACUUCGUCAUAUUUUCCUUUUCAUUACGAGUUCUUAGGAGUUCGUCGACUUAAGCUCGGCGUAUUCUCAAGUUCCGCGUGAAUACCCCUUGGCCGUGGCAUCCGGGCGCAUCGCUGUUGUCGGGACCAAAGUAUUCGAGUUAUCACCUUUGCCGAUAGUAAGGUCAAAUCGGCUGGCACGCCUUAACGUUUAAAUCGGGUAUUAGCCCUUUGUGUUUGCAGAUCCACUUUUUGCAUCAACAGAAUUUAAACUCUCAUCAUACAGGAACUCAUCAUGCAAUAUUUUAAAGACUUUUCAAAGAUAAAAUUCUCCAUAAUUCUAGCAUUUCUAGGAACGGAUAAACAACAGCUCAACCUUCCCAUAUCAUAUCCGUUAACAACUUAGGCUUCGGAUCAAGUUUUCUUCCCACAUGUUUAGGUUUAGAGCAAGCUUUAAAUUAUAACAGUUAUGUCUAAACUUGAGAGAGAACUUCAAAUUUUAAAAAUUAGGCAGAGCAACUAUUCAUCAUAUCCAUGCUUGAGUUUUAUUAUUAAGAUUCAGAUUAGCAUAGCCACUUUAUUUAUUUAUUAAACACACUAAGCAAAAGGCAUAUAUAUAACCAUAAAAUCUUUAUUUGGUUUUUCAUAGUUAUGUAUAUCUAUAUUUUAAUAUAGUAUAAGUAUAAAGAUGGAUAGAAACACUUAUCGGGAUAAAUGGGGGUGCUCUCCCCCAAGCUGAAUUUUGACAUAAUUUCUUCUGAUGUAGCUAGCAUGUGGCAGAGGUGUAUUUGAAAGUCGGCAGCAUUCUGACAGCGAUUAGAAUGUCCUCCGUCUGCUAGUCUUCUUGAUUCUUAAAUUCUGUGGAGCUCAAAUAGACAACAAAGCUUGUGGAACUGAUUAAGUGUUAGCAUAAAUAUCUAGCCUUUAUCAUGUUGAGACUCCUUGAUAAAUAUUACUCUCUAUUUUUAUAUUUUCGUUUUAUAAAGCAGAAAAGAAAUAUUUAUUUUAUAUUUAUGCCACCACAGUGAAUGCACUUAUGGGUUUCGUGCCACUCGUAUACUCACAUGGGGCUUACUGUUUUUAACAUUUUUUUUUCUUUUUAAGAUAGUACGAACAUGAUUAACUAAGCAAACUGUUUAAAAUAAUUGAAUGGGAAAGGAUAACUACCAAGUUUACCUCUUGGCAAGGCGUUCGGUGUUUUUAAGUCCUCCGAACGGGACUCUCCUCUUUCUCAAUUGUCCUGGGAUUCGUUGGGUGGCAGAGUCGGUACUUCCUGCGGCGCCUCCUCUUCAUGUAUAGUUAUCUUCUCUUUCCAAACCUGACUCGGUGCUACGGUCUCCUCUGGAUAAUUUUGUUUAAACUGAAUGCCUUCUGACCUUACAACUUUUCCUUCAUAGUCUGCCCAUCCGUCCUUGAUGAUCUCCCUCCUCUAGUUGUGGUUACAUCAUUUUCUUACCUGCUUAGAUUCUUCAAAGAUGUAGUUAGGGUCAGUAAAAUAACGGCGUACCUUCUCUAAGGGGAAGUGCAUAUGGACUUCUCAAGUUCCAAUGUAGAUGAUUGCUUUAACGGUGCUGAGGAACGGUCUUCCAAGGAUCAUGGGUGGAUCGUACUCAUCUUCUCCCAUGUCUAUAACCUGAAAGUCUGUGUAGACAAAAUGAUCGUCUAUUUUGACUGGGACAUCAGUUACUAUUCCUUUAACUUCUCGAAAUGUUUGUUCUGCCAUCUGGAGCUGAAUGUAUGUUGGUUUCAGGGGCAUGGUUCUGAACAAGAGCCGAUAGGUGACUGCGGCCAUUAUGUUGACGCCCGAUCCGAUGUCGCAAGUUGUCUUGUAGAAGUUGUACCCAUUUAUGGAGCAGUAGAUGCUUGGCAUUCCUGGGUCGUCCUUCUUGGUCAAAAAUGGUGACUUAAGUUGUUGAUCUUGGCCUCCAUGAACUGCAGUGACCAUCUUAGCUGACUCGGUCCACACUUGCUUGUUCCUAUUCCUCCUGUUGGUCCUCUUCCUUGAUUCACGUCUGGAUUGAUCUGGGAUUUGUGUAGUCUUGUUCUUGAAGGUAAAUGUCUCCUUCCUCCCUUUGAUGCAGAAACUAAUCUUGGCAGCACUGGCGUAGAUGACAGCUCCCGAGGUGUUUAAGAAUGGCCUCCCUAGGAUGAUAGGUGCUCUCUCAUCAUUACCGGUCUCUAUCACCACAAAGUCUGCUGGGGCGUAUAAGGUACCAACUCGGACACAGACGUUCUUCAAUAUUCCUUUUGGAAAACUUAAUGCCUGAUCUGCAAACUGCAAACACAUGGUUGUCUCUAAUAAAGGAUAUGUAAAGAAUUUUUCAUAGAGUACCCUGGGCAUAAUGUUGACACUAGAGCCAAAGUCGCAGAGUGCUUCUGGAACGUCCACCAUGCCGAUGGAGAUCGGGUGACGGGGCAUCCUGGAUCGCCUCUCUUGACCGGCAGAAGGUCAGUAGUGAAUUCAGUGACGGGGUUACUCCAGUUAUUACCUGCAUCAAACAUGUCUACAAUAUUUGCAGAUUCUAAUCCUUCUAGUUAUGAUGGUAUACCGUGGUUAGUAGUAGGAACAACAGCAGCUAUUUGAUUUAACUGAGAUUCAAUCAUUUUAUUAAAGCUAAUUUGAUUCUUGAUGGCAGUAGAGAAAUUAUCCAUUCUAUUAUUUAUUUUUUCUAGCAUUUUAUCAUUAGAUGCCAAUUUCUUAGAAAGAUUAUCCAUUAGCUUUCCUUGAUUAGACACUAACUCUCUCAGAGGUGGAAAAUUAUUAUUAUUGUUGUAAGAAUUGUUACCUUGAUAAUUACCUGAGUAGUUAGGCCUUUGUUGAUUCCAACCUCGAUUUUGUUGGGGACGGUUGUAGUAGUUAUUGUUGUUAUUGUUGAUGUAGUUCACAUCCUCAAGCAUGUCAGGGCAGUGAUUGCCUGAGUGUCCAGUGUCUCCACACUCCUCACAAGUCAUGUGAGAGUCGUAGAUGUGCAUAACUUUUUUCUUAUCUCUAGCUCUAUCAUCGAGCUUCUUCAUGAGCAGGUCUAGCUUAGCAGACAGCAUGUCUACCUCCUUGAGCUGAUGCAUACCUCCACCUCUCUUGCGUGUCUGGGUCCUCUCUUCCUUCCAGCCUUGGUUGGACGCCAUCUUCUCCACAAGGGCUGUGGCUUGUGAUAUGGUGAGUGAUAGGAAUGCUCCUCCAGCUGCAGCAUCCAUGGUUUCUCGGGCACUAUUGUCGAGCCCAUGAUAAAACAUUUGCAUCAGUAGCCAACUCUCCAUUCCAUGAUGGGGACAUUCUAGGAUGUAGUCUUAGAAGCGCUCCCAUGCUUCUAGAACAGAUUCAUCAUUUUGUUGCUGAAAACUUAUAAUAUUCUCACGGAGAGCAUUGGUCUUGCCCAUGGGAAAGAACUUAGCUAGGAAGUUUGUUGAGCAGAGUGCCCACGUAGUAUUCUUCUCCUUUGUAGCGCAGAACCACUGCUUCGCUCUCCCUAACAGUGAGAAUGGGAAAAGGCGAAGUAGUAUAGCAUCUCUAGGGACUCCUGAUAUGGUAAAUGUGCUGCAAAUCUCUAGGAAGUGUUGGAGAUGAGCACUAGCAUCUUCGUUUGCCUUUCCACAGAACUGGUUGGAUUGCACCAUGUUGAUAAGUCCAGGCUUGAGCUCAAAGUUGCCAUCGAUCUCUGCAGCAGGUCCAGUGUGGAUGUUGCCCGUAGUGGGAGCUGAGAAUUCACGGAUCAAUUUGUUCGCCAUGGCUUCGAAUUCUGAAGACAAGUUCCGGUGAUCUUCUUGAUUGAAUGAAGCUUCUUGCUGAAGUGUUGAUGAUCUCUUCUUGAGCUUGGCUCUUGUUUUUCUGAAUAAGGCUUCAGGAUUGUCAACAAAAUUUCCUAGAAGAUGUCUUCUAUUCAUACAUUCCCCUGCAUAAGAUAAAAAUAGAAAAUAUCGAGGUAAAACUGUAUUUGAGAAUUGAUAAGCUCAAUCAUAUUAGUGAUGCGAAUGAUAACUCAAAAAUCUAUAUCCAUUCCUGAUUAGUAAUCAACCUUCCCCGGCAACGGUGCCAAAAAUGCUUGUUGGGUAUUCUUAACAUCAUUACCAAAAGUAGACAGUUUUCUAAUUCUAGUAACGGUGCCAAAAAUGCCAAACCUAUCCCUCAUACCACUUAAGCCAAGUUGUCAUCCCCAGCAUGACAUAAGAGACGUGGUAUUGAAAUAUGCAAUUCCUCUUCUAAAUAAAUAAUGAAUGGGGUCUGCAAGCGCACAGAUUAAUACCGAUGUAGCAUUUUAACCGGGAAGUAUUCCAGGUAUCGUUAUUUAUAUUUUUACCACUGGGAAGGGAUUAGCAAUCAUCAAUAUUGAUUACAAAAUAGAAUAUGAGAUUGAGUAUCUAUCAUUGCAUGUAUAAUUGAGAACAUUUAUCUAACUCUUUCAUACAAUGGUAAGUGUCACAUAAAAGAUAUAUGAAUUAAUGAAUAGUGAAAAAGAUAAUUAAUCUGAUCAGCAUAACUUAGCCACAUAAUAAAUAUGAUAAGCACCUCAAUUAGAUACUCUAGAAAGUCAUUAGCAUGGAAUUAGAACGAACUAAAAGAAUAUUUCAUAUGUUAUUCUCAACUAUAUAGUCUAGCAUUAUCAUAGUCAGUGCAAGCAUACUUAGCAAUCAUUGCGAGACAAGACUACGCCCAUGCAUAGUGAUAUUAGCAAGGUAAAUGAGAAACAUAGCAAUCACUCCCCUGUAAUAAUGUUGCUCUGCCAGCCCAAUACACGAGAGGGGGACUAUAUAAGAAUCAAUGAAGCCGUCACUAUCACGAACUACCCCACGAUCUGGCAUAUUGGGUACAAUCACAGAUAAAUAUGGUAUAAGCACCACCCCUACACAAUAUCUAUCAUUUACCCAUGGAUCUGAUGGAUAAACGCUAUACGAACCUAAACAUGUAUAUAAAUCCAAUCUAACUAAGCCAAGUCUAUAACUAUGAUAAACUAAGAACAAUAUAAUCUUGAAUAUAAACAAGUAGAGCAAAGUCAUAAGCAAUAUAUUGAAGUAGAACAAAGUCAUAUUCAUAAUAUUGAAGAACAAAGAUAAUUAGAAGAACAAUUAGAAGCACAAUUAGAGAAUUACCAAGAAUCCUCUUGACAGAUCUAGAAACCAAUCGAAGAUUGACUCCUUCUACUUCUAAUCCUAUGUAGCUAUGCUAAUCUAGAUGUCUAAUUGUUGUGGUGGCUCUAAUCUUGAUCAGAGGCUUCUUCUCCGUUGAGGAAUAAUGAAUUAGGGUUGAGAGGCUCCCUCCUCUAGGGGCCAAGGGGUUUGGUUUUAUAGUCCCUUCAAGUGAAUAUGGGCCGUUGGAUCAAACCGACAUUGAUUGAACGAUUAUCCUUGAUCCUUUAGGUCAGUGGAGAUCUUUCCCGAAAGAGUGUCUUGAUUGGAGUCCAACAGGGGGCAGGCGCCCAGGUCAACUGGGCGAGCGCCCAGUGCCUGGCCCCGUUCGUCCUCCGCUUCCUUCCCGUGGCUUCUGGAGUCUUCUAGAUGUAAGAUAAUUGCGCGGCACAUUGACAUCUCUAUGUAAUCCCGACGUGUGGGCCUUUCUUCCGUAUUCCGUGAUAACCCCCUGCAGAAAUAGACAAACACCAAAACUCGUGGAAUUCUGUCAGAUAAAACCCUAAGUCUAGAUGUUGGUUUCAUUUGGAUCCUUUUCUUUGUUUAUUUGAUAAUUAAAUUUGAUACUUAAGGACCGUCAACAAACAUCACUAACGAAUUACUUAACAUUCGAGCAACAAGGUUCACAUACAUCCAGAAUUGCCAGCAUACAUACACUGGACUUUCAGCGUCAUCACAUAAAGUUUUACACAGCCUAGAUCCACAGAUUACAAGACAUGCCAUUUAACAACAACAUCAAAAGAAGAAGGACUAGCUCUAGAGCUCUAGCAUCUACUCGCUAUGGUCACUGUCCAUGCCGGAGCCCUCCUCGUCCUCAUCUCUACUAGCGGCUGCCUCUAUCUCUAGAACCUCAUCCAUCUCAUCCUCAGAGUCCAACUCAGCUCCUCCAGGCAGGUGGUGAGGGUGGAGCUGGUUAUGUAGCUGGUGGAUCUCCUCAUGCAGGUUCUCAUUGUACUCCUCAGCAUUAGCUAGCUGCUGCUCAAGCUCUAGCUAUCAGGCCCUCAGGGUGUCCUCCUCGUGCCAGGCUUCAUUCCUCUGACCAAGAACAUGAACUAGCAUGCGCUCGCAGUUCCUGUGAGCAGUAGUCACCCUGUCCCUCUGCUCUCUCAGUGCAAUCAGGUCCUGACUCAGCUCACUGUUCUUCUGGACUGCCCGAUCCCUCUCUCGGGUCACACGGGUCAACUCUGCUUGCAGCCUCUCAACCUCAGUGUCAAACUCACACAGCAGCUGGCGCUUCUCAUCCUGAACUGUGAGAAGGGACCCAGACAAGCAUCCCAAAAAGCUCCAGACCCCCAUAGGUCUUCAUCAAGGCGAACAUAGCACUCAUAGCGCACUAUCACUGUGCUGGUCCUCAUCUGCACUCCUCUCUAGAGCAUUCACCUCGGACUGAUCCCACACCGAAGUGUAGGGGUCACCCCGAGGAAACACCCCAGCAAAGGCAUGGGCCAGCUCCUGUGGAAACCUCUUCAUGAUGUCCCUCAGAACUGCAAAGGCUGCUCUGCUGGUACCGUGGAAAGGCGUGGUACCUCGGGACUCGUACACCUAGCCGCCCCAGGCGGGGUCACCUCCACUGGUAGGGACCACUAUCUCGAUCCCCACCAGGGUCCCGUCACCAAGCUGCUCCUUGUUCCAAUAGUAGCGAGGUUCCCUUCCUUUGGUAUACCCCAUCGAACUGAGCACCCUCCAAAGGAAGGUGGACAUCCCAAACUCCUCGAGGAACAUGCUCUUAUGACGCGAGCUCCUGGCUGCCAACUGAUGGCGAGGGGCCUGCCCACCAGUGGACUUGCGAGCGGUGAGCCUAGUGCGUGCCAUCUGCUGCAAAUAGAAUACCUUGGGUAAGAUUGAAGAUUAUCUUUUAUUAUCUUAAUUGAAAGUGGGACAGAUUUAAUUAAGGGGAGGAAGUGUGCAAUGUUAUGGAAUGAACAUGAUGCAUGCACGAACUUACGAUCUCACAAACUUAGAAACAAAAGUUAACACUAAUCGGUAUAUGCGGUGGCACACAACAUUCUCUCAUAACGUAACUAGCGUUCUAAGCGGGAACGUGGUUAGUGUACCUGCAGAAAACUCAUUUCAGCCCAACCUCAGUAUGAACAUGCAAAACAAGAAUUCAAAGCUAUGCACCCCACACACAUAGACACCAGGUCCAUGCAUAUGGCGUGUUACUACCCACAUCAUCGCCCAAAUGACGGCAUCACCUCUCAGGACGGAAUCUCCCAACAUGCGGUACUGUUCCCAGGCACACCAAACAUGUGUGCAUGACACAGCACCUAACAACACUUCCCUAGAUUGGCAGUGUAUCCGAUCAUGCUCUCACAGCUCCCACUUACCGAAGCGUAGAGGAAGAAUUGAUCCAUACAUUACCACUCAAAUGAAUGGUACUCAUACUAUUCCAUAGAAAUAUGAUGCAAUAACUCCCAAGUUAGUACUUAACUAGCCACCUUAGAGUCCGUAACUGGGCAUAAAGGAUAUGACCAUGGCACACUAGAUAGUUUUCCAAAAACUUAGUUAACACCUUGAUUAUCAUUAAUUAAUAAUAAUCUUUUAUUAAACUGGUUUAAGGUUAGUUAGAACGUACUUAUGAACAAUAACUCGCUAAACCUUGCUCCGAUGCCAGCUGUAAUAGAACCGCCCAAAUUAUAAGAGAUUAAGCCUGGUAGUGACCAUUUGCAUAGUCAAUCUACCGAGCUUAAGCCUAUAUAAUCCCGGUAGUCCGUGAAAUCUCAAAGGAUUUCAACCAUAUUUCGUACGUACAACUAAGAUCGUAAUAAGUUCAGCGGUCACCAUUCACAAUUACAUCCAGUUCACCACAUUCAUAAAAAUACUUCAGAGUACUUAAAAUUAUUAUAAAAAAGUUCUCAAGUAGCGGAAGCUUCAUAGUUCAAAAGUAACACACACAUAUUUAGUCUGGUACAGUGCCAUAGUUCGAUCAUUCCCAUAAAAGCAAAAGAGAAGGUAGAGUGACCAUCGCCCUUGGUCUAUUCAUCGCCCAUUGCUGGGUACAAGCAGAGGAUGCAAUAACCAUAGUACAUUUGACCAUCUGCAAAAUAACAUGGGAAUAGAACCCUGAGUACGAGAAUGUACUCAGCUAGACUUACCCGUCAUAAACCAAAAAUAAAGACUCUUCAAGGAUCAUGAAGGCUGUAUGGUGGGGUAGUUGAGACUCUUUGCAUAAAAGCAUUAUUCCACUAAAACAUAGCCUAGAGACCUUUCUUCUUUAAUUAGCUCAAGUUUGAUAAUAUCACUACCUAUUAUCUAGGUUUGCACCUGUACUAUUGCAAACAAGUGUAGUGAUAUGAUAGUACCUCAUCAUAGCAUUCAUAAAUCAUUUAUCAUCAUAACCCAAGUGUUCCAUAGUCCUUACUACGAGGACAGGGCUCAUGUCAAGUGCUCACUAUCCAGGAGCGAUGGCGAUUCGAAUCGAUUUCUGACCAGCUGGCGAGUUAUUCCCCACACAAACCACACUCACUGAUCAGGUGAGCUACAGAUCACCGUAUUACACUAUCCAGGACCAAAUCGCGGGUUCGGCAGGCACCGCCAGUACCCAAGAACCGUUUCGGCGACCAAGGUAUCCAAGGUAUACCAAGGUUGCGCGUCGCGCCCUCGUCGUUCUCCUCAACCCUCACCAAUACAGCGCAUGGCGGCUCGACUCCCGGCCCGGAUAGUGUUCAGGCUUCACGGUCGGAACGACUUAUCCUUCCAGCUAAGUGUGGGGCAUGCGUUCAAUAUGACAAGAUGGCCGUCAACGAUCGGUCCUUAAUCGACACAGGCAGGGGCACUACGGUCAACCCCACCAUAAGACCCUGCCCGGUCUCAAAUUCCUUUCCACACUUGAUUAGUUUUCCCCAUAGCAAAUACAACUAAUCAAACAGGUGUCCACCUAUAUCUCGCAGGUGACCGGGAAUCACCCGACUUCUACCGGACUAAGCAAACCAAGCAUAAACACCAUGCCUAUCUACAUAGGACAAGGUAGAUAACAAGUGGUGAUAUCAAGGAGUACAUAUGCAUCAACGGUACCAAGCAAUUCCUAUCACUUAAAUGUAACAUAGUAGAACAAGCAUAAUAUAACAUUUAAGUUAGCGAGAAUAGAGAGACUUAGAAUGCUCCGGGGCUUGCCUUUCUCAAACGUGCUCGGCUUGUGAUCCGGGCACUCCUGCAACUCUUCUCCGGGCACUGGUCCUCCCAGAAGUUCCUACUCCUAGGUCUCUUCCUGCUCCUCGGGUCCCACCUCGUUCUCCUGUUGGCCUGUAUGAUGCAUCUGUGCUUAUGAGUGGAGUGCGAGAUGCCCGGGGUGCAAUGCUUAUACAAGUGGAUACUAGAUGACCAUGACAUGAUGCAUAGAUGAUAUAAGUGGUUAUUUUUACAAGGUAGUCAACAUCAUCCGAGAACAAGUAAUCGAACUAAGCAUCUAUUGCAUUCUCUUCUACAAGUUGUCUUCAUGGUUAAACAGCAAGCUAACAUGAUGCUUGAAAGAUACUCCAAACAAUCUUUUAUUCUAUCUAAUUCAUGCACAACAAUUCUUAUUUUAUUUAAUCGCUUUUGGACCUACAACAGUUGCAUAUAUCUCUGUUUAACAAUAAAUUCCACAAAAAUUACAGUAGACCACUAGUCAAUCAUAAAGUCUAUCAUAAAUUUUUCAUAAUAUUUGGACAAUUAUUUUGGGCUACAAAAAUUACAAGAUUAAUCCAUAUAAUUAAGUAUAGUUACCCUACUGUUGUGUAAGUGUCAAACAGCAGAUUUCAUAUUUUUAUAAUUUACUUAUUAACAUAAGAAACACCCACUAAAAUUUCCAGAUUAAUUGCAUGAUCCAAUUAUUUAUUAAAAAUCAUAAACCACUGCCAUGCAAGCAUUUAAAUCAUCAUAAAUGAAUUCUUACAGCAAAUAAUGUGUAGCAUAAUUUUCCCAGAGACUAAUCAUCCAUGCAGAGCCAACAAAACACGUUUCAUAUUUUUCUGAGCUAUAUUUUAAUUACUAUGCAUUUUCCAAAUUUCAGCAAAAACAUAGAUUAAAUAUAUUUGUACAGAAAAGUUGUUCAAACAUGACAUGCAACUAUACCAAACUAUAGAUCUAGAAUUAUAGAACACUCCACAAUUUAUUUCAUUAAUUUUGGAGCCAUAUAUCUCAAGAUAUGGAUUUUAUAUCAUUUAAACUAUUUUCUAGAAAUCUUUUUCUGAAAACCAAUUCAAAACCGGGAUGAAAAACACUAAAGACACCCAGAUCUCUACCCACCUCGGUCCCCUUGCGACUGACAGUGGGCCCCCGACCCCACUGGUUAGCGUGACCGAGAGGGAGAGCACCUCCGACGUGCGGAUCUCGUCGGCGGUGAGGUCUCCGGCCACGGGGUGAGCACCAACGCGCUCCCCGCAGCGAGGCACACCCGAGGGUGCCUUGGAUCGGCCGGAAGAUGACCGGAGCACCCCCGCGGGCAUGCAUGGUGGCACGGCGGCGCUGCUCGCCGUGGCCAAGCCACUCCGGUGGGGUAGAACGCGUGCGGAGAAUCGUCCGAGCUUCCUCACCGUGCUACGAACCUAACGCGCUCGUAAGCAAGCAAAAUGAGGCAGAAACGAGCAGGUUUCGACGCGGCGGAGCACUCCGACGAGGUCAGGGAAACUCCGGCGAGUGAUUCAGGGCUCGCGGCGGUCUCUCACCUCGGUAGAGCGUGCGCAGGGGCUUAUCGCGGUGAAGACGAGUGCAGCGGUGGUUUUGGCGCAGAGGAUGGGUCACUAGUGUGGCCGGCGGCGAGCAGCGGAGCUCAGCCAACAAUGGCGCCGCAGCGGAGCUGCUGCGCUCGCGAACGGGGAGGAGAGGGAGCGGGGAGGGGACAGAAUGGGGGUGCCUGGGGGCGCAGGGUGGCGUCCCGACCAGGAUAAGGCCGGUCGGCCGCGGCGCGUCCACGACGCCGGCGUACGGCCGCCAUGUGGCCGGCGCUGGGUGGAGCGAGGCGGGCGCCCGCACGAGGGAUAGAGGGGAGGGCAAAACGGGCCGCGCAGCUUGGCUGGGCCGAAAGGGAGGCGGGUCGGCCCAGCAGCGCCUGCCCCCUUUUCUUUUUUUUGAAUUUCUUUUCUCCAAAAAGCUUAAAUAAAAUAUUUGAAGCCUCUGCAAAACUUUUCAGGGGUUGGGGUAAGAAGAAGAAUUGCUCUCCACAAAAUUCCCUACAACUUUGUUUUGAUAAGAAAAUUCAAAUUCCAAAUAGAAUUUGAAUCACAAAUUAAAACUAGUUCUAGGUUUUUAAUAAAUUCAUUUUAGAGAUUUUUGGUAUAAAUUCCAUUUCUCAAUUUCUAUAGCUCCAAAAAUUUCACAAAAUUACCCUUAAAUCUUCUAACCCUUAUUUCAACCUAAUUUGGGCAAUUCAAGAAUUUAGAAGCAAGCAUAAUAUUUUUACCAUAUUUAAUUCACAUAAAAUAAAGCACAUAAAAUCACACUUGAAUGAAUAACAUACUCAUGCGAUGCUAUGCUUGAUGAGAAUGCUUAUGGAUGAGUUUAUGAGACUAAGUGCAUGCUUAAAACCUAGGGUGUUACAAGUUGUAUGCUCUUUUCAUAAUAGGUUAUCAAAACUUCACUUUGGCACUCAUAAAUUCCAGCCAAUUGAUUUAUAACAAGCAUAGAAUCGCCGAAAAUUUCAACAGCAUCGGCCUGAACCUAAUUUAACAAUUCCAACCCUUUGAUCAGAGCUCGAUAUUCAGCUUGAUUAUUCGUUAACGUGGCAACAAUCGGCAAAGAGAACUCAUACUUCUUUCCCCAAGGAGAAAUUAGUACUAUACCGAUUCCUGCACCCCGAUCACACAUGGAUCCAUCAAAGAAGAGCGUGCAAGGAACAAUCUCCAAAGUCCCCACUACACCGCAGUGCUGAGCCACAAAAUCGGCCAUAAUCUGCCCUUUAACUGCCUUAGCAGAUUCAUAACACGGAUCAAAUUCCGACAGCGCCAAAAUCCAUUUGCCGAUUCUACCACUCAUAAUCGGCAUAGAUAGCAUGUAUCGGACCACAUCAUCUUUGCAUAUAACGGUGCAUUCGGCCUAUAACAAAUAGUGCCUCAACUUCAUACAUGAAAAGUAUAAGCAUAAACAUAAUUUUUCAAUGGCCGAGUACCUUGUCUCAACAUCAACCAGUCUUCUACUCAAAUAAUAAAUCACACGUUCCUUCCCUUAAAAUUCCUGAAUUAGAGCUCAACCGAUGACCAUUCCAUCAGUAGAUAAAUACAAUUUGAAAGGUUUUCCUUGCUGAGGUGGAAUCAGAACUGGAGGAUUUGGCAAAUAAUUCUUGAUUUCGUCCAGUGCUGACUGUUGCUCUUUUCCCCAUACAAACUCUUGAUCGGCUUUCAACUUAUGUAAAGGACUAAAAGCACGAAUCUUACCAGACAAGUUAGAUAUAAAUCGCCUAAUAAAAUUUAUCUUGCCGAUCAGAGAUUGGAGUUCAGUCUUAUUGGUGGGAGCAACUAUUUUGUUGAUAGCAUCAAUAGAUCUCCUACUAAUUUCAAUUCCUCUCUGAUGCACCAUGAAACCAAGAAAUUGUCCUGCCGAUACACCAAAUGCACACUUAUUAGGAUUAAUCUUCAAACCAUGUUUCCUUGUGCACUCUAACACCUUUCGUAGAUCGGCAAAAUGCUUUGUGAAAUCUGUUGACGGUUCUUAAGUAUCAAUUUUAAUUAUCAAAUAAAAAUGGGAAAUGACCAAUAUACAAACAACACCUAGAAUUAGGGUUUGAUCUGAUAGAAUUCCACGAGUUUUGUUGUUUAUCUGUUUUUUCAGGGGGUUAUCAGGAAAUAAGGAAGAAAGGCCCACAUUUCAGGAUUACAUAGAGAUAUUAACGCACCGUGCAAUUUUCUACCAUCUAGAAGACUCUAGAAGCCACGGGAACGAAUGGGAAGGCGAUCGGGCCCGGGGGUAGGGCGCCCACCCACCCCCCUAGGGGGCCGCCCAAGAGUUCUGCCCAAACACGUCCAGCUUCGCGGAUCACGCUCCACCGACCUAAAGGAUCCAGGAUAACCGUUCAAUCAAUGUCGGUUUGAUCUGACGGCCCACAUUUACCUGAGGGAACUAUAUAAGCAGACCCCCUGGCCCCUGGAGGAGAACAAGUUCAUCAUAGAGUUGAGAGGUACGAAGGAUAACCUCUCCUCUAAAUAGACUUAGGGCUUAGCAUCCAAUGUGAGUAGAAUUAGAUCUUCUAGUUCUACUAGAUUGAGAGAGAUAUAGUGGAGGUGUAGAUUGGAGGAAGCCCAGCCUGUCGGUGUCUACUCCGUGGUUGUACCUGCGGGAUCAAGUUCUCCUAACCCGAAGCUUGCUCCUAGGAUUCUUUAGUAUUUUGACUUCUAAAUUCUAGUAAGUUCUUGUUUUAUUGUUCUUUGGUUUAUGAGUUUACUUUAAUCUCUUCGUGUAGAGUUUAGAGUAAUCAUCUCUAGCGUAGACGUGGUGUUUGGGCUAGAAUACUCAUAGAUAUCCCGUGACUAGCUGGACCGUAGUAGUAGCGAGAUACGUGACAUUUUCGAGUUACCUUUGCAAACCAUAUCUCAUUAGCAGGAAGGACAGGGUUUAUAGGUGCAGGUUGAACAUCCUCUAUGGUGUCUAGAUUCCGUGAGCCUCCCUAGUAGAACAGUAGAUCAUCCUUACCAAGGUUAGAAAGAGACUACGGUUGUAGUCUUCUCUAUAUAUCACUCACAUCAAGAAACAUUCUUUGUAGCCUAAAGGUUAGUAGUAAUAGACUAGGUUAGUCAGAUGCACUCUUUCUCCUAGUGGUAAAAAUAUAAAUACGAUACUCUGGAUAACCUCCCAGGUGAAGUGCCCACCGAUAUCCAUGCGCUUGCGGAUCAAUUCCUUAUUGCGUUCCCAAAUAUCAACAAGCAUUUUUGGCGCCGUUGCCGUGGAGAAAGACGGUUUGCUGAGAUAACCUUGAGUCUUACUACUAGCUUGUAUCUAUACUUUUAUCUUUUCUUAUCUUUUAUAUUAUUUAUUUAUUUUCUUUACUCUUACCUUAUGGAAAACCAAGAUUCUGAAUCAAUCUACCAAUUUGCAACACCUUCGGAAACUGGCCUUUUACCAUAGGAGUCAUCACAGCCUAUCCAAACAUCCCAGUAUAGGUUAAGUUCCAGGUUGAUUGCCAUGAUUCAAAACCUAUCUUUUUCAGGAAAGGAAGACGAAAACCCUUACCUUCGUAUUAGAGAUUUUGAGCAAACAUGUGAUUGUCUUCGCAUUGAAGGCAUUUCUGAUAAAACUUUACGUUGGAAGCUUUUUCCUUUUUCUUUAAGGGGAGAAGCUAGACAAUGGUAUAAUCAGAAGGUAAGUCAACAACGAGGUGAAUGGGGAGUUUUAUGAGCCAACUUUUGUCUAGAUUUUUAUUCCCUCGACCGUAUCGGCGACCUUAGACUCGAAGUCCUAUCUUUAAACAAAAAGAUAAUGAAACUUUGGGAAAAUCCUGGAAAUGUUUUUCUGAUCUUUAAAAUCUGGCCCAAACCUUAAUCUUGAAGACCCUAUUCUUUUAUUUUACUUUUUUCAAGGUCUUCAGAAAGAUCAUAAACAAAUGCUACAUACAAUAUCUAGAGGUUCUUUCUUUCGCAUCUCUACUGAUGAUGCUAGAGUGGUCCUAGAUAGAAUCCUAGAAGCUGAGAUGGAUAAUACCCUUCAUAUGAAACCACGAAGCCAAAGUAGACACUCUGCCAAAUUCUCUGUCUACUUUAGCUAUCCCAUGUUCUGAGCCACAAAAGGAAGAAAUUCCAUCACCUGAUUUCAUGUUGGAUAUAGAAUCUGAUCUUUUUGCCGAUUUUGGAAACAUUUCAAACUACCAUUCUAUAAACAAACCCCAAAAUGGCCAUUUUAGUAAUUGUUUACCAAGUGAACAUCAAUUAAGAGAGCUUAUCUUAGUCAUGAGUAGCGAGUGGUUGGAGGAGUCAGAGCUUUCCUCUGAUGUGAUCCGUUUGGACACACCCUCUAUAACUAUACGUUGUGCUUAUGAUUCUGAUCGUUUUGAUCCUCUCUAUAAUCCUGUUGUGGGGAUCAACAUCAUGUCUGAAUCUUUUGCACUUAAAUUAUUUAAAAAUUUGGUUUUAACCCCCACAACAAAAGUCAUAAAGGAAUCUUCGGGACAAUUAGUCCCCAGUCUUGGAAUUAUUAAUGUCCUACCUCUUACGGUAGAAGGCUCCAUGGUUCAUUUGAACUUCUGUAUCUUUGAUACAUGGGACUUCAACCUGUUGAUAGGACAACCUUUUAGAAGACUCCUUUAUGAAGGUCAUACUAGAAAGCUACACAUUUCUUUUGGAAAAACUCUUAAAUUUCCCAUAACAAUUUCACACUCCUUGAAUAAUAAGGCCGAGUCAUAUCUUUUGCUUGAUCCUAUGGAGGAGGUAUAGGCUGCAUCUCUAGAGCUUUUAGAUGAACCAGACUUAGAAGAUGAAGCUCCUUUCUUCACAGAAGAAGAAGCUGAACCAUCUGAACCUGAACCCUUACAUGAGUUUGCAGAAACACCUAGACCCCCCAUAGAGCUUAAAACUUUACCACCUGGUCUUAUCUAUGCUUUCCUAAACAAUAAUCCAGAGUGAUCAUUACUGAUAAACUCACUCAGGAGCAGAUUCUGAGAUUAAUGACCAUUCUUGAAAAACAUCACUCAGUUUUUGGCUACUCACUCCAAGAUCUUACAGGAAUCAGUCCUAUGAUUUGUACCCAUCGUAUUCCGACAGAUCCUUCUGUUUCACCUUCUCGAGAACCCCAACUAGACUUAACAACGCGAUGAGAGCGGUAGUUAAAAAGGAAGUUAUAAAGUUGCUGCAUGCAGGGAUUAUAUAUCCUGUGCCGCAUAGUGAGUGGCUGAGGCCAGUUCAAGUUGUGCCUAAAAAGGGAGGCAUGACUGUCAUUAUGAAUGAAAAGACCGAGCUAAUUCCGCAACGCACCGUCACAGGGUGGCGGAUGUGCAUAGACUAUAGAAAACUGAACAAAGCCACGAGAAAGGAUCACUUUCCUUUACCUUUCAUAGAUGAGACGCUAGAGCGAUUAGCGAACCAUUCGUUCUUCUGUUUCUUAGAUGGAUAUUCAAGGUAUCACCAGAUCCCGAUCCAUCCCGAUGAUCAAAGCAAAACCACUUUUACAUGCCCAUAUGGAACUUAUGCUUACCGUAGAAUGUCUUUUGGGUUAUGUAAUGUGCCAACUUCUUUUCAAAGAUGCAUGAUGUCUAUAUUUUCUAAUAUGAUUGAAGAGAUUAUGGAAGUUUUCAUGGAUGAUUUCUCUGUUUAUGGAAAAACUUUUGAUAGUUGUCUUGAAAACUUAGACAAGGUUUUGCAAAGAUGUGAAGAAAAGCACUUAAUCCUUAAUUGGGAAAAAUGUCAUUUUAUGGUUAGGGAAGGAAUAGUGUUGGGACACCUAGUGUCUGAAAGAGGUAUUGAGGUAGACAAAGCUAAAAUUGAAGUAAUUGAACAACUACCUCCACCUGUGAAUAUAAGAGGAAUUCGAAGUUUUCUUAGCCAUGCUGGUUUUUAUCGCAGAUUCAUAAAAGAUUUUUCAUUCAUUGCUAGACCACUUACUCUUUCGCUAGCCAAUGAUGCUCCUUUCGAAUUUGAUGAUGCAUGCCUAACAUCUUUCAAUUUAUUAAAGAAAGCACUCAUCUCUGCACCGAUCAUUCAACCCCCUGAUUGGUCAUUGCCUUUUGAAAUUAUGUGUGAUGCUAGUGAUUAUGCUGUGGGGGCAGUUUUGGGACAAACUAAAAAUAAGAAGCAUCAUGCAAUUGCUUAUGCAGUAAAACUUUGACAGGAGCUCAACUUAAUUAUGCAACCACUAAAAAAGAGCUUCUGGCUGUUGUCUGUGCCAUUGAUAAAUUUAGAUCUUAUUUAGUUGGAGCUAAAAUAAUUGUUUACACUGAUCAUGCUGCACUAAAAUUUCUGCUCACUAAAAAAGAUGCUAAACCUCGCCUGAUUAUAUGGAUCUUAUUACUUCAAGAAUUUGACUUAGAAAUAAAAGAUAAAAAGGGAGUAGAAAAUUUUGUUGCUGAUCACAUGUCUAGAAUGUAUUUUAAGAAUCCACAGGAACCCUCCAUCAAUGAUUCACUUCGGGACGACAUGCUCUACGGGAUUAACAGGUCUGACCCCUGGUAUGCAGAUAUUGUUAAUUUUAUGGUUUUAGGGUAUGUACCACCAGGAGCAAACAAGAAGAAGCUUAUUCAAGAAAGUCGUUCACAUAUAUGGGAUGAGCCAUACCUCUUCCGAAUAUGCUCUGAUAGCUUACUCAGGAGAUGUGUGACCACCAAGGAAGGAUGGAAGAUCAUCGACAGAUGUCAUUCAUCACCAUAUGGAGGUCAUUAUGGAGCAUUCCGUACACAUUCAAAAAUUUGGUAGUGUGGAUUCUACUGGCCUACAAUGUAUGAAGACACGAAGCAAUAUAUCAGAAGAUGUGGGCCAUGUCAAAGGCACGGAAACAUAAACACAAGGGAUGCCAUGCCACUCACCAACAACCUUCAGAUUAAGCUCUUUGAUGUCUGGGGAAUAAAUUACAUGGGUCCAUUUCCUCCAUCAAAGAAGUGUGAGUUCAUCUUUGUGGCAGUUGACUACGUCUCCAAGUGGGUAGAGGCACUACCUUGCAAGCAUGCCGACAACAUCAGUUCAAAGAGGAUGUUUGAAGAAAUUAUAUUUCCAAUAUUUGGAGUUCCCACAGUAGUGAUAAGUGAUGGAGGAGCACACUUCAUCGACAAACGCUUCAAGCAAUAUCUAUCAAAACAUGGAAUCCGUCACAACGUCGCUACCCCCUAUCAUCCUCACACAAGUGGCCAAGCAGAAACUUCCAACAAACAAAUCAAGAAUAUUCUUCAGAAGACUGAAUGAAAUGGGAACGGCAUGGAAAGACAAGUUACCCGAUGCACUCUGUGUAACACCCCAGUGUUAUGGUUGCAUAAAUCACAUGCAUAACAUGAGCAUCAUCAUUUACUCAAGCAUAUCAUGAUCAUCAUCUACCUUGAGCCAUGUCAUUUUAUGCAAAAUGUGAUUUAAGUUGUCUAAAUAGGCUUCCUAGGCUUGUGUUGGUGUGUACCAUGCUUGUGUUUGUGCUCUAUGCCUUGGAAAUUAGUUUAUCUAUGCUUGACUCAACAUUAGGAACAAUGUUCAUGUUGAUUACUUCUCCAAAAUAAUCACUUAAGUCAUGCUCUUUUGCUUAGUCUUUUAAAAAGUGUUUCAUAAAUUGUUUGCAUGUCAAAACUUUCUACAGCAAAGUUGUAGCAAAUUUUAUAAGGAACAAAAGUUGUUUUAUGGCCAUCUAGCUCAAAAGUGACCCACAAGGCAGAUUUGGGGCUGUUUCCAACACUUAGAAAAUUUUCUAAGUCUGGGAUCGUAGCAGUUUGCUCGAGGGUAUGUUGUUCAUCUUCCAGUUCAAAUUCUGGACCGAAUCAGACUUUGAUCCUGUAGACAAUGUUGGAGUACUCAUGUAGCUCUCUAGCAGAGAGCCAUUAGCUAGCAAAAUCAUCAAGUGGAUUAGGAGAUAAUUGCAGUGCAAAAUCGAGUUUCAGUCGGGUUCAGAAACUGAAUGGAGUCGCCGUCAGUUCAGGGGAGCUCGCAGGUGACGCCGCGUGUCUGGACCCGUGGCGUCCGUACGUCGCUGUUGGUCUCGCUCGUCAAUCCCCAGCGCGUCCUACAGCUUGCCACGGCGCCCCCGGUCGCGUGGACAGCGCCAUUCCACUCCCGGCUCUCUCCCUCUCGCGUGCGUCGUCUUCUCCACGUCGCCGCUGUUGCUUCGGCGAGCUCGCGCGCGUGUGUCUCCGUGUCUCCGGCCAAGCGACUCUGUCCAUCGCUCCGCUAGCUUCCCCGCAACACCGUCGUCAAGUUGGCUGCAGCUGCCGAGCCUCGGUAAGCCCGCAUUGUCUCAUCCGUCGCGAGCUUACCUCGCCGGAGCUCCGCCAUGGUCAUCGGCGUCGUGGCCAGGGCUCUGUAGUCCACCAUUCCUCCUCAUUCUUGUCCCAAAAGCUCCGCUAGGUCAUGCUGAUGCUCGUCCGCAUUCUCUUUCGCUCUGUCUCCGGCCAGAGACGCCGGCGGUCGGCCGCGCACCACCGCCGUGCCGCCAUUCGCGAGGGCGAUGUACCUAGGGUCCAGUAGAGUUAGGGUUUCGGGUACCGUUCGAUGCGGAAUGGAGUGGAGAGCACGAUGGUGCCCUUGGCCAUCGCCGAGACCUCGCCGUCGACGAGAUCUCCGGCGGUCAAGUCGCGCCUCUGCUCUCGGGUCACUGACAUGUGGGGUUCGUUGACUCGUGGGGUCCCUCUGUCAUUCUCUCUCUUUCUCCUUUAUUGAUUUAGGGUUUGAGCUGUUUUUGCAAAAAAUCAUAUCUCUUGUUCCUGAGAUCCAAAAAUUGUGAAACCAAUUUUGUGGGAUUCCUUGGGAUGGCUAGCUUUUAAUAAAAAUGUAAAAUAGACUAUGUUGGCUGGGAAAAUAAUUAAUAGGAUUUAAUCUUGGUUAUUUAAGUAAAAAUUCAUAUCUGUUGGUAGGCUGCUCCUUUUGAUAUAAAAAAUUUUAUGGUAGUCUCUGAGUGAUGCUAGAAUGCCAUGAUAAAUAUUUCAUGAUUUUUGGAGUACUAUAUCUGUGAUAUGAAAUUUAUGUUGGUUCUAUGGCUUGUUUUCUUAUUUAAAUCAUAGUAAAUAAUUGGUGAUUAUGCUGAUGCUCUACUUUGGGGGCAAACUUGUUUAUGGUAUUGGUAACAUGUAAAUAAUCUGAAAUCUGCUGUUUGGCACUAUAUAAGCCAUGUUCCUUAAUUUAUGAAAUAAGUACCUUGUCACAUGUUAAAUUCUUAUCUAAAAAUUGGCAUGUGCAAUUGCCCUGAAAAUUUUAUGGUGAUGUCAAGAUGCUAUGCUUGUGCUCCUGUAAUUUUUGUAGAUUUUUCUGGGCAAUUUUGCUAGUAUCUUGUAAUUAUGCUCUUUUAUAGAAUUAAAUGGAUAAAUGCCUUGUUACGAAACAAUUAAAGGGUAACAUAUAAUGUUCUGGUUAUCUUAUGAUAUACUUGUGCUUAUAAGCUAUUUGGUUGGCACUGUUUAUGUUUUGGCUAUGUCAUCAAAUAAUUAAUUGGAGGGUUAAGAGCUGUCUGGACAGCAAGAGAGUAAUACAACCUUUACUUGUUGAUAACUUGGUUUUCUGGGAGACUUGUCUAAAGCAAAGUUAUUGUAAACUCUAUGAACUAGCUGUGGUUUAAUUUUGGGAUCCUUUGGUUCAAUAGUUUGAAAGUUAUGGCUGUUCCAAGUUGGGUUCCAGAAAUAGGUAUUCUCUGUUUUUCUGGGACAGAACCUGGAACUUUGUUUGAAUGACAUAUUUAAUUUAUGAAUCUUGCUGUGAUGUUUAAAGAUGAUUUGUAGACAAUUUCAUUAGCUUUCCAGAAUGUUCUCAUUUAUGUUUAUUGGAUCUUUAUAGCAAUAGUUAUGACCUGUUUACUGAGCUGUUCUGUUAUGUGUUGCUUGCUGUUUAUAGUUUGACUUGCCAAGUUUGCUAAGUCAAUUGGUUUUCCUUUGUGAGUUAACUUAGAAGUUUACUCAGUAAAUGAGUGUCCAGUGAGUCUAAUUAUGUUAUCAAGCAUUCAUCCUUUAGUAUGCACACUUUCUUAUUCAUCGAGCAUGCAAUAGGUGCACCGGACACGACCGCCUCUUUCGAGCUUCAAGUGAACCCCGAAGGCCAGGAGGGCAACCCGGAGGUGGAGGUCUAGCAAAUCGGACUCGAGGAGCCCAAAGAGGAGAUUGAGUGCCCAAACCACGAGCCAGCCUCGUUUGUGAAAGGCAAGCCCCAGAGCAUCCUAAGUCUCCCCUUUACUUUCGAAAUUUACUUGAAUAUGUUAUAUCUAUUGAUGCAUUUAAGUAAAGGAGUUGUGAUGAAGCCCUUGAUGCAUUUUACUCAAUCCUUGUCUAGAUAUCUUAUCACUACCUGGUUAUAGAGUUAGGAUCGAGUAGCUGCUUAGCCAUGCUUUAACCGGUAGAAGUCGGGUGAUAUACUGUCACCUGCGCGAUAUAGGGUUAUGUCGGAUCACGAUGGACUAUAUGUGCUAUCGUGGAUGGAACCUGAUUAAAUUGACUUAAGCCGGGCGGAAUUUUGCAAGGUUGUAGUAACUCCGUCUGUUGUAGCUAAGGACCGACCGUUGUACGUCCUCUUGUCAUGUUGAACGCAUGCCUAACACUUAGUUGGCCAGAUAACUCGUUCCGACCGCGAAGCCUAGUAGUAUGACUCAGGCCGGAAGACCGGCAAGUAUAAAGUGCGCACUACCGGAGGAAGUGCGGUGUGUGGGGAACCAUUGGCGUAAGACCAAAGGCAGGUGAGUUAAAAUUCCUGACCUCCCUGGCAGAGUGGUUGUCGACGGUUCUUAAGUAUCAAUUUUAAUUAACAAAUAAACAAGAGAAAGGACCAAUAUGCAACCAUCACCUAGAAUUAGGGUUUGAUCUGACAGAAUUCCACGAGUUUUGUGGUUUAUCUAUUUCUGCAGGGGGUUAUCAGGAAAUAAGGAAGAAAGGCCCACAUGUCGGGAUUGCAUAGAGAUAUCAACGCACCGUGCAAUUUUACUUCAUCUAGAAGACUCCAGAAGCCACGAGACCGAAGCGGAGGCAAAACUGGGCCAGGCCCAGGGCGCCCGCCCUGGAAGCCUGGGCGCCCGCCCCCCUGCUGGAGCCAAAUCAGGACUCUUUCGCUCGGGAUAUUCCACCGACCUAUUGGAUCAAGAAAAAUAUAGUACCACCUCGCCUAUCGACCCAAAAACGCAUAGAAGGGGAGGAAGACAUGAAGAAAUUAUCAUAGAGACUGAGGGGUGCCCUCGAAGGAAAACCUCUUCUCUAAAUAAUAUUUCUUUUUAGGCUUAGCAAUCAAUGUAAGGUAGAAAUAGAUCUUCUAGUUUCUACUAGAUUGAGAGAGAUAGAGUGGAGGUGUAGAUUGGAGGAAGCCCGGCCUGUCGGUGUCUACUCCAAGCUUGUACCUGUGGGAUCAAGUUCUCCUAACCCGAAGCUUGCUCCUAGGAUUCUUCAGUAAUUCGACUUCUAAAUUCUAGUAAGUUCUUGUUUUAUUGUUCUUAUGGUUUAUGAGUUUACUUUAAUCUCUUCGUGUAGAGUUUAGAGUAAUCAUUGCUGGCGUAAACGUGGUGUUUAGGCUGGGGUACUCAUAGAUAUUCCCUGACUAGCUGGACCGUGGUAGUAGUGAGGAACGUGACAAUUUUGAGCUACCUUUGUAGAUCACAUCUCGUUAGCAGGAAGGAUAGGGUUUAUAGGUGCGGGUUGAACAUCCUUUGUGGUGUCUAGAUUCUAUUAGCCUCCCCAUUAGAACAGUAGAUCAUCCUUACCAAGGUUAGAAGGAGACUACGGUUGCAGUCUUCUCUAUUUAUCACUCACAUCGAAAGACAUUCUUUGUGCCUAAAGGUUAGUAGUAAUAGACCGGUUAGUCAGAUGCACUCUUUCUCCUAGUGGUAAAAAAAUAAAUACGAUACUCUGGAUAAUUUCCCGGGUGAAGUGCUCACCGAUAUCCGUGCGCUUGCGGAUCAAUUCCUUAUUGCGUUCCCAAAUAUCAACAAGCAUUUCUGGCGCCGUUGCCGGGGAGAAAGACGGUUGCUGAGAUAACCUGUGUCUUGCUAUUAGCUUGUAUCUAUACUUUUAUCUUUUCUUAUCUUUUAUAUCCUUUAUUUAUUUUCUUUACUCUUACCCUAUGGAAAACCAAAAUUCUAAAUCGAUCCAUGAGUCUGCAAUCCCUUUAGCAACUGACCUUUUACCAUGGGAAUCAUCACAGCCUAUCCAAACAUCCCAGUAUAAGUUAAGUUCUAGGUUGAUUGCUAUGAUUCAAAACCUAUCUUUUUCGGGAAAGGAAGACGAAAACCCUUACUUUCAUGUUAGAGAUUUUGAGCAAACAUGUGAUUGUCUUCGCAUUGAAGGCAUUUCUGAUAAGACUUUACGUUGGAAGCUUUUUCCUUUUUCCUUAAGGGGAGAAGCUAGAUAAUGGUACGGUCAGAAGGUAAGUCAACAACAAGGUGAAUGGGGAGUUUUACGAGCCAACUUUUGUCUAGAUUUCUAUUCCCUUGACCGUAUAGCCGACCUUAGACUCGAAGUCCUAUCUUUUAAACAAAAAGAUAAUGAAACUUUGGGAAAAUCCUGGAAACGUUUUUCUGAGCUUUUAGAAUCUGGUCCAAACCUUAAUCUUGAAGACCCUGUUCUUUUAUUUCACUAUUUUCGAGGUCUUCAUAAAAAUCACAAAUAAAUGCUACACACAAUGUCUAGAGGUUCUUUCUUUCGCAUCCCUGCUAAUGAAGCUAGAGUGAUCCUAGAUAGAAUCCUAGAAGCUGAGAUGGAUAAUACCCUUCAUGAUGAAACCUACGAAGCCGAAGUAGACACUCUGCCAAAUUCUUCAUCUACUUUAGCUAUCCCAAGUUUUGAGCCACAAGAGGAAGAAAUUCCACUACCGGACUUCAUGCUGGAUAUAGAAUCCGAUCUUUUUGCCGAUUUUGGAAAUAUUUCAAACUACCAUUCUAUUGACAAACCCCAAAAUGGCCAGUUUAGCAUUUAUUUACCAAGUGAAUAUCAAUUGAGAGAGCUUAUCUCAGUAAUGAGUAGCGAAUGGUUGGAGGAAUCAGAGCUUUCCUCUGAUGUAAUCCGUUUGGACACACCCUCUAUAACUAUACAUUGUGCUUAUAAUUCUGAUCGAUUUAAUGCUCUUUAUAAUCCUGUUGUGGGGAUCAACAUCAUGUCUGAAUCUUUUGCACUUAAACUAUUUAAAAAUCUUGUCUUAACCCACACAACAAAGAUCAUAAAGGAAUCUUCGGGACGAUUAAUCCCCAGUCUUGGAAUUAUUAAUGUCCUACCUCUUACGGUAGAAGGCUCCAUGGUUCAUUUGAACUUCCAUAUCUUUGAUACAUGGGACUUCGACCUGUUAAUAGGACAACCUUUUAGAAGACUCCUUUAUGAAGGUCAUACUGGAAAGCUACACAUUUCUUUUGGAAAAACUUUUCAAUUCCCAAUGAUAAUUUCACACUCCUUAAAUAAUAAGGCCGAGUCAUAUCUUUUGCCUGAUCCUAUGGAGGAAGUAAAGGCUGCAUCUCUAGAACUUUUAGAUGAAUCAGACUUAGAAGACGAAACUCCUUUCUUCACAGAAGAAGAAGACGAACCUUCUGAGCCUGAACCCUUAGACGAGUUUGCAGAAACACCUAGACCCAUAGAACUUAAAACUUUACCACCCGGUCUUACCUAUGCUUUCCUAAACAAUAAUCCAGAGUUCCUUGUGAUCAUUAGCGAUAAACUCACUCAGGAUCAAACUCUGCGAUUAAUGACCAUUCUUGAGAAACAUCACUCAGUAUUCGGCUACUCACUUCAAGAUCUUACAGGAAUCAGUCCUAUGAUUUGUACCCAUCGUAUUCCAACAGAUCCUUCUGUUACACCCUCUCGAGAACCCCAACGUAGACUUAACAACACUAUGAGAGAGGUAGUUAAAAAGGAAGUUAUAGAGUUGCUGCAUGCAGGGAUUAUAUAUCCUGUGCCGCACAGUGAGUGGGUGAGCCCAGUCCAAGUUGUGCCCAAAAAGGGAGGCAUGACAGUUAUUAUGAAUGAAAAGAACGAGCUAAUUCCGCAACGCACCGUCACAGGAUGGCGGAUGUGCAUAGACUAUAGAAAACUAAACAAAGCCACGAGAAAAGAUCACUUUCCUUUACCUUUUAUAGAUGAGAUGCUAGAGCGGUUAGCAAACCAUUCAUUCUUCUGUUUCUUAGAUGGAUAUUCAGGGUAUCAUCAAAUCCCGAUCCAUCCUGAUGAUCAAAGCAAAACCACUUUUACAUGCCCUUAUGGAACUUAUGCUUACCGUAGAAUGUCUUUUGGGUUAUGUAAUGCAUCAGCUUCUUUUCAAAGAUGCAUGAUGUCUAUAUUUUCUGAUAUGAUUGAAGAGAUUAUGGAAGUUUUCAUGGAUGAUUUCUCUGUUUAUGGAAAAACUUUUGAUAGUUGUCUUGAAAACUUAGAUAAGGUUUUGCAAAGAUGUGAAGAAAAGCACUUAAUCCUUAAUUGGGAAAAAUGUCAUUUUAUGGUUAGAGAAGGAAUAGUGCUAGGACACUUAGUGUCUGAAAGAGGUAUUGAGGUAGACAAAGCUAAAAUUGAAGUAAUUGAACAACUACCUCCACCUGUGAACAUAAAAGGAAUUCGAAGCUUUCUUGGCCAUGCUGGUUUUUAUCGUAGAUUCAUAAAAGAUUUUUCAUUUAUUGCUAGACCACUUACUCUUUUGCUAGCCAAGGAUGCUCCUUUCGAAUUUGAUGAUGCAUGUCUAACAUCUUUCAAUUUAUUAAAGAAAGCACUCAUCUCUGCACCAAUCAUUCAACCCCCUGAUUGGUCGUUGCCUUUUGAAAUUAUGUGUGAUGCUAGUGAUUAUGCUGUGGGGGCAGUAUUGGGGCAAACUAAAGAUAAGAAGCAUCAUACAAUUGCUUAUGCCAGUAAAACUUUGACAGGAGCUCAAUUUAACUAUGCAACCACUGAAAAAGAACUUCUAGCUGUUGUCUUUGCCAUAGAUAAAUUUAGAUCUUAUUUAGUUGGAACUAAAAUAAUUGUUUACACUGAUCAUGCUACGCUAAAAUAUUUGCUCACUAAAAAAGAUGCUAAACCCCGCCUGAUUAGAUGGAAUUUAUUACUCCAAGAAUUUGACUUAGAAAUAAAAGAUAAAAAGGGAGUAGAAAAUUCUGUUGCUGAUCACCUGUCUAGAAUGUAUUUUAAGAGUCCACAGGAAACCCCAAUCAAUGAUUCACUCCGGGACGACAUGCUCUAUGGGAUUAACAGGUCUGACCCCUGGUAUGCAGAUAUUGUUAAUUUUAUGGUUUCAGGGUAUGUACCACCAGGAGCAAACAAGAAGAAGCUUAUUCAAGAAAGUCGUUCACAUAUAUGGGAUGAGCCAUAUCUCUUCCGAGUAUGCUCUGACGGCUUACUCAGGAGAUGUGUGACCACUGAGGAAGGAUGGAAGAUCAUCGACAGAUGUCAUUCAUCACCAUAUGGAGGUCACUAUGGAGCAUUCCGUACACAUUCAAAGAUCUGGCAGUGUGGAUUCUAUAGGCCUACAAUGUAUGAAGACACGAAGCAAUAUAUGAGAAGAUGUGGGCCAUGUCAAAGGCACGGAAACAUAAAUACAAGGGAUGCAAUGCCACUCACCAACAACCUUCAGAUUGAGCUCUUUGAUGUCUGGGGAAUAGACUACAUGGGUCCAUUUCCUCCAUCAAAGAAGUGUGAGUACAUCUUGGUGGCGGUUGACUAUGUCUCCAAGUGGGUAGAAGCAUUACCUUGCAAGCAUGCCGACAACGUCAGUUCAAAGAGGAUGUUUGAAGAAAUUAUAUUUCCAAGAUUUGGAGUCCCCAGAGUAGUGAUAAGUGAUGGAGGAGCACACUUCAUCGACAAACGCUUCAAGCAAUAUCUAUCAAGACAUGGAAUCCGUCACAACGUCGCUACCCCUUAUCAUCCUCAGACAAGUGGCCAAGCAGAGACUUCCAACAAACAAAUCAAGAAUAUUCUUCAGAAGACAGUAAAUGAAAUGGGAACAGCGUGGAAAGACAAGUUACCCGAUGCACUCUGGGCAUACCGGACAGCAUACAAGACCCCAAUUGGAAUGUCUCCAUACCAAUUGGUGUACGGGAAGACUUGCCAUCUACCUGUUGAACUAGAAUUCAAAGCACACUGGGCCAUAAAGAGAUGGAAUAUGGACCUAGAUGUUGCUGGAGAUUAUAGAAGAAUGCAAUUAUCAGAAUUGGAAGAAUGGCGAGAGAAGGCAUAUCACAAUUCAAAGAUCUACAUAGAAAGAGUCAAGAGGUGGCAUGACAAGAGAAUCAAGAAGAAGGAGUUCACACCCGGAGAUAAGGUAUUACUUUUUAAUUCCAGGGUGAAGCUUUUUGGGCAUGGAAAACUCCGGAGCAAAUGGGAAGGACCAUUCAAGGUAAUCAAUUCAUCAUCCCACGGAGCUAUCACACUUCAAAACAGCGAAGGUACGUUAUUCAAGGUAAAUGAUCAACGUCUUAAAUUAUUUUUAGAGCCCAAUGAGGAAUUUGAAGAAAUAGACGUAGUCCAUUUUUACCUUCCCAUGGAGAAUUAGAGCCCGACACUUUUGGUCUGAUGGUUUUGGGGCAUAUAUAUAUUUUUCUAAAUAAUUUUGCAUCUAGAAACGCGCUCGGAGAAGUGGGCCCACAGAGGGGCCAGAGAGAGGGCGGGCGCCCAGGUCAAGUGGGCGGGCGCCCAGCCCCUGUUCCCCCUCGGUCCCGACUUUCUCUGUUAUGGAAAAUGCACUUAGGGUGAUCCGAAUAAUCCCUCAGAUGGAAAGUUUCGCACGCACAUCGACGGGAGCAACCCGAACAACCCAUAGAGGCAUCCUUUUGACCCCUAUAUAAACAGACCCCUGACCUCAGUUUUCAAACACCAAGCCACCAAGCUUUCUCUCCUUCAACUAGAGCUUGAUUAGCUCUCCUUUAAUUAGAGCUUAAUUAGCUCUACUUCAAUUAAAAUUUUAUUAGUUCCUUGCUACUCCAAUGGCCGACAAGUACCACGACGAUUGGGAAGUCGUCCCCUUCAACCUCAACAUGGAGCCAGUGGAAGACCCCGAUGCCCGUGCUCUCGUCCCGGCCAAAACAGAGCGUCAGCUAGAAGCCAUGCCAUUACGCCAACGCAGCUCCGCCCAAUCUUACCAUGCUCAACCAGUUCUCACCGCACCACCACAACCCCUACUCCUCAAAGGACCAUCAUCCAAGACGAAGACCACUAUCAAGGUGCCAAUCGACACAAGGAUCCUUCCACCUAGACCCAAUGAGAGGGUCAUUGGAGUCAAGACCAACCGAAGCGGCGAGAUUAGCAGCGUACGCUACACUUCAGAGGUGGAAAGGCCUUACUUUGAAGGAAUUAGAGCAGCCAAAGUCCGUUUCAUCCCUCCAAAGGCAGCCUCGAAGCAUUCUCUCAAUGCUUUUGAAACACCUCCCAAGCGUCGCAAGACUAUAAUGGAUAUUGAUGAGGAAGUUCGCAGGCUAGAUAGAGUUAUCAUAGACCUCCAGUCCUCAAUUAAUUCCCUCACUAGGCAGCUCUCUAACCACAAAACCAUUAUACUAGGCCUUAGGCAGGAUCUUGCCAGUGCCAACAAGAAGAUCAAGGAAUUAGAGCGCCGUUAAGUUAUCUAGAUUAGACCUUGAGGCAAUGCAUCUUAGUCAUCUAUCUUUAAAUUCGGUUUAGGUUUGCAAUUAUCAUCAGUUUACUAUUAUUAUCAGUUUGCUAUCAGUUUGUUAUCAGUCUUUUGUACUAAAUGCCUCAAGAUCAAUAAAGGGUAUUACUAUUAUUACUAUGUCUUGUGUGUCUCUACUUUAUUUUUGUGCAAGAAAGCAGAAAACAAGUAUGGGGGAGAUCCCUCGACAUGCUAAACACACUCCGACUGCACCACUCCACCACUCAGGUACACACUCUGCACACUUUACUUCAUACAUACAUUUAUUUUGGAUUAUGCAGAUUACUGUUUCCGACAUGAUAAAAUAAAAAGAUUAAAAUAUUUCUAAUCAUGAUUAAUCGCAAUCUGUGAUAUUUCCUGAAAAUUUGCAAUUAUUAUAAAAUCAUUUUUAAAACCCUGUGUUACUUAAGUCAAUAUGGAAUAUGUGAUGGUAGAGUAUGAGUUUCUUAUUCUUGAUAUCAUUGUUGCUUGGAGAAUUUGUUUCAAAAUAUUCAAAAUUCUAGCUACCAUCCUCAGAGUUUUAUAUGCCUGAUAAAAAUAAAAAUAUUAAUGAUGAUUAUAAAGCUAUCUACUCUGUAUUGAGUUUGUUCAAAAUGAGUUAGACCCUUGUUGAGAGAUUUAUCAUGCUCCCAAGAUCAAGACACUAUUUCAGUAAGAUUCACUCUUCCGAAGUAUUAUUGCAUUAGAGGCAUGGGCUAUGCAAAAAUAAAAAUAUUUCGAGGAAAUAAAAAGGAGCAAGUGCUCGACAACCUCGUAGAAAAAAAAUGGGCAAGUGUCCGGCAGUAGAAUUAGGGGUACCUCGGUAUCCACUUAAAAAAAGAUGAUAGCCCAUGGUCCCUCUAAUAAGCAAUAUGCCAGCAAGAGUUGACAAAGUUUUUAAUUUUCAAAGUCUUUGAUCUAAGACUAUGACAUUCCCCUCCUCGGAUCCCGUUUUGAUCAGGCAAUAAAUGCAAAGUAAGUAUGCUUGAGAAUUUUUGCAAAAUAAAAUAGCCUCAGUGAGAUAUAUAUAAAAGAUAAUGAGUGAUCUGAGAGAACCUAUGAGGAUCAAAAGGUAUGCUGUGGGGGUAUAAACCCCUAUACCCUUGCGGCUAGAUUUCGGCCAGGAGGCUUGGUCCAUUACGAGACGAGUUCAAGGCUUGAUCCGACAACCUGGAGUUUCGCGCAAGGAAACAAGAUGUGGAGAUCAAGCAGGAUUCUAGUCGGUUAGAAUAGGAAUUGACAUCGAAUUAUCCAUGGCAAUUGUAACCGACUAGGAUUAGUUUCCAGAUCUGUAACCCCGCCCUCCAGACUAUAUAAGGAGGGGCGAGGGACCCCCCUAGGACAUCAUAUUCUCUCAGCACAAAUCAAUACAACCAGACGCAGGACGUAGGUAUUACGCCAACUCGGCGGCCGAACCUGGAUAAAAAGCUUGUCCGUGUCUUGCGUCACCAUCGAGUUCGUAGUUUGCACACCGUCUACCGAAAAACUACUACCGUGGGUAUACCCCAAGGUAGACUGCCGACUAGCUUUCGUCGACAGUGGCGCGCCAGGUAGGGGGUGUGCGUGCAACUUUUCCGGCGAACAAGAUGGUCACGAUCCCAGCUUCCGCGACCGUGCCCGAAGGCCUCACGUUCACCGUCGGCCAGAUCACGUGGACGACGUGCAGCGGCGGCUUCGCGACCACGGUUUCGAAAGAGACCCAGAUCCAAUCUGAGAUCACGCUGUCUCCGACCACGCGCACGACGGCACCAAGCACCCGACUACCGAUCCCACCCUACAAGGGAAAGGCGAUCGACUGCUCGGACCUUCUCCGAGCACUCGAUCGCGUUGACCCCAAGCUACUCGAAGUUUCCCAACUCAUAGAUGGGGUUCUGCGUCGGCCCGACCAAGCUGCUCCAGCGGAUUUUUUCAAAUCCCGCCGGCCAACUCGUGUCGCCACACACGAACGGCUGGGAACGUCUUUGACGAUAACCUCAAACCCCUCAGGACGAUCCGUCGAGCUCAGGAAGGAAGACUAUCCUUGCGGCCUGAACAACUCGGCCUCUGUUUACUCACGGCACACCCAAUCUGUUUUUAGCAAGGCGGGUUGGUCGCCGACAAGGAACAAUCGUCACCACGUCAACAUGGUGACAAUCCGAGAAAUACGGGACGGCCAGGUCUCCAGCACCAACUCAAGCACCGGCUCCGUUCCCACCGAGGUUAUAAACACUGAAGACGAGGACUACGACCUGGAUUUCCCUUCACACCCUCCGGGUUUCGACCGAUUCCCGAUAUUUCCCCCCCGGCGAGGGGAUAUUGUGUUUAAUGUCAGCGCCGACGAACCGGACGUUGAUGGAGAAACAGAUGACCAGAGGCAACUCCGCGAACAGCGUAACGCCGAGCGCGCCCGACGACGUGCGGACGAGCAACAACAAAUGCCACCAAAUAAUCUCAACGAUGCCUUUGACAUGGUCGGGGACCAGCCAGUCUACAAAACGCCAAGCGCCAACGUAGCUGUUGCCAUGGCUAACCUAGAUCGGCUUCCUGAUACCCCCGAAUGCCAGGGAGUCCGGACCAGCAUACGAGCACACCUGAUCGCCGCAAUGGGACAGACAGCCACUCUGCUCAAGAGAGUCCAGGACGUCUCCUAUACGGGAGCCGCCUCCGACCAGACUAAUCGUAGCCGGGCCCCACCCAGCGGGCGUCACCGCAGCCGCUCCCCCGACAACCGUCGAUGGGACUCACGGCGCGACGAUGGUGGUCGGGACGCCGAUGGCCGCCGCCAGCAGAACCGCGCACGCGGCCAAGAAGAAGAUCAACACAGGGAUCUCCGCCACAACAUCCCUCCCAAAGAUGCCCGGGACCGCAUCAACAGGCGCGCCGCAGAGAGAGCAGUCCACGAAAACCUGCGACGCAUCGAGUACGAUGCAACGCACGGUCCUCCGGGCCUAAGACAGUUCUCCUCACACCUCCGCCAGGUCGUGUGGCCCCGCAAUUUCAAGCUCGAAAAACUUAAAAAAUAUGACGGCAAGGAAAAUCCAGAGAACUGGAUCACCCUCUAUGAAAUCGCCGUCCGAUCAGCGGCAGGGGAUGAGCACGUCAUGGCCAACUACUUCCCCGUAGUCCUCGACCAGGCUGGUCAUCAGUGGCUUCUCGGCUUGCCCGAGGACUCCUUCGACUCUUGGGAAGAGCUGCGCCAGGCUUUCAUCGACAACUUCAUCGCCACAUGCGAGCAGCCUGGAAACAAGUAUGACCUUGAAAGGAUAAGGGACAGGAGGAACGAACCUCUGCGCGAUUACAUCCGACGAUUCUCGGAUAUGCGCCUCAAAAUCCCGAAGAUUUCUCAUGACGAGGCCAUCUCAGCCUUCAUCAAGGGCCUGCGAUUCCACGAAGCGCUGAGGAACAAGCUGUUGCGUAAACGUCCAACAACGGUAGCAGAGCUCCUCGCCACGGCUAAAAAUUACGCCGAUGCCGACGACGCAGAAAAACUAAUCCGAGACGAUGCGAGAGGUCCCGACCAGCCUCCCCAGCGAGAUGACGGUCGUGGUCGCUACGACAGCAGAAAUCACCGCCGCUCCGACAACCGCGAUCACCGAGAGGGUUGGGAUCGGCGGCGCGACGACUUCAGAGGAAAACGCCCCCGCGACUACGACCACGAAGUAAAUACGGUCAAACGUCCCAAUGGACGACGGGACUACCAAGAAGACUACAACAAAACGUUGAAGGGACCAUGCCAACUACACCCAAAGUCCAAUCAUACCAUGGAAGAGUGUCGCGUCCUCAAAAGUAUCUAUACACGGCGGGCCGCCCAAGACGACUCCGCCAAGAAAAAUAACAAGCGCGACGGGCACGACCACGAAGAUGAGGAUGAGGACCAAGAUAGGGACCCCCGACACCAAUACGUCAGCCCCACUGACGUGGUCCACUCCAUUUUCGGAGGCAAGGUCUCCACUGAGUCCAAGCGAGAAAGAAAGCUGUUAAAGAGAGCCUGCCUCAACAUAGACAGCACGGACGGGCUGAUCGCAGAUCCGAAAUUUCCCACGUGGUCCCACAGGGAGAUCUCGUUCAGCAGGAAGGACCAGUGGGCUGCUAUGCCAGAGCCGGGUCGUUUCCCACUGAUUCUUGACCCCUGCAUCAACAGCAUCAGAUUCGAGCGCGUGCUCGUGGACGGGGGAAGCUCCAUCGACAUCCUCUUCCGCAACAGCCUGCCCGCCCUCAAGAUAUCACCGGCACAACUAAAACCUUACGACGCCCAAUUCUGGGGGGUUUUGCCAGGUCAAAGUUCGGUGCCUCUCGGACAGAUAACAUUGCCUGUCCAAUUCGGCACACCCGAUCACUUCCGGACGGAGUUCAUCAACUUCGUAGUCGCGGAUUUCGACGGGACCUAUCACGCCAUACUGGGCCGCCCAUCGCUGACAAAGUUCAUGGCAGUCCCGCACUACUCAUACCUAGUCCUUAAGAUGCCCACGGAGAAGGGUGUCCUAACCGUCAGAGGCAACGUCUACACUGCGUACACCUGCGAAGAAGAAAGCUUCAAGAUCACCGAGGCAAUUGACCUCUCAAUCCGCAUGGCGGAAACAGCAAACCAAGCCGCACAGCUGCCUCCCGACCAGCUCCGAUUACCUGAGCAGGAGACAGCCAGAAAGAACUCGAAAUCCAAGGAGUACAAAGAAGUGCAGCUGGUCGAAGGCAACCCCGAGAAGACAGCCCUCAUCGGGGCUAACCUGGAUCCAAAAUAGGAAGACGCGCUCGUCAGGUUUCUAAGGGACAACGUGAGCGUUUUCGCAUGGAAACCCGCAGACAUGCCCGGUGUCCCACGAAACCUGAUCGAGCACUCCUUAAAUGUCUCGAAGACCGCAAGACCAAUCAAGCAAAAACUGCGACGGUUCGCUCGUGACAAAAAGGAGGCUAUUAGGACAGAAAUAACACGGCUUCUAGCAGCCGGAUUCAUAAAAGAAGUGUAUCACCCCGAUUGGCUCGCCAAUCCGGUUCUUGUACGCAAAAAGAAUAAUGAAUGGAGAAUGUGCGUUGAUUACACCGAUCUCAACAAACACUGUCCUAAAGAUCCUUUUGGUCUUCCUCGCAUCGACGAGGUGGUCGACUCAACGGCCGGAUGCGAACUCCUCUCCUUUCUAGAUUGCUACUCUGGUUAUCACCAGAUCUCGCUAAAGGAAGAAGAUCAGAUCAAAACAUCCUUCAUCACACCCUUCGGCGCAUACUGCUACACUACCAUGUCUUUCGGACUUAAAAACACCGGGGCCACUUAUCAAAGGGCCAUCCAGCAAUGCCUCCACGACGAGAUUCGCGAUGACCUCGUCGAGGCCUAUGUGGACGACGUGGUCGUAAAAACAAGGGACGCGAGCACCCUAAUCGACAACUUAGACCGAACCUUCAAGGCACUCAAUAGGUACAAGUGGAAGCUCAACCCCAAGAAAUGCAUUUUCGGCGUUCCUUCCGGUCUACUACUCGGCAACGUCGUCAGUCGCGACGGCAUACGACCAAACCCUUCAAAAGUCAAAGCCGUACUCGACAUGCGACCACCGAAGAACGUCAAGGAUAUUCAGAAGCUAACCGGAUGCAUGGCCGCCCUCAGUCGUUUCAUCUCAAGGCUGGGAGAAAAAGGCCUCCCUUUCUUCAAACUAUUGAAAGCGUCAGAAAAAUUUUCUUGGACAGAGGAAGCCGACGCUGCGUUCACUCAGCUUAAGACCUUCCUCACUUCACCACCUGUCCUCACAGCGCCUCAGCCCAAUGAAGACCUACUCCUUUACAUUGCUGCAACCGACAGGGUCGUUUCCACGGCAAUAGUGGUCGAGCGAGAUGAACCAGGUCACGUCUUCAAGGUCCAGAGACCCGUUUACUUCAUAAGCGAAGUCUUAAACGAGUCCAAGGCCAGGUACCCACAAAUACAGAAGCUUAUAUACGCCAUCCUGAUAACGUCAAGAAAGCUGAAGCACUACUUCGACGGCCAUCGAGUCCUGGUGACAACCAGCUUUCCUCUCGGGGACAUCCUGCGCAAUAAAGACGCCAAUGGCAGAAUCGUGAAAUGGGCAAUGGAAUUAUGUCCAUUUUCCCUGGAGUUCCAGAGUCGCACCACUGUCAAGUCUCAAGCCCUGGUCGAUUUCGUUGCCGAAUGGACGGAUCUCAACGAGCCUUCCGUUCCCGAUGUCUCAGACCACUGGUCAAUGUUCUUUGACAGGUCCUUGAACAUCAACGGUGCAGGCGCUGGGAUAUUGUUCGUAUCACCCAACAAGGACAAACUCCGUUACGUCCUUCGGAUCCAUUUUCCGGCGUCAAACAACGUCGCCGAAUACGAAGCAUGCUUGCAUGGCAUACGACUAGCCGUUGAACUGGGGGUCAAGCGCCUCUAUGUCUACAGCGACUCCGCUUUGGUCAUCAACCAGCUCAACAAGGAGUGGGACGCAACCCACGAGAAAAUGGAUCUCUACUGCAAAGAAAUUCGCAAAUGGGAAACUAACUUCUAUGGCAUAGAGUACAUCCACGUGGUCCGGGAUAAGAACCAAGCAGUAGAUGCGUUGUCAAAGUUAGGCUCAUCUCGGGCCCAAAUCCCGCGGGGUAUUUUCGUCCAGGACAUCCAUGAGCCGAGCGUAAGCUCCCCCCUGGUCGACAAGCAACCCACCGAGGCAAUGCUCAUAGAUGACGCCACUCCGACAACCGGUGGGCGUGACUGGCGUACCCCGUUCAUCAAAUACAUAUCAGACGGGACAGGCUUUCAGGACAAAACAGAGAACGAGCGCCUCAUCCGACGAUCAAAGAACUACAUCCUGGUCGACGGAAAACUCAUGCGGAAAAACGCAAGCUCCGAAGUACUGCUCAAGUGCAUACCCCAAGAUGAUGGUAUCAAGCUCUUGGAGGACAUACACGCUGGAUCCUGCGGCAAUCACGCCGCAUCUAGAACGCUGGUCGGAAAGGCUUUCCGAGCAGGUUUUUAUUGGCCAACCGCGGUCGGCGACGCAGAAAAACUGGUUCGGCAUUGCGAAGGAUGUCAGUUUUUCGCUAAGAGGACCCACGUACCUGCCCAUGAAAUUCAAACCAUCCCGUCGUCUUGGCCCUUUGCUUGCUGGGGGCUUGACAUGAUCGGACCAUUUAAACCAGCCCCGGGCAAUUUCAAGUUUGUCUUCGUGUUAAUCGACAAGUUCUCCAAGUGGAUUGAAUACAUGCCCCUGGUCAAGGCAACCUCCGAGAAGGCUGUGGAGUUCCUCAAUCAAAUCAUACACAGAUUCGGCAUCCCGAACAGCAUAAUCACCGACCUGGGCACUCAGUUUACUGGCACCACUUUUUGGGAUUUCUGCGAUGACAGAGGCAUAGUCAUAAAAUAUGUGUCAGUGGCACAUCCACGUGCCAACGGUCAAGUCGAACGUGCUAACGGAAUGAUCGUUGACGCCCUAAAGAAAAGGCUGUACACCGAAAACGACAGAGCACCCGGUCGAUGGAUGAAAGAAUUGCCGGCAGUGGUCUGGGGCCUCCGAACCCAGACCAGUCGAAACACAGGGGUGUCUCCCUACUUCAUGGUGUACGGUGCAGAGGCGGUCCUGCCGUCUGACAUACACUUCGGAUCUCCUAGAAUCGAGCACUUCGACCAGGCGACCGCCGACAACGCCAGAGAACUCGAAAUCAAUUGCAUGGAGGAAAAGCGUUUAGUUUCAUGUCUCCGAACAGCAAAAUAUCUCGCGGCAGUCAGGCGAUACUACAACAGGAACGUCAAGGACCAUUCCUUCGUGGUCGGCGAUCUGGUGCUUCGAUGGAAAACAAGCCAGGAGGGAAUGCACAAGCUAUCCACUCCCUGGGAAGGACCCUUCGUGGUGACCGAGGUCACACGACCUACGUCCUACAGAUUGGCAUACCCAGACGGAACACGAGUGCCUAACUCUUGGCACAUCGACAAACUGCGACGUUUCUAUCCAUAAAGUUUUAAUGACUUUCUUUUGUAAGUAUCUUAUAAUUUUUGAUAAUGAAAUUCUCUAUUUUUUGCCUAUACCUUGUCACACACAGCACUCGGCAAAACUCCUGCAAUGGAUGCUCUUAGCGACAACCAAGACAAAUACGGUGACACGUCACUCAGAUAUUCUUACAGCGCUCAAAACAACAGUCAUGACAAAAAGUAAACUUUAUUACAAACUUUACAUACAAAGUUUACAAUAAAUACCCUGACGGGCAGACACUAGUCUAUUCCUACAGACUACUUUAUUGGCCUAGCUGCUCGGGCUGAUCACCCGCCUGGCCCUGCUGCCCGGACGAAGGGGUCGGGGCCACCGGCGCCUGGCUGGUCGAGACCGCAGGCGUCGACCGCCCAUCUCCCGCAACGGACGCGCCCGACAACUCCCUGGCCGACCUAUCUGAACUCGGCUGGUCUGGAGGAGUGGCCGUUCCGCAUAGAUUGAUGUCGCCGAUCACUGUCGACGACAAGUCCAGUAGACUACCCCGAAGCUCGUCCGCGUCCUGCGGGCCGACUUCCUUCGGGUACCCCUUCUCCAGCCUGCUCAAGUCGACCAGGGUGUAGUGGGCGCGCACCAUGCUGAGGACGUGCGCGCCGGCAAACUCCCCGGCGUCCUUCACAAACUGCUGGAGCCAGUCCCACGCCCGUUGCGCCUUCUCGACCGGGGUCAACUGCGGCGCGCGGGGCUGGCUCUCCGGGAGCUCGGGACUGAUCAGGUCUAGGACCGGGGACACUCCUUUCCAGAUCCUGCAACAGUUGACCUUCCAGGAGUCCCAGUCCUUGAUCAGAUCAUCCAGGUGCUUUUUGGCGUUCACCUUGAGCACUGCAAACGAAACGAAGCGUUAUUUUCGGCAUAACAAAGGGGCAGGCAACAACCAACAAGGCGGCACCCAUUACCAGAUAGCUCCCGGUCUUUUCGACCCAAUUCCUCUCCUGCUCGCCGCCCGGACUCCAGCGCACCGGCGAGCUGUUGGCUGAGCUGCUCCUUCUCUUGUCGGAGGCUCGCCACCUCCUCCUCCAAGUCUGCGUGAAUCCUAAACUGGUCAGCAGAGCAAACUAUACAAGUACGCGAAGCUGCUCGGCUCGCCGGCCGGACUCCAGCGCACCGGUGAGCUGUUGGCUGAGCUGCUCCUUCUCUUGUCGGAGGCUCGCCACCUCCUCCUCCAAGUCUGCGUGAAUCCUAAACUGGUCAGCAGAGCAAACUAUACAAGUACGCGAAGCUGCUCGGAGCGUGUGACUAACCUUCUUGCAGCCGGUACUGGUCGGCCAAACGACGAGCGAGGUCGAGACGACGCUCCUUUUCGGCACUCAUCUCGACCACCUUCUCCCCGACCUCCGACCGCAACCGGUCUACCUCCGCGGCAAGGGCCUUGUUCUCGGCCAUGACGGCUUCUAUCUGGUCAAAGCACCGUUUCUGGUACUUCGCCGUUUUCAUUGCGCCCUACAAAGCAAGCAUAUAACGACCAUGCAAGACAAGGCAAAAGAAUGUACAGCAGUACAAAAAGCCGCUUACCUUGACUUCGUCGACGAGGCGCUUGGCCGCGCGCUCCACCCUGGCGGCCUCUUCGGUCUCGGCGAGCUCCUCAUGCCCGAUAAAGUGAUCCCCGCGUUGGCGCCACACAUACACGUGUUGGCGGCCAUCACGGGGACGACCCUCAAUCUCUUCCACCUCAUCAUCGGAGGCCGCCCAGGUUUCCUCCUCCUGUGCUGCGUCACCCCCGGUGGUGGUCCCAGGUAUUACUGGCCCUUGGACCAGACCUGGGGAGCCCGCAGCCGAAGAGGCUCCUGCUCGGGGCGGCGUGGGGACUUCACUCCCCCCGGCAGGAGGAGCGGUCGGAGAUCUUCCCUUCUCUGAGGAGUCAGUUGGGGGAGCCUCUCCAGCCCUGGUCGGGCUGCUUGUCGUAGUCGGUGCCGCGCUCGGGAGCCCCUCGGUGCUCCCAGGCGCGACUGCAGCUGUUGGCUGCUCUGUGGUCUGGGGGGCCGCAUCCCCAGAACCGCGGGCAGGCUCGCCCGUUCCCUGGCUGGCAGUUUGGCCGGGGUCGACAUCCGAUGCCGCACUACAGGAACAAAAGUUAAAUUUCGAAAAAAAAAGUCAAAGAGGAGUCCAAAAUACGUAAGUCGAACACUUACAGGUCUGACCGACGGUGGGUCCCGGUGAACCUCCUCCUCGCCCGGCCGGUCGGCACCUGUGCCCCCAUCUCGACAGCUUGCGGGGCAGCGGCGCCGCUGGCCACUCGAUCAGUGGCGACCGGCGCAUUGUCUGGGCGGCUCCGAGGCCGUCGGACCAACGACGGCGCAGCCUCCUCGUCGUCGUCGUCGUCGACGAUCCGCACGAGCCGACGACGCUUCGGUGCUUGGCUGCUCUCCGCCGGUAGAUCUGCCGGCAGCUCCGGUGUCGGCAAGGGAUCUGCCGGCAAUGGCCUUUUCCCCGCUACCCUCUCCUCGAAGGUCGGGACGAGGCGGGCUUGGUCUUCCUCACUGCUGGUGUAAUGAGUACACCGAGCAGCGUCCUCCUCUGGCGGGACCUCUCCCGCAGGAUUUUCCAUCCCCGGUGCCAGUGAUACAUACACUGUGCACCGGUCGACAUCGCCGAUCUGCAAAAGCAACAGAGAUGAGUCAACUGCAGACGAUAUACGAAUGCUAAAACAGAAUCUGCUACAUACCUUUGGUGCUGGUCGUCCUAACUUGAAGGCUUGCACCCGAUCACUGCCACGGAUGAAGCUCCCAUCCGCGAAGUUAAACAGCUCGUUCAACAGCUGUUGUACCUCCGCUUUCUCCAAGAUCUCCGACCGCAUCCUGGUCGGGUCUGCGCUUCCGGCAUACUCGUACGCCGAGUGCACCCUCUUCUGGCAGGGCAUCACCCGGCGGCAAAUGAAGUUGCCGACCACGCCAAGCCCGUCCAGGCGCGACCAGUCGAUCAGCUUCAUGAGAUCCGCCACUGGACCGUCGAACUCCGGGCGGUCGGUCCAGCUCGUCCUCUUCUCAGGAAUGUAUCCCACAUCGCAGAACGUGGAGCUGCCCGGUUCCUCCCUGAUGUAGAACCACUUCCUGUACCAUUCGGUCAAGGAAGUGUUCCAUGGGCAGUGCAGGUAGCGAUUCUUCAUUCCAUCACGAAGGUUGAGGUAUACUCCACCUGCAACCUUGGAGCCUCCAACUGCUCCCUUCUUCCUCAAGCAGAAAAGAUACCGAAAAAGAUCGAAGUGCGGCUCUAUGCCAACAUAGGCCUCGCACAGGUGGAUAAAGGUGGAAAUGAGGAGAAUUGAGUUCGGGUGCAGAUUGCAAAUCCCGAUCUCAUAAUACAAAAGAAGACCUUGAAGAAAAGGAUGAACAGGAACACCAAAACCCCUCUUAAUGAAAUCUUCAAAUACGACGAUCUCACCGGCGCGAGGGUCGGGGUAGCUCUCCCCCUCCGGUGCCCUCCAGCCGCCGAGCUCCGGGCCGUGCAGAAGCCCCAUAUCGACGAGGUCACCAAGAGAUUUUGUGGUGCUGCGAGACUUCUUCCACUCCUUGGCCAUCAGUUCGGCCCUCUUCCUGGAGUCGCUCUUCGCCAUUAGAGGUGCGAAUGUGGGCUUGAGUUAGGAAGAUGCAGGAGAUUGGAGAAGAUGAGAGCGGAAGGUUUGAAGGCAAUGGCAGGGUAAGCGGUACAGGCGGACCUAUUAGGCUCUUAUAAGCCCGCAACUCCACCUCUCCCACUUCCUGUAUUCUCGGGAAGUGGGCAGGCCAUGCGGCGGACGCGGCGUUUCGGUUUACAAUGAUUAUAGACAAUUAAUGCGGCGGAGUUUUCGUACCAAUUGAUGGUUUCCUUUUCUCAAACCAUGCAAAGGGCGGCUGUACAGUUGUCAGGUGCAACUUUUCAUGCAUCCGUCUGACACCCCGUCAGGAGGCCUCGUCACGUCAACUUUAACUGGAAAGAUCUUUUCAAAAAUAAGAAGACACAUACGCCAGUGAGUCAACAAUCCGGGGACUGCACCGACCACUGAGUACUCGACGCUCGGGGACUGGUCGCCCAGUCUAUCAGCUCGGAACUUCAAGGACUGCACCGACCACCGAGCACUCGACGCUUGGGGACUGGUCGCCCAGUCUAUCAGCUCAAAGCUUUAAAGCAUGCACCGACCACCGAGCACUCGACGCUCGGGGACUGGUCGUACGGUAUAGCAACAUAUAAUUCCAAGGAGCACACUUAGUGCUUGGGGACUGGUCGAUUGGUCUUUUCAUUUGCAGACGAGCAUGACAUGCUCGGGGACUGGUAAAUUCACUUUUGACCUUGCUACAAGGCUCAUACUUCGCCUUCCAGCAAGCUCGGGGACUACAUCGGUACGAUGCAUCUAGCGAUGCAUCUCAGUCUCAAAACUACUUUGGGGAAUUUUCUUUUGACCCUGGCACCACGUGCCUACGUCACCUACUACCAGGCUCGGGGACUAAGUGGGCACACUUCACCUAGCGGAGAAUUUGCUUGCUUUUUUGAUGUUUAUACCUUUCAAAAAGGUAAAGUGGGCACACUUCAUCAGGAAAGAAAUUUUUUGAGAGCACCAUGCAUUCUUCGAACAACCUGCUUCUUCGAUGUCAAUGUUGAUCAACUGUCUUUUGAGUUGGUCAAAAUACCGUUGCAACUGUUCGGACGACUUUCCUGCUUAUUGAAGACGUCAAGCCACACUGAUCGAAGAAGCUCAAGACGGCGUGUUACAUCACAAUACAUGGUGCUCGGGGACUAGCUGUGGGGGUAUAAACCCCUAUACCCUUGCGGCUAGAUUUCGGCCAGGAGGCUUGGUCCAUUACGAGACGAGUUCAAGGCUUGAUCCGACAACCUGGAGUUUCGCGCAAGGAAACAAGAUGUGGAGAUCAAGCAGGAUUCUAGUCGGUUAGAAUAGGAAUUGACAUCGAAUUAUCCAUGGCAAUUGUAACCGACUAGGAUUAGUUUCCAGAUCUGUAACCCCACCCUCCAGACUAUAUAAGGAGGGGCGAGGGACCCCCCUAGGACAUCAUAUUCUCUCAGCACAAAUCAAUACAACCAGACGCAGGACGUAGGUAUUACGCCAACUCGGCGGCCGAACCUGGAUAAAAAGCUUGUCCGUGUCUUGCGUCACCAUCGAGUUCGUAGUUUGCGCACCGUCUACCGAAAAACUACUACCGUGGGUAUACCCCAAGGUAGACUGCCGACUAGCUUUCGUCGACAAAGAAUCCUGCUUGAUUUGAUUAACCAGGAUUGAGAACUCCAAGUGACAGGAUUGAGAAGAAAGGAUCUUUACUCUUGAUUUGAUUAACCAGGAUUGAGAUCUCCAAGCUAACUUUCUUUCAAAAAUAUACAAAAAACUCCAAGUGACAGGAUUGAGAAGAAAGGAUCUUUACUCUUGAUCAUAAACUUCCCUGACUAUGGUACACAGUGGAAUUUUAACACCCUGCAAUUAUAUAAAGAGAAUGUUUUAAAUGUUUACCCCAGAUAUUGUUCUUAACCAUCCUUUUCUCGAGGACGAGUAAAAGCCUAAGUAUGGGGGUAUUUGUUGACGGUUCUUAAGUAUCAAUUUUAAUUAACAAAUAAACAAGAGAAAGGACCAAUAUGCAACCAUCACCUAGAAUUAGGGUUUGAUCUGACAGAAUUCCACGAGUUUUGUGGUUUAUCUAUUUCUGCAGGGGGUUAUCAGGAAAUAAGGAAGAAAGGCCCACAUGUCAGGAUUACAUAGAGAUAUCAACGCACCGCGCAAUUUUACUUCAUCUAGAAGACUCCAGAAGCCACGAGACCGAAGCGGAGGCAAAACUGGGCCAGGCCCAGGGCGCCCGCCCUGGAAGCCUGGGCGCCCGCCCCCCUGCUGGAGCCAAAUCAGGACUCUUUCGCUCGGGAUAUUCCACCGACCUAUUGGAUCAAGAAAAACAUAGUACCACCUCGCCUAUCGACCCAAAAACGCAUAGAAGGGGAGGACUAUAUAAGCAAGCCCCACUGGCCCCUGGAGAAGACAUGAAGAAAUUAUCAUAGAGACUGAGGGGUGCCCUCGAAGGAAAACCUCUUCUCUAAUUAAUAUUUCUUUUUAGGCUUAGCAAUCAAUAUAAGGUAGAAAUAGAUCUUCUAGUUUCUACUAGAUUGAGAGAGAUAGAGUGGAGGUGUAGAUUGGAGGAAGCUCGGCCUGUCGGUGUCUACUCCAAGCUUGUACCUGCGGGAUCAAGUUCUCCUAACCCGAAGCUUGCUCCUAGGAUUCUUCAGUAAUUCGACUUCUAAAUUCUAGUAAGUUCUUGUUUUAUUGUUCUUAUGGUUUAUGAGUUUACUUUAAUCUCUUCGCGUAGAGUUUAGAGUAAUCAUUGCUGGCGUAAACAUGGUGUUUAGGCUGGGGUACUCAUAGAUAUUCCCUGACUAGCUGGACCGUGGUAGUAGUGAGGAACGUGACAAUUCCGAGCUACCUUUGUAGAUCACAUCUCGUUAGCAGGAAGGAUAGGGUUUAUAGGUGCGGGUUGAACAUCCUUUGUGGUGUCUAGAUUCCGUUAGCCUCCCCAUUAGAACAGUAGAUCAUCCUUACCAAGGUUAGAAGGAGACUACGGUUGCAGUCUUCUCUAUUUAUCACUCACAUCGAAAGACAUUCUUUGUGCCUAAAGGUUAGUAGUAAUAGACCAGUUAGUCAGAUGCACUCUUUCUCCUAGUGGUAAAAAAAUAAAUACGAUACUCUGGAUAAUUUCCCGAGUGAAGUGCUCACCGAUAUCCGUGCGCUUGCGGAUCAAUUCCUUAUUGCGUUCCCAAAUAUCAACAGUGGUAGCCCUGGGUGUGCGGCGCUGAUCGGAGCCACGAUUCUUGAGUCGUACCAAAGGUGACCCGAUGGCUCUCCGACGGGGGAUGUUUGGGUGAGUGCUAGGAAUAACCCUCCAGCUGGAUAGGAAUCGAUUCGAAUUGUCGUCUCUCCCGGAUAGUGAGAACUUGACAGAGCAGCGGCAAACGUAGCAUUCACUAAAGAACUUUGGUUCAUGGUAAUGAUGAUAGCAAGGAAGAACAUGUGAUGAAUUUGAUAUGGUUAUUAUUGCUUGUAAUAAUCAAGUGAAGUGCUUUAGUACAGGUGCUAAUCUAGUGGUAGGUUGAUGAUGAUUAAUAUGAUGCUCUCACAACAUUGUAGCUAUAAUUUAAGCUUUUGGCAACUGUUGAGUCGACUAGCUCCACUUGAUCUUAGCCGUGCAUGAUCCCUGGUGUCUUUUAUGUUUUACUAGGUGGGUAAGUCUAGCCGAGUACAUUCUCGUACUCAGGGUUUAUUUCCCACCUGUUGCAGAUGAUAUCUUUUAUGAUGGCUUCUGCAAGACCUGUCUCCAUCCCGCUGGGGAUGAGGACUAACCGUUGGGCAUGGUUCUCUAACUACUCUGUAUCUGUUGCUUUUGGAUGGAUGGCAUGAGACCCUGGCUGAACCAAAACUUGUGAAAUGAACUUUGGAAAGUGUGUGUAAUUAUUUUGCUUCCGCUACUUCAAACAUGGGUUGUAAUAACUAAGUAACUCCGAUGUGGUGCCACUUCGACGGCAAUGAAUGACUAUGUAACAUUCGCUGUGUUGUGUUGAACUAUUUUGAUCUUGGUUUGUUGCAAGUUGGUUUGAAGUCCUUCAUGAUUUCAGUUGACUACCGGGAUUAUAUGGGCUCAAGUUUGGAAACUUGAUUGCUUGUCGAUCGUUUCUGCACUUGAACUCUUAUAAUUUGGUCGGUUCUGUGGCAGCUGGCAUCGGAGCAAGUUCAGCAUUAGAAAUGCAGCGUUUGUGUAUUUGAAAACAAAGAGUUUUUAAAUAAAAUUUUGAAAAUCAACACUUAAUUAUGCCAGUGGUCAAAUCCUCCUUGCCCAUAUAAGGACUAUAGGUGGCUAUUUAAGUACUGACUUGGGGGGUUUUAUUUUACGCAUCUCCGGCAGUACUCAGGUAUGGAUGUGUGAUGACCGCACUAUGCUACCCUGUGGUCUAAUGGUAGAGGUAGCCUUCAUAUGUGAACUAGCCACAUAUGUCGCUAGAUUUAAAUUAUGCAACGUCGCACCUACGCUCUGGUAAGUGUGAGAUGUGAGAGCAUGAUCGUCCAAACGGCGGUCUAGGGGAGUGUUCGCGGUGGUUUUCUGGAGUGGUUACAUGUCAAAACCAUGGAACCACCAAAGAAACUUAAUUGGGGAGCAUUUAAAUUCUCGGGUAGCCGUGGUGUCAUUGUUUGUGCAUGUUGGGCAUGUCCAAGCAAUGUGCACUUAGUUUACUGCUUUAUUGAGUGAUAUAUUGGGAACAGUUGGGCUACAAUAAAGUUUUCUGCAGGUACUCUAACAGCGCACGGGUAACUCGAUAGAUAUCGUAUCGAGAGACGAAUGUAUGCCACCAUAUAUCCGUUUGAAUAUUAAUUUUCUAAGUUUGUGAGGACCUACGGUUCGUGCAUGCAUCAUGUCGCAUUCAUACAUACAUUCUGUCUACUCUUUCCCUUACCAUGUCGUCCCUUUUAAUUAAAUAAAUGUUGCUUAAAUUAAUCUCCUCUUACCCAUGGUAUUCCUAUUCCAUUCCACAGAUGGACGUGCCCGCUUCACCUCGCCCCAGUGACACCUUCUUGAGCGAGCUUGGCACUCCUACCUUGCUUUGGAGAGUGCUACAGUCCGUGGGGUAUACUGAGCCACCUCAGUAUUCUUGGUGGGAGGUGGAUAUGACAGGAGAGUUGCAGUGGUUUGCUGUGCAGGGAGUUGUCCCUCCACAUGGGGGCAGGCCUGCAUGGACAGGGUGGACCUGUAACUCAGAUGGGCAGACCCUAUGGGAGGCAGCUCAGGUUGCAGCCCAUGUGAUGCUGCUCAACAUCUGUCAGAGGUUUGGCGAUGAGCUGACACGAGGUCCAGCGGCCUCCAUUCCCUGUGCUGACCCAGCAGCAGCAGAGUGGAAGCGGGUUGAAGGUUGUGCGUUGGUACGAGGCAGGGGAGAGCGAGCUGAGAGUUCUAGUCCUGCUAUGAGUGCUAUGAUGGCUGUGCUCAAGCUGUUCAGUCAGCGAGAGGACACUUAUGCACAGGUGAUGGUGGCUGUUCGCCAGGCUCAGGAGAUGCAACAGAAGGCUGAAAAGCGUGCUCGCAAGUUUUGCAAGCAAGCUAGGCUCCUGGAGCAAGCUCAGAAGGAUCGCAAUGACUGGGAAGGCAUUGCGGAGUACCGUAGGCAGCAGUGGGUGAAGGCCAUUAGGGAAAGAGAUCAUAAGCAGGAUCAGAUGAGUCAGUUAGCUCAAGAGAGGGAGACAGUGUAGGAGCGCUUGGUGCAGGUCACUCGUGAGCAGGACACUGCACUCCGUGUGUCGGAGAACAGGCGCCGGGCUUGGGAGAUGCACCGGAUUCAGUCGCUUGAGCGGGAGAACUAUCUGCAGGAUCAGAUUGAGGCUGGUCUUGUGGAGAUUCACCGUCUCAACAACUUGCUACACCCUAUUCCUCGCCCUGUACCCAUUUAUCUAGAGGUGGAACCUCAGGUGAUUGUGGCUGAUGACGAUGGUAUGAAGGUCGAUGGACCGGCAGCGGCUGCACCACCCUUGCACGAGGACGUGGAGGAUGAGGAGCUUGAGUCAGUUAGCGACGAGGACGGAGAGGCAAUCUUCGACGCUGACUCGGAUGACGAGCCUAGAGUGUAUUGAGUAGUGGGUAGUUGUUAUGUGUGGAUCUUUUGUAGUUUGGCAGUUAGCAGUGGUGCUUUUGUAAUCAUGUUGUAAUCCAGAACCUUGACCUUUGACUCAUGUCAUGUACUGUGAUGGUGUAAUAACUUUAUGGACCCAAUGUUGUUAAUCUUAUCUUGAUCGACUACAUGACGAUAUUUUCUGCAUUAUGCAUAUUACGGAUGUCUCUGUCAUGUGUUGGAUUGGUGAUGUUGUUUUGUGGAAUUGAAUUAUUGUGCCUUUUCUGUAAAGCUAUUCUCUCGAAUACUUUCAGGCAUAAAUAUAAGUUCUUCUACGGCAAAUCUUGUCAUCAUCAAUGCUCACUGACUGUGUCUUUACAGAUGUCUCGUGGCACUCAAGGUGUGGAACAACAUGCGAACAUGAACCCACCCCCUCCUCCACCACCAAAUCCAGCUGAGCUGAUGCAAAUGAUGGUGGAAAAUAAGAGGAUGCUUACUGAAACCAUCAACCGGAUGGCGAAUCAGGGUGGCCGUCAUGCACAAGAAGGGCCAGCACCUAACCAGUACAGUAGCUUCAAGGACUUUAUGGAUACUAAGCCCCCACCUUUUAGAGAGGCUGAAGAACCCCUUCAAGCUGAGGAAUGGCUGAACACGGUGGAACAAAAGUUCCGCUUGCUUCGGUUGACCGAGGGUUUGAAGGCCGAAUAUGCCGCUCACCAACUGCAAGGACCAGCAGGCAUCUGGUGGAAUCAGUAUCGGGAAGCUCUUCCAGCCGACACUAUGCUUGACUGGAAUCUUUUCCGUGAAGCUUUCAAGGGGCAUUUCAUUCCUUCGGGUGUUAUGGAGAUGAAGCAUACUGAGUUCAUGCAGUUAACUCAGGGAAACAAAACUCUGAAAGAGUAUUUGCAUGCUUUUAAUCAUCUGUCAAGGUAUGCUCCUCAGUUUGUGAACACUGAGACGAAGAAGAUUGCUAGCUUCAAGCGGGGUCUUGGCCCCAAGUUGCUGAAGACUAUGGGCCGCUCCAAGUGUGCAACUUUUAAUGAGUUUCUCAGUGACGCUCUCACUCAAGAGAACUAUAACACUAUGUACACUGCGACCAAGACUCGCAAAAGGGCUUUUGAGGCCGGGGUAGGGGCAUCUCAAUCCAAGGCUCCAGUGGCAGCUAGGCCACCGUUCCGUGCUCCAACUCCUAACCAGCGGUAUCGCCCUCCUGUGAAGAAGAAUCAGGCACAGACGGGUUUCCGCAAGGGUUACUCCAUUGCUCUUCCUAGGGGUAACACGGGUCCCAACUAUACCAAGACUCCACCUGCCAACCGUUUGUGAUGGAAUUGCAAUCAGACCGGGCACUGGCAGAGCAAUUGUCCUUACCCUCCGAAGAAGGGCAACCAAGGGAACGUCCGCCAGUGGCGUGUUCACUACACAACUGUGGAGGCAAUCCCUGCUGGUGAGGUAGUUACAGCUGGUAAGUUUCUAGUUAACCAAUGUGAUGCACUUGUGCUUUUUGAUUCAGGAGCAUCGCAUUCUUUUGUGAGUUCAGACUUUGUGUCUAAGCAUAAUCUCAAGGCAAUUACACUCGAAAAGGGCAGUUAUUGCAUUAGUGCUGCUGGAAAUGAUAUUUCUACCAAUCAAGUGGUUUUGGGGGCAACUCUGGAAAUAGGAGACCCUCAGUUUCUUGCUGAUCUGGUUGUUUUACCCGGUGUGGGUAUAGAUGUAAUUCUGGGUAUGAAAUGGAUGAGUGGUAAUGGAGUUCUUAUCGACACCACCACUCGUGUAGUGAUGUUGAGAGACCCAAAUACCAAGGAGGCAUUCUUAGUGCAACUUCCUCGAGACAUCCAUAUCCGUAGCACGUUGAAUGCAAUUACAGCUAAGGCCAUCCAGGAUAUUCCGGUGGUGUGUGAGUUCCCGGAUGUAUUUCAUGAUGAUUUACUUGGGCUUCCUCCAGAUCGGGAUGUGGAGUUUAAAAUCGAAUUGAUUCCAGGUACCACUCCUAUCUCUAGAAGACCUUAUAGAAUGCCACCAAAUGAGCUAGCUGAGCUUAAGACCCAGUUAAAUGAGUUGUUGAAGAAGGGUCUUAUCUGUCCUAGUUCUUCUCCUUGGGGUUAUCUGGCUAUCUUUGUGAAGAAGAAGGAUCAGUCCUUACGCAUGUGUGUGGACUAUCGUCCCCUGAAUGCGGUGACCAUUAAGAAUAAAUACCCUCUUCCUCGCAUUGAUGUCUUGUUUGAUCAGUUGUCUAAAGCUAAGGUACUCUCCAAGAUUGAUUUGCGAUCUCGGUACCAUCAGAUCAAGAUCUGUCCUGAAGAUGGACCUAAGACAGCUUUCUCGACGAGGUAUGCGUUGUAUGAGUAUCUCGUCAUGUCCUUCGGUCUUACGAAUGCACCUGCUCAUUUCAUGUACCUCAUGAACUCGGUGUUCAUGCCUAAAUUGGACAAGUUUGUGGUGGUCUUCAUUGAUGAUAUCCUAGUAUAUUCUUGCAAUGAAGAGGAGCAUGCAGAGCAUCUGCGUGUGGUGUUGUCGUGCCUGUGGGAGCAUCAGCUUUAUGCCAAGUUCAGCAAAUGCGAGUUCUGGCUAAAGAAAGUAACUUUCUUGGGUCAUGUCUUAUCUGAAGAACGCAUAUCAGUGGAUCCGGCUAAGGUGCAAGAAGUGCUGGAUUGGAAGGUUCCAACUUCGGUACACGAGGUUCGUAGUUUUCUCGGUCCGGCUGGGUAUUAUCGUUGAUUUAUUCCAGAAUUUUCAAAGAUAUCCAAGCCUAUGACUCGCCUACUUCAGAAAGAUGAGAAGUUUGUGUGGACGCCUAAGUGUGAAGAGGCAUUCCACAAGUUGAGGACAUUGCUGACAUCAGCUCCUACCUAGCUCAACCUGAUAUCGAGAAGCCCUUCGAUGUCUUCUGUGACGUGUCGGGUAUUGGUCUAGGCUGCGUGUUGAUGCAGGAAGGUCGCGUUAUCACGUAUGCCUCGCGCCAACUUCGAAAGCAUGAGGUCAAUUACCCUACUCAUGACUUAGAAUUAGCAGCAGUUGUUCAUGCUUUGAAAAUCUAGAGGCACUAUUUGCUGGGUAAUCUGUGCAAUAUCUACACCGAUCAUAAGAGCCUCAAGUACAUCUUCACUCAACCUGAAUUAAACAUGCGGCAGCGAAGGUGGCUUGAGUUGAUUAAAGAUUAUAAUCUACAAGUGCACUAACAUCCGGGCAAGGCAAACGUGGUUGCGGAUGCCUUGAGUCGGAAAGCGCACUGUCACUUAGUCCAGGUGGAAGAUCCAUUGUUGUCACACCUUAUGCACCCACUUGUGCUCAACCAGAUUUCUCUGGAAAGUACUCUUCACAAUCGAGUCAUCGAAUUGCAGCAAACAGAUGUAGGUAUCCACCAUAUAAAGAGGAAAAUGAAGGAAGAAGAAACCAAGCAUUUCCGGGUCGAUGAGAACGGUAUUCUUUGGUUCAAAGAUCGACUAGUGGUCCCAAAAGACCGUGAGCUGUGAAAUCAGAUCUUGUGUGAAGCUCAUUCAUCCAAGUUGUCUAUUCAUCCUAGUAGUCGCAAGAUGUAUCAGGAUCUAAAACCUCUCUAUUGGUGGACAAAGAUGAAAAAGGAGAUUGCUGCUUUUGUCGCUCGUUGUGACAAUUGUUGUCGCGUGAAGGCCGUUCACAUGAAAGCUGGUUUGCUUCAACCCUUGUCAAUUCCUGGUUGGAAAUGGAAAGAAGUCAGCAUGGAUUUCAUCGUUGGACUCCCAACUUCUGUUAAGGGUUACGACUCUAUCUGGGUGAUUGUAGAUCGUUUGACCAAGGUUGCUCGUUUUAUUCCAGUCCGAACUGACUAUCGUCCACAUCAAUAUGCGGAGUUGUAUUUCGAGCACAUUGUUCGUCAGUAUGGUGUGCCUCGAACUAUCAUAUCAGAUCAUGGACCACAGUUCACUGCCCGUUUUUGGGAGUGUCUACAUGAGCAGAUUGGUACUCACUUAGUCCGUAGUUCGGCAUAUCAUCCCCAAACGGCCGGUCAAACUGAACGGGUCAACCAAAUCCUAGAAGACAUGUUGAGGGCAUGUGCUCUCUCUUCAAAAGGUUCUUGGGUUAAGUGGUUGCCAUUAGCUGAGUUCUCUUACAACAAUAGUUAUCAGGAGAGUAUCAAGAUGGCUCCAUUUGAAGCCCUAUAUGGUCGAAAGUGUCGAACCCCGUUGAAUUGGGUAGAAUCCGAGGAGCGAAGGUAUUAUGGCAUCGAUUUCAUGAACGAAGUGGAACAACAAGUCCGUACCAUCCAACAACAUCUGGAAGCUGCUCAAGCUCGUCAGAAAAGUUAUGCUGACAAGAGAAGGAAGCCGAUUGAGUUUGCGGUCGGUGACUAUGUGUAUAUCAAGGUGUCUCUGAUGAAGGGUGUACAAAGGUUCGGAGUCAAGCGAAAGCUUGCACAUCGUUAUGUGGGACCUUAUCAGAUUCUCGAAAGGAAAGGAAACGUAGCAUACAAAGUUCAACUCCCAGUUGAGCUUCGAGCUAUUUUUCCUGUCUUCCACGUAUCACAGCUGAAGAAAUGCCUUCGUGUUCCGGAGGAACGAGUGGAAGUUCGGGAUAUCAAGUUGAAGUCGGACUUGGUGUAUGAAGAAAAACCUGUAGCGGUUCUUGACUGCAAGGAACGGGUGACUCAUAAUUGUGUGGUUAAGUUCUACAAGGUGUUGUGGAGUAACCAUGGGGAGGAAGAUGCCACUUGGGAAACAGAGGACUAUUUAAGAGAAGUUUAUAAAACCUUCUUCAAAAACCAGUAAGCUUCCAAAUCUCGGGACGAGAUUUUUGUAAGGGGGGAGGGCUGUAACACCCCAGUGUUAUGGUUGCAUAAAUCACAUGCAUAACAUGGGCAUCAUCAUUUACUCAAGCAUAUCAUGAUCAUCAUCUACCUUGAGCCAUGUCAUUUUAUGCAAAAUGUGAUUUAAGUUGUCUAAAUAGGCUUCCUAGGCUUGUGUUGGUGUGUACCAUGCUUGUGUUUGUGCUCUAUGCCUUGGUAAUUAUUUUAUCUCUUCUUGACUCAACAUUAGGAACAAUGUUCAUGUUGAUCACUUCUCCAAAAUAAUCACUUAAGUCAUACUUCCACAAAUAGGCUCUAAAAACCUCUUUUGCUUAGGCUUUUAAAAAGUGUUUCAUAAAAUUUUUGCAUGUCAAAACUUUCUACAGAAAAGUUGUAGCAAAUUUUAUAACGAACAAAAGUUGUUUUAUGGCCAUCUCAUGAAAAUGAACACAUCUAGCUCAAAAGUGACCCCCAAGGCAGAUUUGGGGCUGUUUCCAACACUUAGAAAAUUUUCUAAGUCUGGGAUCGCAGCAGUUUGCUCGAGGGUAUGUUGUUCAUCUUCCAGUUCGAAUUCUGGACUGAAUCAGACUUUGAUCCUGUAGGCAAUGUUGGAGUACUCAUGUAUCUCUCUAGCAUAGAGCCAUUAGCUAGCAAAAUCAUCAAGUGGUUUAGGAGAUAAUCGCAGUGCAAAAUCGAGUUUCAGUCGGGUUCAGAAAUUGAAUGGAGUCGCCGUCAGUUCAGGGGAGCUCGCUGGUGACGCCGCGUGUCUAGACCCGUGGUGUCCGUACGUCGCCGUUGGUCCCGCUCGUCAGUCCCCAGCGCGUCCUACAGCUUGCCACGGCGCCCCCGGUCGCGUGGACAACGCCAUUCCACUCCGGGCUCUCUCCCUCUCGCGUGCGUCGUGUUUUCCGCGUCGCCGCCGUUGCUUCGGCGAGCUCGCGCGCGUGUGUCUCCGUGUCUCCGGCCAAGCAACUCCGUCCAUCGCGCCGCUAGCUUCCCCGCAACAUCGUCGUCGAGUUGGAUGCAGUUGCCGAGCCUCGGUAAGCCCGCAUUGUCUCAUCUGUCGUGAGCUUACCUCGUCGGAGCUCCGCCAUGGUCACCGGUGUCGUGGCUAGGGCUCUGUAGUCCACCAUUCCUCCUCAUUCUUGUCCCAAAAGCUCCACUAGGUCAUGCUGAUGCUCGUCCGCAUUCUCUUUCGCUCUGUCUCCGGCCAGAGACGCCGGCGGUGGGCCGCGCACCACCGCCGUGCCGCCAUUCGCGAGGGCGAAGUACCUAGGGUCCACUAGAGUUAGGGUUUCGGGUACCGUUCAAUGCGGAAUGGAGUGGGGAGCACGAUGGUGCCCUUGGCCAUCGCCGAGACCUCGCCGUCGAUGAGAUCUCUGUUGACGGUCCUUAAGUAUCAAAUUUAAUUAUCAAAUAAAUAAAGAAAAGGAUCCAAAUGAAAUUAAGAUCUAGACUUAUGGUUUUAUCUGACAGAAUUCCACGAGUUUUGGUGUUUGUCUAUUUCUGCAGGGGGUUAUCAGGAAAUACGGAAGAAAGGCCCACAUGUCGGGAUUACGUAAAGAUAUUAAAGUGCUGCGCAAUUAUCUAACAUCUAGAAGACUCCAGAAGCCACGAGACCAAAGCGGAGGCGAAACGGGGACAGACCCUGGGCGGCCGCCCAGUUGGUCAGGGCGCCCGCCCACCUCCUGAGUCCAAUCAGGACUCUGCUUUGCGGGAGAUCUCCACCGACCUAAAGGAUGAAUCUAAACCAUACAAUCUAUGUCGGUUUGAUCCAAGGGCCCAUAUUCACUUGAAGGGACUAUAAAACCAGACCCCCUGGCCCCUGGACGAGAGAGCCUCUCAACCCUAAUUCAUUGUUCCAUCAAGGGAGAAGAAGCCUCUGAUCAAGAUUAGAGCCACCACAUCAAUUAGAUAUCUAGAUUAGCAUAGCUACAUAGGAUUAGAACUAGAAGGAGUCAAUCUUCGAUUGGUUUCCGGAUCUGUCAAGAGGAUUCUUGGUAAUUCUCUAAUUGUGCUUCUAAUUGCUUUCUAAUUAUCUUUGUUCUUCAAUAUUAUGAAUAUGACUUUGUUCUACUUCAAUAUAUUGCUUAUGACUUUGCUCUACUUGCUUAUAUUCAAGAUUAUAAUGUUCUUAGUUUAUCAUAGUUAUGUACUUGGCUUAGUUAGAUUGGAUCUAUAUACAUGCUUAGGAUCGUAUAGCGUUUAUCCAUCGGAUCCAUGGGUAAAUGAUAGAUAUUGUGUAGGCGUGGUGCUUAUACCAUAUUUAUCUGCGAUUGUACCCAAUAUGCCAGAUCGUGGGGUGGUUCGUGAUAGUGACAGCUUCAUUGAUUCUUAUAUAGUCCCCCUCUCGUGUAUUGGGCUGGCAGAGCAACAUUAUUACAAGGGGAGUGAUUGCUAUGUUCCUCAUAUUCCUUGCUAAUAUCACUAUGCAUGGGCGUAGUCUUGUCUCGCAAUGAUUGCUAAGUAUGCUUGCACUAACUAUGAUAUGCUAGACUAUAUAGUUGAGAAUAACUUAGGGAAUAUUCUUGUAGUUCGUUCUAAUACCAUGCUAAUGACUUUCUAGAGUAUCUAAUUGAGGUGCUUAUCAUAUUUAUUAUGUGGCUAGAUCAGAUUAGUUAUCCUUGUCACUAUUAUUAUUUCAUAUAUCUUAUAUGUGACACUUAUCCCUGUAUGAAGAGUUAGAUAUAAUGUUCUCAAUUAUACAUGCCAUGAUAGAUACUCAAUCUCAUAUUCUAUUCUGUAAUCAUUAGUGAUGAUUGCUAAUCCCUUCCCAGUGGUAAAAAUAUAAAUAACGAUACCUGGAAUACUUCCCGGUUAAAAUGCUACAUCGGUAUUAAUCUGUGCGCUUGCAGAUCCAAUUCAUUAUUUAUUUAGAAGAGCAAUUGCAUAUUUCAAUACCGCGUCUCUUAUAUCAUGCUGGGGAUGACAACUUGGCUUAAGUGGUGUGAGGGAUAGGUUUGGCAUUUUUGGCACCGUUGCUAGAUUUAGAACUUAGUAUACUUUUAGUAAUGAUGUUAAGAAUACCCAACAAGCAUUUUUGGCGCCGUUGCCGGGGAAGGUUGAUUACUAAUCAGGAAUGGAAUAAAAGAUUUUGAGUUAUCAUUCGCAUCACUAAUAUGAUUGAGCUUAUCUAUUCUCUCAUACAGUUUUACCCCGAUAUUUUUCUAUUUCAUCUUAUGCAGGGGAAUGUAUGAAUAGAAGACAUCUUCCAGGAAAUUUUGUUGACAAUCCUGAAUCAUUAUUCAAGAAGACGAGAGCCGAGCUAAAGAAAUCAUCAACACUUCACGAAGAAGCUUCAUCCAAUCAAGAAGAUCACCGGAACUUGUCUUCAGAGUUCGAAGCCAUGGCGAACAAAUCAAUCCGCGAGUUCUCAGCUCCCACUACGGACAACAUCCGCACUGGACCUGCUGCAGAGAUCGAUGGCAACUUUGAGCUCAAGCCUGGACUUAUGAACAUGGUGCAAUCCAACCAGUUCUGUGGGAAGGCACACGAAGACGCUAGUGCUCAUUUACAACACUUCCUGGAGAUUUGCAACACAUUCACCAUAGCAGGAGUUUCCAAAGACGCUAUACUACUUCGCCUCUUCCCAUUCUCACUGUUAGGAAGAGCGAAGCAGUGGUUCUACGCUACAAAGGAGAAGAAUACUACGUGGGCACUCUGCUCAACAAACUUCCUGGCUAAGUUCUUUCCCAUGGGCAAGACCAAUGCUCUCCGUGGGAAGAUUACAAGUUUUCAGCAACAAAAUGAUGAAUUUGUUCCAGAAGCAUGGGAGCGCUUUCAAGACUAGAUCCUAGAAUGUCCCCAUCAUGGAAUGGAGAGUUGGCUACUGAUGCAGACAUUCUAUCAUGGGCUCAGCAACAGUGCCCGAGAGACCAUGGAUGCUGCAGCUAGAGGAGCAUUCUUAACACUUACUAUACCACAAGCCACAGCUCUUGUGGAGAAGAUGGCGUCCAACCAAAGCUGGAAUGGAGAGAGGACCCAGACACGCAAGAGAGGUGGAGGUAUACAUCAGCUCAAGGAGGUAGACAUGCUGUCUGCAAAGCUAGACCUGCUCAUGAAGAAGCUCGAUGAUAGAGCUGGAGACAAGAAAGAAGUUAUGCACAUCUACGACUCUCACAUGACUUGUGAGGAGUGUGGAGACACUGGACACUCAGGCAACCACUGCCCUGAGAUGCUUGAGGAUGUGAACUACAUCAACAACAACAACAACAACUACAACCGUCCUCAACAAAAUCAAGGUUGGAAUCAACAGAGGCCUAACUACUCAGGUAAUUAUGAAGGUAACAAUUCUUACAACAAUAAUAAUAAUUUUCCACCUUUGAGAGAGUUAGUGUCUAAUCAAGGAAAGCUAAUGGAUAACCUGUCUAAGAAAUUGGCAUCAAAUGAUAAAAUGCUAGAAAAUAUAAAUAAUAGAAUGGAUAAUUUCUCUAAUGCCAUCAAGAAUCAAAUUAGCUUUAAUAAAAUUAUUGAAUCUCAGUUAAAUCAAAUAGCUGCUGUUGUUCCUACUACUAACCCCGGUAUACCAUCACAACCGGAAGGAUUAGAAUCUGCAAAUCUUGUAGACGUGUUUGAUGCAGGUAAUUGGAGUAACCCCGUCACUGAAUUUUCUACUGACCGUCUGCCGGUGAAGAGAGGCGAUCCAGGACGCCCCGUCAUCCCGAUCUCCAUCGGCAUGGUGGACGUUCCAGAAGCACUCUGUGACUUUGGCUCUAGCGUCAACAUUAUACCCAGGGUACUCUAUGAGAAAUUCUUUACAUAUCCUUUAUUAGAGACAACCAUGUGUUUGCAGUUUGCAGAUCAGAUGAUAACUUUUCCAAAAGGAAUAGUGAGGAACCUUUGUGUCCGAGUUGGUACUUUAUAUGCCCCAGCAGACUUUGUAGUGGUUGAGACCGGAAAUGAUGAGAGAGCACCUAUCAUCCUAGGAAGGCCAUUUUUGAACACCACGGGAGCUAUCAUCUACGCUAGUGCUGCCAAGAUCAGUUUCUACGUCAAAGGGAAGAAGGAGAUAUUUUUCUUCAAGAACAAGACUACACAAAUUCCAGAUCAAUCCAGACGUGAAUCAGGGAAGAGGACCAACAGGAGGAACAGGAACAAGCAAGUGUGGACCGAGUCAGCUAAGAUGGUCACUGUAGUCCAUGGAGGCCAAGAUCACCAACUUAAGUCACCGUUUUUGACCAAGAAGGACGACCCAGGAAUGCCAAGCAUCUACUGCUCCAUAAAUGGAUAUAACUUCUACAAGACGAUUUGCGACACCGGAUCGGGCGUCAACAUAAUGGCCGCAGUCACUUAUCGGCUCUUGUUCGGGACCAUGCCACUAAGACCAACAUACAUUCAGCUCCAGAUGGCAGAUCAGACAUUUCGAGAAGUUCAAUGAAUAAUAUCUGAUGUCCCAGUCAAAAUAGACGAUCACUUUGUCUACACAGACUUUCAAGUUAUUGACAUGGGAGAAGACGAGUACGAUCCACCCAUCAUCCUUGGAAGACCGUUCCUCAGCACCGUUAAAGCAAUUAUCUACAUUGGAACCAGAGAAGUCCAUAUGCACUUCCCCUCAGAGAAGGUACGCCGUUAUUUUACUGACCCUAACUAUAUCAUUGAAGAAUCUAAGCAGGUCAGAAAGAGACGCAACCGCAACCAGAGGAGGCAGAUCAUCAAGGACGGAUGGGCAGACUAUGAAGGAGAAGUUGUAAGGUCAGAAGACGUGGAGUUUAAACAGAAUUAUCCAGAGGAGAUUGAAGCACCGAGUCAGGUAUGGAAAAUGAAGAUAACUAUACAUGAAGAGGAGGCGCUACCGGAAGUACCGACUUCGCCACCCAACGAACCUCAGGACGAUUAAGAAAUUGGAGAGUCCCGUUCGGACGACUUAAAAACACCGAACGCCCUGCCAAGAGGUAAACUUGGUAGUUACCCUUUCCCUUUCAAUUAUUUCAAUUAUCUCAAAUAGUUUACUUAGUUAAUUAUGUUCGUGCUAUCCUAAAAAAAAAUAAAAAUGUGAAAAACAGUAAGCCCCAUGUGAGUAGACGAGUGGCAUAAAACCUAUAAGUACAUUCACUGUGGUGGCAUAAAAAUAAAAUAAAUAUUUUUUCUGCUUUAUAAAAUAAAAAUAUAAAAACAGGGAGUAACAAUUAUUAAGGAGUCUCAACAUGAUAAAGGCUAGAUAUUUAUGCUAACACUUAAUCAGUUCCACAAGCUAUGUUGUCUAUUUGAGCUCCACAGAAUUUAAGAAUCAAGAAGACUCGCAGACGGAGGACAUUCUAAUCGCUGUCAGAAUGCUGCUGACUUUCAAAUACACCUCUGCCACCUGCUAGCUACAUCAAGAGAAAUUACGUCAAAAUUCAGCUUGGGGGAGAGCACCCCCAUUUACCUCGAUAAGUAUUUCUAUCUAUUUUUAUACUUAUAUUAUUUUAGAAUAUUAAAAUACACAUAAACUAUGGGAAAACCAAAUAAAGAUUUCAUGCUUAUAUAUGUCUUUUGCUUAGUGUGUUUAAUAAAUAAAUAAAGUGGCUAUGCUAAUCUGUAUCUAAACAAAAACUUAAGCAUGGAUAUGAUGAAUAGUUGCUCUGCCUAAUUUGCACAUUCUAAGUUCUCUCUCAAGUUUAGAUAUAACUGUUAUAAUUUAAAGCUUGCCCUAGACCUGAACUUGUGGGAUGAAAACUUGAUCUGAAGUCUAAGUUGUUAACGGAUACGAUAUGGGAAGGUUCAGCUGCUGUUUAUCUGUUCCUAGAGAUGCUAGAAUUCUGGAGAAUUUUAUCUUUGAAAAUCUUUAAAAUGUUGCAUGAUGAGUUCCUGUAUGAUGAGAGCUUAAAUUCCUACCACAGCCAUAUAUACAUGCUUGCUAGACUUUGAGCCACACAUUUACUAUUUACUGCUUAUGAGCAUUGAGUGUGGUCAAGCUGUGUAGACCCUUAGGAGCUUGUCAUGUGGUUAAAUCAAGAUUUCACUUGCACGUUCACUCAUAUAUGCUACUUCUACUCCAGAAGUACCAUCCACAUAUAUCCAUCCAUUUCCAUCUCCAGAAUCACCCAAAAAUAUUCUGCUCCUAAUCCGGGAGAGAAUAACCAAAAAUAUUUCUGUUUCCCCUUGUGAAAUAAAUGCUCAAGUUAUCUUGUUACUACCACUUGCUAUAUUAUCUCAAGAGAUGAGUGCUCUAAAAAAAAAUAAAAUAAAAUAAAAAGGAGCAAGUGCUCGGAACCUCGAAAGAAAAGAAAGAGUGAGACGAGAGGUAAAAAUGGACAAGUGUCCGACAGUAGAAUUAGGGGUGCAAGAUACCCACCUGAGAGACAAGAAAAAGAAGAGCAUCUCAUUCUCCUCAUAAAGUUUCAAAAGCAAGGAAGGUAUGUGUCCCCUCAAAAGAGCAAAGUAGAAUUAGACUUCCACCACCAUUGUUUUCACCAUUGUUAUCACCAUCAUCACCAUACACCAUUCAUUCGCCACACAUGCACAUCUUGAUUUGGCUUAUUGAUUUGUUUCUUUGGAUCCAUGGUUUGAUUAUGCAAUAAAUGUCUUGUAAGUAUGUAUAUUUUAUCUCCCACCUAUGAGCUCCAGAUAUUAAGCCUUAUUAGAGUAGGGUGAGAGAGAAGGCAAUGUCACUAUGCCUUAUACCACAAAUACUACAUAUCUUGAGAGAAGGCAUAUACCAUCAAUGCCUUGGUAAGGAUCCAAAAAUACCACAAAAGAGAGAUCUGAGAGAAUCAUACAAGGAAUCUCUGAGUUUUAUUUGAAAAUCUGCAAAAACCCCAGAGCUAUAGCUGAUCAAGAAUAAGAGACAUGGCACUUGGCUAGACUGUUCUAUCUUUUAACCACUCAAGACAGAAGUGACAGUUACAAGUCCCAUGGUGGAGGUAAAGUAAGUAAGUUUUAAGUCUUGAUAGUUUACUCUAACUCAGAGAUGAGAUCUUAUUUAAAAGCAUGUGUACCGUCUAUUUUUUAAAAAUAUUACAACAACUUAUGAUCCAUAGCUGAGUCUAUCCUUGCUCAGGGACGAGCAAGAGGUAAGCUUGGGGGAGUUUGUUGACGGUCCUUAAGUAUCAAAUUUAAUUAUCAAAUAAAUAAAGAAAAGGAUCCAAAUGAAAUUAAGAUCUAGACUUAGGGUUUUAUCUGACAGAAUUCCACGAGUUUUGGUGUUUGUCUAUUUCUGCAGGGGGUUAUCAGGAAAUACGGAAGAAAGGCCCACAUGUCGGGAUUACGUAAAGAUAUUAACGUGCUGCGCAAUUAUCUUACAUCUAGAAGACUCCAGAAGCCACGAGACCGAAGCGGAGGCGAAACGGGGCCAGACCCUGGGCGGCCGCCCAGUUGGUCAGGGCGCCCGCCCACCUCCUGAGUCCAAUCAGGACUCUGCUUUGCGGGAGAUCUCCACCGACCUAAAGGAUGAAUCUAAACCAUACAAUAUAUGUCGGUUUGAUCCAAGGGCCCAUAUUCACUUGAAGGGACUAUAAAACCAGACCCCCUGGCCCCUGGAGGAGAGAGCCUCUCAACCCUAAUUCAUUGUUCCAUCAAGGGAGAAAGAUGCCUCUGAUCAAGAUUAGAGCCACCACAUCAAUUAGAUAUCUAGAUUAGCAUAGCUACAUAGGAUUAGAACUAGAAGGAGUCAAUCUUCGAUUGGUUUCCGGAUCUGUCAAGAGGAUUCUUGGUAAUUCUCUAAUUGUGCUUCUAAUUGCUUUCUAAUUAUCUUUGUUCUUCAAUAUUAUGAAUAUGACUUUGUUCUACUUCAAUAUAUUGCUUAUGACUUUGCUCUACUUGCUUAUAUUCAAGAUUAUAUUGUUCUUAGUUUAUCAUAGUUAUGUACUUGGCUUAGUUAGAUUGGAUCUAUAUACAUGCUUAGGAUCGUAUAGCGUUUAUCCAUCGGAUCCAUGGGUAAAUGAUAGAUAUUGUGUAGGCGUGGUGCUUAUACCGUAUUUAUCUGCGAUUGUACCCAAUAUGCCAGAUCGUGGGGUGGUUCGUGAUAGUGACAGCUUCAUUGAUUCUUAUAUAGUCCCCCUCUCGUGUAUUGGGCUGGCAGAGCAACAUUAUUACAGGGGAGUGAUUGCUAUGUUUCUCAUAUUCCUUGCUAAUAUCACUUUGCAUGGGCGUAGUCUUGUCUCGCAAUGAUUGCUAAGUAUGCUUGCACUAACUAUGAUAUGCUAGACUAUAUAGUUGAGAAUAACUUAGGGAAUAUUCUUGUAGUUCGUUCUAAUACCAUGCUAAUGACUUUCUAGAGUAUCUAAUUGAGGUGCUUAUCAUAUUUAUUAUGUGGCUAGAUCAGAUUAGUUAUCCUUGUCACUAUUAUUAUUUCAUAUAUCUUUUAUGUGACACUUAUCCCUGUAUGAAGAGUUAGAUAUAAUGUUCUCAAUUAUACAUGCUAGAAUGCCAUGAUAAAUAUUUCAUAAUUUUUGGAGUGCUAUAUCUGUGAUAUGAAAUAUAUGUUGGUUCUAUGGCUUGUUUUCUUAUUUAAAUCAUAGUAAAUAAUUGGUGAUUAUGCUGAUGCUCUACUUUGGGGGCAAACUUGUUUAUGGUAUUGGUAACAUGUAAAUAAUCUGAAAUAUGCUGUUUGGCACUAUAUAAGCCAUGUUCCUUAAUUUAUGAAAUAAGUACCUUGUCACAUGUUAAAUGCUUAUCUAAAAAUUGGCAUGUGCAAUUGCCCUGAAAAUUUUAUGGUGAUGUCAAGAUGCUAUGCUUGUGCUCCUGUAAUUUUUGUAGAUUUUUCUGGGCACUUUUGCUAGUAUCUUGUAAUUAUGCUCUUUUAUAGAAUUAAAUGGAUAAAUGCCUUGUUACGAAACAAUUAAAGGGUAACAUAUAAUGUUCUGGUUAUCUUAUGAUAUACUUGUGCUUAUAAGCUAUUUGGUUGGCACUGUUUAUGUUCUGGCUAUGUCAUCAAAUAAUUAAUUGGAGGGUUAAGAGCUGUCUGGACAGCAAGAGAGUAAUACAACCUUUACUUGUUGAUAACUUGGUUUUCUGGGAGACCUGUCUAAAGCAAAGUUAUUGUAAACUUUAUGAACUAGCUGUGGUUUAAUUUUGGGAUCCUUUGGUUCAAUAGUUUGAAAGUUAUGGCUGUUCCAAGUUGGGUUCCAGAAAUAGGAAUUCUCUGUUUUUCUAGGACACAACGUGGAACUUUGUUUGAAUGACUUGUUUAAUAUAUGAAUCUUGCUGUGAUGUUUAAAGAUGAUUUGUAGACAAUUUCAUAAUCUUUCUAGAAUGUUCUCAUUUAUGUUUAUUGGAUCUUUAUAGCAAUAGUUAUGACCUAUUUACUGAGCUGUUCUGUUAUGUGUUGCUUGCUGUUUAUAGUUUGACUUGCAAGUUUGCUAAGUCAAUUGGUUUUCCUUUGUGAGUUAACUUAGAAGUUUACUCAGUAAAUGAGUGUCUAGUGAGUCUAAUUAUGUUAUCAAGCAUUCAUCCUUUAGUAUGCACACUUUCUUAUUCAUCGAGCAUGCAAUAGGUGCAGCGGACGCGACCGCCUCUUUCGAGCUUCAAGUGAACCCUGAAGGCCAGGAGGGCAACCCGGAGGUGGAGGUCCAGCAAGUCGGACUCGAGGAGCCCGAAGAGGAGAUUGAGUGCCCAAACCACGAGCCAGCCUCGUUUGUGAAAGGCAAGCCCCGGAGCAUCCUAAGUCUCCCCUUUACUUUCGAAAGUUUACUUGAAUAUGUUAUAUCUAUUGAUGCAUUUAAGUAUAGGAGUUGUGAUGAAGCCCUUGCUGCAUUUUACUCAAUCCUUGUCCAGAUAUCUUAUCACUACCUGGUUAUAGAGUUAGGAUCGAGUAGCAGCUUAGCCAUGCUUUAACCGGUAGAAGUCGGGUGAUAUCCUGUCACCUGCGCGAUAUAGGGUUAUGUCGGAUCACGAUGGACUAUAUGUGCUAUUGUGGAUGGACACUGAUUAAAUUGACUUAAACCGGGCGGAAUUUUGCAAGGUUGUAGUAACUCCGUCUGUUGCAGCUAAGGACUGACCGUUGCACGUCCUCUUGUCAUGUUGAACGCAUGCCUAACACUUAGUUGGCCGGAUAACUCGUUCUGACCGUGAAGCCUAGUAGUAUGACUCAGGCCGGAAGACCGGCAAGUAUAAAGUGCGCACUACCGGAGGAAGUGCGGUGUGCGGGGGACCAUUGGCGUAAGACUAAAGGCAAGUGAGUUAAAAUUCCUGACCUCCCUAGCAGAGUGGUAGCCCUGGGAUUGCGGCGCUGAUCGGAGCUGCGAUUCCUGAGUCGUACCAAAGGUGACCCGCUGGCUCUCCGACGGGGGAUGCUUGGGUGAGUGCUAGGAAUAACCCUCCAGCUGGAUAGGAAUCGAUUCGAAUCGCCGUCUCUCCCAGAUAGUGAGAACUUGACAGAGCAGCGGCAAACGUAGCAUUCACUAAAGAACUUUGGUUCAUGGUAAUGAUGAUAGUAAGGAAGAACAUGUGAUGAAUUUGAUAUGGUUAUUAUUGCUUGUAAUAAUCAAGUGAAGUGCUUUAGUACAGGUGCUAAUCUAGUGGUAGGUUGAUGAUGAUUAAUAUGAUGCUCUCACAACAUUGUAGCUAUAAUUUAAGCUUUUGGCAACUGUUGGGUCAACCAGCUCCACUUGAUCUUAGCCGUGCAUGAUCCUUGGUGUCUUUUAUGUUUUACUAGGCGGGUAAGUCUAGCUGAGUACAUUCUCGUACUCAGGGUUUAUUUCCCACCCGUUGCAGAUGAUAUCUUUUAUGAUGGCUUCUGCAAGACCUGUCUCCAUCCCGCUAGGGAUGAGGAUUAACCGUUGGGCACGGUUCUCUAACUACUCUGUAUCUGUUGCUUUUGGAUGGAUGGCAUGAGACCCUGGCUGAACCAAAACUUGUGAAAUGAACUUUGGAAAGUGUGUGUAAUUAUUUUGCUUCCGCUACAUCAAACAUGGGUUGUAAUAACUAAGUAACUCCGAUGUGGUGCCACUUCGACGGUAAUGAAUGACUAUGUAACAUUUGCUGUGUUGUGUUGAACUAUUACGAUCUUGGUUUGUUGCAAGUUGGUUUGAAGUCCUUUGUGAUUUCAGUUGACUACCGGGAUUAUAUGGGCUCAAGUUUGGAAACUUGAUUGCUUGUUGAUCGUUUCUGCACUUGAACUCUUAUAAUUUGGUCGGUUCUGUGACACUCUGGGCAUACCGGACUGCAUACAAGACCCCAAUUGGAAUGUCUUCAUACCAAUUGGUGUACGGGAAGACUUGCCACCUACCUGUUGAAUUAGAGUUCAAAGCACAUUAGGGCCAUAAGGAGAUGGAAUAUGGACCUAGAUGUUGCUGGAGAUCAUAGAAGAAUGCAACUAUCAGAAUUGGAAGAAUGGCGAGAGAAAGCAUAUCACAACUCGAAGAUCUAUAAAGAAAGAGUCAAAAGGUGGCAUGACAAGAGGAUCGAGAAGAAGGAGUUCGCACCCGAAGAUAAGGUAUUACUUUUUAAUUCCAAGGUGAAGCUUUUCGGGCAUGGAAAACUCCGGUGUAAAUGGGAAGGACCAUUCAAAGUAAUCAAUUCAUCAUCCCACGGAGCUAUCACAUUUCAAAAUGACAAAGGUACGUUAUUCAAGGUAAAUGGUCAACGUCUUAAAUUAUUUUAGAGCCCAAUAAAGAAUUAGAAGAAAUAGACGUAAUCCAUUUUUACCUUCCCAUGGAGAUUUAGAGCCCAACCUUUUUAAUCUGACAUUUUUGGGUCACACAUAUAUUUUCCUAAUAAGUUUUGCAUCUAGAAACUCGCUCGAGGAAGCGGGCCCACGGAGGGGCCAGGCACAGGGCGGGCGCCGUGAUGAAUAGGGCGGGCGCCCAGCCCCUGCCCCCUCUCGGUCCCGAUUUCCUCCGUCGCGGAAAACACAUUUAUGGUAAACCAAAUAAUCCUUCAGAUGGAAAGUUUCGCACGCACGGCGAUGGGAGUAACCCGAACAACCCCUAGAGGCACUUUUUGACCCCUAUAUAUACAGACCCCUGACGUCAGUUUUCAAACACCAAUCUAUUCAAGCCUUCUCAUCUUCUUCAAUUAGAGCUUGCUUAGUUCCUCGCUGCUCCAAUGGCCGAAGAGUUCCAUGAUGAUUGGGAAGUCGUUCCCUACGACCUCAACAAGAAUCCUAAGGAAGACCCCAAUGCCCGUGCUCUCGUCCCGGCCAAUACAGAGCGACAGCUAGAAGCCAUGCCAUUAUGCGAGCGCAGCUCUGCCCAAUCCUACCAUGCUCAACCAGUUCUCACUACACUGCCACAACCCCCUACUUCUCAAGGGACCAUCAGCCAAGAAGGAGGCCACCAUCAAGGUGCCAGCUGGCACGAGGAUCCUUCCACCUAGACCUAAUGAGAGGGUCGUUGGAGUCAAGACCAACCGGAGCAGCGAGAUCAGCAGCAUCCGCUACACUAUGGACGAAGAGAGGCUUACUUUGAGGGGAUUAGAGCAGCCAAAGUCCGUUUCAUCCCUCCAAAGGCAGCCUCGAAGCAUGCUCUCAAUGCUCUUGAGACACCUCCUAAGCGCCGCAAGACUAUAGUAGAUAUUGAUGAGGACGUUCGCAGGCUAGAUAGGGUCAUCAUAGGCCUGCAGUCCUCGGUUAAUUCUAUCACUAGGAAGCUCUCUAACCACAACACCGUUAUAGUAGGCCUUAGGCAUGAUCUUGCUAGUGCCAAUAAGAAGAUCAAGGAGUUAGAGCGCCGCUAAGUUAUCUAGAUUAGAUCUUGAGGCAAUGCAUCUUAGUUAUUUAUCUUUAAAUUCGGUUUAGAUUUACUAUUAUCGUCAGUUUGCUACUAGUCAUUUGUAAUAAAUGCCUCAAGAUUAAUAAAGUUUAUUAUUAUUAUUAUGUCCUAUGUGUCUCUACAUUAUUUUUAUACAAGAAAGCAGAAAACAAGUAUGGGGGAGAUCCCUCGACAUGCCAAACACACUUCGACUACACCACUCCACGAUUCAGGUACAUACUCUGCACACUUUACUUUACACAUGCACAUAUAUCUUGGAUUAUGUAGAAUACUGUCUCCGACAUGAUAAAUUAAAAAGAUUAAAAUAUUUCUAAUCAUGAUUAAUCUCACUCUGUGAUAUUUCCUGAAAAUCUAGUCAUUUAAAAAACCAUGUGUUACUUAAGUCAUUGUGGAAUGUGAGUAUGAGUAUCUUAUUCUUGAUAUCAUUGCUGCUUGGAGAAUUUAUUUCAAAAUCCUUAAAAAUUCUAGCUACCAUCCUCAGUGUUUUAUAUGCCUAAUAAACCUAAAAAUAUUAAAUAUAAUAAUUAGAAAAGCUAUCUACUCUGUAUUGAGUUUGUUCAAAAUGAGUUAGACCCUUGUUGAGAGAUUUAUCAUGCUCCUAAGAUCAAGAUAUUUAUUCAGAAAGAUUCACUCUUCCGAAGUACUGUUGUGUUAGAGGCAUGGGCUAUGAAAAAAUAAGGAUAUUUCGAGGAAAUAAAAAGGAGCAAGUGCUCGAUAACCUUGCAAAAAAAAUGGAAGGUAUCCGGCAGUAGAAUUAGGGGUACCUCGAUAUCCACCUAAAAAAAAGAGAAAGAAGAAAAUGAUAGCCCAUGGUCCCUCUAAUAAGCAAUAUGCCAGUAAGAGUUGACAAGUUUUUAAUUUUCAAAGUCUUUGAUCUAAGAGUAUGGCAUCCCUCUCCUCGGAUCCUGUUUUGAUCAGGCAAUAAAUGCAAGGUAAGAAUGCUUGAGAAUUUUUGCAAAUUAAAACAGCCUCAGUGAGAUAUAAAAGAUAAUGAGUGACCUGAGAGAACCUGAGGAUAAAGGUAUGCUAAAUUUCUUUUCAAAAAUAUACAAAAACUCUAAGUAACAGGAUUGAGAAGAAAGGACCUCUACUCUUGACUAUAUAUUUCCCUGACUACGGUACACAGUGAAUUUUUACAACACCCUGUAGGUAUGAAGAGAAUGUUUUACAAUGUUUUAACCUCAGAUAUUUUUCUUAACCAUCCUUUUCUCAAGGACGAGUAAAAGCCUAAGUAUGGGGUAUUUGUUGACGGUUCUUAAGUAUCAAUUUUAAUUAUCAAAUAAACAAGGGAAAGGACCAAUAUACAAACAACACCUAGAAUUAGGGUUUGAUCUGACAGAAUUCCACGAGUUUUGUUGUUUAUCUGUUUCUGCAGGGGGUUAUCGUGAAAUAAGGAAGAAAGGCCCACAUGUCGGGAUUACAUAGAGAUAUUAAUGCACCGUGCAAUUUUCUACCAUCUAGAAGACUCCAGAAGCCACGGGAACGAACGGGAAGGCGAUCGGGCCUGGGGGCAGGGCGCCUGCCCACCCCCCUAGGGCGGCCACCCAAGAGUUCUGCCCAAACACGUCCAACUUCGCGGAUCACGCUCCACCGACCUAAAGGAUCAAGGAUAACCGUUCAAUCAAUGUCGGUUUGAUCUGACGGCCCACGUUUACCUGAGGGAACUAUAUAAGCAGACCCCCUGGUCCCUGGAGGAGAACAAGUUCAUCAUAGAGUUGAGAGGAGCCCCUGAAGGAUAACCUCUCCUCUAAAUAGACUUAGGGCUUAGCAUCCAAUGUGAGUAGAAUUAGAUCUUCUAGUUUCUACUAGAUUGAGAGAGAUAGAGUGGAGGUGUAGAUCGGAGGAAGCCCGACCUGUCGGUGUCUACUCCGAGGUUGUACCUGCGGGAUCAAGUUCUCCUAACCCAAAGCUUGCUCCUAGGAUUCUUCAGUAUUUUGACUUCUAAAUUCUAGUAAGUUCUUGUUUUAUUGUUCUUUGGUUUAUGAGUUUACUUUAAUCUCUUCGCGUAGAGUUUAGAGUAUUCUUCUCUAGCGUAGACGUGGUGUUUGGGCUAGAAUACUCAUAGAUAUCCCCUGACUAGCUGGACCAUGGUAGUAGCGAGGAACGUGACAUUUCCGAGUUACCUUUGCAAACCAUAUCUCGUUAGCAGGAAGGAUAGGGUUUAUAGGUGCGGGUUGAACAUCCUCUGUGGUGUCUAGAUUCCGUGAGCCUCCCCAAUAGAAUAGUAGAUCAUCCUUACCAAGGUUCGAAAGAGAUUACGGUUGUAGUCUUCUCUAUAUUCUCUAUAUAUCACUCACAUCAAGAAACAUUCUUUGUAGCCUAAAGGUUAGUAGUAAUAGACUGGGUUAGUCAGAUGCACUCUUUCUCCUAGUGGUAAAAAUAUAAAUACGAUACUCUGGAUAACCUCUCGGGUGAAGUGCUCACCGAUAUCCGUGCGCUUGCGGAUCAAUUCCUUAUUGCGUUCCCAAAUAUCAACAAAAUCUCCAGACUUAACUACCACAUCAUCAAUAUAGAUUUCCACCAAUUUGCCGAUGAAUUCAUGAAAGAUAAAAUUCAUAGCUCUCUGAUAAGUAGCACUAGCAUUUUUCAAGCCAAAGGUCAUGAGUAUCCAUUCGAACAACCCAACAUGACUAGGACAUGUAAAUGCAGUCUCUGGAAUAUCUUCUUCAGCCAUGAAUAUUUGAUUAUAUCCUGCAUUGCCAUCCAUAAAGCUAAUGAUCCGAUGUCCAGCUGCAGCAUCAACUCGUAAAUCGGCAACUGGCAUUCGAUAACCACCCAUCGGUGUAGCCUUGUUAUGAUUCCUCAAAUCAAUGUAGACAUGAAGCUUCCCAUUCUUUUUGUAAAUUGGAACAACAUUAGAAAUCAUCUCGGCAUACCGACAUUGCCGAAUAAAUUUAGCUUCAAUAAGUUUAGUUAUUUUGGCCUUAAUAUCAAGAAGAAUAUUAGGAUUGCAUCGGCGAGCUGGCUGCUGAUGUGGCCGAAAUCCAGAUUUGAUAGGUAACCGAUGUUCCACAAUCGAUCGGUCUAAACCAGGCAUCUCAGUAUAAUCCCAAGCAAAGCAAUCUUUGUAUUCCUUUAACAAAUCGGUUAAUUGUUGCUUACACUCAGAAUCUAACUUAGCACUAAUAAAAGUAGGCCUUGGCCUAUCACCAUUACCUAUAUCUACUUCUACUAAAUCAUCGGCCGAUGUAAACCCCUGGCCUAAUUUUCCAUCAUCGGCGAACCUAUCCAUUAAAACUCCUCAUCAGAACCGACUGCUUGGAUCGGUGGAAUUUCAUAAUCGGCAACUUUGAGAAAAUCCUUCUCCCAAAUCUCCCCUGAAAUGCAUCUAGUCCUUUCAUAAGUAUCCGCUUCUACCGACGCAAUGACAUACAAAGAGUCUCCUGGGACAAUUUCAAUCUUGUCACCUACCCACUGAACCAAACAUUGGUGCAUCGUAGACGGGACGCAACAAUUGGCAUGAAUCCAAUCUCUGCCCAACAGCAAAUUUUAAGCACCCUUUCCACUGAUGACAAAGAAAGUUGUAGGCAAGGUUUUGCUGCCGAUGGUCAACUCAACGCUUAUGGCUCCCUUGACUAGAGACACAUUCCCUUCAAAAUCUUUCAGCAUCAUAUCGGUCAUGGUCAAAUCUUGAUCUCCUUUCCCAAGCUUCCGAUAGACUGCAUAUGGCAUAAUAUUGAUAGCAGCCCCACCAUCAACAAGUAUCUUAGUCAUCGGCUGUACAUCAACCCUGCCUUUGACAAACAGAGCUUUAAGAUGUUGUCUUUCAUUGUCGGCGGGCUUUUCAAAAAUAGCUGUCAUCGGAUCCAGAGCCAACUGAGCCACCUGAUCGGGGAAAUCUACCUCCUCAUCAUAACUGAAGGGUGCGAGGAAUUCCAUCGGCAACAUAAACACCAUAUUAACGUCCGCCGAUGGACUCUUUCCUUUAGGAUCUGAUUGCUGCCGAUCUCCAGGCUUAGCAGAAUUCUCUCCUUUGCUCCGUUCUUCUUGCCGUUCUCGCUGCAACCUCCUCUUUGUGUCCUUGUCAAUCCUUCCAAACACCAUGGUGGAAUUUGUGGUUGCCUCACCGAUUGACGACAAUUUCCCCUUGGUUCCACCCGAUAAGUAUUAACAUCUCUGCAAAAUAUGAACUCAUUGGGAACUCGCGCAUCUGCCAUCUCCUGAAGCUCCUCUUGGUUUCUGGGGAAAUAAUCGACACGCUCACCCAGCUUGUCAUGCACACUGAGUCUGCCCCCCAGCCGAUCAUGAACUGAGGCCCUUCCCCUAAUCGGUCCAUUAAAACGCCAAUCACCGUUCUGCUACUAUCGAUUUGGUCUAUCAUACCGAUCAUAUCCGUUACACUCAGGGCAAUCUCUAACAGUGGGUAGCUUCAUAUUUUGCUCCCAACAGUGGACAAAGAACGGGCAGUUUCAGUGAUCUUUGUGCUGAUUCCACUUUUGUCGGCAUCUUUCUUCUUCCCGACGACGAUCUUCCUGUUGGCGCCGAUACCGAUCUUCACGCUGCUGCCAGGUUUCCCGAUGCCUUCUAUGAGUGAUCACAAUGCCAGAUCGAGGAGGCCUUCCUAAGCUAGUUCCCUCCUAAAUCAAGCCCUUGCCUUUGGCGUCAUCGGCGGUGAUCUGAUGCUGAGGAUCUACCGAUGCACUUUUUUCAGCUACCUCCGAUGUCAAGACUGUAGUCUUUCCCUUAGCAUCCAACAUAUUUGUAGGGAAAGGGUGUUGGUCGAUCUUCAUUGGUUUUUGAGCUUUAGAGCUAUCGAACUUAAUUCUCCCAGACUCUAUAGCCGAUUGCAGCUGCUGCCUGAAAAUCUUACACUCAUUUGUACUGUGAGAUGUUGCAUUAUGCCACUUGCAGUACAUAAUCUUCUUUAAUUCUUCUGCCGAUGGAAUCACGUGAUUGGGUGACAACUUAAUUUGCCCUUCCUGAAGCAGAAAGUCAAAUAUCAUGUCCGCUUUGGUGAUAUCAAAUGCAAACUUCACUGGUUCUUUAUGUCCAAAAGGGCAAGACAUCGGCUUCUUAUUCUUCACCCAUUCUGUCAAGCCAAUAACUGGUUCUUCAUCAGAAUCUGAACUUGUUGCCUCAUCGACAAAGGACACCUUUUUGUUCCAUGCUCUUUUAGGUUCAAAAGCUUUAAUAUUUUGGUCAGAAAUCCUCUGCACUAAAUGACUCAGACUUUUGAACCCUUGAGAAGCAUACUUGUCUCUGAUAUGUGGCAACAAUCCCUAGAAAGCCAAAUCGGCUAGCUGCCGAUCGUCCAGAACCAGACUAUAGCAUUUAUUCUUGACAUCUCGCAACCUUUGCACAAAGCUUUCAACCGAUUCAUCAUUGCGUUGCUUCAGCCUGACUAAAUCGGUAAUCUUCUUCUCAUGAACUCUAGAAAAGAAGUACUUAUGGAACUGCUUCUCUAGAUUGGCCCAAGUAAUCACUGAGUUUGGAGGUAAUGAAAUAAAGCAAGUAAAGGCCGAUCUAGUCAAAGAUGAUGAGAAUAAACGAACCCUUAACUCAUCUCUAUUAGCAGCUUCUCCGCACUAGAUGACGAACCUGAACAUGCGCCAUGGUUGACGUGUCAUCCUGUCCAGAAAAAUUGGUGAAAUCUGGAAGCUACAGAUUUAUUGGCAUCACCAAUUUGGAAGCGGGAUUAAGUCAUACGCAGGAGGAUAUGGUGUCCGAUAAGAGUAAGUGUUGACUUUGGGUUUUAUCCCAAAUUGAUCUCUCAUCACCUCAGCUAUCUUAUCGGCCCAAUAAGCAUCGACAUCUUGCCGAUGGACUGGCUGUGGAUCUGACACCUGCUGAUAAGCUUCCACGUGUCUCUGUGGCGCACGAUCUCCAGGGAACAUAGGAUUAACCAUCGCCUGUUGACCGCCAACUUGUUGACCAAGAUUCAUUGGCUAGUUGAUCAACCCUUGAUUCUGAAAUCUAGGCUACAUUGGUCCCUGUUGAAAUCCCAUAGCCUGAUAAUUCAGCUAAGGUGUCUACGGAAAGACAAACUGCCCUGUCCAUCCAUUAUUAACGUUCAUCGGCGUAGGUCCUACCGAUGGUUGAUAAUUGGGCAUCAUCAUUGUAAGGUGAACCUUUGCUGCGUCGGCAUUGGACCUGCCGAUGCGUUUGGCAUCUGGUACGCUGGUAUCUGAGAAUUCCUAGUAAAAGGUCUUGCAGUAGUAGUAGUAGAAUACUGAGGAUUUUGAGUCAUCGGCGACACUGGAGGUGCCGAUGCCAUGGGAGCCUUGCCUGUCAUAUCAGCCACUUCAGAUUUUCCUAUGCUAUUUGCCAUAAAUUCCAGGGGCAUACCAUAUCCCCACCAAUUACGAUGAACUUGAGAGCCUUUAAACACAGACCCUGACAUUGGUGAUGCCAAUAAAUCUGUAGCGAGUUUGACUUGUUCCUCUGACGUCGAUGGAUUAGUUGUCAUCGGUGUAGAUUGCGCAUUAGUCAUCCCUAAUGUGCUUGGACGAGAAGUAACCUCCGUACCCCGGAACGGCUUUAGUAGCCGAUGGAGCCGUAACCGAUGAUGACCCUGGCUGAUGAUAGGCAGGACCCACAUAAGAUGGUGGCUCUUGUCCUUCUUUGAAAGUUCUAGCCACAACAUUGAAAACUGUAUUGGACAGUACACCAGAUUGAUUGAUCAAAGCACGGUUGACAGCACUAUCAACCAUCUCUUACAGUUUACCAGGAUUGGCUUCAAAGUAAUUUGCCGAGGCAUCGGCAAUGCUUCCUUUUGGAUCACCUCGCCACUCCUGUUGAUACUGAAGGAUUUCAAGCAUAGCUGCUUGUAGUCCUCCAUAGCUUUUGCCAUAGCUUGCUUCUAUUCAUCCCUGAGAUUGGCUUCCGUCACGGGGAUGACGUUCUCCAAGUCGAAAUCAAUGUUCGACAUGUUGAUCUAGAUAUUGAAUCUCUGUCCCACCAGGCAUGCCAAAAGAUGUGUUGGUGCAAAAGUGGAUCUGCAAACACAAAGGGCUAAUACCCGAUUCAGACGUUAAGGCGUGCCAGCCGAUUUGACCUUACAAUCGACGAAGGCGAUAACUUGAACACUUUGGUCCCGACAACAGCGAUGCGCCCGGAUGUCACGGCCAAGAGGUAUUCACAUGGAACUUGAGAACUCGUCGAGAUUGACUCAAUGAAUUCCUAAGAACUCGUAAAUAAAAAGAAAAUAUGCGAGUUGAGAAGUCAUCGAAAAAGUAGAUGCUGGAAUAGAUAUAAAAACUUGUAUUUGAUUGAUUAUGUAUAUUCAUUACAUUGCCGCAGGGUCUACAUUUAUACCCUGUCCAAAACAGUUACAACCAGACACGACUAGGACUCAAAUUCUAAAUUGAACGGAAUCCGUAUGCAAAGCAAACUCUAUAAACUAUGGAAAGCAUUAAAUCACCUUCCACAACCGAUCGGUACACCAUCAUGAGUCGAUCGACAACCCCUACGCCCUUCUCCAUGACCAUCGGCAAACCACCUCUCAUAGCCAUCGGCAACUAUCAGCACCAGUCAUCGGCACGAAUCCAUCACCACUCCUGGACUUGGCCAUAUCCUGUUGUUUUCUCAUCGGUACCAACCCUCAUCGGCAACUCUUCUGUAGACUAGUCACCACUUUUCUGCCUGCCGAUCUACACCUCAUUAUCUCCUAGAUACGCGUCCAAAGAUACGUGUCCAAAAACGGUGUCAACACAUUUAAAUUCUUGCCUAUUCAAUUCUUGCAUUAGUCAUAUUUAUUCAUACCAUUAUUAUAAUCAAAAGCCCCAUAUAAAUAAUAUUUAUGGUGUGUGACAACCCAUAUUUAUUAAUUAUUGUGGAGGCAAAAAAAUAUUUUCCCAUGAUCAUUUUUAAUAAGUUUUAAUUCUCAUAGUUUUUCCUGCAUUAUAUUUAUUUAUAUUAACCUUCUAGAAGCAUGACCCACACCCCUUGGGUCCCACAUGUCAUACACCAUUCCUCACACACAUCUCAUCACAUUAUUUGAUCCACCAAAAUUUCUCCACUCACCAGACAUUUUUCCACCGUCCAACCACCACCCACUCAACAUUAUUUUGCGUAAGAGCUAGCAAAGGAGGGAGUGGUGAAACAUCAGCCACAAAGGGCACCAAAGGAGGGCGCCUGCCCUACUGUAGAGGGUGCCUACCCUACUGUAGAGGGCGCCCGCCCUGUCCCCCCAGUGUAACACUCCUAGUGUUAGCUUGCAUGUUAACCAUGAGCAUUGCAUCAACAUAAGCAUCAUCAUGAUCACUCAUGAGCAUCAUACCAUGAUCACAUGCCAUCUACUACAUGCACUAUGUGAUUAAAUUGCUUGUGUGACUUGUUUUGAGUGACUUUAGUGGGUGAUCAAUACAUGUAAGUGUGCGAUCUUGUCCAAAAUACUUUAAUCAUGUUUAGAACAUCAUUGUGAACAUAGUUCAUGUUGGAGGUUGCACCCAAAAAUGCCCCUAAGUCAUGGUUAGCCCUAGGUUGACCUAGUUGACCCCCUAAACCUCUUUUUAAAGAUCUUUUAUGAAACCUGUGUUAGAAACCUUGCAUGUCAAUGACCCCUAAAGCCAAGUUGUAGAAAAUUUUAUAGGCUACAAAAGUUGUUUUAAGGCCAUCUCAUGAAACUGUGCAGAACAUGCUCAAAAAAUGCACACAAGGUAAAUUUAGGGGCUGUUUGGACAUGGCAGUUUUUGGCUAAGUGUGGGAACUGACGAAACCGAAUGCCAGUUUACGUGUAGGGUACUUUGGCAGCUCGUAGUUUCUAAUUUAAGCUGAACUAGACCAAACUCUUAUAAUCAAAGUUGGAGUACUCAUUCAGCUCUCCAACUUGUAUCACUGAAGUUUUUGCUAGUUCGCACUGGUUUGGGAGUUGGAGGGCAGCGAAGUUUCGAGUUCAGACGUAUUUUUGCAGUACUUUUGCUGGUUUCUGAUCAGACUUCGAUUUGGUUGGAGUCGGGUCGUGGCCGACCAGCUCUGCUUGGCUUGCGCCGCGUGGAUGCCGUGCGUCGAUAUUGGCCCCACAUAGCUACGAAUAAAGCCGAGCGCCGUGCGACUCCGCCAAGGCAAUAGCCCACCUGUUCGUCCACAUCGCACUCGUCGCCAAGGCCAAAGAGGACAGCCGCCGCCGCCAUGGAUGUUGCUGAGGUGAAGCUCGUGCAUCGCCAUUGCGUCCUGCACCUCUCGCUACUCUCUAUCCCUCUUGUUCUCAGUAAAGUAGGGCUGCGGCCGCUCGCAUGACCGGCCUUCGGCCAAGUUGGCCGCAGGCGGGUGCCAUGGCCUGCAGCCGUGCUGCGUACGUACGGGAGCCGCCUCUUCCUUUGUCGUUCUGUGAAAGUCGAUGCGUUUCCUUGGUAACCUAUCCUGAUAGAUGCGUCUCGAUGUAAGGAGUCUGUUGGUGGUGGUCGCGUCGCCGGAAAGUUCGCCGCCGGCGAGCUAUGGCCGGUCAAAGUAGCUCCCCUGUUUUUGUCCUUAUGACGUGUGGGUCCAGAUUGACCUUGGGUCCCAGCUGCCAGCCUUUGGGGUACUCAGCACUGGGUGCGUGUAGUAGUUCUUAGGGUUUGGUUAUUUUCGUUUUAAUCUUUUCUAUGUUUUUCUUUUGGAAGUUUGUAAAUUCAAUAUCUCAAGCUACAGGGAUCCGUUUUGAGUGAAACCAAUUUUGUUAGCUUCCUCUUGGUGGAUAUUAGCUAUUAAAAAUAUGAAACAUGCCAUGUUUUUGUAGAAAUAAAUAGAUAUGAUUUAAUCUUGAUUAAAUAGGAGGUAAUUAUAUCUUGAAAUCUAUUGAUCUGCUGGCCAUGCAAAUUUAGGGUGUUGUUAGUUAUGUUAUGACUAGUCUCUGAUAAAUUUAUCAUGAUUUUUGGAAGCCUAGUUGUGAAGUUAAAAAAAUAGUUCUUACUUAAAUAGGGGUUUCUUGUGGUAUUUUUAAUAAUUAAGUUAUAACUCCUUUGGUGAUGAAACUUGCUGAGUGUUGUACUCAUGUGUAAACAAGGCUAACAAAAAUCUGAAAUCUGCUGUUUGACACUUUUUGAUAAGGUUUCAUAUUUAUGCCUUGCAUGCCUUUACUAGCUUGUUGUUUUUGUAUCUCCCAAUCUGUAUGUGCAACUGUUCUGAAAAUUUUACAGUGAUCUUAUGUUAGCAUAAGUAGCUUGCUGUAAUUUUCUUAGAAUUUUUGGAACACUUGGAGUAUAUGUUCAUUAAAUCACCUUAAUAAUUAAAUAAAUGGAAAAGGUGAUGAUAGAAAUAGUUUUAGACCUUGCCAUGAUAUUUUCUGGUGUUUCUUAGAUAUGUUGUACCUACUGGUGCAAUUAGAUUGUUCCUUUGAUACAUUCUCAACAUGUGCAAAAUAUUAUUUUUGGCUAUUUAUACCUUUCCUAGAGCAUUUCUGUGUAGCUGAUAGCAAAUGCUUGAGAACUAAAUAAAGAUGUUAAUUUCUGGGAAACCUGUCUACAACAAACGUGUAGCUAACUUACUGAUGUACUCCGUGUCCAAAUUUCGUGGCAUUUGGUUGAGUAGUUUGAAAGUUAUGCAUGUUUCAAGUAGCUGCUGCAAAGUGCUUGCUCUCUGGAAUUUCCAGAGCAGCCAGUCAACUUUGUAUGUUUUAGCAUCUUUCGGUUGGGAAUCUUCCUGGGAUGUCUAAAAGUGAUUUGUAGACAAUUUGCUAAGCUUUCCAAAAAGUGCUUACUUGCUUAAUUUGGUUAACAGAUGCUUGAGUUAUAGCUGAAACUUGUGACUGGUUGGUUUGUCUACUAAACCAGUGGCUGAGUAGGCAUAACUAGGAUUUGUUAACUUGUCUAUUUAGUCUCUCUAUCAGAGAAGAGGUAUGCACUUACUUGUUGUUCCAUGAUUCACUUAAUCUUAGAAGCUUAUGCUCAUAUUAUACCUUGUUUUAUGUCCCUUUGGCUCUUCAUCAUGACAUCAUGCAUCAUUUGUGCAUUCUCUAUAUUCAUGUCCUUGUCAUGCAUACAUAGGUGUACCCAAGGGCGUGACCGUGUUGGAGUACGAGCUGCCGGAGCCGGAAGAACAGCAAAGGGAGCUACCUCAAGGAGCUGAGGAGGAGGAGGACUUGCCGGAGUGCCCUGACCAUCGUCCCUCUACCUACGUCGAAGGCAAGCCCCGGAGCAUUAUAGGCCUCCUACUAUUUUAUUAUCAUGUUCAGCUAUCAAAUGACUAUGGUUAUAUAUUGUUGCAUUAAGUGGUAGGCGUUGAUAUGACACCCUUGCUGCAUAAUGACUACCUUGUCCACCUUAAACAAUACCAAAGUAGGUCCAGGAUCGAAGUAAUGCUUAGCCAUGCUUAGCUCGGUAGAAGCCGGGUGAUUUCCUGUCACCUGCGAGAGUUAGGUGGAUGAUGAUCACGGUUGGCUAUAUUUGCUAUCGUGGAAAUAACCAUGUGUUAAUAAUGAAUUUGAGACCGGGCGGGAUGACGCUAGUGCAGCAACAAGGCAUGGAGGUCUUGGGUGUGAACCUAUCCCCGUCUGUGUCGUUUAAGGACCGAAUCGCUGUACGUCCCCGUGUCAUGUUGAACGCAUGCCUAUCACUUAGUUGGCCGGAUAAGUCGUUCCGACCGCGAAGCCUACGAGUGCAACUCCGGCCGGAUACCCCGAUCUGGUUAAAGUGCGCACCCCGGUUGGUAGUAAGGAUGUGCGGGGAGUCAAUGGCGUAAGACCGAGGUGUCAGGUUAGAGUCCUGACCCAGGCAGAUUGGCGGUCCCUGGGGGUGCGGCGCCGUACGGACCCGCGAAUUGGUCCGGAGUUGUGCUAAAGGUGAUCCGAGCUGCCGUCAUGAAGUAUGCUUGGGUGAGUGUUAGGAAUACCCCUCCAGCUGGAUAGGAAUCGAUUCGAUCGCCGUCUCUCCCGGAUAGUGAGAACUUGACUUGGGCAGCGGCAACGUAGAAUUUACUAAAGAAACUUAAUGGUUAUGAUGAGAAUGAUGAUGGCUAUGUGAUAAUCCAGAUAUGGUUAUUAUUGUAAUGCUUAAAACUCAAGUGUAUGCUUAGAACAGGUGCUAAUCUAGUGGAUAGUUGCUAAGUAAUAAACUUGCUGCUGAAUUUAAUAAAUGAGUUACUUAUAACAAAGGCUUUUAUGCAAAAGAUGAGUCAAACCAGUCCACAGAGAUCAGCCUUGCAUACUCCUUGGUGUCACUUUAUUUCUGGUUUAUGACGGGUAAGUCUAGCUGAGUACAUUCUCGUACUCAGGUUUUUAUUUACCCCUGUUGCAGAUGACGUCGUUUAUCACGGCUACUGUGCUAAGUGUCAUCACCCGGCUGCGGAUGAUGAAUAGAUCAUGGGCGUGAUCACCACCUUUAUCUUCAGUUGUGCUUUUGUUGGGACUUGACCAUGGAACUGGCAUGUAUUAUAAACUAAGUUGGUGUUGUUCAAAACUACUUUGUUUCCGCUACCGCUAUGGUUUGUAGUAACCACUUUAAACUCUGAUGUGAUGUAAAACUAUGUUCUGUGAUGAAUGUUGUAAUCUGUGAUGGUGAAGCUUGAUCAUGUACGAUCUUGGUUGUAUGUUGGUUGAAUCGAGGUCUUUUGAGAUUUCGUCGGACUACUGGGUUUAUAUGGGUUCAAGUCCAUUGGCUUGACUGCCUCCGUGGUCGCUAAUUCACUUGAAUUCUUAUAAAUGGGACGGUUCUGUUACAGCUGGCAUCAGAGCAAGAUUAAGCAUAUAACCAUCAUAGAUGUAUUUGAAAACAAAUGAAUUUGGUUUUGUUAAACUAAUUUGGCAAAAUUAGGUUAUAAAUAGGGUUGUUUUAAAAAGGUUUUGAUAACUUAUACCAUGCCAGUGGUCAUGCCCUUUAUGCCCAUAUAAGGAUUUCUAGGUGGCUUAAUAUUACUAACAUGGGGGUUUUUCCUUUCGUCGUCCAUAUGGCGUGUAAUUAUAUGGAUACCGCUUACUUAAGUGGUAAUGAAUGGAUCACAUACCUCUACGCCAUGGUAAGCAUUGUUUGUUUUCUUUCGUCGUCCAUACGGCGUGAAAUUGUAUGGAUGCCACUUGCUUGAGUGGUAAUGUAUGGAUCUAUAUGCCUCUACGCUACGGUAAGUGUGAGCUGUGAGAGCAUGACCGUCCAACCGUCGGUCUAGGGGAGUGUUAGCUGUGGUUACUGGAAUAUUUACAUGUUUCACACAUGUAUAUAUGAAGGUACUUAAUUGUGGGUAGUAGGUGCAGCCAUGUAUACAUAUUUGAUGUAUAGGUGGGUGUAUCCAAAAUGGGUAGUGUGCUGCGAUAUAUAUCUGGGAAUAUAUAUCGGAGUACCUAGCUUGAUUGUUGGUGAUUGGAUUUACAUUUCUGCACUUAUACUAUUGUGGGGCUGGGCUGAAAUGGAAUCUUCUGCAGGUACACUGACAACGAAACGUGUAGACCGGGUAGUUGCGUAUAAAGAGUGUACGUAUAUAUGCCACCGAAUAUACCGUUAGAACUUUCUUCUAGGAAUGGAAAGGACGUAUGGAACGUGCAUGCAUCAUGAAUCAUUCAUACAUUCUUUAUGCAAUACUUGGGUAUUAAAUUCUGAAAAUAUGAUUCUUUAUUUUUCCUUGUAAUUAAUCUCCCUUACUCAAAUGUGGUCUUUCUACAGAUGGCAGCCCCGCACGCGAGUGAGACUUUUCUGGACAUGUUUGGCACUCCUACUUUGUUGUGGAGGGUGCUAAGUUCAGUUGGAUAUGAGGAACCACCUAGGUACACUUGGACCGAGUCUGAGCAUGCAGGGGCCUUACCUUGGGUAGAUGUCCAAAUUACAGUUCCUCCUUGUCCAAAUAACCCACAGUGGCUAGGGUGGUUAGUUGACUGUGAUGGCCAAACUCCUUGGGAGGGCGCCCAAGUAGCAGCCCUAGAGGUUUUGCUAGAAAUAUGUCAAGAGUUUGGUGAUGAGUUAGUGAAUGGCCCAGUGGGAUCCAUCCCCAGAGUGAGUGUGACUGACACAUUUGUGUCCCAGAUAGGGAAUGAGUCCUUAGAGACGAGAGAAAUCUUGCUAGGAUAUAGCUCUAGCCCUGCUAUGAGUGCCAUGGUAGCGGUACUUAAGCUGCACUAUGUACGCCAGGACACAUACAUAGAGGCCAUGCUAGCGCUCCAACGAGCUCAAGUUGGGCAGCGCAAAUUGCGCAAACGAGUGCGCAAACAUCGCAAGGCUUUUAUGGAUGCACAAGCUGAAAUCUAAAACUAUCACACCGCUUUGCAAGCCCGCCGCAAUCAAGUUGCGAAUGCAGUUAGAGAGCGCAAUGAGGCACAAGCCCGCAUGAUGCAAAUGACUAGAGAGAGAGAUGAGGCUAUGCGCUUGGCUGAAAAUAGAGAAACUGCUAGAGUUAGAGCCUUGUUCCAUGCUGAAAUGAGAGAGGAAGAGCUGAUUACUAGGAUUGCUGAGUUGCAGUUGGAUGUCCAUCGCUUAAAUAAUAUCAUAAAUCCUAUCCCACAACCAGCCCCUUUUGAUCAUGAAGAAGCUCUUAGUGAGGAAGAUCAGGGUGGUGGCAUCAUCUCUAAUGGAGAAUCCGAGGAAGAUAUGUAGCCUAGCAAUGAUUUUAUGACCAUGUAUCAGUUUCCAUCUCUUUGUGUAAUGGACAUGUAAUCUGAAUUUUAGUUGAGACUCUAUGUAUUUGGCUAGGGUGCCCCUCCUGUAAAACUUAAGUUGUGGCAAUGACUCUAUGUAACCUUAUGCACUUAUCUGUGAUGCUCCAUGUUUAUGUUGAGCUGAAAUAAAUCUCUGCAAUGUCGUUAAUCCUUGAGGAAUUGUGGCUCUGAAUGAACGCGAGAAUAACCAAGUGUCAUGGAAGAUAUUCUCUUAUUGUACAUGGAUUAUUGCGCCUUAAUUUAUGUGAAUUUACUUUAUUAAAUUCCGUAUGGCAGCAAUUGAAGUUCAUGACAAUCAUAUCUGUUAUCCUAAACGAUCACUUGAUAUGCCUUGUGUAGAUGGCUCGCAACACUCGCUCCGGUCACAACGAGGUGCCGCCACCACCACCUCCUCCCCCGCCUACACCUACUGAGCUAUUGGCAGCUCUUGUUGAGGGCCAGCGUAUGCUCAAUGAGGCUAUGCAAACUAUGGCGCAGCAGAACCGGGGUGGUCGCCAUGCCCGCCAAGGCGGAGAGGCAAAUCAGUAUAGCAGUUUCAAGGAUUUCCAGGACACCAAGCCGCCGCUUUUCAAGGAGGCUGUUGAACCUCUAGAAGCUGAUGAGUGGCUUAACACUCUUGAACAGAAAUUCCGGUUGCUAAGGUUAACCGAAGAGCUCAAAGCGGAGUAUGCAGCCCACCAGUUGGAGGGCAAAGCAGGUGUCUGGUGGAGUCAUUACAGGACUAGCUUGCCCGCCAAUGCUGUUGUAACCUGGGACCAGUUCCAAACUGCUUUCAGGAAUACUUAUAUUCCACAAGGCUUAAUGACUAUCAAGCACACUGAGUUCAUGAACCUGACGCAAGGCACUAAAAGCUUGACUGAGUAUCUUCAUGCUUUUAACAAUUUGUCUCGCUAUGCUCCUGAGAUGGUUGACACCGAAGCCAAGAAGCUCGCUAGUUUCAAAAGAGGGUUGGGACCCAAGUUGUCCAAGAACAUGGCUGGUAACAAGAGUACCACCUUCAACGAGUUUGUGAGUGAUGCAUUGACUCAGGAAAAUUCUAAUGCUGUGUAUGCCGCAUCCAAGAACCGCAAGAGGGCCUAUGAGGCAGGUGCUUCGCAGUCCAAGGCUCCAGCGGCAAGCAAGCCGGCCUAUCGCCCACCCAAUGCUGUGACAAGGUACAGGCCGCCGCAGAAAAAGUCAAAUGUGAAGACGCGAGUGCGCAAGUCCUUCACAGUUGCUCUCCCAAGAGGUGCCACGGGUCAAGGAAGUCCCAAGAAUCCUCCUGAUAACCGCCCUUGUUUCAAUUGCAAACAAGUUGGUCACUGGGCAAGAGAUUGCCCCUACCCUAAGAGAAGUGCUGCAGCCGGAGGAAAUAACCGUAUGGGUCGUGUGCACUACACCACGGUUGAAGAAAUUCCGGAAGGUGAAGCAGUCACCGCUGGUAUGUUCCUUGUAAAUCAACACCCUGCAGUUGUCUUGUUUGAUUCUGGAGCUUCACAUUCAUUUAUGAGUCAAGCAUUCGCAUCUAAGCAUGGGCAAAAUGUCAUCGAUCUUGAUAGCGGAAAAUUUUGCAUUAGUGCUGCUGGUAAUCAAAUUGCUACGAAUCAAGUAGUGAGGGAUGUACAUAUUGCCAUAGAAGGGCGUAAUUAUGCAGCAGAUUUAGUCGUACUGCCAGGCCUAGGGAUAGAUGUUAUUCUGGGGAUGAAUUGGAUGAGCAGGCAUGGGGUGCUAAUAGAUACCUCCACGAGAGUAGUCAUGUUACGGGAGCCUGAUAGCAAGGAAGCCUUCUUAGUCCAGCUUCCCAAGAAUGAUGACAUCCGUCACGCUGCCAAUGCCAUUCGACCACUCACUUUAGCAGAGAUUCCGGUAGUGUGUGAGUUUCCGGAUGUCUUUCCAGAGGAUCUGCCCGGGUUGCCACCGGACAGAGACAUUGAGUUUAAAAUUGAUUUAAUUCCGGGUACCGCACCUAUCUCUAGAAGGCCAUACCGAAUGCCACCCAAUGAAUUGGCAGAGUUGAAAAAGCAACUGCAAGAACUCCUAGAGAAAGGUCUUAUUCGGCCUAGUUCUUCUCCAUGGGGUUGUCCGGCUCUCUUUGUCAAGAAGAAGGACAAGUCUCUACGUAUGUGUGUAGACUAUCGUCCGCUCAACGCCGUGACUAUCAAAAACAAGUAUCCAUUGCCUCGCAUCGAUAUCCUGUUUGAUCAAUUAGCCAAGGCCAAAGUAUUCUCCAAAAUUGAUCUGAGAUCUGGGUAUCAUCAAAUCAAGAUCCGACCUGAAGACAUUCCUAAAACGGCUUUCUCUACCAGGUAUGGGUUGUAUGAGUAUUUAGUCAUGUCCUUUGGUCUGACUAAUGCCCCUGCUCAUUUCAUGUACCUGAUGAAUUCGGUGUUCAUGCCUGAACUGGAUAAGUUUGUGGUGGUGUUCAUCGAUGAUAUAUUGGUGUAUUCUGAAAAUGCACAAGAACAUGAGAAGCACCUUCGGAUUGUACUCACCAGAUUGCGAGAACAUCAGCUCUAUGCCAAGUUCAGCAAGUGUGAGUUUUGGCUGAAGAAAGUGUCUUUGUUAGGCCAUAUUUUAUUCGAAGAGGGUAUUUCUGUUGACCCGUCAAAGGUGCAGGAGGUUCUAGACUGGAAGGCCCCGACUUCAGUGCACGAAGUCCGGAGUUUUCUCGGUCUAGCUGGAUAUUAUCGGCGCUUCAUUCCAGAUUUUUCCAAAAUAGCUAAACCUAUGACCAAGCUACUGCAAAAAGAUGUGAAGUUUGUGUGGUCCAAGGAGUGUGAAGUUGCCUUCACCACUCUACGCCAUUUGCUGACCACCGCUCCUGUUCUGGCACAGCGUGACAUUGAAAAGCCAUUUGAUGUCUUUUGUGAUGCAUCUGGCACUGGCCUAGGUUGUGUGCUUAUGCAAGAAGGCCAAGUUAUUGCCUAUGCUUCUCGGCAGCUGAGGAAACAUGAAGCCAACUACCCUACUCAUGAUCUAGAGUUAGCAGCAGUUGUACAUGCAUUGAAGCUCUGGAGACAUUAUCUGUUGGGUAACCUUUGUCACAUUUACACUGACCAUAAGAGCCUCAAAUAUAUAUUCACUCAGCCUGAGUUAAAUAUGAGACAAAGAAGAUGGCUAGAAUUGAUAAAAGACUACAAUUUAGAAGUGCACUAUCAUCCAGGCAAAGCCAAUGUUGUAGCCGAUGCUCUCAGUCGAAAACAACAUGUUAGACCUCUUCUAGAGGAAGGCUUCAAUUUAUUGCAUCCUGUGGUCCUACACAACAUCAUAGUCAGUUGCUCAUUAGAAAGUCAAAUCAUAGAGCUCCAAAAAUCUGAUCCUGGUAUUUUUCAUAUCAAGAGAAAAAUGCAAGAGCAAGACACCAAGCAUUUCCGAGUAGAUGAGAAGGGUGUACUGUGGUUUGACGAUCGGCUAGUUGUACCCAAAGACCGUGACCUACGCAACAAAAUUUUAGAAGAAGCUCAUUCUUCCAAGUUGUCCAUUCAUUCGGGUAGUAGCAAAAUGUACCAAGACUUGAGACCUCGCUUCUGGUGGACCAAAAUGAAGAAAGAGAUAGCAGCUUAUGUUGCUAGGUGUGAUACUUGCUGUAGGGUAAAGGCAGUUCACCUCAAACCUGCAGGUUUAUUGCAACCAUUGUCAAUUCCAGGUUGGAAGUGGGAAGAAAUCAGCAUGGAUUUCAUUGUUGGACUUCCCCUUAUGCAAAAAGGACACAAUUCCAUAUGGGUGAUUGUUGACCGUUUGACCAAGUGAGCCUAUUUUAUUCCCGUACACUCUACAUACCGACCAUCCGACUAUGCUGAGUUGUACUUCGCUCAGAUAGUUAAAUUGCACGGAGUGCCUCGCACUAUCAUUUCUGACAGAGGUCCUCAGUUCACUGCUCGCUUUUGGGAGCAUCUGCAUUCACUCCUUGGUACAAAGUUGGUUCGCAGUUCAGCCUAUCAUCCUCAAACCUCCGGUCAGACUGAGCGUGUGAAUCAAAUUCUAGAGGAUAUGUUGAGGGCCUGUGUUAUAUCUUCCAAGGGUGCGUGGGAGAAAUGGUUACCCUUAGCUGAAUUCUCUUACAACAAUAGCUAUCAAGAAAGUAUCCAAAUGGCUCCUUUCGAAGCCUUGUAUGGCCGCAAAUGUAGAACUCCGUUAAACUGGGUUGAACCUGGUGAAAGGAGGUACUACGGAAUUGACUUUGUCAAGGAAGCCAAAAAGCAAGUUCUCGUUAUCCAACAACACAUGAGAGCCGCCCAAACUAGGCAGAAAAGCUAUGCUGACCGAAGAAGAAAGCCAAUCGAGUUCGAAAUAGGUGACUUUGUGUACAUAAAAGUAUCGCCCAUGAAAGGAGUAAAUCGCUUUGGCGUUAAAAGAAAGCUUGCCCCUAGGUAUGUGGGUCCCUACCAAAUCAUUGAGAAGAGUGGUAAGGUAGCUUACAAAGUACAACUACCUCCAGAAAUGAGAGCUAUUUUCCCUGUAUUCCAUGUGUCUCAACUCAAGAAGUGUCUUCGUGUGCCUGAAGAGAGAGUUGAAACAAGAGAUAUCAAGUUGCAGUCAGACCUAUCUUAUGAAGAAAAGCCUGUGCAAGUUCUUGAUGUCAAGGAACGGGUUACUCGUGGGAGAGUGAUCAAACUUUUUAGAGUUUUGUGGAACCGUCAAAAUGAGAGAGAUACCACUUGGGAAAGGGAAGACUAUUUACAAGUAACUUAUCCCUCAUUCUACGAAAAAUGGUACGUCUUUCAAAUCUCGGGACGAGAUUUUUGUAAGGGGGGAGGGCUGUAACACUCCUAGUGUUAGCUUGCAUGUUAACCAUGAGCAUUGCAUCAACAUAAGCAUCAUCAUGAUCACUCAUGAGCAUCAUACCAUGAUCACAUGUCAUCUACUACAUGCACUAUGUGAUUAAAUUGCUUGUGUGACUUGUUUUGAGUGACUUUAGUGGGUGAUCAAUACAUGUAAGUGUGCGAUCUUGUCCAAAAUACUUUAAUCAUGUUUAGAACAUCAUUGUGAACAUAGUUCAUGUUGGAGGUUGCACCCAAAAAUGCCCCUAAGUCAUGGUUAGCCCUAGGUUGACCUAGUUGACCCCCUAAACCUCUUUUUAAAGAUCUUUUAUGAAACCUGUGUUAGAAACCUUGCAUGUCAAUGACCCCUAAAGCCAAGUUGUAGAAAUUUUUAUAGGCUACAAAAGUUGUUUUAAGGCCAUCUCAUGAAACUGUGCAGAACAUGCUCAAAAAAUGCACACAAGGUAAAUUUAGGUGCUGUUUGGACAUGGCAGUUUUUAGCUGUGUGGGAACUGAUGAAACUGAAUGCCAGUUUACGUGUAGGGUACUUUGGCAGCUCGUAGUUUCUAAUUUAAGCUGAACUAGACCAAACUCUUAAAAUCAAAGUUGGAGUACUCAUUCAGCUCUCCAACUUGUAUCACUGAAGUUUUUGCUAGUUCGCACUGGUUUGGGAGUUGGAGGGCAGCGAAGUUUCGAGUUCAGACGUAUUUUUGCAGUACUUUUGCUGGUUUCUGAUCAGACUUCGAUUUGGUUGGAGUCGGGUCGUGGCCGACCAGCUCUGCUUGGCUUGCGCCGCGUGGAUGCCGUGCGUCGAUAUUGGCCCCCACAUAGCUACGAAUAAAGCCGAGCGCCGUGCGACUCCGCCAAGGCAAUAGCCCACUUGUUCGUCCACAUCGCACUCGUCGCCAAGGCCAAAGAGGACAGCCGCCGCCGCCAUGGAUGUUGCUGAGGUGAAGCUCGUGCAUCGCCAUUGCGUCCGGCACCUCUCGCUACUCUCUAUCCCUCUCGUUCUCAGUAAAGUAGGGCUGCGGCCGCUCGCAUGACCGGCCUUCGGCCAAGUUGGCCGCAGGCAGGUGCCAUAGCGUGCAGCCGUGCUGCUUAGGUACGGGAGCCGCCUCUUCCUUUGCCGUUCUGUGAAAGUCGAUGCGUUUCCUUGGUAACCUAUCCUGAUAGAUGCGUCUCGAUGUAAGGAGUCUGUUGGUGGUGGUCGCGUCGCCGGAAAGUUCGCCGCCGGCGAGCUAUGGCCGGUCAAAGUAGCUCCCCUGUUUUUGUCCUUAUGACGUGUGGGUCCAGAUUGACCUUGGGUCCCAGCUGCCAGCCUUUGGGGUACUCAGCACUGGGUGCGUGUAGUAGUUCUUAGGGUUUGGUUAUUUUCGUUUUAAUCUUUUCUAUGUUUUUCUUUUGGAAGUUUGUAAAUUCAAUAUCUCAAGCAACAGGGAUCCGUUUUGAGUGAAACCAAUUUUGUUAGCUUCCUUUUGGUGGAUAUUAGCUAUUAAAAAUAUGAAACAUGCCAUGUUUUUGUAGAAAUAAAUAGAUAUGAUUUAAUCUUGAUUAAAUAGGAGGUAAUUAUAUCUUGAAAUCUAUUGAACUGCUGUCCAUGCAAAUUUAGGGUGUUGUUAGUUAUCUUAUGACUAGGCUCUGAUAAAUUUAUCAUGAUUUUUGGAAGCCUAGUUGUGAAGUUAAAAAAAUAGUUCUUGCUUAAAUAGGGGUUUCUUGUGGUAUUUUUAAUAAUUAAGUUAUAACUCCUUUGGUGAUGAAACUUGCUGAGUGUUGUACUCAUGUGUAAACAAGGCUAACAAAAAUCUGAAAUCUGCUGUUUGACACUUUUUGAUAAUGUUUCAUAUUUAUGCCUUGCAUGCCUUUACUAGCUUGUUGUUUUUGUAUCUCCCAAUCUGUAUGUGCAACUGUUCUGAAAAUUUUACAGUGAUCUUAUGUUAGCAUAAGUAGCUUGCUGUAAUUUUCUUAGAAUUUUUGGAACACUUGGAGUAUAUGUUCAUUAAAUCACCUUAAUAAUUAAAUAAAUGGAAAAGGUGAUGAUAGAAAUAGUUUUAGACCUUGCCAUGAUAUUUUCUGGUGUUUCUUAGAUAUGUUGUACCUACUGGUGCAAUUAGAUUGUUCCUUUGAUACAUUCUCAACAUGUGCAAAAUAUUAUUUUUGGCUAUUUAUACCUUUCCUAGAGCAUUUCUGUGUAGCUGAUAGCAAAUGCUUGAGAACUAAUUAAAGAUAUUAAUUUCUGGGAAACUUGUCUACAACAAACUUGUAGCUAACUUACUGAUGUAAUCCGUGUCCAAAUUUCAUGGCAUUUGGUUGAGUAGUUUGAAAGUUAUGUAUGUUUCAAGUAGCUGCUGCAAAGUGCUUGCUCUCUGGAAUUUCCAGAGCAGCCAAUCAACUUUGUAUGUUUUAGCAUAUUUCGGUUGGGAAUCAUCCUGGUAUGUCUAAAAGUGAUUUGUAGACAAUUUGCUAAGCUUUCCAGAAAGUGCUUACUUGCUUAAUUUGGUUAACAGAUGCUUGAGUUAUGGCUGAAACUUGUGACUGGUUGGUUUGUCUACUAAACCAGUGGCUGAGUAGGCAUAACUAGGAUUUGUUAACUUGUCUAUUUAGUCUCUCUAUCAGAGAAGAGGUAUGCACUUACUUGUUGUUCUAUGAUUCACUUAAUCUUAGAAGCUUAUGCUCAUAUUAUACCUUGUUUUAUGUCCCUUUGGCUCUUCAUCAUGACAUCAUGCAUCAUUUGUGCAUUCUCUAUAUUCAUGUCCUUGUCAUGCAUACAUAGGUGUACCCAAGGGCGUGACCGUGUUGGAGUACGAGCUGCCGGAGCCGGAAGAACAGCAAAGGGAGCUACCUCAAAGAGCUGAGGAGGAGGAGGACUUGCCGGAGUGCCCUGACCAUCGUCCCUCUACCUACGUCGAAGGCAAGCCCCGGAGCAUUAUAAGCGUCCUACUAUUUUAUUAUCAUGUUCAGCUAUCAAAUGACUAUGGUUAUAUAUUGUUGCAUUAAGUGGUAGGCGUUGAUAUGACACCCUUGCUGCAUAAUGACUACCUUGUCCACCUUAAACAAUACCAAAGUAGGUCUAGGAUCGAAGUAAUGCUUAGCCAUGCUUAGCUCGGUAGAAGCCGGGUGAUUUCCUGUCACCUGCGAGAGUUAGGUGGAUGAUGAUCACGGUUGGCUAUAUUUGCUAUCGUGGAAAUAACCAUGUGUUAAUAAUGAAUUUGAGACCGGGCGGGAUGACGCUAGUGCAGCAACAAGGCAUGGAGGUCUUGGGUGUGAACCUAUCCCCGUCUGUGUCGUUUAAGGACCGAAUCGCUGUACGUCCCCGUGUCAUGUUGAACGCAUGCCUAUCACUUAGUUGGCCGGAUAAGUCGUUCCGACCGCGAAGCCUACGAGUGCAACUCCGGCCGGAUACCCCGAUCUGGUUAAAGUGCGCACCCCGGUUGGUAGUAAGGAUGUGCGGGGAGUCAAUGGCGUAAGACCGAGGUGUCAGGUUAGAGUCCUGACCCUGGCAGAUUGGCGGUCCCUGGGGUGCGGCGCCGUACGGACCCGCGAAUUGGUCCGGAGUUGUGCUAAAGGUGAUCCGAGCUGCCGUCAUGAAGUAUGCUUGGGUGAGUGUUAGGAAUACCCCUCCAGCUGGAUAGGAAUCGAUUCGAAUCGCCGUCUCUCCCGGAUAGUGAGAACUUGACUUGGGCAGCAGCAACGUAGAAUUUACUAAAUAAACUUAAUGGUUAUGAUGAGAAUGAUGAUGGCUAUGUGAUAAUCCGGAUAUGGUUAUUAUUGUAAUGCUUAAAACUCAAGUGUAUGCUUAGAACAGGUGCUAAUCUAGUGGAUAGUUGCUAAGUAAUAAACAUGCUACUGAAUUUAAUAAAUGAGUUACUUAUAACAAAGGCUUUUAUGCAAAAGAUGAGUCAAACCAGUCCACAGAGAUCAGCCUUGCAUACUCCUUGGUGUCACUUUAUUUCUGGUUUAUGACGGGUAAGUCUAGCUGAGUACAUUCUCGUACUCAGGGUUUUAUUUACCCCUGUUGCAGAUGACGUCGUUUAUCACGGCUACUGUGCUAAGUGUCAUCACCCGGCUGCGGAUGAUGAAUAGAUCAUGGGCGUGAUCACCACCUUUAUCUUCAGUUGUGCUUUUGUUGGGACUUGACCAUGGAACUGGCAUGUAUUAUAAACUAAGUUGGUGUUGUUCAAAACUACUUUGUUUCCGCUACCGCUAUGGUUUGUAGUAACCACUUUAAACUCUGAUGUGAUGUAAAACUAUGUUCUGUGAUGAAUGUUGUAAUCUGUGAUGGUGAAGCUUGAUCAUGUACGAUCUGGGUUGUAUGUUGGUUGAAUCGAGGUCUUUUGAGAUUUCGCCGGACUACCGGGUUUAUAUGGGUUCAAGUCCAUUGGCUUGACUGCCUCCGUGGUCGCUAAUUCACUUGAAUUCUUAUAAAUUGGACGGUUCUGUUACACCCAGCCUCCUAUAAAAGGCCACCUCCUGCCUCCAUCUUCAUCACAAAAGCAUUCCAGAAAACCACGCAAACUUCAGUUUUCGGUUUCUAGAGAAGGAGCUCUAGUAGUGAAGUGAGAAGGAGAGUAGAGGGGAAGAGAAGAUUGGAAGAGAGGUUGGUAGUUUUUGAGUGAGAGCAAGGUCCAUUUAGUAAGUAAUGAUCCCGCUGUCCAAAGCGGAAUUAAAAGUUGCUUAGGGGAAGUGCUGCCAAAAUUAAAACUUGUCUCGGACGACUAACCCCUGGACGACUGACAUCUUCGACGGCUAACCACUAACAUAUUUCUCUCACAUUUCUCCAUGAGUUUUUGUUUGUGUUAAUUUUUCUACAGGAUGUUGAAGAAGAUGAAGAGCGUGGGCAAGGCCCUCAAGAACAUGGGUAUGAGGAGUUCAUCCCGACUCUCAUCGCAUCAAUCGGAGAUGAGCAUCGACCCGACGCCCCCUCAAGCUCCAUCGUCUUCAUCUGGUACACGAGUCAAGGUUCUCCUCAAGACAGGAGACCUUGGACUGAAGACCCGCAUAGAGAAGGAAGUUCUCUAGCAGCUGAAGAACAGGGAGUUCAUUCACAACCCCACUCUCGAUACUAUCCUGCUGCAAUAAACAUGUAUGGAUACCGAAUUUGACUUGAUUUUCUAGAUGGUGGGAUGGACAAACUUUUGGGACAUAACUGAGCUGGGUUCCCGUCUUCUCACUAUUGAAUUUCUCUGCACUUUGCAACAUUAUGAGGGGGAAUCGCUUUUCGGAUGUUCAAACAGGACCUUAUGUUGUCUUGGAGAGAACUGAGCGACCAUCUCGUUUCUCUUCAAGAUGCAUCCUGGACAUUGACUCCGACUUGCCGAAUUUUGAGAGGCACCAGUUCUGGAGGGAGAUUUCUAGGGAUGAAUAUUAUGUUCAAGCCUGAACCAGUGACAUGGAACAUCCUACUCUCCGGAUGUUCCACAAAUGGCUCAGGUAUAACCUUUUCCACCGCGAUGAUAUUAGAAAAGUCAAAGUAGGAGAUUUGCAACUUCUUUAUGCUAUAAAUAAAACACCCACUUCACCUGUAACUCUUUUGGUUUCUCAUUGGCUUAGUAUACCUAGUUUUCAGGGACCUGUCGGUUGUACUUCACUCAUCACUCGUCUAGCCACUAGUCUCAAUGUGCUAGAAAACUCGUCAUUUGAAUUCAUUGACGAGUUAUGAAUUUAUCAUGGCUAUGACACAUUUAGACAAGCUCGGAUGCUGAAAAAGAAGGGAACGUAAUGUAUAUGUUGUAUGAUAAUAAAGGCAAGAUUCGGUUACCUAACCCGAACCUUGGCCUUUAUGUCGUUCAAAAUUAUUUGAUUGAGAUUGCAGUGGCACCGGUAAACUAGAGAGCUCCACAGCAAGUGGCAUCCGAAAAGAUGACAACCCAUCAAGAACGCACCUGGUAUGGAGCUGAUCCCGGGCUGGAAGAAGCAGCGCACCUGCAUUAUCGCAACUACAACCCCGGAGUUCUUCGGGACCCGUGGGUUCAACAUGCUCAGCUGCAGGAGCCAACAGAAGAGACGUGGCUAGAAGGCCCAGAUCACCAGUGGGCAAACCCGCCUUUUCGUAUAGGCAGGUACUCCACUGAUCCGUUUGGAGCUUCAGGGUCUAGGCCCAGCCCCAAUUUGAUGCAGGAAGGUACUCCGACGCCUCCUAUGUGUUCUCCGGCGACUACUACCAAGAGGUUGGCACCUUUUUCAACAGCACCGACAACACCCUUCUCGCCAUCCAAGAUAGGCAAGCAGAAUAUGGACGACUCCUAGAAUAGCAACAAAAGUGGAACCAGGACCACGCCACUGCAGUACAGGGACUGAGGCAAGAUACCACAACGAUGAACGACAACAUCACCACUAUGAUGCGAUUAUGGAACAUUGAGUUGGACCGACACAGCAACAUCCAGCUUGGGGGAGUUCCUCCCCAUUUUACCGAGUAAGUUUUUAUUUGUUUUUAUUAUUUAUUUUUCUGUUUUAAUAUUUCAUAAAAAACAAACCAAAAAGAUGCAUGAUGGAAAUGAUGAACAGUUGCUCUGUUUACUUACUUUCAAGUACCUAGCUUUCAUAUUAGAGUUGUCCCAAGAAUUGCUAAAACUUGAAAUUUAAUAUCUAUGAGAGUAUGAACCUAAAACUAAAGUCUAGGUAAGAGAAAGGAAUGAUAUAAAGUUUGAGCUGCUGUUUAUCUUGUUCUUACUACACUAAGUUCUGGAGAUUUAUUUUGAAAACGUGCAAAUCACAUGAUGAGUUCCUAGCAUGACAAAAUUUCUACCACGGCCAUACUUGCUAUAACAUCUUUUGCUGCUUAUAUUCACAUUGAGUUUGAUCGAGCUGUGUAGACCCUUAGGAGCUUUUCAUGUUGUUAAAUCAAGAUAUUCACUUGCACACAUCUACUACACCAUUCACCACCAUUUAUUAAAAUUGCUAAAAAUAUUAUCACUCACUAUCCCAAGUGUUGUUAUUCUCUCUCUCCAAAAAGAUUCAAUGCAGAAGAGGCAAGGGUUAUGCAAAAAAAAAUAUGCGACGAACUAAAAAGGGGCAAGUGCUCGGAACCUCGAAAAAGAGUGAGACGAGAGGUAAAAAUGGACAAGUGUUCGGAGUAGAAUUAGGAGUACAAAGAUGCCCACUUGAGCGGAAAAAAUGGACAAGUGUCUGACAGUAGAAUUAGGGGUAUUUACUACCCACCUGAAAAAAAAGAGAGAAAAGAAAAAGAUAGCCCAUGCUCUCCCAAAGCAAAGAUCAAGAGAGGAGGAGAGAUAGCAAUAUGAGGAGCAAUGAGAAGUAAGUUUUAUCAUUACUUAUAUAUUUUCACCAUUACUAUCAUUUACUCCACCAGACAUGCACAUCUUGAUUUAAUUAUAUGCUGAGUUCCUUCGGAUCCAUGGCUCGAUUAGAUAACAUAUGUAUGAGCUGUUUUCACACUUAUGAGCUCCACAUAAACAUUCCCUUAGUUAUAGGUAAGUGACAUUUUUGGUAAGGAUCCACAAAUUCAUAUAUAGAGAGAUUUGAGUAUCAUAGCUGGGAACUCUGAGCUUUAUUUUUGAAAAUGUAUGCAAAACUCCAGAACAAAUGUGAAGUAUAGACAGGAGGAAUAGUGCUUGACUUAAUUAUUUUGUCUUUCAAUUACUUAAGACUUAAGUGCAGGUACUAAGCUCCAUGACACUUCACUCUAAUCUGGGAGAAUUUUUAUAUGAAAGCAUGUGUGCCUAUCAGGAAAGAAAACAUCAAAGCAACUCCUGAUCCAUCUAAGUUUAGCUGUUUGCUCAGGGACGAGCAAAGGGUAAGCUUGGGAGAGUUUGUUGACGGUCCUUAAGGGCCAAAUUCAACCAUCAACUAAACAUGGAAAAGGAUCAAUAUGCACCAAACACCUAGAAUUAGGGUUUUAUCUGACAGAAUUCCAUGAGUUUUGGUGUUUAUCUAUUUCUGCAGGGGGUUAUCAAGAAAUAUGGAGAGAAGGCCCACACAUCAGGUUUACAACGAGAUAAUUACGUGCCGUGCAAUUUUUCUCAACCUAGAAGAGUCCAGAAGCCACGGGAGCGAACGGAAGGCCAAACGGGGCCGGGUGCAGGGCGCCCACCCAACCCCCUUGGGCGCCCGCCCAGCCUCAGUGGCCAAUCAGGCCAGGUCACGUGGAUCAUAUGUGGGCGUGGUGCUUAGAUAUUAUUUACCUGGAAAUGUAUCCUAUUGGCCGGGUCGUGUGGUAGUUCGUGAUGGUGACAGCUUUGUUGAUUCUUAUAUAGUCCACCCUCCGUCAGUAUGACACGCAGAAUUUGUAUUGUGGAGUAAGUCUUGCUAUGUUCUGAUUUACUUUAGCAAUGUUCCUUGUACAUGAAUAAUAAAUCUUUUGGGCUAUAUAUGAUCUUGUAGAUACCUAGAGUAGAUUGUGACUUAGUAGAUAGUAGAUACUUAGAAUCCAUUCACUAGCUAAUACGACGUCACCUUACAUUUAUGUGGAGUAGUCUCUUUCUAAUCGCUGUGUUAUUUAUCCAUGAGCUUAUAUUUCAUUAUCUUUAUUACUAUUGCUUACCCCCUGCUAAAGCAAGUGACCGUGGGACGAGUUUCUCAAUAGUAAUCAUGUUAUUGCAAGUUUAUCUCUAGUCUAUGCCUUGAUAGAUUUUACCCCUGUUUUCACUUUCGCCGUUCUCUUAAGCAAAAUAUAAAUAACGAUACCCGGAAUACUUUUCCUAGUGAAAUGCUACAAUGAUGUAUUUUAUCUGUGCGUUUGCGGAUAGAAUAGAUUAUUUUCUAUAGAGCCUUCAUAUUCAUAAAUACCUUAGUACACUCUAGUGCCAUGCUAGGGAUGACAACCUUGUAUCCAAGUGGUGUUAGCAAGUGUCAACGGACAUCAUCUUCUUGCCAUUGGAUCAAACUAACUUAACAUUGGACGCCUCAGAUGGACUCCUAGUGGUGUCACACAGAUCAGUGAUGUGGCUUGCCAUGCUGGGGAUGGUGCCCGCCACCCUGGCUGGCCCAUGUGGCGCCAGGUGUGGUGGGUUGCCUUCUAGUGGGUCCAUUUCACUCUUUUUCCUAUUAUUUCUUGCAUACAAAUAAAUUUCUAUGUACAUGUCGAACUAGGUAAGUAAUUAGCAAAAUAUGCACAUGAUCAUGUUGAUUUACCAUGGUUUUGGAUGAAAUGUUGAUGGUCAAAAUAGGUGUUAAGGACCAUCAACAAGUUCCCCCAAGCUACCCUUUGCUUGUCCUCAAGCAAAAUGCAGGUUUAUCAUAAAAUAGUUGGAUUAGGCAUCACUUUAAUGAAGUAACUUUGCAAAGUCUACUAAUACAAAACCAUGCUUUUUAUAGCAAAAAGAGUGGUUUUGAGUUUUACCAUAAGUCAUAGUUGUGUGGGGCUUUUUAGAUUCACUUUGAUCAUACAAAAGUUAGAUAGAGCAAUAGGGAGAAACUCUUUACCUUGCUUUAGUUAAGCUAAGACUCUAUCUGAAGGGUUUUGAAAUUUUGAAAAACAAGGCUUGAUUUAGUUCCUCAAAUGGCUCACUUGAUCGCUUAGUGGUGUUUGAUAAACCUCACUAAGGCCAGGAGUUAUAGCCUUUAUUACCUACAUCUAAUGGAAUGAUAUGUGGAGCUAUGGGUAGGCAAAGACUUAGCAAACUUGUGUUGUGUAUAUUGUUAAGCUAGACACUUAGAUCGCUAGGAGUAACAAGUCAUGCAAAGAAGAUCAAGAUACGGUGAAGGUCGUUGGUUUUAUGAAAGGUGGGAAAGGAAUGAAGGAAAAAUACUCCUUUAGACUUCCUCAUGUCUCUUGAAGGGGGAUAUGGUUGCUAUGGAUAACUCUCUCUCUCUCUAUUUUAUAAACAUAAGGACAAGAAUGUCUCCUCACAUUUCUUUUGGGCUAUAUGCCUCAUAUAAAUAUCUCUUUCUCUCUUUUUAGCUGGCCAUAUCCGCUUCUUUUAAAGACUGAUUGUUGAGGAACCUUUUAUUUGUCUCAACUAUAUGGAGUAUAAAGUGGAAAGGACAAAUGCAUAUUUCUAGCAUAGAAAUAGCAUGGGGCUAAAAAUGGGAUGUAUGGAUGCUUUUGCAAAUCUCUAGGGUAGAGAAUAGGUAAUAAUUUGGUGGUUGCAAACUUCUAGAAUGGAUAGUAGGCAAUAGUGAUAGGUGUAAGUGGGAUCUUGAUAAAAAAAGCAUGAAAAGUUUCUCUACUUAGAUCAAUAAGGUCUAACAAGACUCACACUAACAAGAGCUUUUUAUGGUGGCUUCCUAUCUAAUGGAUGUGUAUAUAUGGCUAGUGGUAGGACUGGGAAAAACACCAUAGAGAAACUUUGGUAGGAUUUGUGAUUUUCUUAAAAUAAAACUCCAAACUUUAUCUUAACUCGUCUUUAGGCAAGUUAAAAGAUUUACUCUGACUCUACUACACCUAAUCUUACUAGACAAAACUAAGAUCAAGCAUAUGCAACCCACAAAACUUAGAUUUAUAGAAAACUUUAUUCAUCAAAAACUAUAGUAGCAGGAAUUGCAUAGCAGACUUGUGCAUUGUUAUUCAGAGCAACAAUUCAUUGUUUCCAUCAUAUUAACAUGGGUUCAAUAGAAAUUGAAGUAGGAUUACAUUUCAGGUUAAGCAUAAUAAAUGACAAUACAUAAUCAAGCUAACCAUGUCCUUAAUAAGAUGUAGCAAUAAAUGUAAAGGUAGAAAAGUAAAUGAUCAAUGAUAAGGACAUACCUUAGUUGGGGGAUGACCUCCCCCAAGCUAGCUUGUUGCUGGGUGUAGAGCUUCUUCUCUAGAAUGAUAACCUUUGCUUUUAUUUAUUUGAUUUAAAAAGGGAAACCUAACUACUAUUUGAUGAUAUAGCUUAAGGCUAUUAAUAUUUUAUUUGAAAUGGAAACUAAAUGAGAUAACAUAAGGUCCUCUCAUGAUUAAAAUGAAAUUUGGGAAUCUAAACCUAUUAAAUAAAAGAAAUUUGAGAUAGCGAAAGAGCGCUACUCAUGAAACCUAACAAUCUAUGGGGUUUCGUGAGCAAGCACAGGGGCUUCUCACAAAUGGCUAUUUAAACUUGUAAACAUUCUUGUGGUUGUUUCAAGGACUUCUUUCUUUCUUUCUCUCUCUCCUUAUUUAUUUUGUUAUUAUUCAUUUUUAUUUUUUUAUUUCUUUUGUUUCAAUUUAUUUACUUGCAUGCAAGAAAAACUUAAUUUUUUGUUUUUAUUGUUUCUUUGUAUAUGGAACCAUUUAAAAUGAUCCUAAUUCUAAAUGCAAUGAAAAGAUAAACUUAAUUUAAAUGCAAUGCAUGAUUUAGAGGCAAAACUUAAAUGUGGAAUGUAAAUGUAGAAUUUAAAUGUAGAGAGAGUAAGAAUUACCUUAGAAUCACAGGAAUUCCUCAGCUAGAAGUUUGUCUUUUGGCGGCUCUUCCUUGAGUGGAUCUUCUUCUUCUUCCCUUUUCAAUGGGGCCUCCUCCUUGUCAGGACUCACACACAAGGCAGUUGAUGAGGGUUCCUUCUUCUUGUGCCAUCCUCUUUUCCUUGACCUUGGGUUCUUGGAUUUGGCCCUUUUCUUGUCAGUACCUGGUUUCUUCGUGUUUCUUGCUUCUUUUUUAUCAGGUCGCUUUUCGUGCAGGUUAGUUGCAUACAAAGGACCACGAGCAAAGGGAAAUGUUUCUCUUUCCCCAGCAAGAGUCAUUUGAAUUUUCCUAGAACCAACAAAAAUGCAAGUAUUAAUAGUUUAAGAAAGGGACAUCCUAGGAUUAAAGGGAAAUCUUUACUUGCCUCAUAUUCAACUCAGAUUGAGUGAAAAUGUACUUAAGGCUCUUAUGAUCCGUGUAGAUAUGACACUUAUUUCCAAGCAGAUAAUGCCUCCAUAUUUUUAGAGCAUGUACAAUAGCUGCAAGCUCAAGAUCAUGUCUCGGAUAAUUGACUUCAUGUUUCCUUAACUGACGUGAAGCAUAGGCUACAACUCUGCCCUCUUGCAUCAGCACACAUCCCAAACCAUUUCUUGACGCGUCGCAAAACACAUCAAAAGGGUUCUCGAUGUCCGGUUGCGCCAAAACAGGAGCAGUGGUCAGUAACUUUCGCAAGGUGCGGAAGGCUACUUCACACUCCUCUAUCCAGGUGAACUUAUGAUCUUUUUGCAGCAAACUAGUCAUUGGCUUAGCAAUCUUGGAGAAGUCGGGGAUGAAACGACGAUAAUACCCAACUACCCCAAAAAAGCUUUAAACUUCUGAGACAGAAGUUGCGGCCCUCCAGUCCAUGACCUCUUGUACUUUUGCUAAAUCUACAGCAAUCCCUUCUUCCGACAGAAUGUGCCCUAGGAAUGGAACCUUCUUAAGCCAAAACUCACACUUGCUGAACUUUGCAUAUAACUGGUGUUCCCGCAGUCAAGUCAAUACAACCCUUAGAUGCUCAGCAUGGUCUUGCUCAUUCUCCGAAUAGACCAGGAUGUCGUCGAUGAACACCACAACAAACUUGUCUAACUCUGGCAUAAAGACUGAAUUCAUCAGAUACAUAAAGUAUGCAGGAGCAUUGGUCAAUCCAAAGGACAUGACAAGAUACUCAUAAAACCCAUAUCUGGUAGAAAAAGCAGUCUUUGGUAUAUCUUGCAGUUGAAUUUUGAUUUGGUGAUACGCUGACCUCAGAUCUAUCUUGGAGAACACUUUUGCUUUAGACAACUGAUCAAACAGGAGGUCGUUUCGUGGUAAAGGAUACUUUUUCUUGAUGGUCACAACAUUGAGCUGGCGAUAGUCCAUGCACAUGGACAAGGAUUGAUCCUUCUUCUUCACAAACAGUGUCGGACAACCCAUUUAGAGGAACUUGGCCAGAUGAAACCAUUGUCCAGUAGUUCCUUCAUUUGGCGGCAUCCUAUGCGGUCUCCUAGAGAUCGGUGUUGUACCUGGUAUCAACUCUAUGGCAAACUCCACUUCUCUAUCCGGAGGAAGCCCAGGUAACUCUUCUGGAAAAACAUUAGGAAACUCACAAACCAUGAGGAUCUGGGUUAAAGGAACCACUUGCAUAGCACAAGAGAUGCUAGCAAAGUCGAACCGACAAGGCAAGCGUACGUGGAAAGAACAAUUGCCCUGAGGCUCCCUAAGAGACAACAUCCUUCUCCCGGCAUCUAAGACUGCAUCCCACUCCUUCAUCCAGUUCAUGCCUAUGAUGACAUCCAAGACUAAUCCAAGCAUGACCACCAGAUUCACUUGAAACACACAGUUACUAUAUCCAGGGUUGUCCCUUGGACCACUCUAUUUGUUAACACAUCUGCCCCUGCUGAGCUGAAGCGGUAGCCAUAACUGUUGGCGACGGUUAUUAUAUAAAAAUAAAUAUCUUUUUAUAAAUAAAAAUAAAUAGAAAUUAGGGCUUUGAUCUAAUCUUUCCACGAGUUUUGGUAUAUAUGCUAUUUUCAGGUAUGACACAUGGAAAAGUGCAAAAGAUACAAGAAAUGCGCAAUGCAAAAAUUCGUAUUUAGAAAAGACGCAAACCAACUCCAAUAGAGAAAAGCCCACAAAAGAUGAACUGGACCCAUCUAUAACCACGAGGAGGAUCAGGGCCCACAGCACAACCGACCACGCGAAGGUGGUGGCCAGGGGGGCCCACCUAGGUUGCGGGCGCAACCAGGUGCGGGUGCAACCCUAGUGGCGGUUCCCCGACCCCACCUUCUUCUGGCGGUUGCAUGGCGGCAUGCAUAGGACGGUUUCACCUACUACUAUAUUUAGAUCCUGCAAACCGUCCUAGUUGAGCUAUAAAUAGAUGGCUCCCCUCUCAUUUGUAAUACACCAUCAUUUAGAGCAACACACCUCACAUUUUACACAUGUUCUCUUUAGUUUAGAACUAGUAGUAGAGCAAGGCAAAGCUAGCAAGGAGAGCUUGUCUCCUUGGAUGACCAAGAGUGUCUUGGUAUGAAUAAAAUUAUGCCUUCCUCCAUGAGCAAGUUCUUAUAUUCUUUGUACAGUUAUGCUUUUGAUCUAGAGUAUAGUCUUGUUCAUAUCAUGAUCAUAGUUUAUGAGCUAGUUCAUAGUUCUAGCUCUAUGUUCUUGAUAUGUUCAUCACAGUUCUUCAUCGUUCAUCAAGUUAAUAUGAAUAGAGGAAGAACUAGGGAUGAGAUAAUGGUUCUCUAGGCUGUAAUGGUCACCCUUAGCCGAGCCUAUCAAUCUGAAGGGUUGGGGUCUCGGGAGUCUAGGGGGUGUUUCCAAGUACACGGGCAUGGUGCUCGGGUAUGCGGAGACCUGAGGAUAUGCGGGUAUCCCACGGGCAGAGGCAUAGGUGGCAGGGUGGUGACAGCCCUGUCAUCCUUCGUAUUCCCCCAUGUUCGGAUAUUCGGUAGGAGUCAUGUAAAGUCUCUAUUUGCUGGCAGACCAGCUAUGGAGAUCUCCCCAGUAUCUCAGACUUAGCUCUAACUUGUUCUUAUUAGCUAGAUGAACUGCUAACAGAUCUGUUGUAUAACUUGUAUACGACCAUGCCUGCUCGCGUAGUUAUUCUUUUAUUCUUUGUUUUUCCUUUAUUCCUUGAGGUUGCUCAGAUGUGUGUCCGCUAUCAAUCCAACUACAUGCUUACCCCUGUUUAUACUAUGUCUACCAUGCAUUUCAAUAAGUAAUCGUGUUUAUAACCAAAGCUAGAUGCGUUCACAAUGCCUUCCUACGAGAAAUUAUAAAUACGACACCCGUGAAUACUCACGGGUUGAAAUGCUACAAUGAUAGUUCUGUGCGCUUGUAAAGUAAUUUAUUCCUAUAACUGAGCUAUCAAUUGGCGUACCUAAGUACCUUUACUUAAGAUUGUAAUCCUUGUGCACCCACAGGGCGCCGGGCCACAGCUUUGCAUAUCGUAAGUAAGGAUGGUUAGGAAGGCCAAUCUAGCAAUUCUAAUCAUCAGUACCAGACUGCACUGCCUAGGCCCGCACCGUAAAGAGCCUUGGGUUAUCAUUUUGAAGUAAUGGUGGUUAGGAUAUGCCAAGAAUGUUUCUAGUGUUAUCAUUAGGGAUGAACUCAAACUCUAUCUUUAGUGGUUUUGCUAAGAAACGCCAACAAGCAUUUCUGGCGCCGUUGCCAGGGAAGGCAAUUGAAAAUGCAAAAGCAUCUAGCAUUGGCAUAAACAUUGAUUACAUAAUAAGCAUUGGUAGCCAUAGUUUAAUAGGUUAAUUUUGUUGUUUUCUUCCUCCUUUUUAUAUGGAACGAAAAUAGGAUAAUGUAUGAGCGGUUUCAACCUGCCGGAAAAAUUCACCGACAAUCCAGAAGGACGCCUAAGGAAGAAGAACAAGAAGAAAUUUGUUUCUUCCUCUGCUACUUCUCCGACAGAAGAAUCGGUCACUUCCGCACCAUCCACUUCAAUCGUCAUGGCCAAGUCACUCCGCGAGUACUCCAACCCCGCUGUUGCCAACAUGCCCGUUGGGUCCGCUGUCAAUAUCGGGACUAGAAACUUUGAACUCCGCACUGGCCUACUAACAAUGGUGCAGGCGAACCAAUUCUGUAGCUCGCCAAGUGAGGACACGAACGCACACCUGCAGAACUUCCUUGAGCUGUGCGAAACCAUCAUCAUUAAGGAUGUCGCACCUGAUAGCGUCAAGCUCCGUUUGUUUCCUUUCUCCCUCUCGAGGAAAGCGAAGCAAUGGUUCUAUCAAAGUAAGGAAGUAGUCAACACAUGGAACAAAUGCGCUGCAGCGUUCCUCGCCAAGUUCUUCCCCAUGAGCAAAACAAAUGCUCUUAGGGGAAAGAUAUCAAACUUCCAGCAAUCUUCACUCGAGUCCAUUCUUGAGGCUUGGGAAAGGCUCUAGGAAUAUAUCCGGGCUUGCCCUCACCACGGAAUGGAAGGAUGGCUCGUGCUGCAAAACUUCUAUGAAGGCCUCACGGCCAUGUGCAAGGGGCACGUCGAUGCCGCAGCUGGAGGUGCAUUCCUCUCCCUUACCAUCACUGAGGCCACAACCCUCAUCAUGAAGAUGGUGGCUAACUAGAGUUGGGGAGAGGGACGCAAGACACAAAAGGGCAUGCAAACCGUCCAGGAGACGGAUUUGCUUGCCGCCAAAAGAGACAUACUCAUGAAGAGGUUGGAAGGACGUGCCACCGAUCCAGCUACCAACACUGUCUAGGCCAUAGGCUCACACAUGACGUGUGUUGACGGUCCUUAAGUACCAAAUUUAAUCAUCAAAUAAAUAAAGAAAAGGAUCCAAAGGCAACCAACACCCAGACUUAGGGUUUUAACUGACAGAAUUCCACGAGUUUUGGUGUUUGUCUAUUUCUGCAGGGGGUUAUCAGGAAAUAUGGAGGAAAGGCCCACAUGUCGGGUUUACAAUGAGAUAUUAACGUGCCGCACAAUUUUCCAUCAUCUAGAAGACUCCAGAAGCCACGAGAACGAACGGGAGGCCGAGCGGGCCUCGGGCAGGGCGCCCGCCCUCCCCCCUUGGGCGCCCGCCCUCCUACAGAGACCAAUCAGGUCCCGUCUCGCGGAUUAUGCUCCAUCGACCUAAAGGAUCAAGGAGAACCGUUCAAUCAAUGUCGGUUUGAUCCAACGGCCCAGAUUCACUUGAGGGGACUAUAUAAGCAGGCCCCCUGGCCCCUGGAGGAGGCAAUCCUCAUUAUUCAUUAAUCAUAUUUUCUAGAGAGGAUUCCGAGAGAGAGGUUCCUUAGGGUUCCCACCUCAUAGGGCUUAGCAUCCAAUGUAAGAGUAGAACUAGUUCUACUAGAUUGAGAGAGAUAGAGUGGAGGUGUAGAUCGAAGGAAGCCCGGCCUGUCGGUGUCCACUCUGAGGUUGUACCUACGUGAUCAAGUCUCCUAACCCGAGGAUUGCUCCUAGGAUUCUUCAGUAUUUCGACUUCUAAAUUCUAGUAAGUUCUUUGUUCUUAUUGUUCUUUGGUUUAUGAGUUUCAUUUAAUCUCUUCUGGUUGAGUUUAGAGUAAUCAUUGCUAGUGUAAACGUGGUUUUUGGCCUAGGGUACUCAUAGAUAUCCCCUGACUAGCUGUACCAUGGUAGUAUUGAGGAACGUGACAUUUCCGAGUUACCUUUGUAGCCCACAUCCCGUUAGCAGGAUCGGUAGGGUUUAUAGGUGUCGGACGAACAUCCUCUGUGGUGUCUAGAUUCCGUGAGCCUCCCUAAUAGAACAGUAGAUCAUCCUUACCAAGGUUAGAAUGAGAGUGCGGUUGUAGUCUUCUCUAUUCAUCGCUCACAUCGAAUCACAUUGUUUGUAGCAUAAAGGGUAGUAGCAAUAGAUUUGGUUAGUCAGAUGCACGCUUUCUCCCAGUGGUAAAAAUAUAAAUACGAUACUCUAGAUAACCUCCCAGGUGAAGUGCUCACCGAUCUCCGUGCGCUUGCGGAUCAUUUCCUGAUGGUGUUAACAAAUAUGAACAAGCAUUUCUGGCGCCGUUGCCGGGGAGAAAGACGGUUUGCUGAGAUAACUUUCAGUCUUGCUAUUAUCUUGUAUUAUACUUUUAUACUUUUAUUCUUUUAUCUUUUUAUUUUUUCCAUCUUUAUGGAUAACUCAAAUUCCACACCUAUUAUUGAAUUUUUUGCACCUUCGGAGACCAUCCAUAGACCAUGGGAGUCAACAAGUCCUUUCUUCGCCCCUAAUUAUGAUCUGUGUCCGGAGUUGAUUGCAAUAGGUCAAAACCAACCCUUUUCUAUAGCUGAGGUCCUAUCUUUUAAUCAAGAAGAUAAUGAACUUUUAGCUACACCUAGGGAAUCUUUUAAUCUUUCUAUAAAUUCUGGUUUAGACCUAGCCCUACAAGACCAUGUUUUUCCUCGAUAUUUUCACAUUGGUCUUAAUCAUAUAACCUUUGGUAGAGUUUUUCUUUCUUUAUCUGUUAGUAGAGCAAGGUAUGUCUUCAUUCGUGGACAUCCUUCUUGCACUAGUCUUCAUAAAAAAAAUCCUAGAGAUAGAGAAGGAAUCAUCUCCUGGACGAGGAAAAGAAGUUUUAAUAGCCGAUUUCCAAACAUUUCAAUCCCAUGAUUCGGCUAUCCAACCCAAACUAGUGCUCCAAAAUUAUCUAAGGGAAGAAGAAAUUCUACCUUUAGAAAUUCAUUUUGUUAUGAGUUUAAACUUCCUGCUUCAUAAUUGACCUUUGAGUGCAUAGAGUCUGAACCUUCCUAAGAAGGGAUCUCUUAGAAAGCAUCUCAAAUCUAAUCCCUUUGAUGGACAUCUAGAAAGACUCAAGGAUGGCAUCUUAAGUGAUGCAAUAGAAGGAGAGCGAAGCCAUUUAGAAGACAAACUCAUCUUCUCCCCUUCUAUGCCCACUAUUGAUGACUCAUUCGAUCAUAUCUUUAAACCCAUCCUUGAGCCUAAUAAUUUCUCCUAUGCUCUUUCUCUUGAACCUCGCGAUGAUCCUAUGAAUCUCUCUAGACAUCCCAUGCAUAAGAGUCACCAAGACCAUAAGGAGCAUCGAGAAGAGCAACAUCAAUGGCUAGAGGGCAUUAAAAAUCCAUGUGCUAUCACCAUUGAGUGGAUGGACAAGGAAGAAGCCUUAAUGUAUUCUGACUUUGGCUCAAUUUCAAAUGGUGAGUUCUUGACUCCCUUUGAAGAUGAGAUUCAUCCAACUACAGAAGAGGACAUAGGCGAGACCAAUCUAGGAGAACCUCCGAACACUCAGAUUGGAGAGGAAGAUAACAUUAAUGAGCAUGGAAUUUAUUUUAUAGCCACUUCGUUUACUCUAUGCUCAUAUGCAACAUCUUCCCAAUCUAUUGGUCUCUCCAACAUCACUACAUUUGAGAUCUCCAGCCCCCUCUUCCUUUCUAUUUAUAAAAACAUUAAAAGGGCGGUUGUCGAUGCAUAUGUCUAUAAUAAAUAUUGCAGAUCUCGUUGAGUUGAUCUUGAUAUAGGUCAGCGUUGGAGGGGAAACCACUUCGCCGACAUAAAUUGAUGGUUUCUCAAGGACAAGCUUAGUAUCCUAAAAUAAGCACUGAUCAGAUCAUAACAUGAGCUUUUAAUUAUUUGCAACAUUACCUUGUGUGUUGAGCAUAUAAGGAUAAUUGUAAAAAUAUUCCUUCGGUUAUUCUUGUCACUAACCUUUUUAGGAUUGGAGCAAGAAGAUCGGAUGAAUGACAAGCACAAGGUAUGUCCAACCAAUCAUCAUACAACAUUGAAUUAAAUUCAUCCAAACUUGAAUUUUGCAAAAUUCAAGCUUGGGGGAGUACUUUACAUAAAAACAUCCUUUGCCAUGUUGCUAUGUUGGUUGUCCCUACCUUUGAGACAUGCUCAAUUUGGUAAAUACUAAUCACACUACUUCAUCUCCAUUUGAGUAGAUCUCUAUAAAUGCUCUCAUGCUACCUUUAUUUGCUUUAGUAUAUGUUUAGGUUUGGAGUAGUUUCAUUUAUCUCUUAAUUAAGCAUGGUGCUUAGUUUAUGAAUGAUGAUCUUACUUCCAAGGGAUUUUAAAUUAAGCAUGGUGCUUAGGUUAAAAUGGCCUUCUAAAUCAAAUUAGACACGGUGUCUAGGUUGAUUUUUGAGCCAAUACUAUGCUAUAGUAGAUAUGAGAUAUUUUGUUGGACUAACCCCUGUAGGAAAAUUUUCAAUAUCAACCUGGGAAGUCCUGAGAUAAACUCACAUUGGAGACAAAAGAGAGACACAUGAAGGUUAACAAUUUACACAAGGAAGACAUAGCUCAUUCAUCAUAGAGAGAUGAUUCAUGGAACAAGACAAAGAGUGCCACAAACACGAUGCACAACCGCUAAGAAAGGAAAGCUUCCACAAGGUGAUACUAUACCAUCAGUCUUCAAGUAAGGUAACAUCUUAAGGUACUUGACUAUCGCUUUUAUAAGCUUCUCCUUGGUUCUGGCGUUCACAUAAAAUAAAGAGACAAACAUGUAUGAUUUGUAACUCCAAAUUAACCAACCCAAUUAACUCAACAUGUUUAGUCCUUUAAUCUUUGUUCUUAGUACUACCUUCGUGAUCCCACACUCCUAAUCAUAUAAGCUAAAAUGUUGCACAUUCAAUCUUUGGAAGAUAUAAACAAAACAUAAAUAUAGAUAGAUUAUCUUUCCAUUAGGUCGAGCGAUCUGAUCUGACAAAUAUUUUAAAUGCUACACUCAUGAUCUUAUUAUCCAUCAACUUUGUCUUGCUCACUAUGCUUAAUGUUAGAGAAGAACAAAUACACUUUUGGUUCUGUUGGUGUUUUUCACCAACAGGGCCCAUGCACUUGAUCUCUGCCUUGUCUCUAUGAGCAGGUACACUUCGAGCAAAACCAGAAGGAGUUUUACAACUCCCAGAUUACACCAAGUGAAGGACUUGGAUCUACGAGCACAAACACACUGAGCAGGAUGCUGCCAAUGUUGCACCUCGAACUGCUAGACAAACGAAGAACAUGAGUGAUACCGUAUCAAGAGGUGUAGAUGUCAAGGCCCACACCUAAUCAAAUGAUGCACCUAAAGGAUGAACACGGUGAGAAGUCUUGUCUAGAAGACUUAAAGCAUUGGAUCCAUGCCGGAAGGUAAAAUCGGUAUUUAUCCAUAUUUGUCUUUUCUGCAUUCCUUUUCCUUUUUAUUCCAUCACUUGCAUUAGCAUAUUUACUUUUCCACAUUAGCAUUAGAAAAGAAAACAAAAAUAUUUGUUCAUUGCACUGCAUCAUAAAAUCUAAAGCCCCAUAUGAGUAGACUUGUGGUUUAAAACCCAUAUGUGUAUUCACUGUGGUGGCAUAAAAUAAAUAUGUUUUCAUCUUACAAUAAAAAUAUAAAAAUAAUAAGUGCAUGAUCCUGCUAAAUAAAAUUUAUUAGGAGGAAUCUCAAUAUGAUAAAGGCUAAGAGAUUUUAUGCUAACACUUAACCAGUUCCACAAAGCUUUAUUGUCUAUUUGAGCUCCACAGAAUUCAAGGAUCAAAGAAGCCUAGUGAUGAGACCAUACCAGGGCAAUCAACAUUCAAGCAUCCACUCAAGGUGAAAGCUAAACAUAAUUCCAAAUCAUUUAGGUUUCCACAUUCAAGGCUACUACUUGGUUUAUAUGAUUAUAGAUUCAAACACCUUGCUAUCAUGGAACAAGAAGAUUGCGAUGUUCUCACAACAUUACAAACCGAUGGCCUAGCACAACUCUUUGGAUCAAAAGAGUUAGAGUCGAGGACGACUCCUUUUCAAGAGGGGGGAUGAUAUGACCAUGCCAGCAAGCAAGAUGUCUCAAGCUACAACCACUCAAGUUUUACCUACACCGACACCAGCCCAAGUCAUCGAUGGACCGGUUACACGUAGUCGUGCAAAGAAGCUACAACAAGAGGUCCACACGCUACGUUGUGAGAUUCAUUUUAACAUUAAUGGGAAUUAUAUACUACCUAAGUGUUCUACCUUGAUUGUACUCAGGUAUAUAGAAGAAGAGAAGGAUGAAUCGGACCCUGAAGAAUGAACUAGUGCAAGUCCUAGAAGACACGUCAAAAACGGACCAGUGGAAGUCAAAAACGGACUAGUGGAAGUCAAAAACGGACCUGUGCAAAGAAAUCUUCAUAACUUUUUAAUCACAAAAGCUAUGAAGGCCCAUGAGGACUUGUUAGAAAGCUUGUCGAGUCUACUUUCCAAUGAAUCUAGUGGUGACCAGUUUUGAUACUCCAUUUUGCCUGCAGACCAGAAUUAGUACAGACUGCUCAGAAGGUCAACAAUCUGCCGUGACAGAAUGUUGGUACAACUUGCCGUGCAGAACUGUACCAAUCUACAAUGUUUCGUGGUACAUGGCAUACAUUGCUGGAAAGCUCUUCGAGUCUAGUUUCACACCCAAGAAACGGUUUGUCAUUUUUACUUCCCAAUAAAAAGUUAUGGUCAGUUUAUUGGAAACUGCUCUGGAGGCCAACAGUCACGCGAAGCCAGUUCGGGAAUCCAUUCCGAGGUGUCUUUUCACAUUGCAUUCACCCAGAAACUCUAUUUAGUUUUCAUACCUAUCUAGGAGGGUUGUUCAUAGUAUAAAUAUCCCCUACCUCUAAGCUAUUAGCAACCUUUGAUCAUUUGAUAAACUACAUGAUAUUGCAGCGGCGCUGCUGAGUGCCUUACUCAACCUUUGUUCUUCCUUGUUCUUCAUGGACUUGUGAAGUGAAUCCUCUGGGUUCCCCUACUUCGUGCUCUACGGCUUCCGUUCGGCUGCGCCGUAUUGUGUGGAUUAGUUCCGGAUUGUGGUUCUGCGGUCGUUUGGAGAUCGAGUGGAAGUCUUCGUGGUUUCGGUGCCUCUCUCCCCGUCGCUUGGUCGCAUCCAACCUUUGUCAGGUAUAAAGCUAGUUACCCACUGUUCGCAGCAAGUUAUCCUUGUUUUUUUGAUCUGCUGUCGUGAAGAUCGGGCCACCCUAGCACCGAUUCAUAUCGGUACCCUAUCAACUGGUAUCAAAGCUUUCGUUGUCACGGUAGAUCUCACAAUCAUCCACAUAUCUACCUUUAAUUUAUCUAUCAUUUGUUAUUAUUUUGUUCAUCACCUAUAGUCCACUGAAAAAGCCACAAAAAAAUCCUAAAGCCCUUUGACGGUACUGUUAUCUUGUGUUUUUGUGUUCAUCAAGUUGCUACUCACCCUCUUUACAUAUAUUGUGUUGUGUUUCAUCUGUUAUCCGCACCCCUGUUAGUAUAAAAAAAGAGUUCAAAAAAAAAAGUCAGUGAAAAAAAAAAUCAGAGAAAAGAAAAGAGAAAGAUCCGAAAGAAAAGUAAAAGAAGAGGAGAGGGGUUGUAUUGCGGUUUGAUUACUGAAAAAUUCAAUUUACAUAUUCAGAUUCUUGGGGAUUUAUAUACCAGCAACAUUAUAUCUUUUGAGCACAUCAAAUCACUUGAUUUUCAGUACCAUAGCUUCCCUUGUUUAGCCACCUAUAGCUCCACCUAAAACUGAAACCAGGACAUUCGACUCGUAAUCCUUGCGACCUCGGAAUCACUUCUGUUGAGCUGCUACACUAGCACAAUUCACUGUCCUUGACAACAGGAAAGAGCAUUGGUAAGUAAGAGGUGAGGUUGUGUGAUUCCACAAAAUUAUCCAUUCUACUAUAUCUUGCAUAAGUGCUAACAUGCCAGGAUCCAAUUCGAGCAUUCGUAGUGGUCGAUAUGGAGAAAAAGAAACACCAGUUUCGCGGGCUGAGUUAUGCCAACUACAAAACUCACUAGUGGAGGCCAUGAAGAAGAUGUUUGAUGAACGUCUUCCUGUGGUGCACGGUCGGACUAAACAACAUAGCUCAGCCAACUCUCGCCGCGGUCUCUUUGGCCAUAGUGGACAACAUGGAGGAGGUGCUCAUGGGCAUAGCAUUCGCCCCCUUGUGCUCAUUGAUGAUGAAGAUUACUGCGUGUCCCCCAAAAGAAAAAUUCAGCAAGAGUGCCACCAACCAAAAUUGAGUGAGAGAAAUCAAAAGGAAAAGAUGAGACAUUCCACCAUACGUGAGAAAGAGUGGCACCAACCAAAAUUCAUUGAGAAUAUGAGAGAUUCCACAAUAUUUGAGGAGAGCCACAAAAGUCUAUGUGAUAGUGAUCCACAAAAAUUAAGAGAAAAAAAAGAUGAAUCAUGUGAGGAAUUAUUUACUUCUAACAUCAUAAUACCUUCUAUUCUUGUUCCUUUUGCGAUGCAGGUUCAUGAAGAAAAUGAUGUUGUGAAUUAUGAUCAGCCCCCAAUCUUCGAUGAGGAAGAACAAGUGAUUGUCAAUGACAACGAUACACAUGCAUAUGUGGCUUCACAAGACAUUGAAGUAAUUGUGCAUCAAAACCUAUGUGAGAAUGAGAGCCACAUUGCCAAAAUGAGAGAGAGUGAAAACAAAAGUGAGUUGAGUGAUUCCACCCACUGUAAGGUUGAGAGUGUCAACAAUGAGAGUGUGAGAGAUACACCACAGAAAAAUAGAUAUUUAGAAUGCAGGCCAAGUGAGGAUAUCUUUGAAACUAACACUCUCAUCUCUACUUCUAGUUUUGUCUUUCCAAAUGUGCAGGUUGGUGGUGAGAAUAGAGAAGAGACGGAUGCUCAAGACAACACCAUACUUGUUGAGAGAAAUGAGAAUGUAGCCAUUCAACUAAACCCAUUGUGUGUUGCCCAAAACCUGAGCCAUGACAUGGAUAACGGUAAGAUUUCAGAGUUGCAAUCCUUGGUACUUGCAUCACCAAAAAGUCUAAAAGUUAUUGAAAAUAAAUCAGAUUUGAGUUUGCAAAAUAAAAUGGCAUGUAAUUAUGAUAAUACACAUGGUUUAAAUGGGAUUAACUAUACACGAAAUAUUUGCACUGAUUUGACUAUUUCACAUGUUCACCCGUGUGCUGGAAUUUUGCAAGUUGAUAACCAAAGUUCAAUCAUACAUGAUCUUUUCUAUGGUUUGAUAUGGUUCAUGUACAUGAUGAUUUGCAUUCACAUGUGUGAUACGAUGCAUUAUGUUUCAAUGCUCAUACAUCUUAGAGAUGGUUGCACAUUUCUCAACCCUUUCGUUAAUUCAUCAAAACCAUCUAAGAUCAACAAUGAAGUUAAAAAUUCAGAGAUUCAAACCUUGGUACAUGUAGAAUCAUUGGAUUUAAAAUACAUGAAAAAUAAAUCAAAUCUGAAUGUUCAACACAUACUGAGUACUUGUGAUAUCACUGUUUCAGCAAUAAAACAUAACCAAAACAUUUGUGCUGAUUUGGCUGGAACUCAUGUUGAUGCAAGUGUUGAGUUUCUUUUUGAUGAGAGUCUUUGUGCUUUGAAUGAUCCUUGCAACACUUCAUAUAACAACAAACACCUCAUCCAGUCGGUUACUUGUGCUGAUUUGUUUACAAGGAUAUCUCCUCUUGAAUGUUUGUGUUAUACUAUGCUUAACAUGCCUAUCAAUAUUGAACAAAUGCUUGAGAAAAUUUCUAACAUAACAUCUUUGAGUUCAUUGAAUACUACUCAUAGCUUCCAGUUUACAUUUGUCUUGAUUGGAGAAUAUGUUGUAGAUACCUUCCAGGUUCAUGCAAUUUGUGUAACAUAUAACAAGCUUGCUGAUUUAGACUCAAAAAUGUUGAGAGAUAAACAAAGUGAGAAAUCUUUUAAGAUGCAACAAAUACUUGGUGCUUAUGGUUUUGAUCAAUUCAUGUUCUCAGCAUGUUCGUACCAUCCACUUAAAGAUAGAAAUCUUGUGCAAAGCAAAGCCUAUACACUGAAAAGUUGUUCAUCCACACCUUGGAGCAUUGAGUUUAAAAAUUAUACUUCUAAACCCUUGAAUGAAUUUUGUUGCCACAAUAAUUUUUUGAAUAACAUUAGUUCUCAACAUCCAUUUUAUGAAACGUUUGAUCUUCUAAAGAUAAAACAUGACAACAUGAAUCAAAUGAUUGUAGUGGAAGAAAAUUUUGUGCUACCAUCCUCUAAACUGUUUGUAGGUUCACCAAAGUUGAGAGAAUGUUUCUUACAUGGAAAAGGAAAUAAUGCAAAAAUAAUUCAUAAUGGCACAAAUGAACAGAACAAAAGGAAUGAUUAUUGGAAUUAUCAAGUAUGUCCACCCUCUAUUUUGUCUAAGCUGUUUUCAGGUAAACAAAAGUCGUGGAUGACUUUUCUUGAAGAGAGGGAGGAUGAUGAGACCAUACCAAGGCAAUCAACAUUCAAGCAUCCACUCAAGGUGAAAGCUAAACAUAAUUCCAAAUCAUUUAGGUUUCCACGUUCAAGGCUAAUACUUGGUUUAUAUGAUUAUAGAUUCAAACACCUUGCUAUCAUGGAACAAGAAGAUUGCGAUGUUAUCACAACAUUACAAACCGAUGGCCUAGCACAACUCUUUGGAUCAGAAGAGUUAGAGUCGAGGACGACUCCUUUUCAAGAGGGGGAGGAUGAUAUGACCAAGCCAGCAAGCAAGAUGUCUCAAGCUACAACCACUCAAGUUUUACCUACACCGACACCAGCCCAAGUCAUCGAUGGACCGGUUACACGUAGUCGUGCAAAGAAGCUACAACAAGAGGUCCACGCGCUACGUUGUGAGAUUCAUUUUAACAUUAAUGGGAAUUAUCUACUACCUAAGUGUUCUACCUUGAUUGUACUCAGGUAUAUAGAAGAAGAGAAGGAUGAAUCGGACCCUGAAGAACGAACCAGUGUAAGUCCUAGAAGACACGUCAAAAACGGACCAGUGGAAGUCAAAAACGGACCAGUGCAAAGAAAUAUUCAUAACUUUUUAAUCACAAAAGCUAUGAAGGCCCAUUAGGUCUUGUUGGAAAGCUUGUCGAGUCUACUUUCGAAUGAAUCUAGUGGCGACCAGUUUUGAUACUCCAUAUUGCCUGCAGACCAGAAUUAGUACAGACUGCUCAGAAGGUCAGCAGUCUGCCAUGACAGAAUGUUGGUACAACUUGCCGUGCAAAAUUGUACCAAUCUACAAUGUUUCGUGGUACAUGGCAUAUAUUGCUGGAAAGCUCUUCGAGUCUAGUUUCACACCCAAGAAACGGUUCGUCAUUUGGUCUUCCCAAUAAAAUGUUAUGGUCAGUUUAUUAGAAACUGCUCUGGAGGCCAACAGUCACGCGAAGCCAGUUCGGGAAUCCAUUCCGAGGGGUCUUUUCACAUUGCCUUCACCCAGAAACUCUAUUUCGUUUUCAUACCUAUCUAGGAGGGUUGUUCCUAGUAUAAAUAACCCCUACCUCUAAGCUAUUAGCAACCUUUGAUCAUUUGAUAAACUACAUGAUAUUGCAGCCGCGCUGCUGAGUGCCUUACUCAACCUUUGUUCUUCCUUGUUCUUCAUGGACUUGUGAAGUGAAUCCUCUGGUUUCCCCUACUUCGUGCUCUACGGCUUCCGUUCGGCUGCGCCGUAUUGUGUGGAUUAGUUCCGGAUUGUGGUUCUGCGGUCGUUCGGAGAUCGAGUCGAAGUCUUCGCGGUUUCGGUGCCUCUCUCCCCGUCGCUUGGUCGCAUCCAACCUUUGUCAGGUAUAAAGCUAGUUACCCGCUGUUCGCAGUAUGUUAUCCUUGUUCUUUUGAUCUACUGUCGUGAAGAUCGGGCCACCCUAGCACCGAUUCAUAUCGGUACCCUAUCACCUAGUAGACGGAGGACACCCUAAUCACUGUCAGGGUGCUGCCGACAUUCAAAUACACCUCCGCCACUUGCUAGCUACAUAAGAAGAAAUUAUGUCAAAAUCCAGCUUGGGGGAGAGCACCCCCAUUUAUCCAGCUAAGUGUUUCUACUCGCGUUUAUACUUUACUCAAAUAAUAAAAAAGAAGCAUAAUUAUAAAAACCUAAAUAAAGAUUUUGUGCUUUUAUAUAUAUCUUUGCUUAGUUUGUUAAAUAAAUAAAUAAAUAAAGUUUGCUAUGAACCCUCAUGAUAAGCACUCACAUGGAAAUGAUGAAUAAUUGCUCUGCCAUGACUAGUUCUCAAAAUUGAAAUCUCUCUCAAGUUUAGGCAUGACUGUUAUGAAUUAAGAUUUGCUCUAAACCUGAACUUGUGGGAAGAGUACCUGAUCAAAAGUCUAAGUCGUUAACGGAUACGAUAUGGGACGGUUGAGCUGCUAUUUAUCUGUUCCUAGAGAUGCUAGAAUUCUGGAGAAUUUUAUCUGUGAAAAUCUUUAAAAUGUUGCAUGAUGAGUUCCUAUAUUAUGAGAGUUUAAAAUCCUACCACAGCCACAUAUACAUGCUUAUUAGACUAUGAACCAUAUAUUACUUUUUAUUGCUUAUGAGCAUUGAGUAUGGUCAAGCCAUGUAGACCCUUAGGAGCUUGUCAUGCGGUUAAAAUCAAGAUCCACUUGCACGUUCACUCAUACAUGCUACUUCUACUCCGGAAGUACGCAUCCACAUACAUCCACUCAAUUCCAUCUCUAGAUUCACCUAAAAUUAUUCUACUCCUAUCUGGGAGAGAAUAGCCAAAAACUUUUUCCUAUCCCUGUUAUUCCCUAUGAAAUAAAUGCUCGAGAUAUCUUGGUUACUACCACUUGCUACAUUAUUCUAGGUGGGUGAGUGCUCUAAAAGAAAAAAAAGAAAAAAAUGAGGAAAUAAAAAGGGGCAAGUGCCCGGAACCUCGAAGAAAAUAAAAAGUGAGACGAGAGGUAAAAAUGGACAAGUGUCCGACAGUAGAAUUAGGGGUACAAGAUACCCACCUGAGAGAAAAGAAAAAAAAUAAUAGAGCAUCUCAUUCUCCUCAAAAAAUACUUCAAAGUGAAGAAAGGUAUGUAUCCCCUAAAAAGAGCAAAACUAGAAUUAGACUUUCACCAUUGUUAUCACCAUACACCAUUCAUUCGCCACACAUGCACAUCUUGAUUUGACUUAUUGACUUGUUUCUCUGGAUCCAUGGUUUGACUAUGCAAUAAAUGUCUUGUAAGAAUGUAUGCUUUAUCUCCCACCUAUGAGCUCUAGAUAUCAAAACCUUGUUAGAGUAGGGUGAGAGAGAAGGCAAUAUCACUAUGCCUUAUACCAAAAAUACCACAUACUUUGAGAGAAGGCAUAUACCAUUACUGCCUUGGAAAGGAUCCAGAAAUACCACAAAAGUGAGAUUUGAGAGAGUCAUACAAGGAAUCUCUGAGUUUUAUUUGAAAAUCUGCAAAAACUCCAGAGCUAUAGCUAAUCAAAGAACAAGAGACAUGGCGCUUGACUUGACCGUUCUAUCUUUUAACUGCUCAAGACAAAAGUGACGGUUGCAAACCCCAUGGUGAAAGGUAAAAUGAGUAAAUUUUAAGUCUUAACAGUUUACUCUAACUCAGAGAUGAGAUCUUGCUUGAACACAUGUGUACUUUUAAGGCAUGAAACCACUGCAAAAACUCUUGAGUCCAUCCUUGCUCAGGGACGAGCAAGAGGUAAGCUUGGGGGAGUUUGUUGACAGUCCUUAAGUACCAAAAUUAAUCAUCAAAUAAAUAAAGAAAAGGAUCCAAAUGCAACCAACACCCAAACUUAGCGUUUUAACUGACAUAAUUCCAUGAGUUUUGGUGUUUGUCUAUUUCUGAAAGGGGGUUAUCAGGAAAUAUGGAGGAAAGGCCCACAUGUCAGGUUUACAUAGAGAUAUUAACGUGCCGCACAAUUUUCCAUCAUCUAGAAGACUCCAGAAGCCACGGGAACGAACGGGAGGCCGAGCGGGCCCGGGGGCAGGGCGCCCGCCCUCCCCCUUAGGCGCCCACCCUGCUACAGAGACCAAUCAGGUCCCGUCUCGUGGAUUAUGCUCCACCGACCUAAAGAUCAAGGAGAACCGUUCCAUCAAUGUCGGUUUGAUCCGACGGCCCAGAUUCACUUGAGGGGACUAUAUAAGCAGGCCCCCUGGUCCCUGGAGGAGGCAAUCCUCAUUAUUCAUUAAGCAUAUUUUCUAGAGAGGAUUCAGAGAGAGAGGUUCCUUAGGGUUCCCACCUCAUAGGGCUUAGCAUCCAAUGUAAGAGUAUAACUAGUUCUACUAGAUUGAGAGAGAUAGAGUGGACGUGUAGUACGGAGGAAGCCCGGCCUGUCGGUGUCUACUCCGAGGUUGUACCUACAGGAUCAAGUCUCCUAACCCGAGGCUUGCUCCUAGGAUUCUUCAGUAUUUCGACUUCUAAAUUCUAGUAAGUUCUUUGUUCUUAUUGUUCUUUGGUUUAUGAGUUUACUUUAAUCUCUUCCGGUUGAGUUUAGAGUAAUCAUUGCUAGCGUAAACGUGGUGUUUGGGCUAGGGUACUCAUAGAUAUCCCCUAACUAGCUGGACCAUGGUAGUAGCGAGGAACGUGACAUUUCUGAGUUACCUUUGUAGCCCACAUCCCGUUAGCAGGAUCGAUAGGGUUUAUAGGUGCGGGUCGAACAUCCUCUGUGGUGUCUAGAUUCCAUGAGCCUCCCCAAUAGAACAGUAGAUCAUCCUUACCAAGGUUAGAACGAGAGUGCGGUUGUAGUCUUCUCUAUUCAUCGCUCACAUCGAAUCACAUUGUUUGUUGCCUAAAGGGUAGUAGCAAUAGAUUUGGUUAGUUAGAUGCAGCUUUCUCCUAGUGGUAAAAAUAUAAAUACGAUACUCUGGAUAACCUCCCGGGUGAAGUGCUCACUGAUAUCCAUGCGCUUGCGGAUCAUUUCCCGAUGGCGUUAACAAAUAUCAACAACGUGUGAGGACUGUGGAAAUGUUGGCCACAUGGGGAACAAUUGUCCUGAAACCCAGGAAGAUGCUGCAUUCAUCAACAACGGGUUUCGCCAACAACAACAGCAAGGUAAUGGGUGGAACAACCAAAAUCGCCCCCAAGGUAAUUCCUCAUUUAACUCAGGCUUUAGUUCUUCCCAGCCUUUGCUUAAAGAUCUUGUUCUUGGUCAGGCCAAGAUAAAUGAAAACCUUGUUAAAAAGCUUUCCUUUAAUGACAAAAUGUUUGAAAACCUAAACACCAAGCUUGAUAGCCUGACCACCUCGUUUAAAGAACAAGCGUCUUUCAAUAAAAGAGUAAUGUCUCAGAUAGAUCAGCUUGCUUCUGCUGCUAAGUCUGCUGCCGGUGUUGAAAAUGUUAGUUCGGUGACCACGAGAGGGGGUAAGACCACUCGUGAUCCACCAAACCCUAACCAUGGUACAGCUAAGACUCCGCGUCAACAAGAACAAACAUCUACUGAGCCGGUUGAUCCUCAAGACGAAUCAUCUGAUCAGGAACCGACUCUAGAAGUUUAUGGGGACACCACGAUGCUUCCUUUCCCCACCAGGUGGAGGAAGAAGAAGAAGGACGGAGAAGAGCAAUUUCUCUGCUUCGUGGAAAUGGUCGAGAAGACAAACGUCAGCGUCCCGCUGAUGGAUGUCUUGCACAUACCAUCCUAUGCUAUGUUUAUCGAGGAUAUCAUCAACAACAAGCGACCAUUACCCUCUGUAGAAGUCGUCAAGCUGACAGAAGAGUGUAGUGCAGCUAUACUCAACCAUCUACCUGAGAAGAAGCAAGAUCCUGGGUGCCCCACAAUUACAUGCUCAAUAGGCACCCAACAUUUUGAUCAUGCCUUAUGUGAUCUUGGGGCGAGUGUGAGCGUCAUGCCGAAAUCAGUCUUUGAUAGGCUAAACUUCACCAACUUGGAACCAACCAACAUGACACUCCAGUUAGCGGACUCGUCAAUUCGGUACCUAGCAGGGAUUGCCCAAGACAUCCCUGUCAGGAUCAGAGGAUAUUAUGUCCCCAUGGAUUUUGUGGUGUUAAAUAUGGAACUCACCAAGGAGACACCACUAAUCCUGGGAAGGCCAUUGUUGAGCACGACAAAAGCACAAAUUGAUGUGGGAGCCGGAGAAAUCCGCUUCAACAUUAAUGGCCAAGAAGAGAAGUUCGAAUUCAGGCCACACCGUCCAACCAUCUCCUCCCAAGACGGAUGAGCCAUCAUCAAGCAAAUAGUGAUGGGAGAAAAGUCCGGCUCCACGAACUAUAAAGAUGAGCCCUUGCCGAAGGUAAAUCGGUAUUUAUCCCUUUUGUUUUCUAAUAAAUGUUUUUAAUAAAUCUUAUCCAUCACAUGUCUCUCAAAAAUAUAUAUAUAUAUACACACUUAAUAAUAAUAAAGAUGGAGGCACGCUGAUGGAAGUAAGGUAAAGAAAAGGUAAAAGUUUAUCUUUGUUUUCUUUUGAAUAAAUAAAAUAAAAUGCCUUGCUGCAGUUAUGAUAUGACCAUAGUGCCCCCAUGUUUCAUGCUAUUUGAAUUCAAAAUCCUUCAUGAUCAUGGAAAAUAUUUUAUCAUAAAUGCAAGAUAGUGUGAAUUUUGAAUUCUUUCCUCUUUUCACACACACUAUCACUCUGAUACGCUGCGAAUCAAAAUUGAUCGUAAGUGGGAUUGAAAUCCACUCUGUCCAGAAAGAACAUGCCAAAAAGAAAGGGGCUGACUGGUGGGACCCAGGGUGCGGGCGCAACCCUGGUCCGACCAAUUAGGCCCAAAAUUUUUUGAAAAAGUUUCCUUUUUGUUCAAAUAUCAAUUCCCCGCCUACGAUCAAGUUUGUUUCUGUUUUUAUGACCUCGGUAGAACCUAUUUAAACAGCCCAUGGCUCUCUCUUUUCUUCACACCUGUUGACGGUCCUUAAGUAUCAAAUUUAAUUAUCAAAUAAACAAAGAAAAGGAUCCAAAUAAAAUCAACAUCUAGACUUAGGGUUUUAUCUGAUAGAAUUCCACGAGUUUUGGUGUUUGUCUAUUUCUGUAGGGGGUUAUCAGGAAUUACAGAAGAAAGGCCCACACGUCGGGAUUACAUAGAGAUAUUAACGUGCCGCGCAAUUAUCUUACAUCUAGAAGACUCCAGAAGCCACGGGAAGGAAGCGGAGGCCGAGAGGGGCCAGAGGCAGGGCACCCGCCCUGUUUCCCUGGGCGCCCGCCCUCUGUUGGAGUCCAAACAGGACUCUGUUUCUCGGGAGAUCUCCACCGACCUAAAGGAUCAAGGAUAACCGUUCAAUCUAUGUCGGUUUGAUCCAACAGCCCAGGUUCACUUGAGGGGACUAUAUAACCAGACCCCCUGGCCCCUGGAGGAGGCACCCCUUGAUCAUUAUUCAUUAUUCAUAGACAGAGCAAAAGCUAGGGUUUAGAGAUGAGAGCUCUCCUCUCUUUUCUAAACUAGAGUAGAUCUAGAUAGUAGCAAGAUGGAGAGCGAAGGAGGAUUAGAGGAGAGGCCGGCCUGUCGGUUCUUCCUCCGGUUGUACUUCGUCAUGAUCAAGCUCUAAUCAAGCUUGCUCAUGGGAUGACUCUGGUAAUCUACUUCUAAUUCAUUAUGCAAUUACUAAUCAUGUAUGUUCUGGUUCACAACUCUUUUGAGUACUUCUAAUCUAUAGGACGCUAUAGGUUAGAGUUAUAGUAUAGGUGUAAGCGUGGUGCUUAGACCUAGAUUACUUGUGGAUAUCCCCUGUCUAGCUGGAUCGUGUGGUAGGCCGCGUAGGUGACAGUUACGUUGGUCCUCUGUAGUCCACCUCUCAUUAGUAGGACGGGUAGGGUUUAUCGGCCUAUGGAUAAGCAUCCUUUGUGGUGUAAUCUUAUCACGUGGUUCGUCCCAGACAUAGACAUACCCCUUUGAAGUAGAGAAACCAUAGUUAUCCUCUCUAUUCUGCUACCAUCGCCCAUAUACUAGAUUGCUCUACUCUCUAUUCCCAUAUUAUCACUCACUGUUAUCUUACCUUUAAUAUUGUUCUUAUUCGAUUCUACCAUCUUUCCUAUUUACACCUAUUUACUUAUCUUGGUUAAGUUAGAGCGUAGAUCAGUUCUCCUAUUUCCAUGUGGAUACGAUAAAACCUUUAACCGGGUAAAAGCUUCAACGGUAUCCGUGCGCUUGCGGAUUAUCUGUGUGCGUAUAAAUACCAUAGUACACUCUAGUGCCAUGUUGGGGAUGACAACCUAGUAUUCAAGUGGUGUUAGCAAGUGUCAACAAGCAUUUUUGGCACGAUUGUCGGGGAAACGGUUGCUGAGUUGACUACGAACUAGCUUAAUCAUUUUCUAAAAAAAAUAAUAUAUAUAUAUAUAUUUUCCUUUUAUCCUUUGCCUCAUCUCUGCUAAUCUUUCUUCUUAUCUAAUCCUUGAUCUCUGGUCUAUCAUGAAUUCAAACAUGUCUAUCUAUGAAUUUCAUAGACCUACGGGCACACAUCUCGAACCACCAAAAUCUUCAAAGCCUAUCAUAGCAUCUAGUUUUGAGAUAUACCCCGAAUACAUAGAAUUUGUUCAAAAACAACCUUUCUCAGGAGAAGGUGAGGAAAACCCAUACGCACACCUAAGAGAGUUUUAUCGAGUCUGUGACCUCCUUCGCAUAGAAGGCAUGUCCGAUGAGACCCUUAAAUGGAAGCUCUUUCCGUUCUCUUUAACGGGAAAAGCUAGACAUUGGUCCAAACUCAAAAUAGGGAGUGUUCAUGGAGAUUGGAAGGAGUUAUAUAGUAGUUUUCUUUCUAAAUAUUUUCCAAUCUCCAAAGUGGCAGAACUUCGGCGUGAGAUUAUUUCUUUUAGACAACUGGAAGAAGAAUCUCUUAGAAAAUCAUGGGACCGCUUUAUUAACCUUACUCUCACUGGCCCAAAGCUUUCUAUUCCAGAAGAAGUUCUUCUAAUUCACUUUUUUGAGGGUCUUAGUGGGGAAAAUAAGCAAACCUUGAAUACAGCCUCUAGAGGAUCCUUCUAUCACCUACCUGCUAGUGAAGCUUGGAAUUUGUUUGUGUUGACACCAUUUUUGGGCACGUGUCUAGGAUGGCAGGAUAGGGUGGCAGUACGAUGCGGGUUGCUGAUGAGGAUGGUUGCCGAUGAGGGAGAGGUUGAAUGUGACUAAGUCCACAGGCAGUAAUAUGGUGCCGAUAGCUGGAUAAAAAGGUCUGCCGAUGACUACGGCAAGGGGAUUGCCGAUGAUGCGAGGGAGGAGUCUGGAAGCUGCCAGUUGUCAUGUGGAGGAGUUUCGGUUUGUCACGAAGGAUAGUUUUAUUAUUUCCUUAAUUAUUUGCAUCGUUUUGUAUACGGAUUCCGUGUAAUUUGGAAUUCGAAUUCUAAUCGUGUCUGGUUGUAGCUCUUUGAGCAGGGUAUAAAUAUAAACCCUAGGACCUUGUAAUAAUAAAUAAAGAAAUCAAUCAAACACACGUUUUUACUCAUAUUCCAGCAUCUACUUUUCGACGACUUCGUCAUACCUUUUUCUUUUUAUUACGAGUUCUUAGGAAUUCGUCGACUUAAGCUCGGCGUGUUCUCGAGUUCCGCGUGAGUACCUCUUAGCCGUGACAUCCGGGCGCAUCGCUGUUGUCAGGACUAAAGUAUUCGAGUUAUCACCUUUGCCGAUAGCAAGGUCAAAUCGGCUGGCACGCCUUAACGUUUGAAUCGGGUAUUAGCCCUUUGUGUUUGCAGAUCAGUUUUGCAUCAACACAUCUUUUGGCAUGCUCGGUGGGACAGAUUCAGGAUCAAGAUCAACAUGUCGAUCUCUGACCUCGAUCAAGAGAACGUCAUCCCCGUGACGGAGGCCAACCUCAAGGAUGAGCAAAAGCAAGCUAUUGCCCAAGCCAUGGAAGAAUUCAAGCAGCAAUGCCUGAGGUCUUUCAGCAUAAACAGGAGCGGCGAAGUGGUCCAGAAAGAUACACUGCCGGCACCACGGCAGGUCACCUUUGACGCCAAUCCUGGCAAGCUUCAAGAUAUGGUUGACAAUGCCAUCAAUCGAGCGUUGAUUAACCAAGCUGGUGUACUGUCCAAUACGGUUUUCAACGUCGUGGCAAGAACUUUCAAGGAAGGACAAAUCCCGCCAGAUUAUGUGGGGCCCUCCCAUCAUCAGCCAACGGCACCAGAGGUCACGGCUCCAUCGGCUGCCUUGACGAAUGCAAGUGCACAGUCUGCCGUCCCUCCAAGUACAUUGGGGACUACUGGUGCACUAUCUAUGCCGAUGGCAACCAACCCACAAAUUUCAGUUGGGCAGCAUAAACUGACAACAGAUAUGUUGGCAUCGGCAAUGUCAGGGUUGACUCUUCCUCCCAACUGGUGGGGUUAUGUUAUGCCUCCAGAGUUACGCCGGGAACAUCACAAAUAACUGACAUGAGGGGCAAAACUCCUGUGACAUCGGCAGCUCCCAAUGCGCCGGUGAACCAGAGUCCUCGGUAUACCACAACUACCACUGCAAGGCCUCACACUGGGAAUCCUCAAGAUUCAAUGUUUCAAAUGCCCAACGCAUCGGCAGAGUCAAUGCUGAUGCAACAGAGGCCUAUGGCCCAGUCGGGGUAUGUCAAUUCAACGACGGUACCCAAUUACCAAUCAUCGGCAGCACCUAUGCCGAUGAACGCUAAUAAUGGAUGGCUUGGACAGCAAGCCUUUCCACAAUCACCCCAGCAGGGUUAUCAGACUACAGGGUUCCAGCAAGGGCAGGUCUAUCCCGGGUUCCAAGGUCAGGGGAUUCCCAACCAGCCAAUAAAUUUUGGACAGCAACUCGGAGGACAGCCAAUCGGUGGACAGCAGUUUGGUAGUCCGCAGAUUGGAGGACAGGUGACCAAUACAAUGUUCCAUGCAGGUCACGUCCCAAACAGACACGUGGAGGUUCGCCACCAAGUGCCAGAUCCGCAGCCGCCUCAUCGGCAAGAUGCCGAUGCGUAUUGGGCCGAUAAGAUUGCUGAAGUAAUGAGGGAACAAUUUGGGAUAAAACCCAAAGUCAACACUUAUUCUUAUCGGACACCGUAUCCUCCAGCGUAUGAUUUGAUCCCGCUUCCACAUCGGUAUAAGGUACCGGAUUUUACAAAGUUUUCCGGACAGGACGACACGUCAACCAUGGAGCAUGUCAACAGGUUCAUUAUUCAAUGUGGAGAGGCUGGUAACAGGGACGAAUUGAGGGUUCGUCUAUUUUCAUCAUCAUUGUCUGGAUCGGCCUUUACUUGGUUCAUAUCAUUGCCUCCCAACUCAGUAAUUACUUGGGCCGAUCUAGAGAAGCAAUUCCACAGAUACUUCUUCUCGGGGGUUCAUGAGAAGAAGAUCACCGACUUGGUCAAGUUGAGGCAACGUAAUGAUGAGUCGGUUGAGGGAUUUGUGCAGACGAUACGAGAGGUCAAGAAUAAAUGCUAUAGCCUGGUUCUGGAUGAUCGGCAGCUAGCCGAUUUGGCUUUCCAGGGUUUGUUGCCACAUAUCAGGGAUAAGUAUGCCUCUCAGGAGUUCGAAAGUUUAAGUCAUUUGGUGCAGAGGAUAUCUGAUCAAGACAUCAAGCCUUUCGAGCCUAAGAGGGCAUGGAAUAAGAAAGUGUCAUUUGUUGAUGAAGCAAGAAGCUCAGAUUCCGAUGAGGAACCAGUAAUCGGUUUGGCAGAGUGGGUAAAAAACAAGAAGCCGAUGUCUUGUCCUUCUGGGCAGAAGGAACCAGAGAAGUUUGCCUUUGACACCGCCAAGGCCGAUAGGAUAUUUGACUUUCUACUUCAGGAAGGUCAAAUCAAACUGUCACCUAACCACGUGAUCCCGUCGGCAGAAGAGUUGAAGAGGAUGAGAUAUUGCAAGUGGCAUAAUGCAACUUCACAUGACACCAAUGAGUGCAAAGUAUUCAGACAGCAGCUGCAAUCGGCUAUAGAGUCAGGGAGAAUCAAGUUUGACAGUUCUAAAGCCCAGAAGCCGAUGAAGAUAGACCAACAUCCUUUCCCGACAAACAUGUUGGAUGCUAAGGGGAAGGCUAAGGUCUUAACGUCGGAGACAGCUGAGAAGAGUGCAUCGGUAGAUCCUCAGCAUCAAGUUACUACUGCCGAUGCAAGAAGUAAGGGCUUGGUCCAGGAAGGAACUGGCUCAGGAAGGCUUCCUCGAUCUGGCAUCGUCAUAACUCAUAGGAGGCCUCGAGAAAAAUGGCAACAACGGGAAGAUCGGUAUCGACGCCAGCAGGAAGAUUAUCAACGGGAAGAAGAAAGACGCCGACAGGAGUGGAAUCGGCACAGGGAUCAUUGGAAUUGCCCAUUCUUCAUCCAUUGUUGGGAGGAAAAUAUCAAGCUUCCUACUGUCAGAGACUGCCCUGAAUGCAACGGUUAUGAUCGGUACGAUAGGAACGAUCGGCGUUAUCAUAAUGAUGAACGGCGAGCUAAUGGGCCGAUCAGAGGAAGGGUGUCAGUUCAUGACCGGCUGGGGGGCAGAUUCAGUGGGCACAACAGACUUAGUGACCGUGUCCAAUAUUUUCCCAGGAACCAAGAGGAGCUCGAAGGAAUGGCUGAUGCGCGGGUUCCCGAUGAAUUCAUAUUUUGCAGGGAUGCUAACACGCAUCGCAUGGAGUCAAGGGAGAACCGACGCCCGACGGCAAGGCAAAGGCCACUUCCUCCAUGGUGCCCUCUAGGAUUAACCAAGACACAGAAAAGGAGAUUGCAACGAGAAAGGCAAGAGGAGCUAAACAAGGGAGAGAACUCUGGAAGUCGGCACCCGUCAGACACUAAGAGGGAAGGUCCAUCGGCAGGCGUCAACAUGGUCUUCAUGUUGCCGAUGGAGUUUCUUGCACCAGCCAGUGACGAUGAGUUGGAAUUUUCUGAUCAGAUAGCUCAGUUGGCUCUGGAUCCGAUGACGGCUAUCUUUGAGAAACCUGCCGAUGACGAGAGGCAGCAUCUUAAAGCUUUGUUCCUCAAAGGAAGGGUUGAUGGGCAGCCAAUGAUCAAGAUCCUAGUUGAUGGUGGAGCUGCUAUUAAUAUUAUGCCGUAUGCAGUAUAUCGGAAGCUUGGGAAAGGGGAUCAAGAUUUGACCAAGACCGAUAUGAUGCUCAAAGACUUUGAAGGAAACGUGUCUCCAGUCAAGGGGGCGAUAUGUGCAGAGUUGACCAUCGGCAGCAAAACCUUGCCGACAACUUUUUUCGUGAUCAGCGGAAAAGGUGCCUACAAUUUAUUAUUGGGGAGAGAUUGGAUUCAUGCCAAUUGUUGUGUCCCAUCUACAAUGCAUCAGUGCUUGGUUCAAUGGGUAGGUGACAAGAUUGAGAUCGUCCCAGGAGAUUCUUCUUAUGUUAUCGCAUCGGCAGAAGCGGAUACUUACGAAAGGACCAGGUACAUUUCAGGAGAAGCUUGGGAGAAAGAUUUUCUCAAAGUUGCCGAUUAUGAGAUUCCACCGAUCCAAGCAGUCGGUUCUGACGACGGUUUUUAAUGGAUAGAUUCGCCGAUGAUGGAGAAUUAGGCCAGGGAUUCACAUCGGCCGAUGAUUUGGUAGAAAUAGAUAUAGGUAGUGGUGAUAAGCCUAGACCUACUUUUAUUAGAGCUAAAUUAGAUCCUAAGUGUAAGCGACAAUUGAUUAGUUUGUUAAAGGAAUAUAAAGAUUGCUUUGCUUGGGAUUAUACAGAGAUGCCUGGUUUAGACCGAUCAAUUGUCGAACAUCGGUUACCCAUCAAGUCUGGAUUUCGGCCACAUCAGCAACCAGCCCGCCGAUGUAAUCCUAACAUUCUACCUGAUAUUAAGGCCGAAAUCACUAAACUUAUUGAAGCUAAGUUUAUUCGGCAGUGUCGGUAUGCCGAAUGGAUUUCCAAUGUUGUUCCGGUUUACAAGAAGAACGGGAAGCUUCGGGUGUGCAUUGAUUUCAGGAAUCUCAAUAAAGCUACGCCGAUGGAUGGAUACCCAAUGCCUGUCGCCGAUCUACUGGUUGAUGCUGCGGCUGGCCAUCGGGUCAUCAGCUUCAUGGAUGGUAAUGCGGGUUACAAUCAAAUAUUCAUGGCAGAGGAGGAUAUUCCAAAAACCGCAUUCAGGUGUCCUGGUCAUGUUGGACUAUUUGAAUGGAUAGUCAUGACUUUUGGGUUAAAGAAUGCUGGUGCUACUUAUCAAAGGGCUAUGAAUUUUAUAUUUCAUGAGUUCAUCGGCAAGCUCGUAGAAAUUUAUAUUGAUGAUGUGGUGGUUAAGUCUGGAGAUUUCUCAAAGCAUCUUGCCGAUUUACGAAAAGUGUUGGAGUGCACAAGGAAGCAUGGAUUGAAAAUGAAUCCCAACAAGUGUGCAUUUGGCAUAUCGGCAAGGCAGUUUCUUGGUUUCAUGGUACAUCAGAGGGGUAUUGAAAUGAGUCGAAGAUCUAUUGAUGCCAUCAAUAAAAUAGUGGCCCCUACCAAUAAAACCGAGCUCCAAUCCUUGAUCGGCAAGGUGAAUUUUAUCAGAAGAUUUAUAUCGAAUUUAUCUGGGAGGAUUCGUGCUUUCAGUCCUCUUCUUAAAUUGAAAGCCGAUCAAGAGUUUGUUUGGGGAGAAGAACAGCAGUUGGCUCUGGAUGAAAUCAAAAAGUAUCUAGCAAAUCCUCCAGUUUUAGUUCCACCUCAACAAGGGAAGCCCUUCAAAUUGUAUUUAUCUACCGAUGGAUCGGUUAUCGGUUCAGCUUUAGUUCAAGAAUUUGAAGGGAAAGAGAGAGUAAUUUAUUAUUUGAGUAGGAGGUUGAUUGAUGCUGAAACCAGGUAUUCGGCCAUUGAGAAACUGUGCUUAUGCUUAUAUUUUUCAUGUAUCAAGCUGAGACAUUACCUGUUGUCGGCUGAAUGUGCUGUUGUUUGCAAAGAUGACGUGGUCCGAUACAUGCUAUCUAUGCCGAUUAUGAGUGGUAGGAUCGGUAAAUGGAUUUUAGCGCUGUCGGAGUUCGAUUUGCGUUACGAAUCGGCUAAGGCAGUCAAAGGGCAGAUUAUGGCCGAUUUUGUGACUCAGCAUUGCGGUCUAGUGGAAACCUUGGAAAUUGCACCCUGGACGCUCUUCUUUGAUGGAUCUACCUGUGACCGGGGGACAGGAAUCGGCAUUGUAUUAGUUUCUCCUAAGGGGAGGAAGUAUGAGUUUUCCUUGCCGAUUGUUGCUACAUCAACAAAUAAUCAGGCUGAGUAUCAAGCUCUGAUCAAGGGAUUGGAGUUGUUAAGAGAAGUUCGUGCUGAUGCUGUUGAAAUAUUCGGGGAUUCUAUGUUGGUUAUAAAUCAAUUGGCCGGAAGCUAUGAAUGCCGAGUGAAGUUCUCAUAACCUAUUUCGAGAGAAGUAUGCAACUGUUAAAGGAAUUCAAGGACUUCCGAUUGGAGCAUGUUCCCCGAUUGCAUAAUGAAGACGCUAAUCGGUUAGCCCAGCAUGCCUCGGGAUAUCAGCCAAUGAUUAAUGCGACAUCGGCAGUCAGUGCCGGUGAUUGGAGGAAAGAAAUUAUUGAUUAUCUAAAAGAUCCAUCCAAAAAAGUUGAAAGACGGGUUCGAUUUCAAGCGACCAAGUAUGUGCUCCUUGAAAAUGAAUUGUAUUAUCGAACUGUCGACGGAAUUCUUCUCCGAUGCUUGGGUGAUGAUGAAGCCAGAAGUUUGAUGGGGGAAAUCCAUGAAGGAGUGUGUGGAGCGCAUCGGUCAGCUUUUAAGAUGAAGUGGAUGAUUCGAAGGAAUGGAUAUUUUUGGCCAACCAUACUUGAAGAUUGUUUUAAAUAUUUCAAGGGAUGUCAAGGUUGUCAAAAGUUCGGUAAUAUCCAGAGAGCACCCGCAUCGGCUAUGAAUCCUAUAAUAAAACCUUGGCCGUUCCGGGGAUGGGCCAUCGAUCUGAUCGGCCAGAUUUAUCCACCAUCUAGCAAAGGGCAUAAGUUCAUUCUAGUUGCCACUGACUAUUUCACUAAGUGGGUCGAAGCUAUUCCUUUGAAGAAAGUCACAUCGGCCAAUAUGAUUGAUUUUGUGAAGGAGCAUAUUAUUUACCGAUUUGGGAUUCCCCAAACGAUUACUACCGAUCAGGGCACCAUGUUCACGUCAGGGGAGUUCGAUGAAUUCGCAAUCGGUAUGAGAAUUAAAGUGUUGAAUUCUUCUCCUUACUAUGCUCAAGCCAAUGGGCAGGCCGAAGCGUCUAACAAAGGAAUUAUCAAGCUUAUUAAACGAAAGAUUGAAGAAAAUCCUAGGCGGUGGCAUACAUUGUUAAAUGAAGCACUAUGGUCUUAUCGGAUGGCUUGUCAUGGAUCAACCAAGGUGUCACCCUAUCAAUUGGUGUAUGGACAUGAUGCAGUGUUGCCUUGGGAGAUUAAGGCUGGAUCUAGGCGAUUAUCUUUUCAAGAUCAAUUGGCUGCUGAUGAUUAUGCCACUUUGAUGACCGAUGAGUUAGAUGAUUUAGCAGGGCAUCGGUUAAAGGCUUUAAUGAGUAUAGAAGAAAAUAAGAAGAGAGUUGCUAGAUGGUAUGAUAAGAAAGUAAAGGCUAAGAAGUUUGCCGAUGGGGAUUUGGUAUGGAAGUUGAUUUUGCCAGUCGGGACUAAAAGUUCGAAGUUUGGGAAGUGGUCUCCUAAUUGGGAAGGUCCUUAUCGGAUAAGACACUCGGCUCCUGGUAAUGCCUAUAUUCUAGAAACUCUCGAAGGAGUUGAAUUUCCCAGAGCAUUAAAUGGCAAAUAUUUAAAGAAGUACUACCCCAGCAUAUGGGUCGAUGCAUAAAAGUUUAAGUGCCGAUAACACUCCUAUCGGCUGGAUUUAAAUGUUUGGGGGCAGACUUAAUGUUUCAAAAGAUGCCGAUAACAGUCUUAUCGGCUAGACUAAAAGCUAAAAGCGGGAAAACAAAGGUGUGUUGCCGAUGAAAGCUUCAGAUGUUCAGCAGCGCUUGGAUUGCCGAUAUGGCGCGCAGCCGGAUCUGAUUGGCUGUCUCUAUCUCUUUGAUAUCAUCAUCGGCAGAACCUUCUAUCGGCUUCAGCUUCCUCUUCAGCUGCAGCGCUUUGCGGCCGUGGACGUUUCGUUCUUGUUCAAGGUGCUUGAUGGUCUCCGGCAGUUGACUCUCUUCUUGCUGGGCUUGGGACAGAGCAUCCUCUACUUGCUUGAGUUCGGCCAGUAGAGCUUCUCUUUUUGCCGAUAGAUCAGAUACUUUCUGCUUCAGUGCAUCACCUGAGGACUUUAAGGUGCCGAUGUUCUUAUGUUUCUCGUCGGCUAAGAGUUUUUCUUUCAUCAUCUCCUCAGAAAGCUGGAUUUGAGCGGCUCUAUCGGCAAGGCGUCGAGUGGCUCUCUGGUACUGUAGCUGGCGGCUUUCCAGGUAUGCAGCAUGGAAGAGGGUUUCUUCAGCAUCGGCAGGAAUUUGGCCUCUAAGGGUUUUGAACAGGGCCUUGGCUGGGUCAGAAUCGUUGACCAGUUGAGCAGUGUCUUGAUGAAGUAUGGCCGAUAGCUCCUCCAGCUUAGCCCUGGUUUCUACCGAUACAGUCCCAAUUGCCCGAGAGGAGCUUGCUUCCUCACCUUCUUCUUCGAAGAUAUCAAUGGCGAAGGAGAAUAAGCUAUCGGGAGAAUCUUGUUCCUGAAAAUGAGAAUGAAAUAAGUCAUUUUUAUGGUCAAAGCUUCGGCAGACGAUGCUGGUGGAAAAAUUGGAUGACUUACUUGUUUCAGGGCAAUUUCUUGCCUUUAAGAUACCGAUGGAGCUACAGGUUGAUCGGCAGAUGUUGCCGAUGGAAUGAUAUCACCUGAAAGAAGACAGGAAGGGUUAUGAGACUAAAUGAGAAUAAGUUUAUCGGCGGAAGUAUUGGUGAGAUAUGUUACCCGGAGGAGGAACAACAGUUGUCUGAAUCGGGGAAACCGCCGAUGAUAUAACUGGACCUGCCGGGCCAGUUGUUUGUUCACCCACAUCAGCUGAUGUACCUUCUGUUUGAGGUUCUUCCUGCUGGGGUUCUUCCAUCUGUGGUGCUUCCUGCAUUGGUUGGGGAGAUGGUGCUUGCUGUGUCUGGACUUCUGGAGAAGAAGGGGAAGAUUCCACCGGGAUUGGAGACACCGGAGGAGGAGGGGGAGUUGCCACUUUCUGGCACUUUGUUCCAGCCUUAGCACCUUGGGUGCCCUUCCUCUUUGGCUGGCUAGACUGGGGGGCAUCGGUACCUUGGCGUUUGGCUUUUGCCGAUGCACCAGUUUGGUGCAACAACAAAAAGGAGUUUAUGAGCAUAGAUAGCCGAUACAAAGAUAGUUAGCAUAAAUGAAAAGGGUUUGACAAAUUGCCCUGAAAGCUUGCGCCAGAGUGGAAGCAGCUACCGUUGGCGAUGUCUGAGUUUUCCUGGUGGUAACUUUCUUGGGACGCGCACCCCGAUGCACGAUGGAAGCCAGAGUGGGAGCAUUAUGGCCGAUUGAGGAGAUCGGGCCUGAUGGGAACAAGUCGAUCGGCUUGCCACUCCUGCUAACCGAUGGGGGGGUGUUGUCAACCUGCAAAAGGAAUACAGGGGUAAGUUACCGAUGGAAAUAGUAUUGGAAAAUGAGACAUCGGUUUAAAAUACUUACAGUGUCAUCAGGGACUUCGUAUUCAGGGUCGAUCAUGCCGCGGUAUGAGAAGGCCGAUCUGCAGAAUAGAUUCUCUUUCCAUUCUGCCCACCAUAGCUUGUAUGCCUGAGUGAUAAAGGCAGCUGGAACCCAUUCUGACAGAUCUACGUCUGUAUCGGCAUUUGGUGGUAGCUGGGCUACUCGAGUCCACUCGAGAAGGUUGGCGAUGGGUUCUCUGGGCUUUAUCACAUCGGCAUAAGGAAGUGCAAUCGGCAACUGGCCGAAAGCUAGCUGGCGAGCUAAUGCCGAUGGAUUAUAAAAUUCAUAGGUUUGGGGAGAGGUUUUUGUGCUACCGAAGAAAUUCACUGGUAUGGCUCUGGGAGUCACAAUUGCCAUCAUCACCUCAUUGUCCCUAUCGAGAGCUUCAUCAAAUGGAUUGAAGGUCAGAGGGAGCAUGCUAUCUGGGUCGUCAUAAGCCAGCCAUGGUCGUUCAUCUCUGGCCAGACCCUCAUAUAGAGUCUCAAAGAAUCGGCCGAUCUGAUCCGGAUUGUUCCCUGAACCGGGUAAGACUAUAACGGCUUCGCCAAAGUUCAAGGGGGCACGCGUUGCCGAUUCCUCUUCACCCAACACAUGAUUUUCGGCUAUAUCUCUUGGGAAGUGCUGUGAGAACAAGUUGAAAUCAAGGCGCUUAUGCAGGUGCAGAUUGAGCCACAUAUUAAUAAACCACCAGGGGCCUCCCAAGUUGCCGAUGGAUUGGCCAAGCAGGAGUUUCUAGGCUACCUGAUGAAGAAGGUGGUAAACAGCGCUGAGCAAAUAUCGGCCGAGAGGAAAUUGGCCACCGCUAGCCAGUCUUUCUGCUGCCGAUAGAUAGACAGAAGUCGGUCCUGCCGAUCGACCACAGAAUACAAACUUGUCCAGCCACAUGUUCAGAAAGGUGGUUUGCUCCUUUAUGGUGACAGGCCCUCUCCCGCGGUACUUCUGGAUGUACCCUGACCAACCGCCGAUAGCGCGAGUCUCCACUUUGGCACUGGGGGCAGUAUCAAAAAAGUGGGUGCUAUCGGCAGAAGAUAUAUCUAGCCCAGUAAGCAUGGCUACAUCGGCAAGGGUAGGAGAAGCAGGGCCGUGGCCAAAAACAAAAGCAUUGAGAGUGUCUGACCAAAAGUAGGAUGCAGCUAUCAGCAGUGACUCGUUCCUGUGCAUAUCGGCAAUGGAUAGCCUAAUGCAUUGAGCUAGCUUCCUCUCACCCCACUGGACUUCAUAAGAAUUGCUGACCCUCAAGAACCAAUCUUUCCACCCUACAGUAGGGCUGGGCCAAGAGCGAAAGGUGUCUUUCCACAGAUCUAAAGAAAAGUUUUCGGCUCUAAAGGGAAUCCUGUUGGUUUCUGCAUUGAUGAGGUCGGUUGGAUCUGGAUUCCCUAGAGGGCCGAGGCACUGAAGGUGUGGUUGAUCGGUAGGGAUGACAAUUUUGUUGGACAACUCCUAGUGUUUUGGGGAAUAAAAAUACAAAGAAAAAGGAAAAGGAAGAUAUUCAGUAAGAUGAAUCGCAGAUGAACAGGAAUGCGAGAAAAAGGUACAGGAGAUGAGAUGGAAGUCUGACCUCAGGGACGACGAAGCCAAUGGCCAUCUUGUCGUGAAGAGGACGUUGGAGGGCACCGGAGUUGAUGAAGAGGAAUGCUUGUCGGAGAUCUUGAGGGUUGUAAAUGGCGCCGCCGCUGGAAAAGCAAAGUUGGAUAGUAGAAUGGUGUAAUGGGGGAGGAGUACCCAAGAAGGAACUAUUUAUAGGACAAGACGGGCAAGGGCAAAUCCGACUUAUCUCUUUGCCGCAUCCGAGAAGCCCAAGGGUACUCAGGUAGAUAUGGUAACUGUUCGCACAGUAAUCCAGGGAUUGUGCAGGUGAUUUGACGGGAAGCGGUCAUUAUCUAAAGAUAUUUUACUGUGCGAGAUCUCCUGGUCGGUCCAUCGGCGAUAUUCUAUAACGGUCAUCUUGCCGAUGGGCGGAUAGAGGGGAGGUAACCGUUUUUGUGAAUAUCCUGGUCAGAGCAUCGGCAGAUCUUUGUAACGGUAUUGUUGCCGAUGUACGACCAAGAAAGAUGCCCGUUUAGGAAGUUGGGGAUUUCGAGGAAUCUGCGGAGGAUUAGGAUCAGAGUUGUCCAGAUUGAGGUUGUCGGUUACCAGAUUAGGAGCAUUAAUUGCGGAGAAGGCAUCAUUACUGCAGAGAAUUUCGGAGCAUUAAUAGUUUUAUACUCCGAAACUGGGGGGCAUGUGUUGACACCAUUUUUGGGCACGUGUCUAGGAUGGCAGGAUAGGGUGGCAGUACGAUGCGGGUUGCUGAUGAGGAUGGUUGCCGAUGAGGGAGAGGUUGAAUGUGACUAAGUCCACAGGCAGUAAUAUGGUGCCGAUAGCUGGAUAAAAAGGUCUGCCGAUGACUACGGCAAGGGGAUUGCCGAUGAUGCGAGGGAGGAGUCUGGAAGCUGCCAGUUGUCAUGUGGAGGAGUUUCGGUUUGUCACGAAGGAUAGUUUUAUUAUUUCCUCUUAGCCGUGACAUCCGGGCGCAUCGCUGUUGUCAGGACUAAAGUAUUCGAGUUAUCACCUUUGCCGAUAGCAAGGUCAAAUCGGCUGGCACGCCUUAACGUUUGAAUCGGGUAUUAGCCCUUUGUGUUUGCAGAUCAGUUUUGCAUCAACAGUUUGAUUUAUUAAGUGGAAAGUCUCGUAGCUUUUAUAUCACAGAGAAAGAGACAGAACCAGUUCCUAGACAAGAAGAAGAAGUUUCGAUAGCCAGAUCACAACCACUUCAAUUCCAAACUUUAGCUAUCGAUCCUAAACCAUCAAUACCCCAAAAUUCUCCAAGGGAGGAAGGAAUUUCGACCUUAAAUCUUUCAGAUGCUGAUGGUUUAGACUUCUGGUUCCAUAAGAGACCUUCAAGCAGGGAUAAUUCAAAUCCUCGCAAUAAUGGUUCUCUUAGAGAAUGUCCUAGUUCCUGUUAUGAAGAAGUCAAGGAUGACAUAUCAAGUGAAGGAGAGCUAAGCCAUGUUGAAAAUUCUAACACCUCCCCUUUCCUGAUCACAAGUUCUAAAUGGCUAGAAUGUGUAGAAUGGAUGGAUAAGGAAGAAGCCUUAAUGAAUUCUGACUUUGGUUCAAUUUCAAAUGGUGAGCUCUUGACUCCCUUUGAAGAUGGGAUUCAUCCAACUAUAGAAGAGGACAUAAGUGAGACCAAUCCAAGAGAAACUCUGAACAUUCAGAUUGGAGACGAAGAUAACAUUAAUGAGCAUGGAAUUUAUUUCAUAGCCACUUUGUUUACUCCAUGCUCAUAUGCAACAUCUUCCCAAUCUAUUGGUCUCUCCAACAUCACCACAUUUGAGAUCUCCAACCCCCUCUUCCUUUCUAUUUAUAAAAACUUUAAAAGGGCAGUUGUCGAUGCAUAUGUUUAUAAUAAAUGUUGCAGAUCUUGUUGAGUUGAUCUUUAUUUAGGUCAAUGUUGGAAGGGAAACCACUUCGCCGACAUAAAUUGAUGGUUUCCCAAGGACAAGCUUGGUGUCCUAAAAUAAGCACUGAUCAGAUCAUAACAUGAGUUUUUAAUUAUUUGCAACAUUACCUUGUGUAUUGAGCAUAUAAGGAUAAUUGUAAAAAUAUUCCUUCGGGUAUUCUUGUCACUAACCUUUCCAGGAUUGGAACAAGAAGAUCAGAUGAAUGACAAGCAAGUACAAGGUAUGUCCAACCAAUCAUCAUGCAACACUGAAUUAAAUUCAUCCAAACUUGAAUUCUGCAAAAUUCAAGCUUUGGGGAGUACUUUACAUAAAAACAUCCUUUGCCAUGUUGCUAUGUUGGUUGUCCCUACCUUUAUGACAUGCUAAAUUUGUUAAAUACUAAUCACACUACUUCAUCUCCACUUGAGUAGAUCUCUAUAAAUGUUGUCAUGUUACCUUUGUCUAUUUGCUAGUAAGUGUUAGUUUGGAAGUACAGCACAUACUUCUAUUGGCUUUUAAACUAAGCAUGGUGCUUAGGUUAAACAGCCUUCCUUAAUCUGAUUAGACAUGGAGUCUAGUUCGGUUAUUGAACUAAAAACUGCUUGUAUAGACAUUGGUAUAUUUUUGUCGGACUAACCCCUGCAGAGAAACUUUCAAUAUCGAUUUGGGAAGUCCUGAGAUAAAAUCACAUCAGAGACGAAGAGAGUGACACAUGAAGUUUAACAAUUUGCACAAGAAGGACAUAGCUCAUUCAUCAUAGAGAGAUGAUCCAUGGAGGGUGCCAUAAACACGAUGCACAACCGCUAAGAAAGGAAAGCUUCCACAAGGUGAUACUGUACCAUCACUCUUGAAGCAAGGUAACAUCUUAAGGUACUUGACUCUCACUUUUAUAAGCUUUUCCUUGGUUCUGGCGUUCAUAUAAAUAAAAGAGACAAACAUGUAUGAUUUACAACUCUAGAUUAACCAACCCAACUGAUUCAACAUGUUUAGUCCUUUAAUCCUUGUUCUUAGUACUACCUCCAUGAUCCCACACUCCUAAUCAUAUGAGCUAAAAUGUUACACAUUCAAUCAUUGAGAGAUAUAAAGAAAAAGACAUAUACAUAAUAGAUUAUCUUUCCAUAAGGUUGAGCGAUCUAAUCUGACAAAUGUUAUAAGUGCUACACUCAUGAACUUUUCAUCCAUCAACUUUGUUUUGCUCACUAUGCUUAGGGUUAGAGAAGAACAAAUACACUUUAGGUUCUAUUGGUGUUUUCCACCAACAGGACCCAUGCACUUGAUCUCUGCCUUGUCUCUAUGAGCAGGUACACUUCGAGCAAAAUACGGAGGAGUUUUAUAACUCUCAGACUCUACCAAGUGAAGGACCUCGAUCUACGAGCACAAACACACUAAGCAGGACACUGCCAACGCCGCACUUCGAACUACUGGGCAAACGAAGAGGUGCAGACGUCAAGGUCCGCACCUGAAUCAAAUGACGCACCUGAAGAAUGAACACGGUGAGAAGUCUUGUUAAGAAGACUUAAAACAUUGAACCCUCGCCGAAAGGUAAGAUCGGUAGUUAUCCAUAUUUAUCCUUUCUGCAUUCCCUUUUCCCUUUAAUUAUUUACUUUCCUUAAAUAGAUUAUUAGUUAAUCUUGCUAUCUUGAAAAGGAAAUAAAAAUGUUCAAAAAAUACUAAGCCCCAUGUGAGUAUAUGAGUGGCAUAAAACCCAUAAGUACCUUCACUGUGGUGGCAUAAAAAUAAAAUAAAUAUUUCUUUUCUGCUUUAUAAAAUAAAAAUAUAAAAACAGGGAGUAAUAUUUAUUGAGGAAGCUCAACAUGAUGAAGGCUAGAUAUUUAUGCUAUCACUUAAUUAGUUCCACAAGCUUUGUUGUCUAUUUGAGCUUCACAGAAUUUAAGAAUCAAGAAGACUAGCAGACGGAGGACAUUCUAAUCGCUGUCAGAAUGCUGCUGACUUUCAAAUACACCUCUGCCACCUGCUAGCUACAUCAAGAGAAAUUACGUCAAAAUUCAGCUUGGGGGAGAGCACCCCCAUUUAUCUCGCUAAGUAUUUCUACCUAUCUUUGUACUUAUAUUAUGUUAGAAUAUUAAAAUACAUAAACUAUGAAAAACCAAAUAAAGAUUUUGUGCUUAUAUAUAUAUCUUUUGCUUAGUGUGUUUAAUAAAUAAAUAAAGUGGCUAUGCUAAUCUGAAUCUUAAUAAUAAAACUCUAGCAUGGAUAUGAUGAAUAGUUGCUCUACCUAAUUUGCAAAUUUGAAGUUCUCUCUCAUGUUUAGACAUAACUGUUAUAAUUUAAAGCUUGCUCUAGAUGUAAACUUGUGGGAUGAAAACUUGAUCUGAAAUCUAAGUUGUUAACGGAUAUGAUAUGGGAAGGUUGAGCUGCUGUUUAUCUGUUCCUAGAGAUGCUAGAAUUCUAUAGAAUUUUAUCUUUGAAAAAUCUUUAAAAUAUUGCAUGAUGAGUUCCUGUAUGAUGAGAGUUUAAAUUCCUACCACAGCCAUAUAUACAUGCUUGCUAGACUUUGAGCCACACAUUUACUAUAUACUGCUUAUGAGCAUUGAGUGUGGUCAAGCUGUGUAGACCCUUAGGAGCUUGUCAUGUGGUUAAAUCAAGAUUCACUUGCACGUUCACUCAUAUAUGCUACUUCUACUCCGGAAGUACCAUCCAUAUAUAUCCAUCCACGUCCAUCUCCAGAACCACCCAAAAAUAUUCUACUCCUAAUCCGGGAGAGAAUAGCCAAAAAUAUUUCUGUUUUCCCUUGUGAAAUAAAUGCUCAAGUUAUCUUGCUACUACCACUUGCUAUAUUAUCUCAAGAGAUGAGUGCUCUGAAAAAAAAAGAGAAGAAAAGAAAAAAAUAAAAAUAAACUAGGAAAUAAAAAGGGGCAAGUGCCCGGAACCUCGAAAGAAAGAAAAAGUGAGACGAGAGGUAAAAAUGGACAAGUGUCCGACAGUAGAAUUAGGGGUACAAGAUACCCACCUGAGAGGAAAGAAAAAGAAGAGCAUCUCAUUCUCCUCAAAAAGCUUCAAAGUGCAAGAAAGGUAUGUAUCCCCGCAAAAGAGCAAAAGUAGAAUUAGACUUUCACCAUUAUCACCAUCAUCACCAUACACCAUUCAUUCGCCACACAUGCAUAUCUUGAUUUGACUUAUUGACUUGUUCUUCUAGAUCCAUGGUUUGACUAUGCAAUAAAUGUCUUGUAAGUAUGUAUACUUUAUCUCCCACCUAUGAGCUCCAGAUAACAAAACAUUACUAGAGUAGGGUGAUAGAGAAGGCAAUACCACUAUGCCUCAUACCAAAAAUACCACAUACUUUGAGAGAAGGCAUACACCAUUACUGCCUUGGUAAGGAUCCAGAAAUACCACAAAAGAGAGACU
RNAcentral lists this long non-coding RNA (228361 nucleotides) under Sorghum bicolor (sorghum). RNAcentral describes it as "long non-coding RNA (SBIC_LNC017539)". The stretch from base 62779 to 62885 matches the Rfam family "Plant small nucleolar RNA R71". The record is from RNAcentral. Lineage: Eukaryota; Viridiplantae; Streptophyta; Magnoliopsida; Poales; Poaceae.